GCAUAUGUGAUCGAAGUUGCGAAAAUUCGAGUCUGAACGGACGACAAAGUUCUAACAUUUUUACUUAAAAUUUGACAUGUCACGAUCAAACUCUUGAUAUUUAUUCUCGAAGUUUGAUUUGCAAAGUCCCAACUACCAACAUUUAUGUUUGAAGUUUGGUUGGUCAAGACGGUUAGUAUUGUGGUGACUAACACAAUAAUGAUGGUGGUAAUUGCGGAAGUGAAUCGAUUUAAUGUUAGUAGUUGAUGGUUUGGUGGUGGAUGUCGCUGAAAAAUGUGUGGUGAUUGACGAUGACUGUUGGUGGAGGUAGUAGAUUUUGGGAAUUGGCCUUAAUGACGAUAAUGAUUGAUAGUAACAUCGGAGGUGGUGACAGAAAGUGUGCUAGCAUAAAUUAUUAUAAUAAUUGAUAUGUAAACAUGAUAGCACUAAGGGGUCGUUUAGUUGGAAAAGAGUUAUCAUGGUGGGAUAACUAUUCCAUCAUUAUGAUAUAAAUGGUGGGAUAAAUAAUCCCGAGACUAACUACUUCCUCCAGCCAAACACGGGAUAAAACAAUCUUGCAUUUUGUCCUUGGAUUAUUAUACCUUACACCUACUCCAAACAAUCCCUAAUAGUAGCAAUCGAUAGUGAUUAUGAUUAUUAAUGAUAGUUGUGAUGAUACAGAUGAUUGACGAUGAUGAUAGCGAUUACGACUGUUGACAUGGUUAGAGAUGGAGACCGAUAGAUAUGGAUAUACUAGUUGUGAAAGUUAUUUACAGAAAAUAUAUUUUAAUAAUAGUAUUUUGCAUCUUAAUUAUUUAUAUAUUUUAUAAGCAUAUUUAGUAUUUAAAUAUAUGUGAUGGUCCAAAUGGACUUUGAGUUUUUUAUUCUUAGUACUCUAUUCUAUUUCUUAAUAUUUUUUGUUGGGUAAAAUUCAGAAAUAGCUUACUUAUUCCCUUAAUUAUGAGUUUCAUAGCAACAGUUUCAUAAUUAUAUAAUAUAGCAAGUUGUAUUUUGUAUUUUUGAAAACUGUUUCUACAAAAAUACAAAUACAUAUGAUUUUUACUGCCCUUAUGAUCGAUAUGUAUUUUGUAUUUUCACAAACUGUUGCUACAAAAAGACAAAUACAUACAAAUACAUAUGCUACAAAAUGUAAUUUGAUAAAAGUGUUGUUAUUUUUUGUAAUUUAAUACUUAAGUAUGCUACUUUAUGUAUUUUUUUCCUAUUUUGUUUGGCCCACUGGCCAGUCCAAUCCAUAUUGCUCAAGCCCCAUGGACCAAAGGGCUUAUAUGGGCCGAGCUAAAAAGUCUUGUUCUCAAACGGGCUGUAAAAAUCGUAGCCUAGCCCUAUCAAAUUACAGGUUAGAUUGGUCCAAACCAAUGGGCCUCUAGUUAAAAGAAUGAAAUUCUAGGUUUUAUUCAAUUCGUUCUAGGUACUUACAUGAUUACUCUUUCUUAACAUUUUCAUAUAUUAGCAACAUGUAGUUUGAAGUUCACAUAAAAAUUGGAUUGUGACUUUGUAUCUUUCAUAAAAUAGUCAAGUUAUGACAUGUUUUUAAUUGAGUUUUAAAAUGAAUUGUAAUAAUAUAGAAUGAAAUUAAUAGAAAUUAAUAAACAUAAAGAUCACUAAUAAACAGAAAGAUCAUUAAUAGAAAUUAUUGCAAAGUACAUAUAAUAUGUACCAUUAUUGAAACAAAUAACAAAAAUGCAAAAUGAAAGCAUACUUAAAUAGAGUGAAUUUAUAUAUAGACUCACUUCAUUAUAUAGAACUUCGAUAAAUAAUAUUAUACGAAGAUAAUUUAUUAAUCCAUUUAAGAAGGAGUAAACUAGAUAUCUGCAUCUUCUGAUGGAGACUGUGAGGAGGACGAAGCUUCAGCUAAUUGAUCCUUCAACAUAAUUUCUCCCACAUCUAACCAAGCUUGAAACUUCAUUACAUCAUCUGCAUUUAAAUGAUCAAUGGACUCCCACCGACCUUUCUCUCUAAUCUUAUUCUUUUGAGAUAAGGAAAAGAGUCUCUCUUUUGCAAUUUCUUCUCUUUUAUCAAGUUCAUUUAGCCUAUCAUUAAGUUGAUUCACUUUAUUACGUGAAUUUUUAGCAACAAUUUGUUCACCUAAAUCUGUUUUCGAAUUUAUAAAACGAUCAAUGAUUGCAUUUUGUGUUGGGUGGACAAAAGCAUAUGCUUUAUCAGCUGGUGAAGAUAGAAAGAUUCCCAGAUCGACAUCAUUUUCUCUAACGAGUUCGCUAGCUUUUUUAUAUAAGCCAGAACGUCGUUUAGAGAAUGCUGAAUAUCGAUUAGCAUCUUUUUCUAUCCUCACCAAUGGAAUUUUUUGGCGUCCUGUUGUUUUCUUACGCUCCAUUCAAGAAAUGUGACUUACAAAAAAAAAUGAAAUAUGCUGAAUAUUUAUAUACAUAUUAUUCAUAAUGAUCAUUAAAUUUCUAUCCAAAUAUCACAAUGGAAAGUAAUCUUUUCUUCUUGAAAAUUAUAGUAGAAAAAUUUUAUUCAAUUUGAUACUCAUAAUCUGAGUUUUAUAGUAACAUCAAUGUGAAAUUAGGGGGGGGUGGGGGAAUUGAAAAUUUUUGUAAGUUGACUAUUGACUCCUCACAGUCGAAAUUCCUGCCGAUCAGUAUACUUCACAAAACAGAUUAGAUUUUAAACAAACAGACAAGUAAAUAGUUGACUUUAAAGAGAAAAUACAAAGAUUUAUCCUAGUUUGGAAUACCAAUGUGGUUCCUACUUCCAGUCCCAUUGGGUUUCAACGUUUUCUUAGAUCUUUCAAUGUCGAGCUCGAGUACAAUGAUGAGAAACAAGUUCCGUAGAAUUAUUUUAUUCUUCACAUCUUGUGGCACAACUUCAGCUUGUUUACUUAUUAGUUUAUCAUUAUAAAAACAUAAACAUAAAUAUAGGAGGCUAAAAAUCUCUCCCUUUUUUAUAAUGACAAACAAUUAUUUAAACAUCAGUUGACUUCCCUGUUGUAGUAGUCGACUUGCUCCUUUUGAGAUUUCUUUGUAUCAUUUGACUCUUAUCCAUUGAUAGUCGAUUUUCUCCCCCUGACUUUAAGCCCUUCUGAUGUUCCUGUCUUUCUCCCCCUUUUGGCAUAAUAAAAGAAUAGGAAAUCAUACAUCCAAAAAAAUAUGGACAUAGCACAGAAAUAUGUAGAUUAAUUAUCAAGAACUCAGGUAAAAACAAGGAAGUGUGGUAGAUAGUGUGUAUAAAAAACAUCUUACAACCCAACAAAAAUAAGGGACAGGACCCCCUUUUGAAUAAACAAUCAUCAUUCACAACAUAGCUAGAAAAUAUGUUAGGUUAUUGUGCAUAUUAUGGCUGAAUUUGUCAUAGGAUUUCUCAAUAUUUUUAAAGAAUGAGGAAUAAGAGUUCUAACCAGAAACAAUAAGAUCGUCAUUAAAGGAGGUGACUUGGAACUUGAGGGAGACCAUAGGAGUGAAUACUCGAGUAAACAACUUGAUGCCUUCCUGUUUGAACUCGUCGAGUGCCAACCGAACCACACCUAUAUCAGUGCUGGUGCUUUUUUCAACAUCCAAAAGUUUGGAAGUCGACUCCUAGAGCAUCAUAACACCUUCCUCAACGGCUUUGAACCGAUCUUUGAUUUCCUCCAGUUCCUUCAUCACAGCAAUAGAGGGGUUAGACUUACUUACCUUUGGGAGUUCAUAUUUUGCACGGGCAGAAUCGUUCUUGUACCAUUCAUCUUCAACCAAAACAUAGCCCAUACUGACAAAAGUUUUGGAGUCAUAAGUAGCCACAACUUCCACUAAAGGGUAAGUAGAGAGAUCAAUUGUGUAAUACAGAAGAAUCCAAGUAAUGAGCAGGCCAUACGGUAAACUGGCGAAAGCAUGAACAUCUGUUGCACUCUCAAGCAUGUACUCAUGAAUCCAAGUUGCCCAAUUGAUUUUGAGUUUCUUAAUCAGACAAUACAACACAAAGACAUCACAACAUGUAAUUUUGCUAAGGGAUCCUUUCCAAGGAAUCAAUGUGGUAGCAAUUAUAUGGGCCAGGAUGCGAAACUUAAAACACAGGGAGGGGACCAAAAUUGGUCGAAAUAGAGUCAGGGUCAGACAGGACCUUUUUGGCUUCUUCAGAGCUGGCCUCAAAAUCUUUGGGAAAAUUACCAUUUAUGAAGGAGAUUGCACUAUAAAACUUUGUAUCAAAAGCAUUUUCGAACAUAAAAUAAUUCAAAAAAAUUCUUGUGCCAUGCACCAGAGUCUCAAGUUCACCACUAUCAGGAAAGAGGCAGAGAUUCACAUAAAACAUACAAAAUGGAUCCUUAUAAACCAAAACUCCACAGGGAUGAAAAACCAGGGACAAAUCUUGAAACUUAAAGAAGUGACUGACAUUACAGUAUGUAUCUUUCAAUUGAAGGAGAUUGAUAAUGCGACCUGGUGUAACCGGGUGAGUUUUAAAGACAAAUAAUUUGUCUUUGUGAGAGCAUGUCCAGAACGUGUGCAUGUGUUCUGGAAGAAGGGAGUUUAGAGAUUUUGUACGAGGUUUCUUGGAAAAGGGAGCUACGUUGAAAGUAGGACGAAGUCUCUUGAUGAGAGUUGACUAAGAGUCCGAUGAAGAUUCAUCAUAGGAAUUGGAGAGGAGAAAAGGACUAUUGGAGAGGUUUUUGGGAAGGAGAUUUGGACAUAUUUUCCAUAGAAUGAGUUCUGGUUAUGAGAGAAGAGGGAAGAUGAAUUUUAAAGGGGCAAAGAGGGAUAAGAGGGAAUGGUUAAGAGGACUGAGGAAGAGAAGGGGCAUGUACACAACUUUUGGAAAAUAUAAGAGAGUAACUAUGUCAUGCAGGACCUUGGUUGGAGAUGACAUGCUAUAGGACCUAAUUUGCUGAGCAUUAGAUACUAUAGCCAAAGAGUGAUCCUGUUGUUGAAAUGCAAGAUCUUGAUUGAUGUCCUCAUAUUGCUCCAAGGUAUCACGUACUAUCAUUCCAUCAUGAGUUCCAUAUUUAUUCUAUUCUGGUGAAAAAAAUUCUUCAUAAUUAUCUUUAUUUUUAUCUACAACCACAUCCCCGGUAGCAUCCGAGUCUGCAUUUUUGUCAGCACUAUCACUUACUAUCAUUCCACCAUGAAUGCCAUCUUUAUCAUGUUUGGUUGACAAAAAUUCAUCUUUAUUUAGAGCUUCAGUAACAUCCCUCUUUCCCACCCAAUUUCUUGUUUCAUUACCUUUUGGUUGGUUACUAUCAAUGGGGUGCUUCAUUGGGACUGAAACUUUAGUGCUUAACUCCACCACAUUUUGAUUAACAUCUUCAUGUGAUAUGUCUCCUCUGUUGUUCCCUCAUUUUCAUUUGUUGAAUUAGUUAACUAUUACACCUAACAUCUUCAUUGUUUUCCCCCUCCUCAUCGUUGACAGUCUCUAAAGCUGCAUACUGGUUGUGUGAUCCAAUUUUUGUGCUAUUAUUUUUCAUUUGUGGAUCCUGUGGAUUAACUUUGUUCUUCCCUUUCUUAUUUUCAACUUCAUUCCAAUCACCGGGGUUUCCCACUAUCUUUUCACUAGUUAGUCUCCUAGGAAAAGAACCAGUGGGUUGGGAUUGUUGCAUAUUUCCCCCUUUCACUUGGCUAGAUUUUUUAUUAUCACCAUGUAAUUGUUUAUUAUCCCUAUCAGUUUUGUUUCUACAAUUAGCCCCCAUAUACAAUCCUGCUUCCAUCUUAUAGCCCUCUUUCGAGAUUUCGAGAUUGCUAGUUCAGGAUGAAUUACCCUACACUCAUACAUGUUAUGGCCUUGGAGUUCGCAUUCUUUGUUAUAUUUGGGAAAGUAAUCAUACUGAAUAUUAACUUUGAUUGUUCUUAUAACACCCGGAGCUUCAUCUUCAAUAUCCAUUCUCACAUGAUCAGGUAAAUUGGCCAUUUAAUCAACUAGACCUUAACUUUGGCACAACUAGGCCUAGUUUUAUUAAUUGUGGCCAUAUCUAAAUGAAUAGGAGUUCCUACUACCGAUGCUAAGGAGAAUAAAGACUCCUUGACAAAAUAGAUUGGUAGCAAGUUGGGAAAUGAUAUCGAAGCCACAGCCAUCGUAGUCUCCUCUUCCACAAUAAAUUUGGAGUCAUAUAUCAACGGUCUCAUUUGAUAGGAGGCACCAUCUUUAGACUUGAUGUAGAAAGCAACCUUCGGUGUAAUAUUAAUGAAAUCUUCUUUAAGGGACAAUCUAAUUAGAAUAUGCCUAUUUAUGAAAUAACCAAUCUGUCGGUCACCUUUGAUGUUACAUUGCACAGGAAUAGCUGUACGCAACUCCUCCAGAUCCAGCCAACCAUAUGAAAAAUUUCCCACAAUAGCAUGUUGCAGAUUUUCAAUUAUGUUCAUUGUGGCAAACUUCAGAUUCAGACCAUUUGAUGUAUGGCUCACUGUGUAACAUUAUAAUAGGUUUAAUAGCAAUUGAAGCACAUCACUUUUAGCACAUGCCUGCAUGUUAUUCAAAGUUGUAGAUUUCAAGAGUUUUGAGUAACCAAGAGUGGAAGUUACUGUGGGUGGGGUGGUGGGUAUUUUGGGUGGCGCGGCUAAGAGGGUAUGGUCAACCAUUGCCGUCGAUGAUUGACCAGUGGCUUGGUGGUUUCCGAUGAGAAAUCUAUUAGGGAAAAAUCGUGGAAAUUGUUUCUCAGAAACUAAUUGUAGUUUAUUAGCAAGUUGAUGAUAAUUUAAUUAGCAAGUGAAAUAUCACUAUCGUUCGUGUAAGAAAAGGGAACAACUGAUAGUUGAUCACUGAUCUUUGCUCCAUAUAUGUGCUCCUUUAUUUACGCCUACAAUCAAGCUAAUGUAAUAUUAAUAUUUUCUCACCCUCUCCUAUUUGCGUCACUUUUAUAAUUUAAAUUGAAGUACACUUUCUAUUAACAUAAUAAAGAAAAUUGAAUCAUUCUUUUUCCUUAUUAUCGUGUUGCCAAUGUAAUAUUACAAUAACACUAGUUUUUUCUUAAAAUUAUUAAAAUCUUGUAGAUAAUUAAUGUAUAAGGUGAAUAUUUAUAUGUAUAAUGUGAUAUUAUACAUUUUGGAAGAUUAUAUUUUAAUGUAUAAGUUAUAAUAUAUCAGGCAUUAUACAUUAGUUAUUUUUGGAAGACUAAUGUAUAAUAUAAUUCUUCUACUAUAUCUUCCAUUAUGUUAUACAUUAAGAAGUUCUUAUUACAUUUAAAAGGACAUUUUAAGUAUUAUUUGGUAUUAUAUAAUUAAAAAGUAUUAAUAUUGUAUAAGGUAACACCUUCUGAUAAGGAUACAGAAGUAUACAUGUUUAAUGUUAAUACUUAAAUGUAUAGUAUGACAUUAUACAUUACUACAGAUUAUUUUUUAAAUGUAUAGUAUUGUAUACUGUUGUUAUCUUUUAAAUUUCAACUUAUCCGUUAUUUGCAUUGAUUCAAUAAAUAGAUCACAUAUUGAAUAAUAAAACUAAAUAUAUCAACUGUAUUUGGAUAUAUAUUAUUCUCAUUUAACUAUUUUGUUAACUGGUGUUUAUUUUUUUCAUGGAUUUUAAAUUAUUUACAAUAAAUUUAUAUGAUUCCGUGAAUGAAAGAUUAUUUCUUUUGUCAAAACAUACUUUGAAAAUUAAUUUUCUAGGAACUUAAUGGAUCAUAUCAGUGUGAACGCAAAUAAUCCAUACGUAUUAAUAUUACUCCUACUAAAGUAAAGGAAAGAGAAUGAAAAACAAAUACUCCCACUAGAUUUUAUAUUAUUUUAUGUUGUUACAUAAUUUUCAAAAAUGUUUUAAUUGUUUAUGUAAUUUAUUACUACUAAAAAUAGUAUAAGAAGAAACUAAUAAGACUUUUUUAUCUGUUAAAAUCAAUAAGCAACAUAAAAUAUUGCAAAUAAGAACAAUUAAUAGAAUGUUUAAGAAUUUUUUUGAAUUUAAAUUUCAGUUACUAUAUUUAAUUAUACACCACAUAAUGAUAGGUAAUUAAUUUCGUUAAUUAAGAUAGAGAAAGAUAGUAUCUGAUUUCUUUGUCAUAAAUAUAAGCAAAUUUGUUUUAUCAUAUAUUGCAGCAAUGUAUAAGGGCCUACCUACUGUGUAAGUAUAUUUUACAAAUUAGGGAGAGAGAAAGACUAAAGGGAUUAUAUGUAAAUACUUUUACUAUAGAAGGGAUUUAUGUGGUUUAUACUACAAUAAAUAUGGCACCUAGCCCAUCUUACUCAUAUAUUUCAAUAUUACUAAUCUCAUAUACACCAUAUGUAUACAUGAAACACGGUUAAAGUAACUCUAAUAACAACAUUGUCACAAACCAAUGUGAGUUCCCAUCAAAAUGUAUCCUAUCAUGAUCAUAGUUGAAUUGAUUCAAUAGGAGAUAAACGAAAGAAUUCGUGUUUUAUUUUGAAUAAUCUAUAUUCCAAUAAAUAAUAGAAUAGAGAAAUUACUCAUUUACUUAGUAGGCUUUUCUCCAUGAGAAUUCUUUCACUUUAUUCCGAAAAAUUAUUUCACUUUAUGGAAAAAAGUGAAAAAUAGUAGUAUUUCUCCAUUAGAAUUAUUUCACUUUGCUAUUUCUGUCGCAAAAUUUCAAAAACAACUCCACUUUAUAUUCAUGUCCAAACACAAUACCGAAUCUUACUCAAAAAAAAUAUUAUUUUCAAGACCAAACGGGGCCUUAUUUACAAUCAACAACACUAAUUCUACCAAUAGCUUCAUUUACAAUGAUCCAAUUUGCCAUUUCCAUAAACAGGACUCACAAAUAUAAUUUGGGCUAUGUUUCAUCUAUGUGGCCCUAAUCUAAUAAGCCCAAAAAUGAAAGGGACAAGUGUACAAAUAACUGAUUUGGACUAUCAUUUAAAUCAUAAUGAUUAUACAUAAAAAAAAAUUUGUAAAUUUAGCCGCUUCAAAACUAAAUUAAGGCAUAUGAGAUCGAAGUUGCAAAAAUUUGAGUCUGAAUGGAACAUUUUUACUUAAAAUUGGCUUGUCACGAUCAAACUUUUGAUAUUUGGUUUGCAAAGGCCCAACUACCAACAUUUAUGUCUCAGGUUUGGUUGGUUAAGAUGAUUGAUGUUAUAGCGAUUAACACAAUAAUAAUGAUUGUGAUUGUGACGGUGAAUUGGUUUGAUGUUACUAGUAGAUGGUUUGGCGGUGAAUGUUGCUGAAAAAUGUAUGGUGGUUGACGAUGAGAGUUGGUGAAGGUAGCAGGUAUUAGGAAUUGAUCUCUGGCGAUAGUGACUGAUAGUAAUACCGGAGGUGGCGACAUAAAGUGUGAUAGCAUAAAUAAUUGUAAUAAUUGAUAUGUAAACAUGAUAGCACUAGGGGGUCGUUUGAUUGGGAAGAGUUAUCCCACGAUUAGUUAUUCCACUAUGUACAUGCUAUGAUAUAAAUAGUGAGAUAAAUAAUUUUGGGACUAACUAAUAACUCUAACCAAACAUGAGAUAAAACCAUCCUGCCUUUUAUAACUUAUACCCCACACCAAACGAUCCCGAACAAUAGUAAUCGAUAAUGAAUAUCAAUAACAGUUGUGAUGACAGAAAUGACUGACGAUGAUGGCAUUGAUUAUGAUGACUAAUGUAGUUAGUGAUAGAGACCGGUUGAUGUGAGUAUAGUAGUUGUGAAAAUUAUUUACAAAAAAAAUAUAUAUUAACAAUAUGAAGAAGACUCGGAGGUCGUUUGGUUGGAAACAAAUUAUUCCGAGAUUAAUUAUUAUAUGAGAUAAACCUAUCCAUUACUUUACUAUGAUAUAAAUGUUGCAAUUAUUACAAAACUAACUAAUACUAUCUUCAACCAAAUACAAAAUAAAAUAAUUUUGCAUUUUAUAUCGAAACUUUAAUAGUAACAUAAACAAACAAGGCAUAAGUUAAAAGAUCCAAAUGAUGAAAAAUACAAAUGGCAAAAUGACCUUCUGGAUCCCUGUACUAUGUCAGUUUUGUAAAUUGGACACUUCUACUUACAUGUUUAUCAUCUGGAUCCCUGAAUCCAUUAAAAAGCAACAUUUUAAAUCUUUUUUGGUGAGUGUAACACACUCUCCCCCACGUCAGUUGCCAGUCAGCUGCCACAUCUGUCAUGUCAUCUGCCAUGUCUAUUUUUUUUUUUUAAAUAUUACAAUAAAUUCCAAGUCAUUUUUAAAAUACUACAUAACAAAUGAAAUAUAAAAAUUAAUUUAAUUAAAUAAGAAAAAUUUAUAAAUUUUAAAAAAAUUUGAAUAAUCAUGUUUUUAUUUUUUUCUCACAAAUUAAACAUCAAAUCCAUUCCAAAUAAUUAAAAUUCUUCUCCAACUAAUUUAAAUUUUUAACUAUAAACUCAUAUAUACAAACAUAAUAAUUUUUUUGAUUUUUAAAUUUGAAUAUUUUUAACAAAUUCACAACAAGUUUAAUUUUUUUCAAGCGAAAUUCACUAUUUUUUUCAAUAGUCACUAUCACUCACUUUCAAUUUAAAUUUAAAUUUUAAUGCCCAAAAAAAUAAAAAGAUUUCAAAUUUAAAUUUAAAUUGAAAAAAUGAAAAGAAUUGAAUUGAGAGAAAAAAAUAAAAUAAAAAAUAAAAAGUGAACGUGUGGGGGGAGGGGAGGGGGAUAGAAGAGUGUUAGGGUGAGGUGGGGGGCUGGAGGGGNNNNNNNNNNNNNNNNNNNNNNNNNNNNNNNNNNNNNNNNNNNNNNNNNNNNNNNNNNNNNNNNNNNNNNNNNNNNNNNNNNNNNNNNNNNNNNGGGGGGGUGGGAGGGGGUGGAGCCGGUCUGGGGUGGGGGUGGGAAAAGGCGGGACGGGUGUUGGGGUAGGGUGGGGUGGGACAGAGCUGCGUGGGGUAUGGGGGUGGGGAGGAAAAAAUAUGUUUUUAUUUUUUAAAAAUUUUUAAAAAUAUUUUUAAAUUAUUGUUAAAUUUUUAAAAAUAUAUUUAAAUUGAAAAAGAUGGAGGGAAAAAAAGGACUCUUUUUUAUUUUUUUUUUUAAAAUUUUUAAAAAUAUUUUAAAAUUAUUUUUAAACUUUUAAAAAUAUUUUUAAAUCUAAAAAGAUGGAGGGAAAAAAAGACCCUUUUUAUUAUUUUUUUAAAUUUUAAUAUUUUUUAAAAUUAUUUUAAUAUAAAAUUUUUCAAAAAUUGACCCCCACUCGCAACCCUAGGCGAGUGGCUACACUCUCUUUGUCCUAGUCACCAUGACCUUAUCACAUAGGCAAGGUCAACGAUCAAAGGGUACAAAAUAUUGUUUCUUGAUGGGUUCAAGGGUCCAGAUGACAAACAUGUAAGUAGAAGUGUUCAACUUACAAAAUUGACAUAGUAUAGGGGUUCAGAAGGUCAUUUUCCCUCAGGUAAGAAAUACACCAUAAAAAACCCCCCUAAUUUUUCUCCAUUUUUUUUACCUUUUAUUUACUACAAUUAUGCAAAUUAAUUCUUUUUUUUAUAUAAUCAUUUUGUCGUGUUUAUUUGUUAAAUUAUCAAUUGUAUUUGUUCAUAUUUUGUUUGAGAUUUUGAUUUUUUUCUUUUAAUAGAAAUUUUAUGUGAAGAUUUUUUUUCUAGCUAUUAAUUCACUAUUAGUGUAGUAUUGGUAAAGUUGCCCAUCAAUAAUUUAGCAAUUAGUAUUGUUUUUCUGAGUUUCGUACCUGAACUAUUAUGUGUGCGAGUUUCCUAUGUUUCUAUAUCCAAUUAUUUAUAAAAAUACAACUCAACUUUAGGUAUGUUUUAUAAAUAGUUGAGAAAAUUGAAAGAAAGGUGUCUUUUAAGUCUUGAAUGAAGGAUUGAUGACAUUGACCAACUUAAAUGAAGGAUUGGUGACAUUGACCAACUUAAAGGGUCAAACAUUAUUAGAAAACUUGAUUAAAUUAAUUGUGGACUUGAUUAAUAUUUUCAAAACUUUCUAAUCUUUUCAAAAAUACAAAUCAACCUAACUCACACCCUUCUUCAAUCCAAAUCAACCAGUCUCUCUCCUCUCUCUCGACAACUUCUCUCAAUUCUCUCCCAAUCAAUAGUUCGACAAAUUUCUCCUUUCAAUCCUCGGCGACCUCAACAUCCGAUGAUAAAUAGUUGGGCUUCAAGUUCCUUUUUGACUUCAACCUUUAAUCGACGUGACAGCCUUACUCUCCGGCCACAACAUCUUUGAAUUCUUCAGUCUUCAACUGGCGUGACAACCUUGCUCUCCAGCCACAACAACUUUGAAUUCAUCAUCGUUCCUUUUCUUCUUUCACAGGUAAAAAUUUAUGGUCUUUUUAGUUUUGAAGAAAACGAGGAACUUGAGCCAACUUCUCUUAUAGUAUUGGUUAACAAUUUCAAUAUUUGUUGCUUUAAUUUGAAAUGCGGUCUCAAUAAAAUCCUAAUUUCUGGUAUUUCUUCUCUUCUCUUUUCGAAGUGAAUUAUGAUUUUUUGUUGUUUAUUUUUUUUUUAAGUUUGAUUUUUGUUGUUUGUGUUUAUAAAAAUAAAACAAUGAUUUGGGUUGAUUUGUUCAGUUCUUGUUCUUAGUAAAAAUGGUGAUAUUUCUGUUUUAUGUUGAACAAAAUCGUGCUACUAUUUUUUGUUUUAUCCAACAGAUUAUCCAUCUGGUGCAAUAUAUUAACCAUCUGAUGCAACGGAUUUGUCAGAUGAUGAAACAGAUCAACAUCUAAUGCACCAGAGGAACCAUAAGAUUACAAUUCUGAUGCAAUAGAUUAAUCAUCUGAUACAAAAGAUUUAGCAUAUGAUACAACAGUUUAACUAUCUGAUGUAACAGAUUAAAGCAUCGGAUAAAAAAUCUGAUGCAACUGAUUAACCAUCUAGUGCAACAGAAGAACCAUCAAAUUAAUGAUCUGAUGCAAUAGAUAAACCUCCAGUUGGAUAAAAUCCUAUCAACUCUUCCAACAGGUCAUGUCUAAGACAUGAUUUUUCCAACUGAUCAUUCAUCUGCCGCUAUAGAUGACCCUAUGCUGAAAGAAAUCUAAAUAAUAUUGACCGUUGAUAAGUGUUCCAACAGAUCACUCAUAUGUUGCAACAGAUGUGUGAUCUGUUGCACAGACCAUUCAUCUUUCUCAAUGGAUAAGUGAUAUGUUUUGUAUUAUCGCAACAGAUUACUCAGCCAUUGCAGCAGGUUAGUUAACUGUUCCAACAGAUCACUCAUAUGUUGCAACAGAUGUGUGAUCUGUUGCACAGACCAUUCAUCUUUCUCAACAGAUGAGUGAUAUAUUUAGUAUUGUCAUAACAGAUUACUCAGUCGUUGCUAUAGGUUAUUUAACUGUUCCAACAGAUCACUUAUAUGUUGCAACAGAUGAUGUUGCAAUAGAUGUGUGAUCUACUGCAUAGACCGUUCAUUUUUCUCAACAAAUGAGUAAUAUGUUUUGUAUUGUUGCAACAGAUUAUCUGUUGCAACAUGUUAUUUAACUAUUCCAACAGAUCACUCAUGUUGCAAUAAUGUGUGAUCUGUUGCACAAACUAUUCAUCUGUCUUAAAAGAUGAGUGAUACAUUUUUUAUUAUUGCAACAGAUUGCUCAUCCACUGCAAUAGGUUUGUUACAUGCUGCAAUAGAUAUACUACCUGGUGCAACAGAUAAAUGAUCUGUUGGAACUGUUAUUUUACUGUUUUAUUUGUUAGAUUUACUGCUAUCCUUUUUAGCGAUGCAUUAAUCAACUAUAAUAUGUUUUUUAUGUUUCUAUUAAUUUUAAAUAAUAUAGCUCCCAAAAGAAUAGAAACUGAAUCAAGUCCAACUAAAGGAACAAGUGAAGCAACUAGGCUACAUCCACCACUCUAUGAACUUCCUUUACAAGCAUUAUCUUAAUAAGGAGCAGAAUAUGAUGAAUAUGGGGAGGAGGAAUGUUUCAAAAGAGAUGAUCUAAAUGCUAAUAACCCUUCUGUCGAAGAGUUGGUCAAAACCUUCAGCAUUGAUCGUUAUCCUGUGAGAAUACAGUGCGAUAGUGCCAUAAAUUUAAUGGGUGAUUUCGUUGUUAAGUCAGCCAUGGAAAAAUCUUUUGACGCCUUGAGAAAAAUACUUCGAGAACAAAAAUUGAAUGCUUAUUUUACGGACAGUUGCUUUGGGAAAUAUUUUGAUUUGCCGGAGGACAACAAUGCUCGUUUCUAAAUAAAAAUGGUAUAUUAACUUCUCAAGCGUAGGUUUAUGUAUGAAAACAAAGAUAAGAUGGAUGAGGUAUGGAUAAAUUACUAUGGCAUGCCUAUUUGUUUUGGGUGGAAGGAGUUUUUUUAUAGAUACUGGACUAAAAUGUUAUCCUCCUUCUCAAGUUAUACCUAUUCUAACUCAAGAAAUCACCCCGCACACCCAAAAAAGACAAAGACAAGUCGUGUAAUCGUGAUGACCUGGUGUCCAUUGUUGGUCCAAGAUUCAAAAACAAAAAUUUGAUAGAAGCGUUGAAAGGUAAAGAACUUUAAAAGAAGCAUAAACAGUCAUUGUGCGUGGUUUGGUUUGGUUUGUACAUAAUAUUCUUUGGGCGAGAGACGUUAACAACAACAUAAGCGUUGGUUUAAUAAAGAUCUUCGAGGAUCUUGAGGCAUUUAACAGCUAUCUUGGGGUUAUGAAAGCUUUAAAAAGACUGUACAAUAUUUGUUGACUCCGUUAGCGCCAAAGAAGUCAACUUAUAUGGCUUUCCAUAAGCUUUCAUGGUAAAUGUUUUCUUCUUUUAUUAUGAUAUCAUUUAUUUUUUUACUCAAUAAUGUUUUUGAUUAAUUGGCGUUAUUUUAUAGGCUUGGGCAUUUGAAGUCAUUCCUUAUUUGAGACAAUAAGUGAACUAUCAGGAAGAAGUUUCCUGUCGAAGAAUCUUGAGAUGGUUGUCGGCCAAAACUGAUAAAAAUAUAAAAUUUUUAGAUUUCUUCAACCCUCCGAAGGAUGCAGUAAUUAUAAUUAUAAUUAAGUUUUUAUUUUAAUUAAGGAUUUUUUUGAAUGAUCUAAUCAUCAUUCUAAUAAAUGUAAUGAUUUAUGUUAGAUUGUGUAUCCGUCGCUAGUUCCGACCAAUCGCGAGUUACAUAUGCCAUUUUUUCUUAAUUUACGAUCUGUGAAAAAUUUAUCGGACCCUAAGGUCAUCGACAGAAUAAAAAUUGAAUUGUUUGGAGCAACAACCAUUACAGAUUUUGCCUCUCCCAGCGAAUGUUCUGCAUUCAAUGUUAAGACUACAAGGCUAAACAUAAUGUAGUGGUUAAUGCUAUUAAUGCAUUAACUGCUUUUGUAAAGGAAUUGACAUCUAAGUGGGGUGUCAUUCCAUCAAAGAGGAUUUUAUUUCCAUCCACUCCAUUAGAGAUUAAGUCUUAGAGGAGAAAGAAAGUGAUUUCCAAGGCAUUAUCAAGCAUUCAAAAAAGCAAAAUUGCAACUCCUAUGUCCAUGUGUUGCACUGAGCAAUGUAAAAUGUCCAAAGGAGAGCUGCAUGAUCUGAACAAGGUGAAGCUGCAUGAUUUGAACAAGGUGAAUAUAUAUGUCUUCCAACUAACAAGUAGACACAUUUCUAUUUUAACAGAUGAUACAUCUGCUAAAAAUUAUCACACAGAUAUAUACAUCUGUUACUAACUUGUUGCACUAGAUAAAGUACCUAUUGCGACGUAUGUCUCAUCUGUUUUAUCAAAUUAAAUAGCUCUUCGUACUGCUUUUAUUUGUAUCAACAGAUGACCUAUCUGCUGCAACAGAUGAGUUAUAUGUUGCAACAUAUGGUUCAUCCGUUGGAAAUUAUCAUACAUGUCUUCCUCUUUUAGAAUUUUACCCAACAAUUGAUUCAUUAUUGCAACAGAAAUAUAAUCUAUUUGGGACAAUUUAAAAUAGGAGGAAGACCUGUUUGAUUUGCUAAACAGAUGAGUUAUCCAUUUCUAUUUUGUUGUAUCUCUGUGAUUAGCAUUGACCAAUUUUGGAUUUCCAGGUGGACGUAGAAGCUACUGCAGAAAAACAUUGACAAUAUGCUACUCUACUCUUUUUAUGGAAAUACGAAGAAUAAAAAGCGUAGAAACCGUACGUAAGCGACAAUAAAGAUCCACAAUGAACAAAGCCAAAUUCAAUAGCAUCGAAUGAAGAACAACUUGUCCAUAUUGAAUUGAUCUUUAUAGCUUGAGUCUGUCAAAGUAAUAACCUCACCCCUCAUUAGGAAUCCUUGACAUCAAUACUUAAAUUGCUGAUGUAUUUGUUGAGAUCUGUACCGGUAACAAUUUUUUUAUAUUUUAUUUAUUCGUUGAUUUUAUUUCAGCUAAUUUCUUAAGGCUUCGAUUUAUUUUAUUUUGUCUAUGAAUUUUAUUUUUUCCUUAGAUUUGAACUUAUUACUUGAAACGGAAUACUAGAUUCAAAUAUUGCAACUGAUAAUGUAUCUGCUGCAACAGACGACACAUCUGUUGGAAAAUAUCAAAUAUAUUUGACAUAUGUUGCAACAGGUAGGUAAUCUGUUGGAAUUUUUCAAACAGGUCUUUCCAUUGCUGCAAUAGAUAGACUUAGAUAGAAAUACCAACAUAAUACAACAGAUGAUCAACCUAUUGCAACAGAUAAACUAUAUGUCAGAACAGGUAGAAUAUCUGUUACAACGGAUGGAGAAUCUGUUGCAUUAUAAAAAUUCAAUUUUCAUUGGACAUAAAAAAAUUGUCACUACAUGUAAAAAAGUGAAAGUGAAUUUAAAUAAAAAAAAGGCGGAACCCAUCAACACUGUUCAGUUCAAACACCUAAAAUAAAAUAGGCAUCAAGUAGACAGUGUUUAUUUUAAACACGUAAAAUAAAUUAGGCACAAAUGUGUCAAGUUGGCAGUUUUUGUUGACUUGACGUCUGAUUUAGCCCCUAACGGUCAUCCCCCCCCCAAACGUCUUAUAUAUUCAUCUUCUUCCUAAAAUUUAACCCUAAAUUUUCAAAUCUUCUUCUUCGUCGUCAUCUUUUUUUUAUCUAUGCAAAUUCUCCAAAUUAUUUGACUUUGAUCUUUCUUUUCUUCAUUUUUUUUUUCAUUUUUUCCAACUGAGCUUGACAUUGUUGAGAGCAUCUUCCACUAUUUUUUGUGAUAACGAUUUUUAAUAUUGUAAGUGUGGUCAUGAAGCUCUAUUGAAGACUUCUUGGACUUAACAAAAUCCAGGUUUUUGGUUUUUUACUUGUAAGAUUUUAAAGGUAAUAUUUUUUUUAUUUAAUUAGUUGAUUAAUUAUUGGCUUGUAAUUGUUUUGUAAUUGUGUUCUUGUUUUUAUAGAAAUUUGGUGGAUGCGAGACUUUGAUUGGUAUAAAGAAUGACACCCUUCACAAGCAAAUUGUGUAAUCUGGGGUUUGUUGAAGAAAGUCAAGGCUUUUAAAGAGAAACAAAAUCGAGCAAGAAGAUACUACAUUGUUGCCGUUAUUAUUACUGGUUUGGUGGUGUUGGGCACAUGAAUUUUCAAGCCUAAUUGCUUAAAUUUUCAUGGUGGUGUAUUUGCUACUGAUUUGGUAUUGUCGAGCACAUAGAUACUCAAGCAUAAUUGUUGCAAAAUAUCAAACAGAUUUAGGCAUAUGUUGUAAAAUUUAGGUCAUCUAUUGGAAAUUAUCUAACAGGUCUUCCCACUGUUGCAACAGAUUAGACUUAGAUUAGAUAGAAAUAACACCGACAUAAAGCAACAAAUGACCAAUCUAUUGCAAUAGAUAAACUAUCUGCCAGAACAGAUAUAAUAUAUUUUACAACAAAUUAACAAUCUAUUGCAUUAUAAAAAACUCAACUUUUAUUCAUUAGAAAAAAAUUAUUGCCACUACAUGUACAUGUAAUUUAAAGUAAAGUGAAGUGUGACUUGAAAUAAAAAAUUAUUAUUUCACAGGAUCUUCUAUAUACAUAGGCUCCAAGCGUCCAGUUAGUAUCCUAUAAGCCCAGACCUCUUACAAGUUUGCCAUAGCGUUGUCUCACAUAAAGGUCAUUGGCUCGGCCGUUUCUGUGUCGGUCAGCAAACAUUCGAUGUGUAUAAGAGCAUACAAGCCGCCCGCGUAAUCGGUAUGGUAGGUUCCUUUGUUUCGACCUUCAAAAUCCCAUGAUUUCUUCAUCAAUACUUCCUUUGGCAAAUGAUUCAUCAAUUUACCGUCCCUCAACAAGAUGGUCAACAGCUCCAUCAGUGGCUACACGAGGAGAAAAAGAUUGACAUCAUUUAUGGUAGGUUUGUUGUAGUCAUAAACUUUGAUCUUUCCCUCUUCAAGUAGUAUCUCAAUAGCCUGAUAAUGUAUGCCGUUCAUGGUAAUGACUUUAAUAAUCCUCUUUGCCUCAGUCUAGAUCUUGCCGUGUGGAUUUGGCCUCUCCCCUCUAACAUAUUUUAUCAUUUCUUCUUCCUCCAAGUCCAAUGUAGAAACUAAGAAAUCAAGUCUCAUGCCACAGGAUGACGCUUCAGAAUUGAGUUGAUCGUACUUAUCCUUGAGCUUCUUGCGAAAAUUAAGGUCUAUUAUCCUAUCGAUAGCGUCAUAAGCAUUUGGGUAUGUUAAUUGCCUUUUCCUUAUGAGGCAGAGAAUUUUGUCAAUAUAAUGUGAUUUAAUAAGACAAUUUUUAAAUAGGUUAGUAAUUGUAAAGAUGGUACAUCUAUUGCAUAAGGUUCUUUGCAUCAAUAAUCCAAUGCAACUUAUGCAAUAGAUGGAUAGUAAGUUGCAACAAAACCACUGCCAGUUGCACUAAAAUACCCAGCUGUUGCAAUAGAUUUCACAUCUUUUUCAUAGCUUCUUCUUCAUGGGUAGAUUAGAUUAGAAGGAUAGGUUAUGAAAAGUAAACUUGCCUUGUCCUCAUACCACAGACAGAUAUCUGUCAUAGUCUGGAAGUCUUGGGGGGAAAAGGGAGUCCUGGGGUAAUGUGGUGUGCCUGGCUUGGCAUUCUUGGCCUGUCGUAGAUCCCUUUUAUCUUUGGUACCAAGUUUCGUGUAUAUGUCCACCUUAUUGAAUGACCCUUAAACUUCAACAUCUUUUUGAGAGAGAGGAAUUGCAAUUAUUUUUUAUUUCUGACAGGAGAGUACAUCGGUUAUUGUUUUUUUCUUCCUCCUAACCAAUACUGUAGUAGUGUAUGGCUCCCUCACCUUCUUAGAUGGUAUGACACCCCUCUUGGAUUUGAAUUCCUCAACAGCUUUAGAAAUAGCCUCUACUUUUUUCAAAGAGUUUAUCCUGGUUGUCCCUGCACUCUUUGCAUUCGCAAUGAGAACACGAGGGUAAAGAGGGGUGAGAGGGACCUGUGUAAGGGUGAAAAGAGGUGUUUUCAUAAAUAUUUAUUUUUUCUUGAGUAUCAACAUACUCAUCAUCAUGAGUGGUAUUAGAAUCUGGAUGCCUUCCACCAAUACCAACAACUCUACCAGAAGAAGCACCCAGAUCUGCCUUAGUAGAUUGGUCAUGAAGAGCCUCAAUAUUAGGCUAACCUUGCUUAACUGCUCUUUUUGUGGUUAUUUCUCUAGCCAAUUCCUUUCUUAUUAACUCCACCAUUGGGUCUGUUACAAUAUCAACAUGACCUAGAGUAAUAUAAGAAGUCAUCAACGACUCCUCCUCAGUAGGCAGGAUCCAUGGAGCACAACUUAGAAAAAACCCAGAUAUAUUUAAAUCAUAUAAUAUAAUAAUUUUCAUAGUUGGGUUAACAUUUUAACAGUCAACUUCUGCAACAGAUUAAUAAUAUGUUGCAUUAGAUUACCCAUAUGUUGUAUAGUUUGCAGUAGAUGGUUAAAAUUUAUUUGAGUCAGGUUUAGAGAACCAGAGAAACACAUAGAUAAUCUGAUGCAAAAUAUCAAUCAUUUGUCAUAAUAUAUUACCAAUCUGUUGCACCAGUUUCAUAAAAUAGGUAAUCUGUUGGGUUACAUAUUAUGCAACAGAUGAUCUGUAUGUGUAUUAACAAUAGGUUAUAUCAGAUUACAAUUUGUUGCAUAAUUUGCUUUAGAUGGGUAAUCUGAUGCAAGAUAUCAAUCGUCUAUCACAAUAGAUUAUCUAUCUGUUGUACCAAUUGGCACAGGACGGGUAAUCUGUCGUAACAGAUGUCCCAUCUGUAUCACUAGAUAUAACAUCUGCUCAAUAUCUUUCAUUGAGUAAAAUUAUUUUACUUAAAGAAGACGUACUGCAUCAUCUAGAAGGUUAAGGAGAUUAGUCUCCUUAAUUUUGGUGUUGCUCUUUGCAGCCAACCACCUAAAUAUCAUUUGAUGAGAAACCUCAUCCGGGUAAUCCAUUACCUGCUUUCGGGGGGGGGGGGGGGGAAUGACUUCAAAUGCCCAAGCCUAAAAAAUAUAAACAGGAAGCAAGCAAAAAAGGUCAUCAUUACUAUAUUUAGUAUAACUUAAUGGAUGAUUAAAAUAGUGAUUAAUUUUACCUUGAAAGACAAAGGAAAGCCAUAUAAUGUGGUCGUCCCUGAGGAUAGCUUUGUUAGUAAAUAUUGGACAAUCAAGUAGAAGCUGUCAUAUCCCCAGGGAUAAUUGUUGAAUUUAUCAAAAUAUUCAGCAUGCGCUAACAAAUCAUCUUUUAUGACCUUGAUGACGUCUCUUGCCAAUAUAACCAAAUGGGCAAACCAAACUAAGCACAAUUUCUCCCUAUACCGCUUUGGUAUGGUUUUAUCCAUGAGAUUUGUCAACAAAUCCGAUGCUUUGUAUCCACAUAGAGCAAUGUCAAACAACCCAUCUAUUUUUUCCUUGCGUUUUCUUGCCUUAGAUCUUUUGCGGGGUGUUCCCUUGGCGAUAGGCGGUUCUUAUGGAUGAUGACAUCUCAAGCCGAUCACUAUGGCAAACUCUUGCAAGCCAAAACAAACUAGCAUGACACAGUAGUUGAUCCAGAUUUCAUCCAUCUUUUUGUUGCCCCCCUCCUUCAAAUAUUUAUCAUCCUCCAUGUACUUGAUUCUGCACUUAAGAAGACCAUAUACCAUCCUCAUAUGGAAACGGGCUAGGGACUCAGGCAGCUCAAGAAAGAGUCCAAAGUAGAUCUUCUUGAAAAGUCCGUCUAUGUUUUCGUCUUUCAUAUUUUUCUUAAAUUAAAUAAAUUUACUCCCCAUCUGACAUUUAAGUACAAUUUCACCUGUUAGCUCUUCUUCUGCUUUUUUGUCAUUUAUCGGCAUCGCAACUUGAAACUUGUCAAUACUAAAAGUUUUUAAAGGAUCAUGUUGGGAUGCCGAUAUUAAUUCAUGCCUCAUUGCUGAUCCAUUAUCAUCAUGUUGAUGAUCAUCCUCUUUCUCACUCUCUAAUUCCUCCUCUUUAUUGCUUUCAUUUUCUUCAUCACCAUCUACAGACCCUUGUCCACCUCCCUCAACAGUGUUUUCAUAUCUCUCCUCAACUUCACUUUGUUUCCCUAACUUAGAUUGUUCAGGAAGCUCCUCGGAAUCUCUUUAUACUGUAGCCUUUUUUUGGGGUGGUCAGACGUUGAUCCACUUUCACUUUCGUUUCUUUUGGGAGACAUGUUUUACCUAUAAAUAAUAGAAAAACAAAAAUUACAUUACAAUUGAUGUAUGCAUAAAUUUUAAAAUAUACAUUACAAACACAACUAAUAAUGACACACCAACAACUACCACCACCACAAACACCACCAACUAAUGCCACAAACACCAUGAAUACUGCCACCAUCGACAGCCACUACAAAUACCACCAACCAAUGCCACCAAAAACACCACUAACCAAUGCCACCAACAACCACCACCAGUGCCACGACGACGACGAAGAUGAUGACGAUGACCACCGCCAUAAACCAACAAUGCCACGACAGUUAAUGGAACACUCCGAUAGAAACUAGAAUUUUCUUGAGUUCUUCCUAUAAUUUUACCAUCAAAAUUAAAAAUUGUAAACCUAUUCUCGAAGAUAAUACAACUAAAAGUUUUCUUUUUCAUCAUUAACUUAAAAGCCCUUAUUUUUUGGAAAAAAUAACAAAUAUAAAACUCUUCUCAAACUAUGUUUCCUAUGAAGACAGAGAAAACGACAGAUACAAGCAAGAAUGAAGUCGAAAAUAACACUUAUGUGGUCAGAAAUAAGAAGAAAAUUGAUCUGUUGUGAAGGGUAGAGCAAUUUGUUGAGUAGUUGUAGUUGUUGUCUGUACUAUAUAAUUGAGUGAGAAAGAGAAAAGAAUGAGAACUCGAUAUUUGAAAUAAUGCAACAUUUUUCUAGCAAAUGGAUGAUUUGUAUGGGUUGAUUUGUAUUUUGGAAAAGAAUGACAAGGUUUGGAAAUGUUAAUUUGGUCCGAAUUGAUCUUAAUUAUUUUUUAAAAUUAUAAAAGAUUUGCAUAAUUUUUAACCUUCUCAUCAUGCAAUUGCCAAAAGACUCAAUUGAAGUUGUAGUUGACCCUAUGAACUCACCCACCCCUGGUCCUAGAUUAAUCAAUUUAGGUGUAUGAACUCAAUUGAAAUUGUAUAAAAAUAAAUGUUCAACCUGUUGCAUCAGAUACUCAUCUAUUGUAAAUUAUCAAACAAAUUAAGUAAUCUGUUACGACAGAUUACCCCUCUGUUGUAAAUUAUCAAAUAGAUUGUCACAUAUCGCAACAGAUUACCCAUUUGUUAUAAAUUAUAAAAUAGGGGCUACGAUCUGUUGUCGUUGACCCUAUGAGAACUCACCUCUGGUCCACGAUUAAUCAUUAAGGUAUUAGUCUAACAUAUGAGGGAGUAAGAAUCGGUUCAUCUCAGAGUGAUCGAUCGACGACUCUGGUCGAGAGGAAUGCAAUAUCGUCUUAUAUGCAAUUGCUAAAAGACUCAAUUGAAGUUGUAGUUGACCUUAUGAGAACUCACCCCUGAUCCUAGAUUAAUCAAUUAAGGUAUUAGUCUAACAUAUGAGGUACUAAGAAUCGAGCCAGCUCAGAGUGAUCGAUCGACGACUCUGAUUGGGAGGAACACAAUACCGUCUCAUCAUUCAAUUGCUAAAAGACUCAAUUGAAGUUGUAGUUGACCCUAUGAGAACUCACCCCUGGUCUUAGAUUAAUCAAUUAAGGUAUUAAUCUAACAUGUGAAAUCAAUUGAAAUUGUAUAAAAACAAAUAUUCAGCCUGUUGCAACAGAUGAACCAUUUGUAGUAAGUUAUCAAACAGAUUAAGUCAUUGGUUGCAAAAAAUUACUCAUCUGUUGUAAAUUAUCAAACAGAUUAAGUAAUCUAUUGCGACUGUUUUGUAGAGAAAUUUUUGACUUUGGAGAGUCGCCACUUAAUUUUGAAAAGGAAUUAAGAAACCUUUAAAGAGUUACUUAAAACGAUUCAAAAUAGGAAAAUCGGUUUAAGUUUUGAAGAUUCUGAGUAAGUGAUUCUUAUUAACGUUUUAGGAAGGUGUUAGGCACCUAAAACGUCUGCUAACUUGAGGUUAUCCGAUUUUUUUAAAACAUGUUUGAUUAAUUUCUAAAGAUUAAUUUGCCGAAAAAAUGAUUGAUUUUAGAAAUAUUUUGAAAGUUUGCAAAAAUUAGUUUUUAGCAAAUUCAUUAGGGGAUUUAACUAGGUUCGCAAAAGGCAUGCAAAACAACUAAACAAAAAUAAAAGGGAAAGUGGAGAAGUAGCGAUUUAGGCUUUGAAGCCCAAACCGCUGAACCUGUCCUAAUCUAGUUGGGUUUUCAACCCAUUUCUCCUUUCACCUGUCCUAUUCCUAUGUUUUCGAGCCCUUUGGAUCGAGUUUUUUGCUUCACCUGUAUUAAAUACAACUUUGACUUCGAGGCCCAAAAAUGAAUAGGUGAAUAAGUAAAUAAAUAAAGGGAAUAAAAACAAGACUAAUAAAUGGAGAUAAGCCUCUUCUUUCUUCCUUCAAACUUCUCGUAUUUGGACGCCACGGGAUCACUUUUGAACUUAGACCUUCGGGCUUGAUCCAAAGAGAUGGGACUCAUUGUUCCCUCAUGAAAUGCAAGAGGCAAGAGUCCAUUUGGACUCCAACAAUUUUCAUGCAAAAUAAGGAAACAUAAAGGACCUUAACACAUCAUUAACGAAGGAAAAGAAAAAAUAAAUUUAGCACACGGCCAACCAAGGGGAAAGACCUGAAUUAAAAUUAGUUAACACACCAUUUCCGUCAAAGAAAGGACAAAUUAGAUGAAAACUAUUGCGGUUUUAACCGAACAUGAUAUAAAUCUUUAAAUAAUCAUAAGCCGAUAUGAAAAAUAGUAAAACGUAUUUGCACUGAUUCAAGUUUACAAACUCAACGAAAACAGCAAAUCUAAAGCAAUUAAUACAUAUCACUGACUUGAUUGAGUGUAACAAAUUUUCCGCCAUUAGAGUCAAAUCUCCUUUUCGAUAUUUCGUUAUUUGUAAGACUAAACGGGGUGCAAAGUUUCAAAAUAUUGAUACCAAAAUUAUCACAGGGAGAGAAAACUAUAUCCUAGAAACUACACAUCACAUAAAAUUUCUCCUUAGAAGCCAAAAGAAAACACAUGGUGAUUCAACUACAUGAAAACUAUCCACUUGGGGUAUGUGAGGAACCAAUCACUAUUAGACUAGAAUUUUCAGGCACAUGAUGGUUAUCCAACAGUAUGAUGUCAAGAGCAUUUAACAUUAUACCUAAUUGACAUUGAACACUACAGAUGUUGGAACUAUACUCCUAACUAAAUAGAUUGGAGAAGUAAGACACUAGAUAUGAAUAGGAUGUCAACCCAUACGGAAAGCACAACGUUAUGCUAAAUGAAAUUCCAAGUUACAUCAUACAUAGCAUACAAAGAGUGUUCAUUCUGACUUCUAACAACGAUAAAACAAAUUGCUUGAAUAAUUUGAGCACACUAAAUUUUAGCACAUGCUAAUUCCCAACAAACAACCAUAAUGGCAAAGAAAAUCAACAUUUAUAUAUAAAAAAAAAGUUGGAAAGCAUCUGUGGAGGAAAAAUUGAGAGAUCAAAAAUAUGCUAGAGGAAUUCUAAGCCUAUUAUCGCCAUCCGUCUUUGAGAAUUAAGAAUCACAAGAUUAAAUAUGGAAUUUAUUCUCUAAUCUUAUUAGGAUAGUCGCAAUAUCUAGGAGAACCGUUUACAGUGAACAAAGCAAAAUGUGAAAUGGAAAAAAUGGAUAAAUAACUAAGUAACGAUAUCGGGGGUUUAAGAAAGAGCUUGCAAACUAAAGGAAGCAAAACAAAGUUAAAAUCGGGGAUCAAACAAUUGCAACAACAAUCAACAUAGUGUAGCAAAUCCCUAGAUACGCAAAAGGAAACUAGAAACGAAAGGCAAAAUCUUGCUAGUGUAUAUGUUUGAUUCAUACCAUGGACUCUCAGGUAAACCACCACAUCUGUUUAGGACAGUAUGUUCGACAUGGUCACAUUAAAAUUCAAGACAUGACUUUGUAUGCCAUAGCACUGAGAGAAAGACACAGGAGAAUUCCUCUUUUAGGAAGACCUAGUAGCUCAGGAUCUCUGACGCUAUCCCAUUAAUAAAGUACAGAUAAAUAAUAUAUUCCAAGUAUGAAUUUUAAAGCAUACACAUUGGAAAAAACCUUUGGCUUUGGACUUUCUGCUUUUGAUAGAUCUUUCCUCUCAAAAUAGGUUUGGAAUAGAAGGGGAAGGGGAAUAUGCCAAUGAACUUGUUGCAGGGGAAAAAGACGGGGAUGGGAAGGUUCUUUAUCAAUGAUGCGGCAUUACCGCAGUUGUAUGUACUUGCAUUUCUUUUCUGCUGUUAGCAUGCUUUGAUGGCAUAGAAACAAUAUUUGACACACACAAAACAGAAUAGAAAGAAGGGCUCUUUGAAUGACUCCGGUACUAUCUCAUCCGCUGCUCUAGCUAAUUGUCCCCCCUUUUCUAAGUGUGAUUUCUAUCUUAUGUAUGGCCGGGCCUAAGGGCAUAUCGUUUGAAGUAGAUUCUUCUUUUGAUCAAUUCCCAAACUCUUUAUCGAGCUUUGGACUUGAGCGCUACUCCAGGGAAAUGGUACAACAACAGUCACAAAACAACCCUUAAGGCUAUCACAGCCAACUACAGCAGACAGAUCCAGCCUCAUUUAAGAUACACAGAUAACUACUUUAUACGAAGAAAAAGGGAUGAAGUAGAGAAAAUGAAGCGGAAAGAGGGACGAGCGUACGUUUACCUUUUUCGGGGCAGCAAACGGGACGAUGAGCUAUCAACAAACUUAUCGCUACAUGGAAUCUCACGACGUCCACCACUAAUGGAGCGUCCCUUUGGCUUUUAACUCUUAGUGAUUUUUCAACCCCCCAGAUUUUCAAACUAAAUAUCUUUAAAUCUUAGCUUUUUCUAAAAAUAUUUUGAAACUCCCUUUGCCUGUAAAACUUCCAACUCAAAAGGGAAAGAAAAUGAGAGAAGGGAAAAACAAACUUCUUAUUUCUUUCAGCUCCACAACCCUCCUCCGAGCCUCGAUCUCCCUACAAAGAGAAGAAGACCCCCCAAAAAAAGACCAAAGAAAGAAACCCAAAAUUUCGCCAAAAGAAACCUAACCUCUUGAAUUUUCCAACCCAAAAUUCCUAGCCCCUGCCAAAAGAGAGAAGAAAGGAAUAAGCCCCCUUCAAUAGUGACCCUAGGGACCCUUUUUAUAGAAGUUCCAUUAGGGUUUCCCUAGGGAUUUCAAAUAAGGGCAAACUUCAAAUUUCACCCGAAUCCAACUUUUAAGAACCAAUGAAAUUUUUAAGAAAUCCAAAAUGGAUUAGCCAAUGCAAAACCAUACUUUUAAGAACCAAUGAAAUUUUUCCACAGGGGUACGAACUCAUACCCCUUUAACCAAGAUUCUAGGGAUUUAAAUGUUUAACGAUACCCCUAGGCAUGUUUCUAGAAGGUUUCUUGAUGUCUUCCUCGUACGAGUAUGCGUGGGACAUGCGGAGAAGGUUAAAAAUGGGUCGGGUAUGGCCAAGGGUUGGAUGAUGUUGUAUUGCCAGGUUGAUGUAGGUUGAAUAUGGGUUAACGGGUCAUUUGGAGUUGAUUAUUAGGUUUUGUAGAUGGUUUCAUCACAAUUUGGAUUUGCAUCUUUGCUAUGUUGUAUGCUGACUAUUGAAGGGUGUUGGUACAAAAAGUUGAUGUAGAAGAUAAGCAAAUGGACUGGGUAGGUAGAACUUUGGGCCUAUUGUUGAAUUGGACUUGCUAGGAAUAAAGAAAAUGGGGGUCAGUUAUGGGUCUGGUUGAGACGGGUUGGGUCAGCUGAUGUUUUUGGGUUGCACAGCUGGCCUAAAUUUGGUUAGGGAUUGCGAGAUUGUUUGUGUUAAAAUAAAAAGAUAAAUUAGAUUUUGGGCUAUUUGUUAAAUAGCCUAUGAUGGGAUUUAGCCAAUUGUGUUUAAAUUUUGGCCUAAUUGAGGAUUAGUUGGCCAAUUGUGUUGCAAUUGUAGCCAAAUCAACUUCAAUUAAAUCUAAUUUAGUAAAUUUACCGAAUUGAAUCAAGAUUUGAAACGAACUUAGCAACUAAUUUAUUCCCGAGCUUCUUUGAUUCGAUAAAAUCAAGUAAGCAUUUCUCCAAAUAAACUAUUUUUGAAGUAGAUCAUUUUCAACUCGAGAUUUUAAUUAUCAUAUUUAUUUUUAAAAAUAAUCUUUAAUUAAAAUCUGAUAUUCCAUAGAAUAAAUAUUUAAGCAAUCAAAUUAUAUAGUAUCACAUAAUUGACCAUGAUAAUAUGUAGUUGCUACUUAAAAGUGAAAAAUCGCGUACAAAUACUUUUCAAAGAAAAUUUAUUCGGAUGAAAUAAUUAUUUUUGAUUUUAUUAAAAAUCGAAGAAACUUGAGAUUAAAUUUAGUGAUGGAGGGCAAAAAUUAGGUGUCUACAACUGCCCCCUCCCUUUGGGUAGGAUGGAAGAAAGUAAUCCUAGGUAACGGGAGGUUGACGUUCCUAAUUUUUAUCUGACCAUAGAUUCGAAUCUGAAAGAAUCUAGUUUUCGCACGAGUUUUAUAUAGUCAUGGACGGACCACGGUAUUAGGUUUCCUACAUAUCUCAGGUUACAUGAGAAUUCAGGCCACUUGUAGUUCAUAAAGCUUGAUUUAAAGCACGAUUUUCAAAAAGUUCACAAGCUGUCUCGAUUUUUUGAGUUUUUAAUAAAGCUGAAAAGCUGGGGAAUAGAGGGAUUUGGGGGAAGGUUGGAAUGCAGAAGAGUUUUCUACAUAGAGCCCAGCCUACAUAUCCUUGAGACUCAGGGAAUCAGAUUGCUUGUAGUUCGACUCUAUCGGUAGAAAAGAUAGUCUUCUAUUUUCAGACAAUCUUUGGAUUUGGAUGAGUGACAAGUUGAUCGAGUUGCAGAAAAGAGGCUUGUAACCUCUAAAUCAUGAAUGUGGGAUCCUUCACCCAUAUACAAGAACUUAUCUAGACAUAAUUUCCAAAACUGUAAGUAUGUUGUCACCCGAAAGAGAAAGUUCCCCUUGAUAUGAAUUAAGAAAAUAUCCCAGAGGUAAGGUCGAGACCAGAAUAUCCAAAACUACCCACAUGCCAUCUAAUAGAGGCUUGGUUAGAUGGUUGUGGUGAUCAUCAUUUAGCUUGCAUCCAGAGUGUUUGACGUCCCUCUCUAGACUAUGUCCCGUUUUGCUGCUAAGAAAGAGUUCCACGUUAUGCUGCGUCCUUUUUGGAGUUGUCUGCACCUGUGGUUUUGAUUUGAGAUUUUCAUCCUCUCGGAUGCUCUCGACAAUAUCUCAAACAGAAAUCAUCAGUAAUAAGCCUAAUUCACGAAAGAGGUGUGUGAUAUUUUACCAUAUCUCUAUGUGAGUUGUUGUCUAAAAAGUGAAGUCAUCUCUUCUUGUACCUAUUUGGAAGAAAUAACUUACAGUAACAGACAUAACAACCUUCUUGGUUGUUGCAUAAUUAGCUCAUUUGUUGAGCGAACAUGUCUUCAAAGUGGGUGGCCCUUUUGGACAUCGGCGAUACUUUAUGCUGAAUGGUCCCUACAAUCGUCUAAUCUUAUGCUGGUGUGGCAACCCUUUUGGUUACUUAUAUCACUUGUUGUACAUAGAAAAUUAACCUCUCUAGUUAUAGCCGAUGAUUGAUUUAUAAAUUUUCCUUAAAUUGUCAAUCUUUGAAUAAUCUUGCACAUUAUUUGACAUUGGAUACAAGGCGACCUACAAAUAUCCUUUGAAUUGCUAGCUUUUAGGUAAUCCUACAUAUUAUUUGACUUUGGAUAAGAGAUGGCUUACAGAUAUCCCUCCAAUCGCUAGCUUUCAGGUGUUCCUACCCAUCAUCCGACCUUGGAUACAAUAUGACUUAUAGAUAAUCCCUCAAAUUAUUAGUCUUUGGGUAAUCCUGAACAUAAUCGAUCUUGGAUAUGACGUGGCUUUUAGAGAACCCUUGGACGUACCAAUUUGAUAAUCUUGCAUAUUCUUCGGUAAGGAUUUAGUUGUGACUUAGGAAUAACCUUUGAACUAUUGAAUUUUGGAUGAUCUUCCACACUAUCUGAUUAGGAUGUUGUUAUGGCUUACGGAUGACCUACAGGCUAUCAACUCAUAUGUGAUCUUGCACACUAUCCCGUUUUAAAUAAUAUGACUUAUAGAUGACCCUAAAAUUGUCAAAUUCCAAGAAACCUUAAAUAUCAUUCAGCCUUAGAUAACGACUUAAAGGCGCUCCUUCAAAUCGUGUGCUCUCGAUGCAUUCAGAUGCUGAUUCAUGAAAAGAUGAUAAUAUCCUCGAUGCCAACAUUAUGUCUAGAGUGUCAACAGAUAUAUUGAAUGCUGAUGAUAUCCUCGACGCCAACGUUGUGUCUAGCGCAUGAACAGAUAUUGAAUGCCUUCUAUGGUGAUGGUAUGAGAUGACCUUUGUGGCAAUGAUAUGAAAUGGCCCUUGCGGCAAUGAUAUGUGAUUGUCCUGGCAGCAAUGAUAUAUAAUGGCCUUUACGGUAAUGAUAUGUAAUGGCCUUUGCGGCAAUGAUAUACAAUGGCCCUUGCGAAAAUGAUAUGUAAUGUCCUUUGCGACAAUGAUAUGCAAUGGCCUUUGCGGCAACGAUAUGUAAUAGCCUUCGUAGUAAUGAUUUGCAAUGGCCUUCAUGGCAAUGAUAUCCAAUGGCCUUCGCGAUAAUGAUAUGUAAUGGCCUUUGCGGCAAUACUAUGCAAUUGCCUUUGCAGCAAUGAUAUGUAAUGGCCUUUGCGACAAUGAUAUGUAAUGGUCUUUGUGGAAAUGAUAUGAAAUGUCCUUUGCGGCAAUGAUAUGCAAUGGCCCUUACAACAAUGAUAUGUAAUGUCCUUUGCGGCAAUGAUAAAAUAAUUUUACCUGGCUUCAUUCGCUAGUGUCCUGCUUUCUACAUGUACCUGUACUCAAGGUAGAUGAUUAGUAGACACAAAGUCACUUUUACUAGUGACUAUUUUUAGGAAACUUCUAAAUACAAUAUUUAUAAAUAAGACAAAGAGCUUUUGCUUGUCGCCUACGAUCUCAAGAAAUGAAAUGGACAAAUCGAAAGGUCCUCAAUAAUUGGGCAUCAAACCUAUUUUUAGAGCUACCCUAAAAUAGCGUUCUUGGGUAUUAAUGCUCUAUUAUGGCUCCCACUUUGCUCAAAGAUUUUUGAAAGAGACCCUCAUUUUGUAAAUUGAACCCUGCAUCCACAGAAAAAUGAUUAGUUUGAAUGAAAUUACUCCGUGUUGACCUUCUUCGAUCCUUGAUUUGCUCCUUGCCAUCUCUUGGGCAUUCCACCAUAUCAGGACUUCCACCUUGACACCCCAUCCCAAAUGAUAUCUAGGCAAGUACUAAAUAAGUGAGUCGUAAUAUUUUUGAAAAUAGUCUUAGAUUUUUGAAAAUAAUUUUGAAAACUUCUGUAAAAUUUUAGAAAAUCUCUACCAGUCAUGUCAUGUACUAGAUCAGCAAGCAUCUUCCUCGUGGUUUUAAAUAUAUCCGAUGGAUGGUUUCCAAAACUCAUGAUCAUUGUUGGGGGGUUUCCUCAAGUAGUUCUAUCAUAGCCAAAAAUUGAGUCUACCCAGACUUUGUUACAGUUGGUGGCUUCCAAAGCUUGAAUUUAACCUCUAGUACUGGGGAAUUUGGAAUAUGUUACAACAUUUGGUGGAAAUUUUGAGGUCUUCCUCAAAAUUUCUGUCCUAGUUUAAAAUUGUUUGAGAUGACACCAAUCCGAGUGGAUCUGAAGUCUUUGCUGAUCUUCAUUCUCUUUGUUGGAUGUCGAUCUGCUCUUAUGAAUUUUUGAUAUUUCUUCUAAAAAAUUCUGCCCCAGUUUCCAUUUCCUGGGGUUAUAUGACCGAGCCAUUGGGGCACCUACGUAUCCCAUUGAAGCAGGAAUCAGGUGAAACAUAGUUCAGGACUACGCUAGAAAUUAAUGGGUUGACCGAAGCCGACAUAGGCCGCCUACAUAUCCGUUUCUUGGGAAUUCAAGUCAUCACGUAGUUCAUACAUAAGAAGGAAAUGAUGAAUCCUCCUAAGGAUUUGACCGAAGCUGACAUAGGCCGCCUACGUAUCUCAUUCUUGGGAAUUCCAGUCAAAUGUAGUUCGUACAUAAAGGAAAAGAAUUCUAGGCAGUCACACACUAGACAACAACAUUAUUACAAAAGUAAUUAUAAGUCAAUUAAGGAAAAACAAAAAUUAAACCAUCUUUUAAACAUAGUAUCUCUUUACCGCAUCAGAAUUGAUUGAUUUGGUCCAUUCUCGGCCAUCCAUCUCAGAAAAAAUCAGAGCUCCUCUAGAUAGUACCUUGCAAACUAUGUAGGGCCCUUGCCAGUUUGGAGCGAACUUGCCUUUGUAUUCCUCUUGGUGAGGGAAUAUUCAUUUGAGAACCAGUUGCCCUACUUCAAAUGUUCGAGCUCUCACCUUUUUGUUAAAGGCACGAACCAUCCUAUAUUGAUACAACUGAUCAUGGCAUACUGUGACCAUUCUCUUUUCAUCAAUCAACAUGACUUGUUCAUUGCGAGCACGAACCCAUUCUUCGUUACUCAGUCCAGCUUCCUGAAUAAUUCUUAGGGAAGGUAUUUCAACCUCUGCAGGUAUUACAGCUUUAUUCCCAUAAACAAACAAAUAAGGAGUUGCCCCGGUGGAGGUUUGAACCAUUGUACGAUAUCCUAGCAAAGCAUAAGGUAACAUCUCAUGCCACGAUCUAUCAUUCUAGACCAUCUUCCUCAAAAUCUUCUUGAUAUUUUUGUUGGCAGCUUCCACGGCUACAUUCAUUUGGGGACGAUACGCAGUCGAGUUGCGAUGCACGAUUUUGAACUGAUCCUAAAUUUUGUUCAUCAAGUGACUAUUCAAGUUUUCCCCAUUAUCCGUAAUGAUUGAUUCCUGUACUUCGAAUUGGUAGAUCAAGUUAUUCCUGACGAAAUCUGCAACCACUUUCUUAGUGACGGCUCUGUAUGAAGCAGAUUCAACCUACUUAGUAAAGUAGUUGAUGGCAACCAAAACAAAUCUAUGUCCAUUCGAUGUUGAUGGAUAUAUUGGUCUGAUAACAUCCAUGCCCCAAGCUAUGAAAGGCCAAGGUGAAUUCAUUGCAUGAAGUUCAUGUGGAGGCAUUUGAAUCAAAUCUCCGUGUAUCUGACAUUUUGGACAUUUCUGCACAUACUUUCCACAAUCAUUUUCCAUAGUCAUCCAAAAGUAACCGGUUCUCAGGAUCUUUCUAUAAAGGACAAACCCAUUCAAGUGGGGCCGACAAACUCCAGCGUGUACCUCUUUUAUCAAUUUAUUGGCUUUCGCAGCAUCGAUGCAUCUUAGGAAUCCCAAAUCAGGAGUCCUUCUAAAAAGAAUUUCCUUACUUGGAAAGUAAUUCUUCGCCAAACAUCGGAUUGUCUUCUCUUGGUUGUUACUAGCCUCCUUAGGAUAUAUUCCAGAUUCCAAAUACUUCUUAAUAUCAUAGUACCAAGGCUUUUCAUCAGGCUCCUCUUCCACGUGUACACAUGUGCGGGUUGCUCCUUCAAGCUUAUUUCCAAAGGAUCAAUGUAACUUUGAUCCGUGUGCUGAAUCAUGGAAGAUAUAGUGGCCAAAGCGUCAGCAAACUAAUUUUGUAUCUGUGGGAUAUGUCUAAAAUCAACUUCCUUGAAUCUUUCACAUAAUUCUUGCACCAGCUCCACAUAAGGAGUAAUCUUGGGAUAUUUUAUCGCCCAUUCUCCCCGUACCUGGUGAAUCAGCAAAUCUGAAUCCCUGAUGACUAACAAUUCACAAACACCCAUAUCAAGUGCCAAUUUGAGACCCAGGAUACAAGCCUCAUAUUCAUCUAUGUUAUUGGUGCAUGGGAAAUGUAACUUAGCAGUUACCGGAUAAUACUAGCCUGUUUCUAAUACCAAAACUGCUCUGAUUCCUGACCCUUUGAAGUUGAAUGCCCUAUAAAAAAUAGCCUUCAUCCGGGGUAUAUCUUUGUAAUGUCUUGGCUAGCUUUCUUGUAGGCAUGGCCUUCUGGAAUAUAUACUUUAAUGGAUCUAUUAUUGGGAUGAGGUAUGUUAUGUAGGACGACAAAUAAUGCCUCAACUUUUGUGCUACCCAAGUCAAAGCACAACAUGUCCUUUCUACAAGAGUGUAACAGGCUUCAUAUAGCGUAAACUUUUUAGUCAAGUAGUAAAUGGCUUUCUCUUUUUUGCCAGUUUCAUUAUGUUUCCCGAGGAAACAUCUGAAAGAAUUUUUUGUGACUGACAGGAAAAGCAACAAUGGAAUUCCUUCUCUUAGUGGUACCAAAAUCGGCAGUGCAGACAAAUAUUCCUUGAUGCGGUCAAAAUCUCUCUGACAUUCUUCUGUCCACUCGUUCAAUGCAUUUUUCUUCAGCAUCUUGAGAAUUGUCUUGCAUAUGACUGUCGACUGAGCGAUAAACCUACUAAUGUAAUUCAAACGACCCAUGAAACUCAUAACUUCUUUCUUGGUUCUCGGCGGUGGCAAGUCCUGAAUUGUCUUGAUUUUGAAUGGGUCUAACUCGAUGCCUUUUUUACUGACUGUGAACCCCAUCAACUUUCCUCAUGGCACACCAAAAGCACACUUAGCAGGGUUUAACUUCAAACUAUAAUUUCUUAAUCUAUUAAAGAAAUUUUCUAGAUGGGUCAGAUGAUCUGAACUCUCAUGGGAUUUGAUAAUUAUAUCAUCCACAUAAACCUCAAUCUCUUUAUGGAUCAUAUCAUGGAAAAUGGUGGUCAUAGCCCUUAUAUAUGUUGCACCCACGUUCUUGAGACCAAACAGCGUUACCCUAUAAUGAUAGGCACCCUAAGGCGUAAUAAAAGUCAUCUUUUCUGUAUCUUCCUCAUCCAUUAAUAUCUGAUGAUAGCCAGCAAAACAAUAAACAAAAGAAUGCAUUUCAUGCUUUGCACAAUUAUCAAUGAGGAUAUGAAUGUUGGGCAAUGGAAAAUUCUCUUUAGACUGGCUCUAUUCAAGUCUCUGUAGUCAACACAAAUACGAAUCUUGUCAUUCGUCUUUGGAACGGGGAUGAUGUUGGCUAACCACGUCGGAUACUUUGUGACCUCUACUACCUUAGACUGGAUUUGUUUCAUCACUUCUUCCUUAAUCUUUAGACUUAAGUCUGGCUUGAACUUCCAUAUUUUUUACUUGACUGGAUCAAACUCAGAAUUUAUCGGCAACUAAUAUAACACAAUGCUGGUACUCAACCUUCGCAUAUCAUCAUAGAACCAAGCAAACACAUCGAUGUAUUCCCACAACAGGUAGAUGAGCUCUUUUCUUUGUGGCACCGCCAGGUGGACACUGACACUUGUCCCUUUGAUUUUAUCAUGAUCUCCCAAAUUGACUGUUUCAGUUUCCUCCAGAUUGGGUUUUUCUCGAUUCUCAAAUUCCUCCAUAUCUUCAACUAAUUAUUCCUCGUCAUCGUCUUUCCAAUCAUCAUCGUUCCCUUCAUCUUGUUCGUUCAAGCUUUGACAUGACACGACAUUGGCAGAUUUUAAUCUACUAUUACUGUAAUGGACAAACAAACCAAGUUAGAUGAUAAUAAGAUAAUAACAAAAUAUAUGACUAGGAGUGUUUUAGAAAUAAUAGAAUUUUCCAAAUAAAUGAAGGCCUUUUCAUUGAAAUUUGAGAGAUAAUCACAAAACCAUGGCUCGCGACUUGGACAAAUACAAGUCCAUGCCUUUUUGAAAGCAGUGAGAUACAAAAAGAAAGUUUUGAGAUAUAAAAGGUGGAUCACAGGGCCUCCUCUGGAUCAUCACUGAUUUCAAAACUAUUAGUAAUUGUCCUUUUAUCUACCAUGACGGGCGACGGGUUAUGAGUGGAGUGGAGGUCCAAUUUUGCAAGGCCUCCCCUGGCGCCAUCUUCUUCAACCCGCUGGAUUUUGGGAAAUCUUCUGAUACAACAUUGCAUCCCUCGAACAAAUCUCGUAUCCUAUCCCCAAUACCAUCAUCAUCUGACAUCUCUCAUAUAGGAAAUGACUGGCACAAGAGUGGCAAGGGCCUAAACAAACUUUUCUCUGACUCAUCCCAACCCUACCCUUCUUGGUAGGCUGAUAUCCUAAUCCAUACUUAGAGCCUCUCUCUGGGAUUAUAAUAGGCCCGAUAAUUCCUUGUAAAUUCUUUCCCAAGCCUCGACCAGGUUCAAACCCAUUUCUUAACAUCACCGUUGCAAUCAUUUUGUAGAAAGAAGGCAUUGGUACUUUGGGCAUCGAAUCCCUGUCCACAGCAUUUACAAUUUCCACUAUAUAGAAACUACUACCUUUUGGAACAUCUUCAAUCACCGGCAUGUAACCAUUGGGAUGAUCCGCUCGACUUCCUUCUCCUUGGAUGACUACUUCAUGAUCCUCCCAAAUGAACUUCAAUAAUUAAUGAAGGGGUGAUAAAAUUGCCUUUGCACCGUGUAUCCAUGGUCUUUCCUAGAGCAAGUUGUAGCAAGGAUGGAUAUCCAUAAAAUGAAACUUAGUCUUGAACUCAGCAGGCCCCAUUUGGAUGUGCAAAUCAAUCUCUCCUAUGGUAUCUCUCUGCCAUCCAUCGAAUGCUCUCACAUUUACGUGACUUUGAUGAAUUUUCCCCAAAUCAUAGCCCAUUUAAACCAACGUGGAGAGGGAUAAAUAUUUACACCAGAUCUGUCAUCUAUUAAUACAUAAUUAAUUGCAUAAUAUCAACAAAUGAUGGUGACAUGCAUGGCUUUGUUAUGCAUCGCCCCUUCAAAUGGCAACUCUUCAUCACUGAAUGAUAUGCGAUUAUUCCCCACAAUAUUUCCUAUCAUCGCAGCCAGGUUCUUAACACUCGUCCCUGCGGGAACAUAUGCUUCAUCCAAGACCUUUGAUAAAGCCUGUCGAUGGUAUUGCGAACUCAUUAAUAGCGCUAAGACAGAGAUUUGAGUUGGUGUCUUCUCUAAAUGUUUGACAAUUGAAUAAUCUUUGGGUUACAUAUGCCUCCAAAAUUCUUCAGCCUCUCUUUCAGUUAUUGGCCUUUUCUGUGAAUCCUUUUUGUUGGUUAAUUUCUCAGGGAUGUAGCAUCGUCCCAAUCACGUCAUCCCUUGGGCAGCAACGGUCUACACAAUAAAUUCUUUCCUUGGAGGGGGAGCGUACACCUGAGUCGGUGCAGUCAUCACUAUAAAUGGGGCUUUCUCAUUGAUACUCAAGGCAUCCAUAAUCUUCUCUAUCUUUCCUACCUCUUUUGCUCUUUUGUGCUUUUUGUAGUUCACAUGGGUAAUGGUCUUUCCAGAUGCCCAUUCGCCAUCUAUUUCAAUCAUGUUAACUGUAGAUCCCCCAUGAUUGGGCAAUGGAUUACUAUUAAUAUUUGGUGUAGGCGCCCAAAGCAUGAUGACUUUUUGAUCGAUUAAAUCCUGGAUCCUAUGUUUCAGGUAGCCAUAAUCCUCUGUGCCCCGCUGCUCUUGAAUGAUAGGCAUAAUGUUGAUUUGCAUUAAAAAAUUGAGAGUUGGGAUUGACAUGCCUUGGCUGUAUUGGCUGCAAAUGACCAGCAUUCUUCAAUCUUUCAAAUAGUUAGGUGUGACUUUCAGCUAGUGGGGUGAAGUUUUGGGGAAGUUUAUUUUUGUGGUUUGGACGUUGGGGGUUUUACUGGCUUUGAUUUGUAGGAGGAGGUACUUGGUGAUAAUUUGAAGGUGCUUGGAAAUUUGUUCGGUUAUUUGGAGGAGUGGAUUGGAAAUGAGACUAAUAAUUUGGAUGUGGAAUUGGGUAUUGGGGAAAGAUAUUUGGCUGUGGAUCUUGGUAUGAGGAUUGGAGGUUUAGGAGUGGAGUUUGGUACUGAGGUUGGGCAUUUGAGAGUGGAGCUAGGUAUUGGGGGUAGGCAUAGAACACAUGAUGAAGGUUGGGUGACGACGGAGAAGAUAAAACAUUUCUAGAGUUGAACCUCUUUUUCAUUUUCACAAUAGGAUUAGCAGAAAUCACACCUACAUCUUCAUUUUUCUUCUUUGAGAAUAUGACAGUCCUAGAUGACAUCGGGGUUUUGACAAUUUUCCCUGUCCGAAUACCUUCUUCCAAUGUUUUUCCUAUUUUUACCAAAUUCGCAAAAGUUGCCCUGACAGUGGUACCAUCCUGGUAUAAUAUUCUCCUUCUUGAGCGCGAGAGAACACGAUACCAUUUCCUCCUCAGACAUGGGGGGGUUGCACAUUGGCGGCUUCUUUCCUCCAACGAAAAACAUAGUCUCAAAAACUAUCAACAUUCCUCUGUUUGAUCCGAUCUAGUGAAUAUCGGUCAGGGACUAUUUUAAUGUUGAAUGCGAACUGGUCAAGGAAACCCUUGGCCAAUGCUUUCUAACCAGUCCACUUUUUUGGCUCCGGAGACAUGAACUACUCCAAGGCUUCAUCACUCAAACUUCGACUGAAUAGGCGCAUCAAUAAUGCCUCAUUUUUCCCUAUCCCUACCAGUUGCUCAAAGUACUUUCUCAAAUGGGCCAUUGGAUUUCUGGUACCAUCAAACAUCUCAAACUUAGGGACUUUGUACCCAUCUGGUAGGUCUGCUCUCGGGUGAACACAUAAAUCAUCAUACCCUAAACCGUCGUGGUCCCUAGUUUCAUGAGACUCUUUGAUCCUCAUGAUCUCUUCCUUCAUAGCUAGUAAAUUUCUUUCAUGUUAGGUCCUCCACUCUUUCUCCUUCUCCUUGUAAUGGUCCAUCUCGAGGUUAGGAAGGGGUUCAUAAAUAUCAGGGGAUAUGAUGGCUUGAGGGGGAGUUAGAAGGGAGGUUUGAUUUUAUGGAAGAAAGGAACUUGGUUGGUAAGUGGGGAGGAUGUUUUGGAAUUUAGAAAGGUUCUGUGGACUUUGUGAGUAGUUUGGCAGAAUAUGAGAAGGAUUUUGCGGAUUUGGAAAUGAAUUUGGUGGAUUCGAAGGUAGGUUUGACGUAUUUUAUGGGUUUGAGAGUGAAUCUUGCAGAUUUGGGAAUGCAUUUUGGUAAUUUGAAAAUGUGUUUUUAGGAUUUAGGAAUGGAUUUGGACGCGGGUUCUAUGGGUUUACAGAUGGAUUUUGUGGAUGGUAGGUGUCUGGGUUGUUUUCACGAUUAGUAUUUUGGACAAAUGGAGGAGCUGAGACGGAUGAUACGUUAUUUGGCUGAUCCCCUAAAAUAGGUGUGCUGAGGAGAAGGAUUUGGAGUGGAGUCCCAUGUCCUCUUAGAGUGGGGGCAUUAACGGUGAUGGCCAAGUUAGCCAAAUCUCAAGUGCGAUUUAUUUCCUCCUGAAGCAUUUCUAACUUUCUUGCAAGUUCCACAAUCAUUUCAUUCUGUUCCACUAUCACAUUGUCCCGGAUAGUCAGUACGCUUUCUUCAUCAUUUCCUGUCAUUUUUGAAUGAUGGUCAGAGGAUGGAAUUUUGUGCGCUUUCGAUCGGGUGAAGUAGGGGUGUUCUGCUAGCUUGUAUCAACACGGAGUAAUUUCUAUUAUCUGUAAAGUAAAACAACUCAAAGGCAGAUGUGUUAGUUUCCGUAUAUGAUAAGUAAUGCAAAAUAUUUGACACGAAAUAACCACAUAGAGGUUCUUGAGUCAUAGCCAAAUUCAUCCAUAGGACAUAGUGGAUAAACUUGCCUUUGAUCCAAACAAAUGCUCAUAAGCACAUAAAACAGAUAUAUCACACAAAAUCAUUAUAAUAACGUGUAUCUUAGCUCGACUGACCCUUUUUGAGCCAAGGGUUCAGGCCUAACGAUUUUUUGAAGAAAAUAUAUGUUUCCUCGAAGUCAAUCCACUAACCCCAACUUAUAUCGACAAGAAAAAGGGCAUAAAUGCCUACAAAAGAUAACGAAAAAGGGAUACAAUCUUUAGGGAAAAAGGGAAAUAACAUGAAAGAAGAUAAGUUCUCGCGCAGGGGAAAUAGAAAAACUAGCUACUGGAGGCUCCUUCGUCUGCCUUUGCCUUUUUUGCCUUAUUUACCUCCAGUUCUAUUUGAUACCUAUUAAUGAUAAGAUGACUCCCGCAUAAUUGUGCCUUGCUGUCGUAAGUCAUUUUCCCUAUACUAUCGAGUUGAGAGGCCAUGCUAUCAUCCAAAUUGAUUAAACACUGCCUAGCAUCAUCAGCCUCUUGCCUAGAUCUUUUCAACUCUUCCCUCAACAUACAUAUUGUUAAAGCAUCUUCUACAUGCAUCUAUCGGUGCGUGAUUUCACUUUUCUGAAACUCAUCCUAAAACCUGUGGAGUCAGAUCUGAUGCUCAGAUGCUACAUCUAUGACUCGCGGAGCCGAACUUGAUGCUCGGAUUCUAUAUCCACAACCCGAGUGGGCACAUUUGGUCCUGGAAUCAAUGCUCCGGCGAGACUCUUUUUCAACCACUCCUUGUAAGUGUCGCUGACUUCAGGGUCAUGCUCUAUAUGGAAAGUCACUUUCGUCCACCUUCUUAUUCUUCUCCAUCCAUUUAUCAUGCCGUCUUUGAGUGGAGACUCACUUUCAACGUAUUUGGUGAAAAACUUACCCCCUCAAAUGGUGUAUUUCCCUGAACGAAGAUAGUUAAUGGACCAUUGCACAUCGUCAUCUCUUAAUUCCUCGAAAGUCUUAAACCAAAAUUUGUGAGAUGCUUCCCUUUUGAAUUUAUGUAGAAACAACCACAUGUCGUGCGAAGCCAGCAUAUCCACCCUUGUUUUAUGAUCAGGUUGUACCGUUCUCAAAUUCUUUACCAAAUGCUUCAUCAUCCACCAUUGUAAUAUGAGGUUGCAACCUUAAAAGAAAUGAUUUUUGACUUGAUACCUUCCCAAGGCUCGAUAUAUGUCGGCGACAAUCAUAGGAGCUAAAUUGUGGAAUACCCUGGUAGAAUCGUAAUCUACUCCAAAGAAAAGUGCAUGAGCCACUGUUACAACCUUUGGAUGAAUUGUGCCAUUUUCUCCCUGUGGGAGCACCAUGGUUUCGAGUAGACAUACCGCAAACACAAAGGCUCUAAUAUCCUUCCAUUUUGCUUCGGACUCAAAUUUAUGUCCAAAUUUGUGGAAGGAAUUAAAUUUUCCAAACCGAUGAUACAACUCCCGAAAAGUGAUAUUUGCUCCAUCACGUUCCCCUAGCAAGGUGUCGUCGUCAGUUAAAAAUGCCUUUUUUAUUGUUUGACGGUCCCACAUGGCGGGAGCCAAAAUGUUCUUAUCAGGUUUUUCCUUUAUCUUGAAACACAUUUCAAUACUCUCAUAGCAAAUUAACACUUCUUUGAUGGUAGGGGUCAAUUCCACAUCCCCGAAGUGAAACACCAUAUUCUGAUCAUCCUAAAAAGUGGUAAGCACGUGGAUCAUUUCGGGCCAAGCAUCCAUUUCGAUCAUUGAAGGCAGGAAUCCGAUGUGUGUUCUAAUAAUUUUUCUCUCCUCUAUGCUCAUACAGUCCCACCAUAGUUUCAAGUAAUCGUCGAAUUUAGCAACCAUCUUGAACUUCUCGUGGGAAUUUAAUUGAGCCAUACAUACACGAAAGCAAACAAAGAUAAGACUUCCCCCGUCCCCAAAGGGUAAUGGAUUGAAUUAGACAAGCAUAUAUUUCUUCAACACAUAAAUAUGAUUCAUCUGUAAUUGACUCGAGGUCAAUAGACGCAGGGUAGGGUUUCUAAUAGGCCCAAUACCCCACUCGGGUAUUGGGUCGUCCUAGGCUCAUGCCUAAAAUAGGAUUUUGGUUUCGCUCUAUCCUAGGUAUCUAGAGUGGGUUUGAACACUGGUUCUUAAGUGGAUAACUUGAAUUUGAAAAUACAAACAGCCAUCAGACGAAUUACGUGCUAAUAAACUGUUUGUAUUUCCAACAGAUUUUUGGAAUUGAUCGAUAGGGGUCGGGAUACCCACGAAACCCCCAAAUAGUUUAUAUAAUGCGGGAAUAUGCCAUGAAUGCAAUAGUUAAACUUUAAAGAAUCGAAACAUAUAAACACAUAAACAGUUAAUCAAAAGACGAAAUCAAACAUUUGGUUAGAACCUAGUUCAAAAAAUCCCCAGCAGAGUCGCCAUUCUGUUUUGAGCAGAAAUUUUUGACUUUUGAGAGUCGCCACUUAAUUUUGGAAAGGAAUUAAGAAACCUUUAAAGAGUUACUUAAAAUGAUUCAAAACAGGAAAAUCGGUUUAAGUUUUGAAGAUUCUGAGUAAGUGGUUCUUAUUAACGUUUUAGGAAGGUGUUAGGCCCCUAAAACAUCCGCUAACUUACAGUUAUCCGAUUUGUUUGAAAACAUCUUUGAUUAAUUUAUAGAGAUUAAUUGGCCGAAAAAAUGAUUGAUUUUAGAAAUAUUUUGAAAGUUUGCAAAAAUUAGUUUUUAGCGAAUUCAUUAGGGGAUUUAACUAGGUUCAUAAAAGGCAAGCAAAACAAAUAAUCAAAAAGAAAAGGGAAAGGGGAGAAGUAGCGAUUUAGGCUUUGAAGCCCAAACCACUGAACCUGUCCUAAUCUAGUUGGGUUUUCAACCCAUUUCUCCUUUCACCUGUCCUAUUCCUAUGUUUUCGAGCCCUUUGGCUCGAGUUUUUCGCUUCAUUUGUAUUAAAUACAACUUUGGCUUCGAGGCCCAAAAAUGAAUAGAUAAAUAAGUAAAUAAAUAAAGGGAAUAAAAAGAAGAUAAGCCUCUUCUUUCUUCCUUCAAACUUCUCGUAUUUGGACGCCAUGGGAUCACUUUUGAACUUAGACCUUCGGGCUUGAUCCAAAGAGAUGGGCCUCACUGUUCCCUCAUAAAUACAAGAGGCAAGAGUCCAUUUGGACUCCAACAAUUUUCAUACGAAAUAAGGAAACAUAAAGGACCUUAACACAUCAUUAACGAAGGAAAAGAAACAAUAAAUUUAGCACACGACCAACCAAAGGGAAAGCAAUGAAUUAAAAUUAGUUAACGCACCAUUUCCGUCAAAGAAAGGACAAAUUAGACGAAAACUAUUGCGGUUUUAACCGAACAUGAUAUGAAUCUUUAAAUAAUCAUAAGCCAAUAUGAAAAAUAGUAAGUCGUAUUUGCACUGAUUCAAGUUUACAAACUCAACGAAAACAGCAAAUCUAAAGCAAUUAAUACAUAUCACUGACUUGAUUGAGUGUAGCAGAUUUUCCGCCAUUAGAGUCAAAUCUCCUUUUCGAUAUUUUGUUAUUUGUAAGGCUAAGAGGGGUGCAAAGUUUCAAAAUAUUGAUACCAAAAUUAUCACAGGGAGAGAAAACUAUAUCCUAGAAACUACACAUCAAAUAAAAUUUCUCCUUAGAAACCAAAAGAAAACACAUGGUGAUUCAACUACAUGAAAACUAUCCACUUGGGGUAUGUGAGGAACCAAUCACUAUUAGACUAGCAUUUUCAAGUACAUGAAGGUUAUCCAACAGUAUGAUGUCAAGAGCAUUUAACAUUAUACCUAAUUGACAUUGAACACUGCAGACGUUGGAACUAUACUCCUAACUAAAUAGAUUGGAGAAGUAAGACACUAGAUAUGAAUAGGAUGUCAACCCAUCCGGAAAGCACAACGUUAUGCUAAAUGAAAUUCCAAGUUACAUCAUACAUAGCAUACUCAGAAUGUUUAUUCUGACUUCCAACAAUGAUAAAACAAAUUGUCUAACGAUUUGAGCACACUAAAUUUUAGCAUAUGCUAAUUCCCAACAAACAACCAUAAUGGCAAAGAAAAUCAACAUUUAUAAAAAAAGAAGCUGGAAAGCAUCUGUAAAGGAAAAAUUGAAAGAUAAAAAAUAUGCUAAGGAAUUCUAAGCCUAUUACCACCAUCCAUCGUUGAGAAUUAAGAAACACAAGAUUCAAUAUGGAAAAUUUUCUCUAAUCUUAUUAGGCUAGUCGCAAUAUCUAGGCGAACCGUUUACAUUGAACAAAGCAACAUGUGAAAUAGAAACAAUGGAUAAAUAACUGAGUAACGAUAUCGGGUGUUUAAGGAAGAGCUUGCAAACUGAAGGAAGCAAAACAAAGUUAAAAUCGGGGAUCAAACGAUUGCAACAACAAUCAGCCUAUUGUAGCAAAUCUCUAGAUACACAAAAGGAAACUAGAAACGAAAGGCAAAAUCUUGCUAGUGUAUAUGUUUGAUUCGUACCAUGGACUCUCAGGUAAACCACCACAUCAGUUUAGGAUAGUAUGUUCGACAUGGUCACAUUAAAAUUUGGACUUGAGCGCUGCUCCAGGGAAAUGGUACAACAACAGUCACAAAACAACCCCUAAGGCUAUCACAGCCAACUACAAUAGACAGAUCUAGCCUCAUUCAAGAUACACAGAUAACUACUUUGUAUGAAGAAAAAGGGAUGGAGCAGAGAAAAUGAAGCAGAAAGAGGGAUGACCGUGCGUUUACCUUUUUCGGGGCAGCAAACGGGAUGAUGAGCUAUCAGCAAACUUAUUGCUACAUGGAAUCUCACGACGUCAACCACCAACGGAGCGUCCCUUUGGUUCUUACCUCUUAGAGAUUUUGCAAGCCCCCAGAUUUUCAAACUAAAUAUCUUCAAAUCUUAGAUUUUUCUAAAAAUAUUUUGAAACCCCAUUUGCCCGUAAAACUUCCAACUCGAAAGGAAAAGAAAAGGAGAGAAGAGAAAAACAAACUUCUCAUUUCUUUCAGCUCCACAGCUCUUCUCUGAGCCUCGACCUCCCCACAAAGAGAAGAAGACCCCCCAAAAAAAAUACCAAAGAAAGAAACCCAAAAUUUCUCCAAAAGAAACCUAACCUCCUGAAUUUUUUAGCCUAAAAUUCCUAGCCCCUGCCAGAAAAGAGAAGAAAAGAAGAAGCCCCCUUCAAUAGUAACCCUAGGGACCCUUUUUAUUGAAGUCCCAUUAGGGUUUCCCUAGGGAUUUCAAAUAAGGGAAAACUCCAAAUUUCACCCGAAUUUGACUACCCCCAACGGUCUAUACCUCUCUUCGCUUUUUCCUCAAGAAAUCAAAAAUGUAUUAGCCAAUGGAAAACCAUCCUUCCAAGAACUAAUGAAAGUUUUCCACAGGGGUAUGACGUCAUACCCCUUUAACCGAGAUUCUAUGGAUUUAAAUGUUUAACGAGACACCUAGGCAUGUUUCUAUAAGGUUUCUUGAUAUCUUCCUCAUACGGGUAUGUGUGGGAUACGCGGAGAAGGUUACAAAUAGGUUGGGUAUGUCCAAGGGUUUAACGAUGGUAUAUUGCUAGGUCGAUGCGAGUUGAAGAUGGGUUAGCGGGUCAUUUGGAGCUGAUUAUCAAGUUUUGCAGAUGGUUUUAUCACGAUUUGGAUUUGAGUCUUUUCUAUGUUGUAUGCUGACUAUUGAAGGCUUCUGGUACAAAAAGUUGAUGUAGAAGAUAAGCAAAUGGGCUAGGUAGGUAGAACUUUGGGCCUGUUGUUGAAUUGGGCUAGCUAGGAAGAAUGAGAAUGGGGGUCAGUUAUGGGUCUGGUUGAGAAGGGUUGGUCAGCUGAUGUUGUUGGGUUGCACAGCUGGCCCAAAUUUGGUUGGGGAUUGGGAGGUUGUUUGGGUUAAAAUAAAAAGAUGAAUUAGAUUUUGGGCUAUUUGUUAAAUAGCCUAUGAUAGGAUUUAGCCAAUUGUGUUUAAAUUUUGACCUAAUUGAGGAUUAGUCGGCCAAUUGUGUUGCAAUUGUAGCCAAAUCAACUUCAAUUAAAUCUAAUUUAGUAAAUUGACCGAAUUUAAUCAAGAUUUGAAACGAACUUAGCAACUAAUUUAAUCCCGAGCUUCUUUGAUUCGAUAAAAUAAAGUAAGCAUUUCUCCAAAUAAACUAUUUUUGAAGUAGAUCAGUUUCAACUCGAGAUUUUAAUUAUCAUAUUUAUUUUCAAAAAUAACCUUUAAUUAAAAUCUGCUAUUCCAUAGAAUAAAUAUUUAAGCAAUCAAAUUAUAUAGUAUCGCAUAAUUGACCAUGAUAAUAUGUAAUUUCUACUUAAAAGUGACAAAAUCAUGUACAAAUAAUUUUCAAAGAAAAUUUAUUCGGAUGAAAUAAUUAUUUUUGAUUUUAUUAAAAAUCGAAGAAACUUGAGAUUAAAUUUAGUCAUGGAGGACAAAAAUUAGGUGUCAACAGUGACAGAUUACCCAUCUGUUGUAAAUUAUCAAAUGGUUUAUCACAUGUCGUAAUAGAUUACCUAUCUGUUAUAAAUUAUAAAAUAGGAGCUGCAAUCUGCUGUAGUUGACCCUAUGAGAACUUACCCCUGGUCCUAGAUUAAUCAAUCAAGGUAUUAGUCUAACAUAUGAGGUAGUAAGAAUCGGUUCAGCUCAGAGUGAUUGAUCGAUGACUCUAGUUGGGAGGAACGCAAUACCGUCUCAUAUGCAAUUGCCAAAAGACUCAAUUAAAGUUAUAGUUGACCUUAUGAGAACUCACCCCUGGUCCAAGAUUAUUCAAUUAAGGUAUUAUUCUAACAUAUGAGGUAAUAAGAAUCAGUUCAGCUCAGAGUGAUUGAUCAACGACUCUGGUCGGAAAGAAAUGCAAUGCCGUCUCAUUAUUCAAUUGCCAAAAGACACAAUUGAAGUUGUAGUUGACCUUAUGAGAACUCACCUCUGGUACUAGAUUAAUCAAUUAAAGUAUUAUUAUAACAUAUGAGGUAGUAAUAAUCGGUUUAGCUUAGAGUAAUCGAUCGACGACUCUGGCCGGGAGGAACACAAUACCGAGCCAUCAUUCAAUUGCCAAAAAAGUCAAUUGAAGUUGUAGUUGACCCUAUGAGAACUCACCCUUGGUCCUAGAUUACUAAAUUAAGGUAUUAGUCUAACAUGUGAAAUCAAUUGAAAUUGUAUAUAAAUAAAUGUUCAACCUAUUGCAACAAAUGUUUUUUUGUAUUGGAUUUAAUCAAACAGAUUAAGUCAUCUAUUGCAAUAUAUUACGCAUCUAUUGCGAAGGAUGACCGAGCUUUAAAAAUUUUCAAACAGAAAUUGUUAUCUGGUUCACUUAGAUGUUUUAAGACCCUUUUUAAAAGUAAUUUAGGUAUUUCCUAUCCGACAUAAAAAAAAAGUUAAAAUACUAAGGCGGUAAAAAAUACAACAACAGCAACAACAAACAACACCAAACCCAGUGUAUUCCCACCAAGUGGGGUCUGGGGAGGGUAGAAUAUACGUAGUCCAUACCGCUACCUCUGAAGAUGUAGAGAGGCUGUUUUCAAUAGACCCCCGGUUCAAGAUGAAGAAUAGGUAGCAAUGUCAUAGUAAAACAUGAAACAACAUGGGUGACAUAACCAAAAAAGAAAUAGGAAAUAGUAAAAGUAGAAAUAAGAGAGACAUGAAAAAUGUGAACAAUACGAAAAUAAGAGAUAGGAAAUAAGGAAUAAGGUGGUAAAAAAUAUUACUUGGAUAACUCAAAAAUCUACUGAGUGAGUAGUCUUAUCUGGUCUUUACAAUGUCACCGUCUCUUUGUGCCCCUCAAAAGUCAAAAGUUAUUAAUGAAUAUAUAAAACCCAUAUCUAGAAGAAUACUCUCUCCUUCAUCCAUAACAUUAGUAAGACUCAACACUCAACUCAACUCAUCUAUCACUCUUUCUUCUUUAUUCUCAAUUCUCUUUCUUUCCUAUUUGCCUUUUUUUCUCUCUUCUUUCGGAUGAGGAUCCUUUCGGAUCUCAACUGAUCAAUAUAUUAUCUCAACUGAACUAGAUGUUUUGAUCCCUUUGCUUUUUUCACAUUGCAGGUAUGGUUCAUUAUUACCCUUUCCAUUUCGUCUUCUUCUCUAUAUGUCAUUUAAAUUAGAUAUUUACAUCUGUUGCUAUUGAUGAUUUGCCUAUUACCAGUUUCCUGUUUAUUGAGAAAAUUGAAGGAACCAUUGUAUUUAUAUCUUUUGUAAAAUGCCUCAUCGGUUACAUAGAUGGGUAAUCUGUUGUAUCAAAUUGGUCAUCUGUUGAUUCACUGAAUUUUAUGUUACCUUUUUGUACAGACGGAACAACUAUUUGAAGAAAUCAAAUUAGUAGCAAGGAUGGUUUGAUUUAUUCCAACAAAUGACCCAUCUAUUGUAACAUGUCAUCCAUCUGUUGCAACAUAUGCCUCAUCGAUUGAGCAGAUGGGAAAUCUAUUAAUUCGCUCAAUUUUGUGUCACCCUUUUGUAAUGUUCUUUUUCUUAUUCUUUUGUUUGACAUCAAAUGCAUUUCUCUUGUUUGUAGAUAAAAGGAAGUGAAACUGGAUCCAUUUUUUCCCCGACCAGCAUUAAAGUCUAGAGUAAAGAUGGGUUUAGAGGAAUAAGCUACUUGUAGAUGGAACCACAUCAUAUAUGGGAGGUAUAUAUUAUUGAUCAACCUAUCGUGAAAAGACACAUCCAGUAUAAUGAUUUUGUGAAUGUUUGUUUUUUACCUAUUAGGCGUUAAUUCUUCAAACAAGAUAUGGCAUAUUGCAGUUAAGAUUGUUAGGUUCGAACUGGUAAGGCUGAGGGACCAAGUAGGUGGUGUCGAUACCCUAUUAUAAUUUAAUGACCAUUUAUGCUCAUGUUUUUGUGUCAAGUUUGGGGAAGGGUUCAAUUUUUUGGUGGAAGUGUAAAUAUCCAAUAGUGAUUGGACCGAUUUUAAUGGAUCAAUGGACUUCUUGAAAGGCCUCCAAAGCCUUGCACUGCAGCAAAUACCGAUGGAACCAAUAGAAAUUUCUCUGGUCCAAAUUUAUAUGGAUGGGUUGCUGGAGGAGACUAUUAUACAGCAGUAGGUGCUUAGGAAAAUACCUGUAUGGGAAGGGGGAGGUUGAGAAGGCGAUAUAUCAUCUCAGACCUUGUUCAAGAGGAAACAUAGGGUAGGAAGGAAAGUGUAGUGAAAUUGGCUGAUAAAAUUGACAUGAAAAAUGAAAAAACUGGAUGAGCUGCGAAUGUGAAAGCGUAUCCAAAAAUGAAAAUCCAUCAUUCGUUGAAGUAAAAUAAGAAUGGUCAAGAGGAUUGGAGCUAUUUACUUUACUAUAGACUGCAAUUAGCGAGCGUAACCUCAAUGAAGACCCACAAAAUAUAGGACCAAAACUCUAAGGAAGCAUCUUUGCGAGCAUGGAAGGUGGUAAGAUUGUCGGUUAGAAUUAAAACCUGAACCAACUACUCCUAAAUUAAAAAUACAGGAUCAAGCCAAUGUGGCAAUUUCUCAAGUUAAACUUGCAUCCCAUGCCUCUUAUUUAUGGCUCUGUUCAGGUCAAAGGUAGUAGAAACUACAAGGUAUGGGAUUUCUGCCAAACUUCAGACUUUUUUAUUUACUACCAUCAACUUGAUCAUAGCCAUAAACAGAAGGCAUGGAAUGCAAGUUUAACUUGAUAAAUUGCCACCUUGCAUUGAUCCCGUAUUUUUAAUUUAGGAGUAUUUGGUUCAGGUUUCAAUUCUGACCGAUAAUCGUAUCAAUUUCCUGUGCUCACAAAACUUCUUCCUUAGAGUUUGGGUCCUGCACUUUAUGAGAGUCUUCAUUGAGGCCACGCUCGCUAGUUCCAUUCUCUAGCAAAGUGUCCAGCUCCAGUCCUGUUGACCAUUCUACUUUUUUUUUCAUCGACUGAUGGAUUUUUAUAUUUGGAUAUACUUCCACAUUUGAAGCUCAUUCAGUUUUUAUGUUUCCCAUGUCAAUUUCAUUGGUCAAAUUCACUAGAAUUUCCUUGCUUGCUCCCCCAACAUAUGAUCUAUCUGUCGCAACAGAUAAUCCAUAUGUUACAAAAGAUUAUAAAUUUGUUGCGACAGACCAAACGUUAUUUAUUCAUCUACACGCAUGUGAUGAGUAUUAAAAAAGAGGUGAAGAGUCAUGAAUUUUUAUCUAACACAUUCAAAACAGCUAAUGAACCAAAUUCUCCAUCUAUUGCAACUGAUGAAUCAACUGUUAGAAGACAUCAAAACAUCUCCUCCAACAUAUGAUCCAUCCGUCACAACAGAUAAUCUAUAUGUUGCAACAUAUAGUAAAUCUGUUGCAACAGACCAGACCGAGUUUAUGCAUCUGCACGCAUGUGAUGACUAUUAAAAAAGAGAUAGUGGUGACUUUUUAUCUAACACAUUCAAAAUAGUUGAUGAAUCAAAUUCUCUAUCUGUUGCAACUAAUGAAUCAACUGUUAGAAGAAAUCAAAAUAUCCCCAACAUGUGGUAUGUUUGUCGCAAUAGAUAAUUUAUAUGUUGCAGCAGAUGGUAAAUCUAUUGCGGUAGAUGGACGAUCUGUUACAACAGCUCAAUAAUAAUAGUUGUUAUCAAGUCUCCAAACCAUUUUAAAAAGGUGAGAAGUAUUAAUGUAAAUGAAAAAGUCACAACUUUUCACAGAAAACAAAAUGCCAUCAGUUUGAAUGUAAUUAAUACAAUGGAGCUUAACAGACAUGCCUUUUGUCCCUACACAUCCAGAUUCAAUCCUCUAUAAAUAGGUCCCUCCUUAAUCUUCAUUCUACUAAACUUUAUUUAUUUUCUUGCAUUUUUUCUUUUCGUGUGACAUCUUCAACAACUUCUCUUCAAAGAGCAUAUUCUUUUAUCGUUGAGGUAAGUUUUUUUAUGGUGUUAAUCUACCAGUUUGUAGUAUACGUUGUAUUACAUUGGACUCUUUUCUUUGUAUUUGUCAAUUCAUGCCUGUUCUAAAUAUGGCUAAUCCUAUUUGGGACAUUUCUAUUCUGCACGACACAAUGUGGGAAGUUGAGAGGCAGGUUAAUGACCUGCAGAGGGAGUUGGUUGCCGUGAGAGCGACGAUGUUCAGAGAGAUACAGAGGCUGAUGAGGGCCUUGCUGCUUGAUGUGUGAGCAGAUGCUAACACAUUUGAGGCUUUUAACUAAGAAUAAUUGCAAAGUCUUAAGCAACUUUUGUAAUUUUUAAUUGUUUUAUGUUUGAUUUUACAGUAUAAGCUGAUAUGAUAAAGAACCAACAAUAAUGGAAGCAAAAAGGCUGAAAUCUAAAGCAAUUAAAAGACAAGUGCAGUUGACGACAUUCAUGAUAGGUCAUCAUCCCGGUGAUAGGCUAUCAAGGCCAUCAUCAGCCUUAAAUAGGGAAUGAGUUCCAGAUGGUAGAAUUGAUGACAUUUUGUGAUAGGCUAUCAUAAUAGUGAUAAGUCAUCUGGAAUACUGUCAGACUUAGGCAGGACAUGAGAAUUGGAGCAAAAGUGUGACGAUAUUUCUGAUAAGUCAUCACAGUCCUGAUAAGCCGUCAGAAGUUACCGUCAACCUAAGACAGGACUAGUACAAAUUUGAAGAAGACCUGAUGACAUUCUUGAUAAGUCGUUAGGAUCCUGAUAAGGCAUCACCAAUAGUCAUCGUCUAUUCCGAGAAAAUGUUGUAACCUUGAUUUUGUUUCCUUAUUUAGGGUAAACUAUUUAAAGCUUUGCUUUAGGGUUUUCUAGGAAGGAUCAUUAUUAUGAUUAUUAUUCCUCACAAGGUCGACACUUUGAUUUUUGGACAACAUAUUUUGAUAUUUCCUCUCUUUACUUCUUGACUUUAACAACACAACUAUUUUUGAGAGAUUAUUAUCAGUACUUUAAGAUUUUUCCGUUGUGAUCUAAACUGUGAUUCACUAGUUAUUAUUCAUCUCUGUAAGUUUAUCUUUCAAAUAAUUAAUUCAAUUAUGUGUUUCAUUCGUUAUAUCAUGAGUGGCUAAACUCCAUUAACCUGAGUUAUGGGAUCUAGGGUUAGGUCUUGAUGAGGUGAUAAGUAUUCCAGAUUUAAAAAGUGGUAGGAUUUCUUGAUAAUUCUGAAGUUUUAAUUAACGUCUGUUGGUUGCAAAUAGUAAACACACCUUCUUUGAUUUUCUUGAAAAGAAAUCAAAUAUAGUAGAAAGUGAAUUAUUAACAGGGACUCGAAAAUACUUCGUUUAAUAAUCAGCAUUGUAACAAGGUUGGUUAACCUGAGAUAAAAUCUGAGCUGUAAAUAGAAUUCCCUAAGUCCGAGAGGAUUAGGGAAUUAAACGCUUAAGUAGGUCGAGAGACAUUUAAGCAUAACAUCGAUAAAGAUAGCUUGUUAUCCUAUCCACCGUGAGAAUCUUGAAUCACCUUUAACAGCUGUCAUGUACCGGAAGCCCUAGUAAAUAUAAUUCUUGUUAUUUCAUGAACUCUUGAUUUACAAACACCGAAAGUAAAGUGACAAACAACAACUUGUUAAACCUAAACCCCCGAUUUCAGGAAACAUUAAACUACCAGUGGAUUAAAUUGCAAACAACUUGAGUUCACACUAUAUUCCCAGUGGGAUUCGACCCCAACCUAGUUGGGUUUUAUAUUGAUAAUGAUCAUUUACACCCAUUCAAGAGUGUAAUUUAAGCGUUAUCAAAAACGGCGCCGUUACCAGGGAAUACGGUUGUAAGCUGAAGUUUGUAUGCGCUAAUUGACUGUUAGUUAAGUUUCCUAGAUUUAUGUUUAUUUGUUGUUUUUGUUUAUUUGCAGGAUUUUAUAGUGUAUGCCAAGCACCAAAAGUUCUGAAGAAACAUUAUUACCACUAAAUCUAGAACCGAAAUGAAUAUGAAGAAUGGUAGAACAAUAAGAGGAUGAUAGGCUGGCAGCCUUAGCUAGAGCUCAGGUGAAUAUGCAAAAUGUCAAGCAACAUGCAUGAUAUCCAAACCCUGAGGACGAAGAUUUGGAGGACAAGGAGUUAUUGAAACCUGGUAACCCAAGGAGCAGAUAGCUGCACAAGUGCCACGUAAUGUUAACCAAAACCUUCCAUUCCAAAGAAGACAACAGUACCAGCCGGUCCAGUAUGAUCUGAAUAAUGAUGAUGAUGGCAUGGACGGGGCAGGUGCAACGGGUGAAAUUAUUCCUCCACCAUUGGCACCUGGAGCUAAGUUUAACAUUACAAGUACUAUGAUCCAACUUCUCAAUCUGAAGGGUUUGUUUGGUGGCCUUCCUGGGGAUGAUCCGAACCUAUAUCUGGUGAAUUUUAUCACCAUUUGCAAAUCUUUUGAUAACCCAGGAGUGGGCCAGAACGCUAUCCGAUUGAGAUUGUUCCCUUUGUCUCUAUCUGGGGAGGCAACAUAGUGGCUGAAUGAGCUUAUGCCUGAUUUCAUCACCCACUGGAGGCAAUUAAAAGAAGCGUUCCUAGAAUGGUUUUUCCAUCCUUUAGGAGGGUAUAGUUGAGGGAUGAAAUCAUCAAUUUUAGACAGCUUCCUACUGAAGGUUUGCAUGAGACUUGGGAGAGAUUCAAGAAGAAGCUAACACAGUGUUCGAAUUAUAAUAUGACGAACCUACACUUGAUGGAAACUUUAUACAGGGCCCUCAACUCUGUAACAAAGCCAAUUGUAAACAAUGUUGGUGGUGGUUCAUUUGUUGAUCUAUCUUUUCAAGAUGCCUCAAAUAUGCUAAAUAGGAUGACCAAACAGAGUUGGGCUUGGCAUACCAGGGAGUCUAUGGUAGCAAGCCCCACUAUUUUUGUUGGUAUGUCUAUUGAACAAUAUAGGAGAGAUAAGGAAUAGGAUCAAGACAUGGCCCAUCUAAAGACUCAGAUGGACUUGCUCACCUAGUACUUAUUGUUAGGGAAUACUGAGAAAGUGAAAGUUGUAAUGUCUCAAGACCAAGUGGAUGUAAAGCCUAAAAAAAAAGGAAAAUUAUGUUAAUUAUCAAGGGAUUUUUGAGGCAAUAGCCAAGGGAAUUAAGGUCAGAACAUUCAUGAAAAGACUGGUAACAAAGAUAGGGAGCAAGGAAACUGAAGAAUCAAUAAUGAAAGGAGUGGUUUAUAUGUUCCUCUGGGAAAUCGGGAAGCUACUGCAACUAGCUCUGGAAAGAUGUACAUAGAGGACAUGAUGGAGAAACUGUUGAAGGGAGUUGAGGCCACCAACUCUGGUGUAACCACCAUGAAGACUGAUCUGACAUCCAUCAGUCAGUUGGUGCACUCACACUCCACUGCCAUCAAACAUUUGGAGCAGCAGAUAAGCCAAAUUUCCACUGCAUUCAACCAGAUAAAGAGAAAAAUGUUACCAAGCAAUACGGUUCAGAAUCCGUGGAAUGAUGGCUCAUGUAUGGCAAUUACCACUAGGAGUGGUAAGAUAUUACCUGUACCUUCUAUGAGAAAAUCUGUAGGUGGUGAGUUAGUUAUUGAUAAAUCCAAAGAAAGCAAUCCAAUAGAGUCUGAGAAGCUGGAUAGUUCUGUUAAAGCUUCGGAGAAGGAAAAGGAAGUGGUGUUGAAAAUUAUCCCAAGAUCACCACCUCCCUUUCCUCAAUGAUUGAAGAAGAAGGUUGAUGAUGCAAAAUUCAAAAAAAUCCUGGCAAUGCUUAAGAAUUGAUAAUAAAUGUGCCUUUGGUUGAGGCACUUGAUCAAAUGCCAGGAUAUGCAAAGUUUAUGGAAGACCUUGUGACCAAGAAACGGAAGGUUAGCCAUGAGCUGGAGGACAAUAUUCUCCAUUGUGGCACCAUCUCUACAAGGUCUUUAGUGCAGAAAAAGGUAGACCCGGGAGCGUUUACCAUUUCAUGUACUAUUGGUUCCAUGAAAUUCACCAAAACAUUUUGCGAUCUGGGAUCCAGUAUAAACCUAAUUCCAUUUUCUGUGUACAAGAAACUAGGUUUGGGGAAUCCCACCAUAACAAAUAUGCGGUUGGUGAUGGAAGAUAGGUCUGUGAAGUAGCCUGUGGGCAUAUUACACGAUGUUUUAGUAAAGGUAGCCGAUUUUAUUCUGCCUGCUGAUUUUGUAGUCCUAGAUUGCGAGGUAGACUUUGAAGUGCCCAUCAUCUUAGGUAGACCUCUCCUUGCAACUGGGAGAGUGGUCGUAGACAUGGAGCUGAAUGAGCUAAAGUUUAGGCUAAAUGAUAAAAAAGCACGCUUCGAGAUACACUUAUCCAUGACUCAGAAAAAAGAGGUGGGUGUUUCUCAAUCAUUGAUAUAUUCUAUAAAGAUGAUAAAGAGGUAUCAACAGGUUGUCUUGGUGAAGUCUGAGUAGUCAAGCUAACCUAGUCGUGCCGCGACAGUAAAUCAGGCGCUAUUGGGAGGCAACCCAAAAUUUAUAUUCUAGUAAAGUAUUUAUUUUAGUAGUUAGGAUUUAGUUUACUGAAGGUGGAAAACUGAUGAAAUCAGUAGAAAAGGUCCUGACGGCAUUUAUGAUAAGCCAUCAAAACUGUGAUAAGCUAUCAGAAUUGUCGCCAGAGAGGCCAAUUUUGAAUUGAAGUUCUGUAAAGGCUGACGACAUCCAUGAUAGGUUGUCACACCUGUGAUAAGCCGUCAUAAGAUGUCGUCAGAAAGUAACUUAACAACCAAAUCUGGGCCAAUUAUAAAGAUCUGACCCGUGUGUGGGUUUGUAAUUAAAAUCAAGAAUUUCUUCCUACUUCCUCUUGUGCGUGUAAUCACAUUGAAGGCUCCUAUCAGGUAUACUCUAAAUUUGACUUUUCUUUUCAAGUGGUAAGGGAUAGAUUGAUGACAACCCAUUUUCCCAAGAGACUUGAACCAAGAUCAAUUGGAAAAGGGGCUGAAAUUUGGAACUAGGGUUUGCUGUGCAAGCCUAAGGCUUAAAAUUUAGCUCACAAAUCAGAACUCGAGUGGAUUUUGAGAAAUAAUGGGACCAAAAAUUGAGUUAAAAUCAAAAGUGGGGUUCUGAUAAGAGAUGACUACAUUUAUGAUAAUCUAUCACAGCUAUGAUGGCUUAUCAGAAAUGUCGUUAGAGGUAACUAAGAAUGAAGUAAGUUCUGUUUAGAGCUAACAACAUUUGUGAUAGGCUAUCACAUUUGUGACGGCUUAUCAGGAAUAUCAUCAGAAGUUGAUAAAUUUUUGCAGGUUAUAUCUAAGGCUAGCGAAAAUUGUGAUAAACUAUCACAGUCGUGAUGGCUUAUCAAGAAAUGUCGUCACAUCUGGAACCUUAAGCAUGAAUGAGCCUUUUCAAAGGAUGUGAAGCUUAAAUGAUUAAUGUGUUUGUGUUUAGGCUCUUGAGGACUGACUAAUGGUUUUUCUAUUGCUACAGGAACCUUAUAAUGGAACCCAAAGAAAAGAUCCCCAUGCUUACAAAAAAGGAACAAUAGAAAAGUGUACGUCGGAAACUCAUCGAUGAGGAGUCUGAUUAUGAAGAGAAAGAACUUAUGCAUAGGAAGUGAAAGAAGAAGCAAAGCCCUAACCAGCCUCCACCACCCCCACCAGUUGAGGUGAAGGAUACUAAGGACACUGAAAUAAUAACUACUUCUGAGUAGGAGGCAUCUGAAUAUUCUGAACAUGAGCAGCAUGAGUUUGAACAUGCUGAAACUGAAGAAGAAGAACAUGAAGGUUCUGAGGAUCUUGAGUCUAAGGGAACAACAUCUGAAUCCCCUUUCACUGAAUAACAGGAUGAUGAGGAGUCUCCAAUUUAGGGAACACUUACCAAAUAUAAGAAUCCCAAAGUUCGAGACAAUGCUAUAUGGAAAAUUCCCAAGGCAGAGGGCAUUUUCACUGCUGGGCUCCACAGAAUUGAUAGAAGAAGGACUAAAAGGCCGAUUCAAGAAAAAAAGAGGAUUAUCACCAAAGUUUUGUGUAGGUAUCCUGAAGUAGAAUAGAAGCUCCAAGAGUACAGCUUAGGAUGGACUAUUAUAGGGGGAAGCUCAUUUUUCCCUGCACUGGUCUGAGAGUUUUACACGAACUACCAGGCUUAGUUGGAAAACAUAUGUAGGUCAGGAGAAAAAGUUGCAGACUACCCCCUAUUGGAGAGAGUUCAGGUAUGGGGCGUAAGGGUUGAUAUCUCAAUUAGAACCAUCAAUAGGUUCUUGCAUGGCCCCAACUUCACUCCUUAGGCCACUUCACCAUCAGUCAAUGCUCGGAUUAAGAAUCGUGAAAAUCAACAUCCAUGGUUGGCCAACAUCAUAAUCGAAGGGGAACCAACAUGAGUGACCAACCCAAAUAAGAGAAUCUACAAGUACUCUUUGACUCAACAGGCAAAGUUUUAGUGGGGUGUAGUGCAUAUCUGGCUGAUGCCCACUAAUGGAGACAACAUUCUAGGUGACGACCGAGCUAUCCUAUUAGCAAGCAUGGUGCAAAAGCUCCCCCUUGAUUUCAGGGAAAUCAUUACUGAUGAGAUAAAGAUUAGAAUGUCAAGAACCGACACUGCUUAUCUUUUCCCUUGUCUUAUCACAGAGUUAUACCGAGCUACUAAUGUACCAAAGAUUGCAGGGGUUAAUGAUGACAUUCCUACCCGAAAGACCCACAAUCCCAUAUGGUAUGAUGAAAAUCAGCCAAGACUGAGACUUGAUAGAGGUGUAGAGGUAGCAGAAAACCCUCUAUUUACAGAUUUUGGUUCAACACCUAAUAUGGAAGUGCAAGAUUCUGAGACUGCGCAGCCAAUUUUUUCAGCACAAGUAAGUUCAGUUCUUGAGAAUGAACCCAAUCCCUCAGUUUCUACAACAUCAGGAGGAUUUGUAUUUCAUCCGAUCGAUAUAAAAAAAGUGGCCAAACAAGCCAAAUAGUGUGAGGCACAACUACAUGCUUUUGCCAAACAGUUUGCCACUACAGUAGAUAAGAGAAUCAAGGCUGCCCUUGAGUCUUUUGUGACUUUACCUAGACGGGUUACAGAUUUGGAGAACCGAUUUGAUGCAUGGGCAAAAGAAAUAUUAGGGGUUGAUCUUUCUAAAUUCAGAGCGGCCUUGAAUAAGGUAAAGGCAGAUGUUGGGGUGUUACAGCAACACCGAUUUAUGAUGCCGACAUAUCCGGCUAUGCAUAAAUCUGAGGAAGAAAUUCCAAUGGUUGACCUCACUGGAAAUUCACCAAAGAAAAAGAAGAAAAAGAAGAAGAAGAAGGGGGAGCAGAAGGGCAAAUAUAAGAGAGAAGAUCCUGAUAGUGAGGAAGAAAGAAGAGAGAAAAAAAAGAAAAAAGGGAAGGCCGAAAAAGAGGAGUUGAAGAAAGCAAGAAUAGAGUCCCUAGCGAACAAUGAGAGAUGGGAAGAGUCUUUGAAAUCCAGGGCUGCAGGUGCCUCAUCUAGCAGACCCCCUACCUCUGCAAGGCCAAAAGCUCCUGAUGGAGAGAAGGUAGUAGAUGAUGCAGCAACUGGGUCAGAAACCUAUGAACCCCGGGAUUGAUCCAUUCCAGGUAUACUCUAACCCUUAGUUUAUCUUUAUUUUCAAUUUUAAGUUGAGGGUGUAGGGUAGGAUGUUGUUGUAACAAUUUUUGGUAGAUAAUUAGGAGUAAUACAGGUACUUGAGAUAGUUAGCUUGUUUUGUGACUUUUAAGCACAUCUCAAUUGAUCUGAGUUUAUAACUGUGUGAAUUGCAUUCAUCUGUGACUGCGGUGUAUCUUUUUGUGGCAUUAGUCUGGCGAAUUAACAAUUUUUUCUAAACAAAUUGCAUGAAUCGGAUAAGUAGUGAUAUGCAAUGUACUUGUGUCCCAUGUGUGUGUGAGGUCUUACUCAGCUCCUGCUGUGUGCCAAAUCUAGAACUUGCCCUGUUAGUCCUGCCUAGGUUAUUGGAUAGGGGUUAGGAAAGGAUCAUAGGCCAUUUUUUAUUGUAACCCACUUUCAGGCUAAAUGACCUUCCCAAUGUGAAUAUAUUCUUUGAUCCCUGAUUUGAGCCUAUAUGCCUGUUUCUUUCUGUGAAACCUCUUACCUUCCUAUUUACCUCACAAUGAACCUAUUUUAGCCCUGGUCCUCCUUGGAAUUUGUGCACCUUGACUUAGGCAAACAACCUACGUUGAGGGUGGCUAUUAUAGGGGUUCGUGAUGCAAAAUGAGCAUAAAGAGAGGGAGAAUAAGAGAAAAGAAUAAAAAGUUGGGUGCAGUGAAAAAAGGAAUAAGAAAAGAGAAAGCUGUGUUAAAGAUGAUAAAAAAGAUAAUAUGAUGAUUGAAAACACCGCAUCCAUCUUGAGCAUGUGUGAUCAACAAAAUAAGAGGAAGAAAAGAAGGCUGAGAAGUGAAACCCUAAGAGUUUAGUAUAGUGUCAAGGAGGCAUAGUCACUCUAAAAUAUCCAUGAACCAACCCCUAGCCUACAUUACAAACCUAAUAAAAUCCCUAAAGUGAUCUUAAAUGACCUACCUAAAGAUUUGGGUACUGACUAUAAGGGAAAACUUAUGGCAUUUGACAUACAGUGUUUGGAACUUCAUUCUGAGAGUGAGACUUGUGAUUACCGCUAUGUUUAUGUAUGUGAAUUCUGAUAUGAGUGAAAAAGAGAUUUCUUUGUUGUGGGGGCACAUUGGGUAUGUUGCUAAGUCACUAACUUGUUCAGAUAGUGUGAUCUUGGUAUGGCAUGAUUGUUAUUGCUGAAUUUUUGCCGUAUCUUGAUGCUUGUGAGUUGCAUGGUUGUUCUUCAAAACAUCUAUAGUGAGUUUUAAAUUGACUGACCUUGGAGAUGGUGAAAUUAUUCUGAACUAAUAGGAGUAGUUAGCUGGCAAAUUGUACUUUGUAUUCUCUUAGUUAUGUUUUGGUUUCUUGAGGACAAGCAAUUGUUUUAAGUUGAGGGUGUUGAUGUGUGAGCAGAUGCUAACCUAUUUGAGGCUUUUAACUAAGAAUAAUUGCAAAGUCUUAAGUAACUUUUGUCAUUUUUCAUUGUUUUAUGUUUGAUUUUGCAGUUUAAGCUGAUAUGAUAGAAACCAACAAUAAUGGAAGCAAAAAGGCUGAAAUUUGAAGCAAUUAAAAGACAAGUGCAGCUGAUGACAUUCAUGAUAGGUCGUCAGCCCGAUCAUAGGCUAUCAAGGCCAUCAUUAGGCUUAAACUGGGAAUGACUUACAGCUGGUAGAAUCGACGACAUUUUGUGAUAGGCCAUCAUAAUGGNNNNNNNNNNNAUGCCAUCAGACUUAGGCAGGACAUGAGAAUUGGAGCAAAAGUGUAACGACAUUUCUGAUAAGUCGUCACAGUCCUGAUAAGCCGUCAGAAGUUGUCGUCAACCUAAGACAGGACUAGUGCAGAUUUGAAGAAGACUUGACGACAUUCUUGAUAAGUCAUCAGGAUCCUAAUAAGGCAUCACCAAUAGUCGUUGUCUAUUCUGAGAAAAAGCUGUAACCUUGAUUUUGUUUUCUUAUUUAGGGUAAACUAUUUAAAGCUUUGUUUUAGGGUUUUCUAGGGAGGAUCACUAUUAUGAUUAUUAUUCUGCACAAGGUCGACACCUUGAGUUUUGGACAACAUAUUUUGAUAUUUUCUCUCUUUACUUCUUGACUUUAACAACACAACUAUUUUUGAGAGAUUAUUAUCAGUAUUUUGGGAUUUUUCCUUUGUGAUCUAAUCUGCGAUUCACUAGUUAUUAUUCAUCUGUGUAAGUUUAUAUUUCAAAUCAUGAAUUCAAUUAUUUAUUUCGUUCGUUACAUCAUAAGUGGCUAAACUCCAUUAACCUGAGUUAUGGGAUCUAGGGUUAGGUCUUGAUGAGAUGCUAAGUAUUCAAGAUUCAAAAGGUGGCAGGAUUUCUGAUAAUUCUGAAGUUUUAAUUAACGUCUAUUGGUUGCAAACAGUAGACACACCUACUUUGAUUUUCUUGAGAAAGAAAUCAAAUAUAGUAGGAAGUGAAUUAUCAACAGGGACUCGAAAAUAAUUCAUUUAAUAAUCAGCGUUGUAACAAGGUUGGUUAACCUGAGUUAAAAUCUGGGCAGUAAAUAGAAAUUCCCUAGGUCCGAGAGGAUUAGGAAAUUAAAUGCUUAAGUAGGUAGAGAGACAUUUAAGCAUAACAUCGAUAAAGAGAGCUUGUUAUCAUACCCACCGUGAGAAUCUUGAAUCACUUUUAGCAUCUGUCAUGUACCGGAAGCCCUAGUGAACAUAAUUCUGUUUAUUUCAUGAACUCUUGAUUUACAAACACCAAAAGUAAAGUGACAAACAACAACUUGUUAAACCUAAACCCUCUAUUUCAGGAAAUACUAAACUAUCAGUGGAUCAAAUCACAAACAACUUGAGUUCACACCAUAUUUCCUGUGGGAUUUGACCCCAACCUAGUUGGAUUUUAUAUUGACAACGAUCGCUUACACCUAUUCAAGAGUGUAAUUUGAGCGUUAUCACUGCUGCGAGUUGAUUGACCGACUGUCAUUAAUGACGAUGAUGAUAAUAAUAAUAAUAAUAAUAAUAAUUAGAAUGUGUUUUUUCUUUUAGUGUAUGUAUUUUAAUUUUUCUAUAUCGGAUCUAUACCUAAUGUAUUUUAUUUUUCGUUUAAUAAAAAAUUUAUUUUUAGUCGACUUUGGAUAUUUUGGAUCUUGAGUUCUUUCAACAGAUGGACCAUGUAUUGGAACAGAUUGGUCAUCGGUUGAUAGUUGGAGGUAAAGAGCAAUUUUGAAUCCAGUAGCAAUAGCAAUUUUGGCUUUUGAGUUCUUUCAAUAGAUGGACCAUAUGUUGAAAUAGAUUGGUCAUCGGUUGGGUUUCUGUCAACAGAUUAUCCAUCUGUUAUGACAGAUUUAUCAUCUGUUAGAGGAAAAUAUUCCAGUUUUAUGGAACUAUGUUGUGUUCUUCCAGCUAAUGUCCAUCUGUUGCCACAGAUAGGUAAUCUGUUGUUCUAUAUCGGAUCUAUACCUAAUGUAUUUUAUUUUUCGUUUAAUAAAAAAUUUAUUUUUAGUCGACUUUGGCUUUUAAUCCUUAUUCAAUUUUCAUUCUGUCUAUUUCUUCUUCUAAAUAUUUUAUAUGUUAACAUGUUGAUAGUUGGAGGUAAAGAGCAAUUUUGAAUCCAGUAGCAAUAGCAAUUUUGGCUUUUGAGUUCUUUCAAUAGAUGGACCAUAUGUUGAAAUAGAUUGGUCAUCGGUUGGGUUUCUGUCAACAGAUUAUCCAUCUGUUAUGACAGAUUUAUCAUCUGUUAGAGGAAAAUAUUCCAGUUUUAUGGAACUAUGUUGUGUUCUUCCAGCUAAUGUCCAUCUGUUGCCACAGAUAGGUAAUCUGUUGAAAAUACUUGUGGUCUGUUGUAUUGUUUAGUUCAUGUUUUGCCUCUUUUUAUUGAUGCACAAAUUAUUAAAAAAGAUAUCUUAUAUAUAUAUAAUAAAUGAAUAUUAAGUUCACAAAAAUGAUUUAAAUAUAUAAAAGUGCACCACAAACAACAACACAAGUUUUUGCAAUUACAACAAUCAUGGUGAAUUACGAUUCGGGCAUGUAGUUCUUUUGUGGCCAGCGCUCUUACAUACGGAGCACUUGUUUCUUCUUGAUGAAAAUGAUUCUCCAACUCCACGCCUUCUCUUAUAUAGGUUUCUUCCUAGUUUGAUAGUGCUUGAGUCAAUAUAUUGGAGGAGGUAUUAAUCUCCCCAUAAGCUCUGCAAGAACAACCCAAGAUUCUUCGGGAGACACCAGAGUAAUAUGUCCUUUCAUAUUUUGCCAUCGAAUAAUAUUGAGAGGAGUGCUCGUAAACUUCAACUCCAUAUUUAUGUCUGUUUUGAGCUUGAAGCACUGCCAUAGCAUGUGGACAGGAUAUUUUGUCCAAGUCAAAAACUCUGCACAUACAAGAUCUUAUUUGAAGAUCGACCGUGGCAACAUCACCAUGACCGGUGAUACUGAAUUUGCAAUCUGCUAUUUUAUGAGAUAAUAAACUACUCCCCAAACUGAUGUUCGUUGAUAUUAUUUUUUCUAUUUUGAGAAUAAAUCGAGAUCUUUUUUUGGGGCACUUGAACUGUACACGCCUUUCGUUAAAAAAUUUGCCAUACUUCUUGCUUAUUUUUUCAAACAUAGCCUUGAUAGAAAAUUCUCUUUCAUCGCCAAACAAUGAAUUCACCAAUUCAACUAUGUUUGAUGUCAUAAUAUUGUACCUAUAUAAAAGAAUCACUUAGUAUGACAUCAUACUAAACUUGUAACUUAAAUAAGAUAUUAAAUCGAUAAGAAUGUGCCUAUCUGCUGGACAGAAUGCCCGGGUCCAUCUCUUGAAACUGAUACGUAUGAGAAAUUCUGCUACCUUGGAAUUCAUAUCCAUUAAUUCUCCUUUCUACUAUAUUCUUUAGCUGCUCUAUAAAAAAGGGUCACGACCCUUUCUUUGUGAUAGUUGGUCCAAAUGUUCUCUCCAAGAUGCCUGAUGCAACAACCAAAGUAAGCUGAAGUGAAAAAAUGUGAACCCAUCUUUAGAAUACUUGGAUUCCUAUCUGAUAAAAAACACAAAUCUUCGGUAUCUCCGACGCAGCUUCGUAGUUGUUCAAAAAAAAUCCAUAAGAGGCAUCACAUUCCUUGUCUUCUACACAAAAAGUGAUAGGAAAGAUGUGAUUCUCCAUAUCCUGCGCCACCGCCUCUAGCAGAACUCCAUUAUACGAGCUCCUCAAAAAGGUACCGUCGACGGCUAUGCCUUUUCUUAAAUGUCAAAAACCUUGAAUUCAAGCACCAUAGGAUACUAUAAAGUACUUAAGCCUUCUAUUUUUAUCAAGAUUCAAUGUCGUCUUACUUUCAGGAUUUGUGGACUCAAUCAUGUAACGGUAGGCAUCCAGGACGACAUACCCAUGUCAAGUGUCCCCCUAACCAAGUCCUUGGCAAUCUCCAUGGCCAUAUAUAUCUUUCAAUAACUGACCAGGACACCCAAUUCUGUAAGGAUUUGAUUGGCCAUAACCUUUGUUGUAGGGCCUUUGCCAUCGGGGAAACUAUUCCUGAAAUAUUCACCGAGGACCUUUGCCAUGGCGUGAGGAUUUUGGCCCGAGAUAUGCUCCGAACCACAUGUGUGAUGCUUUUCAUGUUUAUGAAUGAUGAAUCUGUCAGAACUUGCAUACUUCACCACUUGCAGUUCAAAUUAGCAUAUUUGAAGCAAAAGACACUUCUUGAAUUAAUCACCUUCUUUAUUCUGAAAUCUUUUUUCAAGCAAGAAAUAAACAAAGUGGUAGAUAGUUCAUUAUUGUCCUUGAAUGACAUUCUAAUAAAAAAGACAGUCCUGUCGUCUCGAAGAUUUCCAGACUGUGUUGAUUGAGAAGAACUGCACAUCAUAUUGGUCGCAUUAACGGGCAUAUGUAUUUGAUCGUCAUCUGGAAUAUUCAUGUCUAGAUCAUCCAACCUAUCAUUAAAGAUGUCUUUUUGUUGAUGUUGUUCUACAUUCUGGUUCUUGUUCUCUCUCAUCUUUUCAACCACGUACACCCUUAACACCGACCUGGAUGAAUCACUAAGAUAAGCACGCAACCGAAGCUGAUCGAUUAUCUUGAAAGCCAGUACCCUCUGAUUUUCAAAGGAGAUGUACAUGUAGCUAAUUACAAGUUCUUCCGAUUGAUAAUUCAGUCCACAAUAAUUGAUGAUUAAUUUCACAAAAUAAUUAUAAGAAAUAUCACUUUGGACUGUCAUAACUAUCGUCUCUAACAUUUCACCCUCGUUCCAACGCCAUACAUAUCGAUUGCUCUUCUCGAUCCAUUGACCAUGACAAUCCACCCCUAUUGUAAUUGGCCCCUCCAUUAGUGGUACCUAAAUAAAGUCAUUUGUUAAAAAAAGUUAAUAGUGAUUUCAUAGUGCUGUAAAUGAAUCCCAACAGAAGUAUAAUUAGUCACAACAGAUUACUUACCUGUUGGGAUUCAUGUUACGCUCCUGAAUCUGAUUUCAACAGAUGAGUCAUCUGUUGUAAAAAGUGAAUCAUAUAUUGCAACAGACUAUUUAUCUGUUGGGAUUGAUGUUAUAGUAAUGAGGCACCUUUGAAGUUGAUUCCAACAUAUGAGUGACAUAUUGCAACAAAUAAUUAACCUGUUGCAACAAAUGGCUUACCUGUUGAAACAGACGAUGAUUUGUUGGAAUUGAGGUCAGGUUUUAUCGCAAUAGGUUACUAAUAUGUUGCAACAAAAAUUUGCCUUCCAUGGUAAUCGAGCUCGGGUUCUGUUGCAAUAGAUACCCUAUUGUAACUGACAACACGUCUGUUGGAAUUGAGUUCAGGUUCUGUUGCAAUAGGUUUGUAAUCUGUUGCAAUAGAUAUUUAUCACGUUGCACCAGAUAACUAAUAUGUUUAAACAGAUAAAUUAUUUAUUGCAAUAGAUGACCCAUAUGUUCAAUUCAAUUUAUGACAUAUAGAACCAUAAAUAUGAAUCUAAUAUAUCAGUCUUCCGUUGAAACAAAUGUCUCAUCUGUCGUAAAAGAUGAUUUAUCUGUUUAAAAAAAUGGCUCUUAUGCUGGAUUCAUGAUCGGGUUCUAUCUAUUGUUGAAAAAAUAGUACAAUAGUAAUUACCCAGAUAAAAUUCAACUAAAAAUCAUAAUUUGACUUACCAAAGUCUCCUAUGAAGUAAUGCCAAAGUGAAAAGUGAUGUACGAAACAAGAUUUGACUUAAUAAAUUGGUCAAAUAGCAACAGUAGCGGUAACAACAACAAUAACGACAAUGGUCAACAAGAGGAAAAUGAAAGUGAUAAUGAAGUAGAAGAUGACGAUAAUGAAGUAGAAGAUAAUGAAUAAAGCAGUAGCGACAAUAAACAACAAAAAUCGUUAAGAGAGAGAAAAUAAUAAUGGAUGAGAAGAGAGAGAAAGGUUCCUUUUUCCCCUCCGUUUUCCGUUAUAUUAGGUAAACAUUUGGAUCAAAGUGUAAAUUUAAAAACUUGUGAGUUAUUCUCAAACUUACCAAACUUUCUUAAUCCAUAAUAAAGUUAUUGUCACUCCACUCAAUUAUUAAGACUUGUGUCUUUUACUAUAAAUGCUGGACUAUUGUGUUUACUAUUACUUUUUUGUAUAUAUUGUUUUUCAGUAAUUCAUCUAUAUAUUUUAAAUUCUUUUAAAUCGUCAAAAUUAUAUGUUAAUGGUUUUUGAGUUAUUAUGCUAUUUUUAUCUAUUAAUUCAAUUUUUUAUAGUAGUUUUAUGUUUUCCCCAACCUUUUAAUAGAUCUUCACUAUGUAACUUUAUUAAUUUUUUCUUUAUUAUUUCUACUUUAUCUAUUGAAAAUAUAGUUAUUUCUUUUUUAUUUAUUGAAAAUACAACUAGUUCUAACUUUUGUGUAAUUUUUUUUACUUCCUUUUAUCCAAUUAGUUUUCUUUCUUAUUUUAUUAAUAACUCUUUUUGCUCUUACUUUUUAUUUACAUAGUGUUGUAAACCACCAAUCUAUUUUAGUUAUUAUAUAUGUGUAUAAUUUAUCUAAAAAUGACAUUCCUAAAAUCAUAUCUUUUGAUGUUAGUUCAUAAUUAUAGAUUUCUUAUAUUGUUAUUAUUUUAUCCCAUAUCUUUAUUUUUACAUUUUUAGCUUUAUAUGUAAUUAAACUUCCUUCAUUAUUAAAUCCUUUGAUUACUAUUGAUAUUUUUAAUUUAUCCCAUUUACUUUCUGAUAAACAGUUGUAUCUACAUAAGUUUGCUUCUGCUCCUGUAUCUAUCAUAGGUGUAUAAUACCUAUUAUAAUAUCCUUCUUCUAUUAUUUUUACAAGUACAUAUAUUUUCAUGUCAUGUCAAAGUUCUUUUUAUGAAUAAUUUCUCUUUAUUAUAAGUUAUAGCUAAUUGUGUAUGUUCUAUAUUGUAUGGUUUUACUUGUUCUAACCAUUUUAUUCCUAAUAUUAUNNNNNNNNNNNNNNNNNNNNNNNNNNNNNNNNNNNNNNNNNNNNNNNNNNNNNNNNNNNNNNNNNNNNNNNNNNNNNNNNNNNNNNNNNNNNNNNNNNNNNNNNNNNNNNNNNNNNNNNNNNNNNNNNNNNNNNNNNNNNNNNNNNNNNNNNNNNNNNNNNNNNNNNNNNNNNNNNNNNNNNNNNNNNNNNNNNNNNNNNNNNNNNNNNNNNNNNNNNNNNNNNNNNNNNNNNNNNNNNNNNNNNNNNNNNNNNNNNNNNNNNNNNNNNNNNNNNNNNNNNNNNNNNNNNNNNNNNNNNNNNNNNNNNNNNNNNNNNNNNNNNNNNNNNNNNNNNNNNNNNNNNNNNNNNNNNNNNNNNNNNNNNNNNNNNNNNNNNNNNNNNNNNNNNNNNNNNNNNNNNNNNNNNNNNNNNNNNNNNNNNNNNNNNNNNNNNNNNNNNNNNNNNNNNNNNNNNNNNNNNNNNNNNNNNNNNNNNNNNNNNNNNNNNNNNNNNNNNNNNNNNNNNNNNNNNNNNNNNNNNNNNNNNNNNNNNNNNNNNNNNNNNNNNNNNNNNNNNNNNNNNNNNNNNNNNNNNNNNNNNNNUUUUCAAUAUAAUACUAAUGAUUUAUCUAUAUUUUUAUUUGUUAUUGCUACUGAAUAAUUCGCACUUAUUAUAAAUUUAAAUUUUUGGUAUAUUAAAUUUUCUUUUAUGGCAGUUAUUAUACUUUUUUCUAUAGAUUUUAUAAUUCUAUCAUCUGCUAAACAUAAUUCUAUUAGUGUAUCUAUUCCUUCUCUAAACUAUGCUUUUAUUAAUAUCUCUGUUCCUCCAAGGUGUACAUAUUUUAUUAGGUCUUUACUUUUUAUAUCGUUUAUUUUCUUAUUAAUCAUUCUCUUUGUUACUAGUGGUAUACCAGCUCUUCCUUUUGCAUAUCUACAGUCUAUUAUAUGUUCUUUUUGACUUAGUACGUAGUAUUCUUCCUUUUUUCUACUAAAUAUAUUUUUUAUUGUUGGUAUUUUAAAUAAUUUUUCUACACUUAAGUCUAACUCUUUUCCUUUUAUUUCAUCAAAUAUAUUAUUCUCAAAUAUUAUGUAUUGAUCUGUUCGUUCUUCAUUUAAAUAUUCUUCGUUUGUUAUUAUUUUUAUAUCUUCUUUAGUUAUUUGUUUCAUUUUUAUAUCUUCUUCAGUCAUUUGAUUCAUCUAAUUCACUAUCUAUUUCAUUCUCCGAAAUUUCAUAUAUACUAUCUUCACUUUCUAAUUCGUAAUCUAUAUAAUCUAUCUGCAUAUAUUCUGUAUUUUCUAUUUUUAUUUCUGAUAUUUGUUUCUUUUUUGNNNNNNNNNNNNNNNNNNNNNNNNNNNNNNNNNNNNNNNNNNNNNNNNNNNNNNNNNNNNNNNNNNNNNNNNNNNNNNNNNNNNNNNNNNNNNNNNNNNNNNNNNNNNNNNNNNNNNNNNNNNNNNNNNNNNNNNNNNNNNNNNNNNNNNNNNNNNNNNNNNNNNNNNNNNNNNNNNNNNNNNNNNNNNNNNNNNNNNNNNNNNNNNNNNNNNNNNNNNNNNNNNNNNNNNNNNNNNNNNNNNNNNNNNNNNNNNNNNNNNNNNNNNNNNNNNNNNNNNNNNNNNNNNNNNNNNNNNNNNNNNNNNNNNNNNNNNNNNNNNNNNNNNNNNNNNNNNNNNNNNNNNNNNNNNNNNNNNNNNNNNNNNNNNNNNNNNNNNNNNNNNNNNUACUAUUUUUGCUUCAUCCCAACUCUUUAUUAUUUUUGAACUAAAUAGUUUAGGUAAUUUACUAAAAUAUAAUCUUCUUAUUUCUUUACUUUCUUCUGUAUUAUAUAUUCCUUUAUAAUAAUAUUAUUUAAAUACGCACGUAUACUCAUCUAAAUAACACAUAUUACAUAUUGCUAAUUUUAACAUUAAAUUUCUAUUUGUAUCUUUUUCUUUAUUUUGCUCUUCUCCUGUUGUUACACUGCUAAAUUCAUCUCUUAUAACUAUUUCAUAUUUUUUCAAAAUUUCUGCUAGUAGUAUUUUAGUAGUUGUUGAUGUUCCUUCUGUUUUGUUAUCAGAUCUUAAUACUUUUUUACUUGCUUCGGCUACGUUUAAAAACCAUAAUCUUACUGUUCCUAUUAAUGUCUUUUCUAUAUAUUUUGGCGUGUUUAUUGUAUCUAUUUUAUUAUCUAAUAAUUGUUUUGACAUAUAUUUUGCCCAUAAUUGUAUUUUUUUAUUUGUGUCUAUUACAUAGUCUAAAUCUAAAAAGUUGUAAUUAAUUAUUUAUUUUGGUGUCUAUUUAUUAUAUUCAUCCUUUGACUUUUAUCUUUUAAACUUAUUUUUGUAAUUAUAGGUUGGUUUUCUUAUUUUUGAUGUACUUGGUAUUAUAUUUUUAUCUGAAGUAUUUACUUCUGUAUUUACUAGUUCUAGAUUUUCUUUAUUAAUUACUUCUUGUUCUUCAUUAAUUUCUAGUUUUCUUAUGUUUUCUAGAAUUUCUAUAUAUGUUUCACUAUCUUCCGAAUCAUAAUUAUCUUUCUAAUUCACUGGUUUCUGAUUCUUUCUUUUUUAUUUCUAAUUUUUCUUUAAAUUGAUUUAUCUCAUUUAAUAAUUUUUGUUCUUUAUCUUUUUCUUCUUUUUCUUUCUGUCUUUUUUCAUACAAAUCUUUUAGCAUUAAUACCAUCCAAUUACUCCCAAGAUAUGAGUAUUAAUAAAAUUAAAAUAAAUAAACUAAAAAUAAAAUUUUUUAGAGAAGUUAAGGAACAUCCAUGCACAAAUAAAAAUAGAUCCACCCAAGUUAUAAUAGAUCUAUUUUUUUUUUGUGCAUGGAUAUUUCUUAACUUCUCUAAACAUUUUUAUUUUUAGUUUAUUUAUUUUAAUUUUAUUAAUGUUCAUAUCUUGGGGGGUGAUUGGAUGGUAUUUGAUUAAAUGCUUUACUAUAAUAUUCUUUAGUUUUUUCUCUUAGUCUUUGCAAUUCUUGUAUAUUAUUUUGAAGGUAUUCUAAAUAUUCUAUAUCCUUUGUUCUGAAAUAUUCAAUAAAAUUCUCUUUCAUAAGUAUUUCUGUUAAUCUUAUUUUUUCCAUAUAUUGUCUCUAAUAUUUUAAAUACUCAUAGUCUAUUAUUUUAUCCUAAAGUAGUUGUAAUACUGCAAUUUUCUUUGUAAUAAUUUAUUCUAAUUGUACUAUAUCUGAUAUUAAAUUCUAGGCCAUCUAUUUCGUUAAUUAUCCUGCCUUUUUCUUCUAUGAAUAAUUCUAUGUCUAAAUCAUAUUCUAAACUGACUUUUAAUCCUAGUUGUUUUAUGGUUUUAUUUAUCCAAAUUAAUCUUUCUUUCAAUUGUUCUCUUUCUCUUCUAAGAUGGUUUCUAUAAUUAAUUUCUUCAUAUAGCCAACUUUAUUUUUCUCUAACUCUUUGAAUAUAUUCUAGUAUUUUUAAUUUGUAUAAUAUCCAUCUGAAUAAUAAAUAUCUGAAUUAUUUCUACCAUAGAAAUCUAUAUUUUCUAAUUCAUCUUCUAUCCGAUUAGUACUUACUAACUCAUCUUCAAAAUCAAAUUUUUUUUCUCAUAUUAUUUUCUUUAUGUCUUCUAAUUCUAUGUCUUUUAUGAUAUAUAAAACAAGUAUCUUAGUUUCAUUAAAUAUAUAACUUGUCAUAUUAUUCAUAUAAUUCUUAGGUUUCUACGAAUAACUUGGAUUACUUGGAAUUGGAUUCUAGUAAUUAAAUGCUUUAUCAUAGUAUUUAUUAGUUGUUUGUUUUAAUCUUAAUAAUUCUUGUAUAUUUUUAUUAAGGAAUUCUGUAUAUUUUAAAUCCUUAGUUCUCAUACAUUUUUCUAGAUUGGUUUCCAUUAGUUUUUCCUACUAAUUGUAUAUUUUUCAUAUCUAUUUUCCAAUAUUCUAAAUAUACAUAAUUUAUCAUGGUUGAUGUGUAGGUUUGGUAUGUAAGUAUUUGUAAGAAUAGGUAGGUAGGUGUGGUAUGUAAUUUAUUCUAGUCAUAAAAUAUUUAUCAAAUAUUUUUUUCAAUAUGAUUUUUCUUAUAUCUACAAUUUCUAUAUCCUUAAGUACAUACAAAACAAGUAUUUUAAAUUUAUCCACCAUUUCGUCAGAUAAAUAAGUAUUCAUUUUUCAUAUGAUGUUUUUUUCAAUCAUACACAUAACAAAAUAUGAUCAUUUUAGAUUACUAUAUACUAGAUUAUUCUUAAAUAACAUGUUCUUCGGUCAUUAAUAGCAUGGUAAUCUGGAUACUUUUUCCUUAAACAAUGUCUCUACUCUGGCUACUCCCCUAUCACGGCUUUCUUGCCUCACCGGUUUCACCUUUAGGAUGGCAUAGUUCUUAGGGAUUUUUCUCCUUGUCCACUUUGCUAAUAAACUUCUUAACAUGCUAUUCUUCGAAUAAUUCUACUAUAAAUUAACUAACAUGAACUUAUUUUAUCAUAUCAUGAUUGCCAGGAAUUUAUAAAUUUAGCUAUUCAUAAUCACAAAUAUAAAUACCUGUUCUGGUAAAUCUGUUAAUUCUAUAUUUUCCAUAGCUAUUUGAUGAUUCAUAGCUUUUCCUUGGAAAUAUACCUGUUUUUAUUAAAUAAUUCAAAAUUUUUUUGUGUACAAAGGAGGGUUUUGCUUCAACUCAUGAAGACUUUCCCUUUAUCUGAGCGGAUGCUUGUCUAUUUAUAACCUAAAAAUGAAAACACGUAUACUAUUUUAAUUUACACCUUUCCUAAUAUAAUUCUACAAAGACUACUUUAUAAAAAGUAGAAAUCAAAAAGUCUUAAAGGCUAUUAAGACUAGUAAUGAUAGGUGCCAAAAAGUCAAGAGUAAUAAUGACACUCUAAUAAUGCUAUACAUUUUAUGUAAAAAUAAGUUAAGAAAAACUUACUAUUUUUCCAUAUGUCGCUUUCUAACUUUUAUUAACUUGUCUCCUUUGUCUUUUAUUUCUUUAUUAUUGAUCCGUUGUUAUUUUCUUCUUGCCAUAUCUGCUAUUUUUUUUUAUCUUCUUACUAUUGUAGCAUCACAUCUGGAAUAAAGAAGUGUCUUCCACUACAUCUGCCGCAUAUGUUUGUAUCUUUGACUAACCUGUUUACAGAAUUGAUCCAUAGCUUCUUUUGAAAUAACUCCUUUCGUAAUAGAUCUUGUGAUUGAUAAUUCUUCUAGUUUUUGGAUCGUUAUGACCCAUUUUCUUAUAUCUUCUCUGUCAUUUUCUCUAAUAUUUUUACAAGUAGAGUAAACUAAUAAUUGAUUUCUGUUAUAGUAAAUCAAAACUGGGUUUUGAUUUAUAUAAUUAUUUGCUAACUCAGUUAAUAUACUGCUAAGUCCUAUAACUCUCUUGUUUCGGUAGAAGUUCGGUAUCUGAUUUUUGGUUAUCUCUUCUUGUUCGCAUAUUUCUUCAGGGAUAAUAUAAUCUCAUGUCAUUCCUAUCUUGACAACAGUAAUUGUCUAUUUUAUUUCAUCAAGCAAUAUUUCUGCUAGUGCUGAGUAGAAACGGACAUAGAAUAACUGUCCCUUUGUAAUCCUUUUAUAAUCCAUAAAUCUUUUGUGAAUAUCUGAAAUUCCUGUUAACUCUUCUUCAGUAAUUGUAUAACUGUAAAUAAUAAUCCAUAAUAGUAACAUGAAGUAAUUAAGUUUGCAGUGGUGUCAGGCAAAGCAAUAAGUUUGUUAUAGUUCUGACAUUUUUGUGUAAUAUAUCCUUGGUGUUGUUUUGCUAAAUCUUUACUCUGGAUAGGUUUUCUAUUUAACAAUUUUUGUAAAUUAUAAAUAUUAUCAAUAUAUGUACGAGUGAUAUGGUUAUAAGUCUAUUUUUGUUGAUUGAGUGAUUCGGAAUAUGUGUGUAUCUAGGGAGGUAUAGAUGACUCUGAUUUUUGUAUAUUUGGUGUAUACAGUUUUGAGAAUAUCUGGUUGAGGUUAUAAUUCUUCUUCUUUGGUUGUUCAGGUUUAUUUUGAGUGACUAUAUUCUUUCCUUUGGAUACAUCUCCUGCGCCUGCAGUUGUAACUGUAAUUUCGUUAGUAAUUUGAGUUUUUAGGUGUUUCUCAUCGUCACCUUCUAGGUCUAGUUUUUUAAUCUGCUCUUCCUGCACAGUAUCUUUGCUAAUAGCUUUUUCUUGUUUUUUAUAGUGCUCAACCUGCACUUUUACAUCUGUAACUUCAGUAGUUAAUGUGAUAACUCGUUCUUGUAAUAACUUCAUUUGUUCAAACAUUUGUAAUAUUAAGUCUGUUUGGGUAUCUUUGACAUUAGCUUCUUCCAUUGGUAAAUCAGUUUGAAUAGAUUUGUCUUGAUAUGUAAUCUGCAAUAACAUUCUUGUCAGUCUUGAUUACUUCAAUUGUAAAUGUAAAGUUUAAUAUAUUCAAUACUAAUCUUCAAAUUUCCUUCGUCGUAACUGAGUUUUGUAUUUUUCUUGUUAACCACCAUCGAAACUGGGUAUUAUCUGUCCUCACAAUAAAUUUGUUAUAUACAAUAUAUGGUUCAAAUGCUAAUAAAUAUUUAUAUAAUAAACAUAAUUCUUUUUUAUUUAUUGCCCAUUUUAUUUAUGUUUCAUUAAAUGCACCUGAGUAUUAUCUACAAUGGUGUUCUAAUUUUUCUUCUUCAUAUCUAUAUUUAAGUACUCCUCCAUAACUAUAUUCACUUGCGUCUGCUUCUACUAUAUAUGUAAAUUUUUUAUUUUCAUAUGGGAAUUAUAAUUUUGGUAAUUCUUUACAAAGUAUUUUUAUUUUCUGAACUUGUUUUUUAUCUUCUUCGUUGNNNNNNNNNNNNNNNNNNNNNNNNNNNNNNNNNNNNNNNNNNNNNNNCUUUAGGUUUUCUGCUAAUUUUGGUAUAUAUUCUCUUACUUGGUUUACUAAUCCUAAAAAUAAUUGUAAUUUCAUUUUUGUAUCUAAUUCUUCUUUUGAAUUUAUUAUUUUUUGUACUAUAUGUUGUUGCAUUUUUACUCCACUUUUAUCUAUUUGUAUUGCUAAAACCUCUAUCUGGCUUUUCACAAUUUCGGCUUUCUUUUUACUUAAACUUAUUCCCGAUUUUUCUAUUAUAUCUGUAAAUUGUUCUAAUAAUCUUAAAUGUUGCUCUUUAGUUUUUGUAUAUAGUAGUAUAUCAUUUAUGUAUAUUAUACAAUUAGGUAAUUAUUUAAAAUAACUAUCCAUAAAGUGUUGGUAUCUACCUGGUGCAUUUUUAUAUUCAAAUGGUAAUACGUUUCAUUCAUAAAAUCCUUGUGGUACCGUAAAUACGGUUAAUUCCUUAGAUUCUUCAUCUAACUUUACGUGGUAAAAUCGUGAUUUACAGUCAAAUUUACUAAAGUAGUUGUAUCCUUGUAUUUGUCUUAUUUUUAAUAUCUUAUUUGGUAUUGGAUAAUUGUAUGUCAUAGUUUUUGCAUUUAAAUUUCUAUAGUUAAUAACCAUUCUACUUUUNNNNNNNNNNNNNNNNNNNNNNNNNNNNNNNNNNNNNNNNNNNNNNNNNNNNNNNNNNNNNNNNNNNNNNNNNNNNNNNNNNNNNNNNNNNNNNNNNNNNNNNNNNNNNNNNNNNNNNNNNNNNNNNNNNNNNNNNNNNNNNNNNNNNNNNNNNNNNNNNNNNNNNNNNNNNNNNNNNNNNNNNNNNNNNNNNNNNNNNNNNNNNNNNNNNNNNNNNNNNNNNNNNNNNNNNNNNNNNNNNNNNNNNNNNNNNNNNNNNNNNNNNNNNNNNNNNNNNNNNNNNNNNNNNNNNNNNNNNNNNNNNNNNNNNNNNNNNNNNNNNNNNNNNNNNNNNNNNNNNNNNNNNNNNNNNNNNNNNNNNNNNNNNNNNNNNNNNNNNNNNNNNNNNNNNNNNNNNNNNNNNNNNNNNNNNNNNNNNNNNNNNNNNNNNNNNNNNNNNNNNNNNNNNNNNNNNNNNNNNNNNNNNNNNNNNNNNNNNNNNNNNNNNNNNNNNNNNNNNNNNNNNNNNNNNNNNNNNNNNNNNNNNNNNNNNNNNNNNNNNNNNNNNNNNNNNNNNNNNNNNNNNNNNNNNNNNNNNNNNNNNNNNNNNNNNNNNNNNNNNAUGUGUGUAUAAUUUAUCUAAAAAUGACAUUCCUAAAAGCAUAUAUUUUGAUGUUAGUUCAUAAUUAUAGAUUUCUUCUAUAGUUAUUAUUUUAUCCUAUAUCUGUAUUUUUACAAUCUUUGCUUUAUAUGUAAUUAAACUUCCCUCAUUAUUAAAUCCUUUGACUACUACUGGUGUUUUUAAUUUAUCUCAUUUAUUUUCUGGUAAACAAUUGUAUCUACAUAAGUUUGCUUCUGCUACUGUAUCUAUCAUAGGUAUAUAAUACCUAUUAUAAUAUCCUUCUACUAUUAUUUUUACAAGUACAUAUAUUUUCAUGUCAUGUCAAAGUUCUUUUUAUGAAUAAUUUCUCUUUAUUAUAAGUUAUAGAUAAUUGUGUAUGUUCUAUAUUGUAUGGUUUUACUUGUUCUAACCAUUUUAUUCCGAAUAUUAUAUCUGCUUUUUACAUUUCUUCUUUUAUUUCAAAUUUUAUUUUUAUUUUUCUAACUCCUAUUAUUAUUUCUUUUUCUGCUGUAUCCUUAAUGUUUAUUAGACUCCUUGGUAGAUCUGGGCAUAUAUUACUAUUAGAUUCUAUUUCUUCACUUUUUACUAGAUAUUUUGCUAUAUAAUUUUUUCUUGUCCUGUAUUUAAGAGUAUUAAAUAUUCUUUUCAUUUAUUUUUCCAAUUAUAUAAUAUUGGUUUAAAUUAAGUAUUGAAGUCGUUUCAUAAUUUGUUCUUUUUUAUGAGCUUGAUGAUUCUGGUUUUCAUGAGCUAUUCUUUUUGUUAUACUUAUUCUAUCAUUUAUUAUUUCUAAAUCUUCUUCUAUGUCUAUAUUUUUGUAACUAUAAUCAUUAUAAUCAAUUGCUUUUACAAAUUUUUCAAAAGGACUUUCUAUUUGUAUUUUAUUAAUUUUAUUUUUUCCUGUUAUUUUAUUUUUUGUUGUUAAUACAUAUAGGUUUUUACAUGUUGCUGUAAAUAUUUUACUUCUUAGGGUUAGUUCUAUUCCUGAUAUUUUUCAAUAUAAUACUAAUGAUUUAUCUAUAUUUUUAUCUAUUAUUGCUACUGAAUAAUUCGCACUUAUUAUAAAUUUAAAUUUUUGAUAUAUUAAAUUUCCUUUUAUGGCUGUUAUUAUACUUUUUUCUAUAGGUUUUAUAAUUCUAUCUUCUGCUAAGUAUAAUCCUAUUGGUGUAUCUAUUCCUUCUCUAAAACAUGCUUUUAUUAAUAUCUCUGUACCUGCAAGGUAUACAUAUUUUAUUGGGUCUUUACUUUUUAUAUCGUUUAUUUCUUUAUUAGUCAUUUUCUUUGUUACUAGUGGUAUACUAGCUCUUCCUUUUGCAAAUCUACAGUCUAUUACAUGUUCUUUUUGAGUUACUACGUAGUAUUCUUCCCUUUUUCUACUAAAUAUAUUUUUUAUUGUUGGUAUUUUAAAUAUUUUUUCUACACUUAUGUCUAACUCUUUUCCUUUUAUUUCGUCAAAUAUAUUACUGUCAAAUAUGAUCUGUUCCUUUUUUAUUUAAAUAUUAUUCCUUUGUUAUUAUUUUUAUAUCUUCUUCAGUGAUUUGGUUCAUUUUUAUAUCUUCUUCAGUCAUUUAAUUCAUCUAAUUCACUAUCUAUUUCAUUAUCUACUUUAUUCUCCGAAAUUUCAUAUAUACUAUCUCACUUUCUAAUUCAUAAUCUAUAUAAUCUAUUUGCAUAUAUUCUGUAUUUUCUAUUUUUAUUUCCGAUAUUUGUUUCUUUUUUGGAUUCUUAGGCAUUUUACAAUCUCUAGCUAAAUGUCCUAGUUUUUCCACAAUUAUAACAAAUACAUUCUUUUAUAGAUUUCUUUUUCCUAUAUGGUCUUUUAUGUUUAUAAUUUUUUACAUAAUAUCUUUUUCUUGGUUUCUAAGACUUAUAUUUUAAUUUCUUGUAUUUCUUAUAUUUCUUAUGUCUUUUUCUUUUCUUAUAAUAUCUUUCUUCACAUCCAAAUUGAGGUGCUAUUUUAUCUUUGCAACAUGCUAAAUUUCUUAUUAAUGUUUUUUCCAUUUUUAUUUCUUCUCUAUACUUUUCACAUAGAUUUCUAUACUAUUUUUGUAAAAAUUUUAUUCUUACUUCUAGGGUAUCUACUAUUUUUGCUUCAUCCCAACUCUUUAUUAUUUUUGAACUAAAUGGUUUAGGUAAUUUACUAAAAUAUAAUAUUCUUAUUUCUUUACUUUCUUCUGUAUUAUAUGUUCCUUUAUAAUAAUAUUCUUUAAAUGUGCACGUAUACUCAUCUAUAUAACACAUAUUACAUAUUGCUAGUUUUAACAUUAAAUUCCUAUUCGUAUCUUUUCUUUAUUUUGCUAUUCCGCUUCUGUUGUUACACUGCUACAUUCAUCUCUUAUAGCUAUUUCAUAUUUUUUCAAUAUUUCUGUUGGUAGUAUUUUAGUAGUUGUUGAUGUUCCUUAUGUUUUGUAAUCAGAUCUUAAUACUUUUUUACUUGCUUCGGUUAGGUUUAAAAACCAUAAUUUUACUGUUCCUAUUAAUGUCUUUUCUAUAUAUUCUGGCAUGUUUGUUGUGUCUAUUUUAUAAUCUAAUAAUUGUUUUGACAUAUAUUCUACCCAUAGUUGUAUUGUUUUAUUUGUGUCUAUUACACAGUCUAAAUCUAAAAAGUUGUAAUUAAUUAUUUGUUUUGGUGUCCAUUUAUUAUAUUCAUCCUUUGGAUUAUAUCUUUGAAACUUAUUAUUGUAAUUUAGGUUGGUUUUCUUUUUUCUGAUGUACUAGGUAUUAUAUUUUUAUCUAGAGUAUUUACUUCUGUAUUUAUUAGUUCUAGGUUUUCUUUAUUAAUUACUUCUUGUUCUUCAUUAAUUUCUAGUUUUCCUAUGUUUUCUGGAAUUUCUGUAUAUGUUUCACCAUCUUUCGAAUCAUAAUUAUUUGUUUCUUCCGCAUCUACUGUAUUUAUUUCUAAUUCACUAAUUUCUAAUUCUUUAUUUUUUAUUUCUAAUAUUUAUUUAAACUGAUUUAUCUCAAUUAAUAAUUUUUGUUCUUUUUCUUUUUCUUUUUCUUUUUUUUCUUCUAUCUUUUUUCAUACAAAUAUUUUAGCAUUUGCAGUUUUUUUUCUAAUUUAGCAAUCCUACUAUUUUUAGUUUCUUCUAUUUUUCAUAUUUCUUCUAUGGUUUUUUGUUUUAUUUUAUUUAUUUCCUUUUUUCUGUCUAUUUUUUUGUUUUCUCUUUCUAUUCUUACCAUGACUGCCAACUUAUCUUAUAAUUUUAAUUCUUUUUUUCUAACAUUAAAUAUAAAUGUUCACCUAUUUUCUUAGAUCUUCUUCCUAAAUUAGAGAAUACUAUUUUUAUUUUUAAUCCUUCAUGAUUUUCAUAUGUUUUUUCAUCUAUUAUAAAUUAUUCUUUGUUCAUUUUAUUUAAACGUAUAUAGGUUAUGUUGAUAUAUAUAUUCUAGACUAUCGAUUGUUGAUUAUAAAUUUGAUAUUUCUUCCUUUUGUGCAUUUAUUGAAUUUUUGCUAACUCCGACAAUUAUGUUAUAUUGUAGUCUUUCUAUCCUUAUUUUUAAUUCUUUACGCUUUUCAGAUAUUAUUUAUUUUAAUUCCUCAUAUUUUUAUAAUUUUUUUUCGUUAUUCAUCUAAGCAAUAUUUAUAAUAUUUCGAGGUGCUUUCCAAUGGACUUAAGAAGGUUCUGAAAUCUACUUGGCAAAAUAUUUUUGUGAGGGAAGACAUUUACUAUAUGAAACUUUGGUGGCAAAUGAGGUGGUGGUAGAUUCUAGAAGAAAGUAAGCGAACCACACAUUUGUGCGAUUUGAUUUGGAUUCCUAAGGUAUUGAGUGAGCAGUACGUUUUACUUGGUUGACAGCCAGACGGGUGGUCUUAACUACUGAGAAUCUGAGAAAGAGGAAUAUCACUUAUGUCCACCAUCUCCUUAUACUGUGGUGGUUUUGGAUUAUUUUGGGUCAUGCUAGGCACUUUGAAAUAGAGAAAUUUUAGUUGCAGGUGUUUAGAUGGUGGAGAAGAUGUAAGGCGUGGAUCCUGGCUCCGCACUCAUGUGGGUUGUGUUGUGAAAAAAAAACAUAGAGCUUUUGAAGGGGUGGAGAUGAAUUUGUAUAGUUGAGUAGUCUCUCAUCCCUUAUUUCCUUUGGUGCCUCAAAAUUAUUCCAUUAGCAAAGAAGAUUAGGUGACGUUGGUAGAAAAUCAUUUUUUUAAGGUCUUCCUACUUUUUGGUUUACUUGUAUUAUGGGUGUAGAAUAUCAAUCAACAUUUUUUAUUAUCUUCACUAAUGAAAUUUUUCGGUGUCCCAUUGUUUUCAUACUCUCCAUGCAAGAAAUGUGACUUACAAAAAAAAUUAAAUAUGAUGAAUAUUUAUAUACAUAUUAUUCAUAAUGGUCAUUAAAUUUCUAUCCAAAUAUCACAAUGGAAAGUAAUCUUUUCUUCAUAUUGAAAAUUAUAGUAGAAAAUUUAUAUUCGAUUUGAUACUCAUAAUUUUAGUUUUAUAGUAACAUCAAUGAAUAUGAUACUUUAAACAAAAAUAGGUAAAUAAUGUAAUAUACUACAUGAAAUUUAUCAACUAUAUAAUUUGAUGGAACAUUAAUUACUUACCAAAAUCAUCCAGUUAUUUCUAUAUUAACUAAAUAAAAUUUCGCACAUGGUCAAAAAAAAAUAAAAAAUCUACCAUGUAAUUUGAAAAUAAAAAUGUAUUAAUAUACUUUUAAGUUUUAAAAUUAUAUAAAUCCUUCACUUGGGUUAACAUCUAGAUAAUUUUAAAGGACAGAGAAUAUAAUUAUAAAUCUAUUUUGACUAGUAAAUGUUUAAUGAAUAGCCAUUAUGAAAAUCAUAUAAAUCUAUUUUGACUAGUAAAUGUUUAAUGAAUAACCAAUAUGAAAAUCAAACUUUCAACAUGUCUUAUAAGUAAAUCAAAUCUAAAAUUUAACUUGAAUUAAAAAAAUAUUUUUGAUGUGCUAACUGAAAUAAGAGAAAAAACAUUCACAUUAUGAUUAAUUAGUUUUUGGAAAUGCAUUCAAUUAAAAAGUUGAACCUUAACUUGAUAAUUAAAAUAUUUUUUUUUAAGUGUAAAAAUUGAAAUUGUUAACUAUAGCGACUUAUAUAUGCCCUUUAAUUCUAUAUCAACAAUGCAAAAAGUGUAGAUAAAAUUUUUGGUAUUUUUCAUCGAUAAAAUAUGAUACGAUAAAUUAGCAUACCAAAUUUAUACUUCAAGCCAACAAUACCAUUCUAUUUCAUAGGAAAAAUAAAUACACCUUAACUUAUCAUAUUUACAUAAAUUUUCACCCUUACAAAGUAAAUAUAAAAAUUUCAACUAAUUAUAUAUCUUUGUUGAAUGUAUCAGGGAGUUAAUUAUGUAUCUUAACAGAUCCAAAAGUAACUCUAGUAACAACAUUGUCACAAACCAAUGUGAGUUCCCAUCAAAAUGUAUCCUAUCACAAUCGUAGUAGAAUCAAUUGAAUAGGAGAUAAACCAAAGAAUUCGUGUUUUAUUUGAAUAAUUUAUAUUCCAAUAAGUCAUAGAUUGUUGGAGAAAUUACACAUUUACUUAAUAGGCAUUUUGCUAUGAGAAUUCUUUCACUUUUUUCAAAAAAUACUUUAACUUUAAUGCAAAAGUGAAUAGUAGUGUUUCGCCAUAAGAAUUAUUUCACUCUGCUAUUUCUCUCACAAAAUUUCAAAAACAACUCUACUUUAUAUUCAUGGGCAAACACAAUACCAACUCCAACUCCAAGAAAAUAUUAUUUUCAUGGCUAAACGAGGCCUUAUUCACAAUCUGCAACACUAAUUCGACCAAUAGAUUCAUUUACAAAUUUACAAAUAUAAAUUGGGUUGUACUUCAUCUAUAUGGCCCUAAUCAUAAUAAGCCCCAAAAUGAAAUCUUUGUUUAGAUUCAUUUACAAAUUUGCAAAUCUUAUGUUCUGUUAGCACUUGCACCUUGGCGUUUUUUUUUAAAUAAGGUGUUUGCUGUUCGUUUUGGCUCGGAAUUACUUACAAAGUAAUUAAACCAACUAAGUUGGUUUGUUAAAUGUUUAAAUCAAACUACAAAUUGUACAAAUAUAUCAAUUUCAUUUUUAUUUGGUCAGUUCAGUCUUUUCUUCAAAUACCAAACAAAUGACUUUAACACUAGAAAUUUUUUUAGGCACGUUUAAAAUAUUCGUCUCAAUUAAAAAUGCGGCAUACGCAUCUUUCUAAGAUUUUUUUAAAAAUUCAAGGAUGCAAUAAUGCACCUUGACAAAUAUUUUUCUAAAAUUAACUUUCACCAAUUUAUUUAUUACAAAAAGUAUAGACAAAUAUUAGUAGAUUAAAAAUGAGUGAAUUAAGGCCUUCCAAACAUAAGUUAUCAAAAUAGUUUAAGUUAAGUAUAAGUCAAUAAAGAGACCGUGCAGAACUCGGGACUCGAGGGGUGCCUCAUACCUUCCCCUUGAUCAACAGAAUCUCUUACUCAGUCUUUUGUUUUUGCAGACCAUAAGAAAGAGUCAUUUCCUUUUGACUAGGGAUUCAAUAAGGUGACUUGAAACACCAUAACUCAAUUCCAAGUGACGAUUCUGUAAUAAAUUAAUCCCUUUUCAAAAUCGUCACUUUAAUUGGAAAGACCCUUUCGACUCGGCCCUCGAGCGAAAAAGGGGUGUGACAGAUUGAACUCUUGAUAUUUUCCCCCAAAGUUUGGUUUGCAAAGGCCCAACUACCAGCAUUUAUCUGAAGUUUGGUUGGUCAAGACGUUUGAUAUUGUAGUGACUAACACAAUAAUGAUGGUGGUGAUUGUGACAAUGAAUUUGACUUGAUGUUAGUAGUUGAUGAUUUGGUGGUGGAUGUCGCUAAAAAAUGUGUGGUGGUUUACCAUGAGUGUUAGUGGAUGUUGUAGGUAUUAGGAAUUGGCCUUAGUGACGAUAAUAACUGAUAGUAAUAGCAAGGUGGUGAUAGAAAGAGUGAUAGCAUAAAUAAUUAUAAUAAUUGAUAUUUAGACAUGAUAGCACUUAGGGGUCGUUUGGUUAGGAAAGAGUUAUCUCGGGAUAAUUAAUCUUUGGAUUAGUUAUCCCACCAUAUAUAUAGGAUAACUUAUCCCAUCAUUAUGAUAUAAUUAGUGGGAUAAAUAAUCUGAGACUAACUAAUACCUCCAACCAAAUACGGGAUAAAACAAUCCUGUAUUUUAUCCCGGGACGAUUAUACCUUAUACCUCACACCAAACGAUCCCUAACAAUAAUAAUAGUUAAUGAUUAUGAUUAUUAAUGAUAGUUGUGAUGACAUAGAUGAUUGACACUAAUGGUAGUGAUUGUGAUGGUAGACGUGGUUAGAGAUGUAGACCGAUAGAUAUGGAUAUACUAGUUGUAAAAAUUAUUUACAGAAAAAUAUAUUCUAGUAAUAUGAAAACUUAGGGGUCGUUUGGUUGUAAACAAGUUAUCCUGAGAUUACUUAUCCCAUCGUGUAUAUACAACAACAACAUACCCAGUAUAUUUCCAUCAAAUGGGAUAUGGGAAAGUUAAGUGUACGCAAUCUAUACCACUACUUUAGAGGUGAGAUAGAGAGGUUAUUUCCGAUAGACCCUCACUCUUAUCCAUCAUGUAUAUGAGAUAACUAAUGAUAUAAAUGGUGCGAUUAUUACAAAACUAACUAAUAUCUUCAACCAAAUGCAACAUAAAAUAAUCCUGCAUUUUAUCUCCUGACCUAACCAAACAAGGCCUAAGUUGAAGAUCCAAAUUUAGAGGCUUAUUUCUUCAAAGUAGAAAAUUAGGGGCAGUUAAAUCAAAAAAUUUACAAACGUUAUGAAAAAAAAAAGCAAAUUAAAGGUAAAAAGAAGAACUGCUUCGAGUUUCUAAUCUCCGGCUCUUCAUUUCCCUUCCAGAGAUUCAGGUACCACCAAACAAGCCCUAAUUUUUCUUAUUUUUUCACAUCUUUUUUUUUGGGAAAAUAUGCAAAUAAAUUUGUUUAUCCUUUCUUUGUUAAAAUUUUCCAUACUAAUAUUAUUUUUGUUUGAGAUUUUUUUGGAGGACUUUUGAGUCUUUGUUAGCUAUUGAUUUACUGUAAUCGCUAUAUUGUGUACAACUCGACUAAUUCCAGGGGAUAUUUGCCAACUUGCACCACCACCAAUAGGUAAUCAGGUAACUCUGUCAAUCAAGGCUAAGUGUUUUAGUCUUUGUGGGAAUUUGAACGUGAGACCUAAUGGUUUCUCAACUACUUUAUUACCACUAGAUUACCAUAAGCUAGUUAUAGUGUCUUUGGAUAGAUGGUUGAGUAUCCUUUUAGUUUUUGUAGAUUUUUCCUCAAGAAUUUUUUUUAUAAUAGUGAUGUCCAGUGCAGUAUGUGCACACCUUGAUUAAUUCCACGAAAAAUUUGCCGACUUCUAGUAGAAGUGUAACAACCUGGGACUACCCCCUAGUCGCUACACUAUGCUUGCGACGCUGAAGGACCACAAGCUAACCCAUGACUGAUAUCUGCUGUGAGCACUGAACAAUAAUAUGGAAAUAAAUGUGGAAUAAAAGGUUGAAAUGUCAUAAGGUUCAUAAUUUGAAAUACUGAUAAUGAUUAAUAACAUCCGAAUCUGAAAUACUGUCUGAAAACUAGUUUGAAAAGCCUCUAACUAAAUCUGUCUGAAAGUGGAGUUGAUGGGACAAUCCCCCAACUAACUCCAUCUACUGAAAAUAUGAAAUAGUAGAGUAUUCUCGAAUGAUGAGGACUCACUGCCAAAUCCACUGCUGUUGGUUGAAUCUAAAUCUACUAUGCGUGAUCGGGAACCUGAGCGUCCGAACCUAUGAUAUAAAAUAGCAUAGCACAUAAAAGUAUAUGUCAGUACGUAGGAAUGUACUGAUAUGCUAGGUGAGGUAAGGCUGAAUGCAAGGGUUCAUAUGCAUGAGGAUAUAACUGACUGAAUGAGAGUAACUAAACAUGAGAGUACAUGGAGAAUCUGAGACUACUGUAAGUACUGACAAUGCAAUCUGUGCACACACACAUAUAUAUAUAAACUAUAACUGAGCUUUUCUAAAGCUAAGUAUUGAAUUAUGAUAACUAAUUAACUGAUACUUGACUAUAUCUGAUAGUCCUGAUUCUAUAAAAUUGAGCUGAGUUCUGAACUGAAGACAGAAAUUAAAAUAGUGGGAGGUAAUCAUCUAACUGAUAUGCACCAAUUUGUGCUAAUAGGGGUCCAAUAUGUAACCCCAAUUGGAAGGAUGUCAGUAUCGUGCCACAGGUAAAGACAAGCUGAAGGGUCACCCUCUACUGGCAGGUUCCCUACACAGUGGUACCCUUUACUGCCAGGUAGAGCACCUCAUCAACCCUCAACUGACAGGUUUGAUGUCUCAACCUACAAUAGCUACAUAGUUCUGGAACGCAAGGAUUGCUUCUAAGGGUCACACUCUCUACUAACAAGUGAGCCCCCAUCCGUGGGUUCACUUGGUGAUGAAUCCUACUCCCAACUAAAAGACACUAAACUGACUAACUAAACUAAACUAGAUUAGUACUGAGAUCACUGAGUUUUCCUAAAUUCUGUGACUGACUGAGUUCUACUGAGCUCUAUAACUGACUAAGAGGAGUACAAAUCGUGACAUGACUGAUACUAUUUGUAAAUAACACUGGCUCUAGGUAAACAACUAAAUUGUUGGGUAUUAAAUACCCCCAGGACUCGAUAGCAUGAAAAGUAAAGCCAAGCAUAAUCUUGAAUAACAUAUAAAUGUUCACUUGGCCAUUAUUCAUUCAUGGAGACAUUUCAUCAAACACUUGUAAUGCAUUAACUUGUACAUGAAUGGGGAAUACAUGUUAGCAUGCUAUAAUGACAUUAUCUCAUUCUCAUAGAUAAUUUAUCAAACACAUGGAAAGCGUACUUGGUUCAUUAAAUCAUAAAGACUUAGGGUUAACAUGGUUACCUUAAUCAACUUGUAAUUUGAAGGGUUUAUCAUGAAUAUCAUGUAAAUCAACAUAUACUAGGAACAAUUCUUGGGAGCUUGGAAUCUAAAUCAUGGAUAACACAUAAUCAUGGCAAUUACAAUGCCCAAACUUGCAAAUUCAUGGAUUUUAACAUGGGAAUUACUCAAUUCAAUAUACAUGCUAAUCAUCUUCAUGGAAUCUACCAUAAAUUAUGGAUUGAAACUCAAUAAAUGUCAAAACAUGAAUACAAUCCAAUUUUAUACAUGUAAAUCUUAAAUCAUAAUUCUUGAAGUUUUAAAAAUGGAUUCUUUGACUCUAUGGGUGAAAGGGACCAAUAGUAGAACCCAUAACAUACCUUAAAUCUUUAAUCUGGAAAGAGAACUAAUGUUUCUUGAAUGCUCUUGGAUUGGAAAAUACAAAUCUUUAUGUUUUCUUGAUGGUUCUUGAACUUGAAUUUCUUAAUUUCUUAAAGAAGGGUUUGAAUCUUAUUCUUGGGGAAUGAUCCUGAAAAAAACCCUAAUUUUGAUGUUAAGGAUGAAUGAGGAGUUAUGUUCUUUAAUUUGAUGGAAUUAUGGAUUAAAAAGGGUGGAAAAAGACUCAAAAAUCUCAUUAAAACAUCGUUUUAGCAUUGUUUCGAACAAAAUUGACGGUCUGGGUAACGGACCGUCACUCUGGUGACUGACCGUCACUCAAACCAUCAAUUUAUGCCAGAAAAUGGGCUUACUGCCUUAGUUAUGAUGGCUAGAGCGACGUUCCAUCGCUGGCUUGAUGGUCCGUCAGCCUUUCCGUCGCACUUUGGCAGCUGGACAACUCUUUGGUAAAAUGGGCAUAACUUUUUACUCUGAUAUCGAAUUUUGAUAAAAUUGGUAUCAUUGGAAAGAUAAUUAAAUUAUCUAUCUGUUUGUCUAUCAUGAGCUCAAAAAUUCAUAGUAUAACUAAUAAUAUGCUUGUUUGAAGUUGACUAUAGCAAUAUCCUUCUCAAGAAUUCAAUCGGCAAGGGAUGUUUUGAUUUUCCUAAUAGCUAGUACGUAUUUGAGGCCUUCAUACACAUCAAACUUGAUCAUAAAAAUACCAAAUCACUAAAAUUUAUUUCUCAUGAGUUUGAAGUAUGGUUGUACUAUCGGUUUGGAUUCUCAGGGUAUUACAAGAAGUAGCAGUUAACUCUAUUCUAUCAAGGCUAGAACAGAUGGGAAGAAAUCACCUAGUAUUUAUCUCUAUUGGAAAUUAAACCUUAAAUCCGAUGGUGCUUAAUCCAAUUUUAUUGAACCACUAGGCCACACUCUUGGGUGCUCAAGAAUCUUUUAUGCAAGUGUAGUUUUUUUUCAAGCAAUCUUUUAUGAAAAAUCCUACUUUGUUCAAGCAUAGCCAUAACAGAGCUCGCCCUCAAUGCCCCUAACUACAUUAGACCCCAAACUACUCCGCCUCUCAACAAAACACAACAAAGUAUCAAUAUUCUUUCCAUUCCUCACAAACCUAACAAUCAUCGACGAAAAAUAGAACUGACUGAGUUCUACUGAGCUCUAUAACUGACUAAGAGGAGUACAAAUCGUGACAUGACUGAUACUAUUUGUAAAUAACACUGGCUCUAGGUAAACAACUAAAUUGUUGGGUAUUAAAUACCCCCAGGACUCGAUAGCAUGAAAAGUAAAGCCAAGCAUAAUCUUGAAUAACAUAUAAAUGUUCACUUGGCCAUUAUUCAUUCAUGGAGACAUUUCAUCAAACACUUGUAAUGCAUUAACUUGUACAUGAAUGGGGAAUACAUGUUAGCAUGCUAUAAUGACAUUAUCUCAUUCUCAUAGAUAAUUUAUCAAACACAUGGAAAGCGUACUUGGUUCAUUAAAUCAUAAAGACUUAGGGUUAACAUGGUUACCUUAAUCAACUUGUAAUUUGAAGGGUUUAUCAUGAAUAUCAUGUAAAUCAACAUAUACUAGGAACAAUUCUUGGGAGCUUGGAAUCUAAAUCAUGGAUAACACAUAAUCAUGGCAAUUACAAUGCCCAAACUUGCAAAUUCAUGGAUUUUAACAUGGGAAUUACUCAAUUCAAUAUACAUGCUAAUCAUCUUCAUGGAAUCUACCAUAAAUUAUGGAUUGAAACUCAAUAAAUGUCAAAACAUGAAUACAAUCCAAUUUUAUACAUGUAAAUCUUAAAUCAUAAUUCUUGAAGUUUUAAAAAUGGAUUCUUUGACUCUAUGGGUGAAAGGGACCAAUAGUAGAACCCAUAACAUACCUUAAAUCUUUAAUCUGGAAAGAGAACUAAUGUUUCUUGAAUGCUCUUGGAUUGGAAAAUACAAAUCUUUAUGUUUUCUUGAUGGUUCUUGAACUUGAAUUUCUUAAUUUCUUAAAGAAGGGUUUGAAUCUUAUUCUUGGGGAAUGAUCCUGAAAAAAACCCUAAUUUUGAUGUUAAGGAUGAAUGAGGAGUUAUGUUCUUUAAUUUGAUGGAAUUAUGGAUUAAAAAGGGUGGAAAAAGACUCAAAAAUCUCAUUAAAACAUCGUUUUAGCAUUGUUUCGAACAAAAUUGACGGUCUGGGUAACGGACCGUCACUCUGGUGACUGACCGUCACUCAAACCAUCAAUUUAUGCCAGAAAAUGGGCUUACUGCCUUAGUUAUGAUGGCUAGAGCGACGUUCCAUCGCUGGCUUGAUGGUCCGUCAGCCUUUCCGUCGCACUUUGGCAGCUGGACAACUCUUUGGUAAAAUGGGCAUAACUUUUUACUCUGAUAUCGAAUUUUGAUAAAAUUGGUAUCAUUGGAAAGAUAAUUAAAUUAUCUAUCUGUUUGUCUAUCAUGAGCUCAAAAAUUCAUAGUAUAACUAAUAAUAUGCUUGUUUGAAGUUGACUAUAGCAAUAUCCUUCUCAAGAAUUCAAUCGGCAAGGGAUGUUUUGAUUUUCCUAAUAGCUAGUACGUAUUUGAGGCCUUCAUACACAUCAAACUUGAUCAUAAAAAUACCAAAUCACUAAAAUUUAUUUCUCAUGAGUUUGAAGUAUGGUUGUACUAUCGGUUUGGAUUCUCAGGGUAUUACAAGAAGUAGCAGUUAACUCUAUUCUAUCAAGGCUAGAACAGAUGGGAAGAAAUCACCUAGUAUUUAUCUCUAUUGGAAAUUAAACCUUAAAUCCGAUGGUGCUUAAUCCAAUUUUAUUGAACCACUAGGCCACACUCUUGGGUGCUCAAGAAUCUUUUAUGCAAGUGUAGUUUUUUUUCAAGCAAUCUUUUAUGAAAAAUCCUACUUUGUUCAAGCAUAGCCAUAACAGAGCUCGCCCUCAAUGCCCCUAACUACAUUAGACCCCAAACUACUCCGCCUCUCAACAAAACACAACAAAGUAUCAAUAUUCUUUCCAUUCCUCACAAACCUAACAAUCAUCGACGAAAAAUAGAUUUCAUCUCUCACAAAUAUUUUAUUUUAAAAAUACAAUGACACUCAAAAUAGGAUUUUUGAUACAUGCAAAUACUUGUAAAAGGCGGGCCAAUAAAACCUUUAUCAAAGUUAAAAGUAGAGUUGUCAAUACGAGUCAGCUCAGUCCAUUCGUGCUACCCCAGACGGGCUUUGGAGUUUGACAGGUCAGGUCAGGCUGGCCCAUCAAUAUGAUAGGCCAGAAAAUAGCAAGCCCCAAUCCUCACUGUGGGUUGCGGGCUUCCACGGGUCAUCCAACUUUUUAAAAUAUCUUAUCUUUAUAAUUUUAAUUUUAAUUUUAAAUUAUUAGUUACAUAAAUUUUUAUAAUAUAAUAUUACAUGAAGUUACUAUUUGUUAAUCUGGUUUCAAAUUUACAAAACAAAUUCCAAUAAUCUGUGAAAUUAAAUAACUUUUGACACCAAAUUCAAACUAAAUAGCGAUGUUGAAAACAAACAAAACUAUUAAUGAUCAAUAAUAUACUAUCUAAAUAGCAAUAUUAUCCUAAUUUUGUUUUAAUUGAUCAUAAUAAAAAAUAUAAAAAUGUCAAUAUUUAAUCCAUUUAAAGUUAAAAUGAACUCCUCAAAAAUAAAAAAACUCCCAUGGCACUUAUGACGUAUUCAACGUCGCCACAUCAUUCCUAUCAAACUUAUUUAAUUCCUUAAAAAUUUUAGUAUUUUGUAUCUUAAUUAUUUAUAUAUUUUAUAAACAUAUAUAAUAUUUAAAUAUCUAUAAUGGUCCAAAUGCACUUUGAAUUUUUUUAUUCUUAGUACUCUAUUUUACUUUUUAAAUAUUUUUUGUUUGACCCACGGGUCAUCCAGCCCAUAUUGCUCAAGAUUCAUGGGCCAACAAACUUAUACGGGUCAGGCUAAAAGCUCAGUUCUCAAAUGGGCUAUAAAAAUUAUAGCCUAACCCUAUCAAAUUACAGGUAGGGUCAGGCCAACCCAACGGGUCUACCCAAAUUGACGGCUUUAAUUAAAAGAAUGAAAUUCUAGGUUUUACUCAAUUCGUUCUAACUACUUACAUGAUUACUCUUUCUUAACAUUUUCAUCUAUUAGCAACAUGUAGUUUGAAGUUCACUUAAAAAUUGGGUCGUGACUUUGUAUCUUUCAUAAAAUAGUCAAGUUAUGAAAUAUUUUUAAUUGAGUUUUAAAAUGAAUUGUAACAAUAUAGAAUGAAAUUAAUAGAAAUUGAUAAACAUAAAGAUCAUUAAUAAAAAUUAUUGCAAAGUACAUAUAAUAUGUACCAUUAUUGAAACAAAAUAACAGAAAUGAAAAAUGAAAGCAUACUUAAAUAGAGCUAGAUUCACUUCGUUGUAUAGAACUUCGAUAAAUAAUAUUAUACGAAGAUAAUUCAUUUAAGAAACCACAAACUAGAUAUCUGCAUCUUCUGAUGGAGACUGUGAGGAGGACGAAGCUUCAGGCAAUUGAUCCUUCAACAUAAUUUCUUCUACAUCUAGCCAAGCUUGAAAUUUCAUUACAUCGUCUGCAUUUAACUGAUCGAUGGACUCCCACCGACCUUUAUCUCUAGUCUUAUUCCUUUGAGGUAAGGAAAUGAAUUUCUCUUUUGCAACUUCUCCUCUUUUAUCAAGGUCAUUUAGCCUAUCAUUGGGUUGAUUCACUUUAUUAAGUGAAUUUUCAGCAACAAUCUGUUCACCUAAAUCUGUUUUCAAGUUCAUAAAAUGAUCAAUGACUGCAUUAUGAGUUGGGUGGAAAAAAGCAUAUGCAUUACCAGCCGGUGAAGAUAGAACAAUUCCAAGAUCGACAUCAUUUUCUCUAACGAGUUUGCUAGCUUUUUUAUAUAAGCCAAAACGUCGUUUAGAGAAUGUAGAAUAUCUAUCAACAUCUUUUUUUAUCUUCACUAAUGGAAUUUUUCGGCGUCCCAUUGUUUUCUUUCCCUUCACGCAAGAAAUGUGACUUACGAAAAAAAUUAAAUAUGAUGAAUAUUUAUAUACAUAUUAUUCACAAUGGUCAUUAAAUUUUUCCAAAUAUCAUAAUGGAAAGUAAUCUUUUCUUCAUAAUGAGGCUAUCUUAAAAAAGAACUGGAUCCCCAUUCAAAUUUCCUGAGGUGGCCCUUCCAUGCCCCACCUCUUUUUCGCCGAUGAUUUAGUCCUUAUGUCUAAGGUUAGUGGUAAUAGUCACAAUUCUUUGAUGUGGACCUUAUCAAACUUCUGUCUUUUGUCGGGGAAAAGUAUCAAUUUUCAGAAAUCCAAAAUCCUCUUCUCAAAUAACUGCCCUACCAGUACCCAAAAGCUACUUUCCUCUUUCUUUCACAUCAGAAGAAGUAGUGAGUUUGGUAAUACAUAGGUUUUCCUAUUCUCAACAAAAAUCCCUCUAAGGCGGAUCUCCGCAUUGUCUUGGAUAACCUUCAGGAAAAAUUAAUGGGCUGGAAAAUGAAGUUUCUUACUAUAGCUGGCUGAACUACUCUUGUGAAAGCAUCUCUAAACAGUAUACCUACGCACCUCAUGCACUACAUUCUUUUUCCGAUUGAGGUGUCCAAACAAAUUGAUGCUUCCAGCAUAACUUCACUUAGGACACAACAACUACUUAUGAGAAACUACACCUUGUUAAGUGGGAUAUCUUUUGUCUCCCUAAAGACCAAGGUGGCCUGGCUAUCCAGAUGAGGCCCUCUUAGCUCAUCUUGCUUGGAGACUAUUCAAUAAUCCUAAUUCUCUUUGGGUGUCCAGCCUUAUCCAUAAAUAUACCCGUGGGUACGGACUACUGGACAAAUCCAAGCACAUAAAGAAACCUAGCUUUAUUUGGAAAAACCUAAUGACUGGAUGGGGUAUUUACGAGAAGAACCUACGAUAGACUUUAGCUGAUGGUACUAAUAUCUCCCUCUAGAUUGAUAAUUGGAUCCCCCACAACAAACCCCUAUCACAACUCCUUCAUGGUCCUUUGCAUGCCUCUAAUUUGUCUAUGUGUGUCUCCGAUAUUAUUGUAUAUGGAAAAUGGAAUACUUAAAAUAUGACUUACCCUCUUCCCUCAAAUACUGAAAUCCUCAUCAAAUCCAUCCCCAUUCCUUAUUCUUCUCAUAUGAGAGAUUCCUGGGUAUGGUCCCUAACCCCAAUUAACAUCUUCUCUACUUUCAUCUCUGUUGAGCUUCAUACAGAGAAGGAGAAAAAUAGAGAAAAUAUCUUCUUCAUUGAGAAUGAAUGAAACAGUAACUGUACAGCUGUAUAUAUACACUAACUGAACCUCUCUCUGCUAUCUCUAACUAACAUUGAUUAUCACUAAUUAAUUAACUAACUAACACCUAAUCAGAACUAACUAAAGGACAGCUGUCAUACACAUGUGCUACUCAUGUGACUCCUUCAAUGCUCCCCCUCAAACUGUAUAAUAAGAAUAAUUUGAACAUUCCCAAUUUGCAUAAAAGAAAUUCAUGUUGUGUCUUUCCCAAACUCUUUGUCAAGAUAUCAACAAGUUGCAGUGUGGUAGUGAUGUUUUCAGUGUUCACUAAACCUUCUUGUAUUUUUUCUCUAUAAAGUGGCAAUGAAUCUCUAUAUGUUUUGUCCUCUCAUGAUAUAUUGGAUUUUUGCUGCAAUUUGUAUUGCUGCCUUGCUAUCACAAUGCAAUCUUAUAGGUAGCUGCACUUGUAUCCCCAAUUCUUUAAACAACCCUAUUGUCUAUACUAUCUCUACUACAACAUUAGACAUACUCUUAUACUCAACUUCUGCUGAACUUCUUGAGACCAUAUUUUGUUUCUUGGAUUUCCAAGAUAUCAAGAAAUUUCCCAAUCUCACUAUAAACCCACUAACUGACCUCCUGCUCAUGGGACAUGUCCCCUAAUCAGCAUCAUAAUAUAUUGAAAGUUUCUUUGAGUCUUUUGAUGAUAGCAAGAUUCCAAGUCCUGGGGCAUUAUUCAAGUACCGUACUACUCUUAAGGCUGCCUCCAUAUGGGAUUUCUUUGGAUUGUGCAUAAAUUGGCUCAAGUUCUAAAUGGUGAAGUUGAUGUCUGGUUAGGUCAUUGUUAAGUACAAUAACUUGCCUACCAAUUUUGAUAGCUUCUUGGACCGGGGAGCAACUCAUUAUCUAUUCUCCCUUCACUAUCUUGAUCAAAUUUUACAGUAGUAAGCCUUUGGUUAGGUUCUAAAGGUGUACUAGCAGGCUUGGAACCAGCUAAUCCAAAGUUUGCAAUAAGGUCUAAAGUAAAUUUUCUUUGGCACAUAAGAAUUCCUUGAUGACUUCUGGAAAUUUCAAGACCAAGGAAGAAUCUCAGCUACCCCAGGUCCUUGAUUUUGAAAUGAUGGUGCAACAAAUGUUUAAUAUCUCAAUGAGAGAUGAAGAAGAACCUGUGAUGAUCAGAUCAUCAACAUAAACAAGAAUCAAGGCUAUAUCAGUGUCAACAUUUUUGAUAAAAAGAGAAUAUUCGUAAUGACUUUGAUGAAAACCAGAUGGAACAAGAGCCUCAGUAAGCUUCAAGUUCCACUGCCUAGAAGCUUGCUUGAGGCCAUAUUAGGACUUAUCCAGCUUGCACACAAGAGAUGACUCCCCCUUCUUCAGAAGACCAGGAAGGGGAACCAUGUAUACCUCAUCUACCAAAUCUCCUUGAAAGAAGGCAUUGAAGACAUCUAUUUGAUGUAGAUUCCAUCAUUCAUAACAGCUAAAGUAAGCACUGCUCUAACAGUGACCAUAUUCACCACAGGAGAAAAAGUAUCUUGAUAGUCUAACCCCUCUUAUUGAGUAUAACCUUUAGCUACCAACUAACCUUUAUACCUGUCAACCUGACCCUAAGAAUUAUACUUGACUUUAAACACCCAUUUACACCCUAUUUCCCUCUUAUCAGCAGGUAAAGGUGUCAAAGUCCAGGUCUUGUUAUCAGCUAAUGCUUGCAAUUCCUGAUCCAUGGUUGCAAUGCACUCAGUAUGUUGCAUAACUUCUUCAUAGGAUUCAGGUUCUCUAAUAGUGGAAAUAUUACACAAAAUCUGAAGGUAAUUAUUAGACAAUCCAUCAUAUGAAAUAUAGUUUGCCAUAGGAUAAUGGCAUAGAGAAGUCUGUGAGAUGGGCUUGUGAACAAAGUCAUGUAACCAAAAUGGGGUUUUAAUAACCCUACUUGACCUUUUUGUUGAUAGAGAUCUCACCACUUGCCCCACAGGUUACAAAGAGGGGUUCAAUCUGGCUGAUCUUCGCACUACAUGCUCAACAGGCUCCAUAAUAGGAUGCAAUGCCUCCUCUGUAACUUGCGGUGAUUCUAGUGUAAUAGAGUCAAAUGCAGCAAGAAUUACAUCUGGUAUAUUCAAAGAGGGAAUAGGAACAUCUUCUCUGAUUAUCUCUACAGGAUCAUCCCUGAGCAUAAUGAAAGGUUCUGCAUUGAAAUUAUCUUCUGCUACUUGAAUUUUUUGAUAAAAGGCCGUCUCUAGAGAAGAAUCAACCUUGAAAGGAAAUAUAUUUUCAAAAAAAUACACAUCCUUACUAACAAAAAACAACUUAUUUGUUAGAUCAAAGAGUUUAUAAUCCUUUUGAGUGGUGGAGUAUCCCAUGUGAACUGACUUCACUGCUCUUGCACCAAAUUUAUCUCUAUUAUGAGAAAUAGUGGUGGCAUAGCAUAGAAAUCCCAAUACCCUAAGGUGUUUUAAGUUGGGUUUUCUACCCAGGAGAACUUCAAGAGGAGAUUUACCCCCUAAUACACUAGUUGGUAUUCUAUUGAUAAGAUAAGCAGUAUUUUGAAUACAAACUCCCCAAAAUCUAAUCGGAAAAAAACCCUAAAAUCUUAUGGACCUAGCUACCUCCAAAAUAUGUUUGUGCUUUCUCUCAACCACCCUAUUUUGUUGGGGUGUAUAAGCACAAGAGCUUUGAUGAACAAUUCCUGCAUUACUGAAUAAAGCAUUGCAAGAGGAAUUGAAAAACUCUAUCCCAUUAUCACUUCUGAAAACUUUCACAUCAAUUUCAAAUUGAGUUUUAACAUGUUGUAGGAAAUCUUUCAAUAUAGUAGAUACAUCACUUUUAAAUUUCAGUAAGAAAAUCCAAACCAUUCUAGUAUGACCAUCCACUAAUGUGAGGAAGAAUUGGUGACCACCAUAAGUGGGUACUUUAUAAGGACCCCAAACAUCUCUAUGAACUAAAUCAAAUAGUCUACUAGCUCUAUUAGUACUAUUAGAAAAAGGUAGUUUAGUCUGCUUAGCUAGAGGACAUACAGGACAAAAGACAUUCUUCACUUGCUUAACUAACUUCAUUUGUGAUAGAACUCUAUGUGAAACAUGACCCAACCUCUUGUGGUAGAUGUCAGUACUUAUUGAUGUGCUGUAAGCUGCUACUGAAUGAUGUACUCUUUCUCUAGACCUUAAGUGAUACAAUUCAUCUACCAUCUUACCAAUCCCCUUCACCUGUCCAGUGUGAAGGUCUGCAGUAAGCAAUAAUUAGGGUAGAACUUCAUAACACAAUUUAAUUCUCUUGUCAUUUUUGCUACUGAAAGUAAAUUCAGUUUAAAGCCCGGAACACAUAACAUAUUUUCUAAUUUUUCAUUGUCCCAGCCUACAGUUACCGAUAUAUAGUAUAGGAAGUGUCCUUCUAUUAGGUAAAUGUACAUCUCCAACCCCCUUACAAAUAGUAAUAUCAGUUAACAAGUUAGGAUUAUACACCAUGUGAUUAGCAGCUCCAGUGUCUACUAUUAAAUCAUAUAUAUCCUUGUCAUCUACUAGAGUAUAAAAUUACCUGCUAUGUUAGCUGAUGGUGUAGGAGUAGUACUUUUGUGAAACAUCUUCUGAACUUGAUUAUACUGAUCAAGAGUUAGAGAUACAGUGAUAUUCUUAUUAUUCCUCACCUCUGGUUGUUGUGGAACACAACUCUUCCCUUUACCAUCUCCUAAAUGAUUUCCACUAAAGGAUCCAAAACCAUUAAGUUGUCCAAUGAAUUGAUUGCUAGUCUGACCAGCUCCAUGUGUUAGUGUCCCAUAUUUGGUGUCUGGGUAUUCAUGAUGAGGUUGAUGUUCAUCAUUUGGAAUGUAUGGAGUCCAAUAUCCAGCUUGAGAAUCUGUAGAAAAAGAGUGAUAUGGUCCUGGUGGUAUAUACAGCUAGAGGCUUCUUCUUCCUUUUGAAAUUUGCCGGAUAGCCUAUUAGCUGGUAAAAAUUAUCAGCGGUUUGACCAUGUAUCUUAUAGUAGUCACAUUAAUUAUUCUAGUUUUUCUUAGGCUUUUGAUUAUAACCACGAUUAGGUCCUCCACCUCGAAGUGGUCCUGCACCUCUUCUAGGUCCAAAAGUUCCUGCUACUUUUGCACUCCAAAACGCUGUAAUAUCGCUAUCAUCCCCUAAAGUGUGGUUACCUAUUUCAUUGAUAAAGCGAUGACUCUAUUCUUUCAUAAUCAUGGCAUAACAUUAAUUCAAACUAGGCUCAGUAGAUUUCACAAGAAUUUGCCAAUUUGACUAUGAAUAGGUAUCAUUUAACCCACUUAAAAAUUGUAACAACUUUUGUUUCUAUAAAUCAGUAUAUUCUUUAGACCUAGCACAUCCAUAGAUCAGAAAAUGCAUAAUUGCAUCAUAUUCAGCCUAGAGUAUCUUCAAUUUCGUAAAGUAAAUAGAGACAAUAUCAGUCCCCUAUAAAAUUGUAGAAAUUUCCCUAUGCAAUUGGAGAAUUCUAACUUGAUUAACCAUAUCAAAACGCUCCUACAGAUCAGUCAAAACAGUGUGCAAAUCACUAGCAUAUACAAUUCUACUCAAUAGAGGUAGAGCAAUGGUGUUAAUGAUCCAAGAUAGAACAAUGGCAUUGCAAGUGUCCCAUUGUUCAUGUAAUUCUUUCUCAAAAGAGCUCUUCUUGCAUGUUUCGAGUACAAAUCCCAACUUCCUUUUUGCCUACAGUGCAAUACAUAUCAAUCUCGUCCAAACUCCAUAAUUUUCAAAUCCUUUCAACUGAAUCGUAACUAAUAUAGAACCUGGUCCAUUUGAUGGUCCCACAAAUAGGGGAUAAGUGUGAUCUAUUUUGAUUUCUACCACCAUUGUCAUACCUCAACUCUCUCAAUGAAGAAACAAAAACAAUUUGAAUUAGUGAAAGGAAAAUUAGAGAGAAAAAAAUUUGUAUUGCUUACAAAAACUGCAAAAUUCUCUGAUCGCAAACCCUAGAUUCUUUGAUCUCAAUUUUCCGAUCACCAACCCAGAGAACCAUGAUCCUCAAAGAUUCUGUCUCCCUAUCUUCUCCUCUAACCACUGGGAAUCGCCAUUCCUAGCUUUGAUACCAUGUUGAGCUUCAUAAAAAGAAGGAGAAAAAUAGAGAAAAUAUCUUCUUCAUUGAGACUGAAUGAAACAGUAACUGUACAGCUGUAUAUAUACACUAACUGACCCUCUCUCUGCUAUCUUUAACUAACUUUGAUUAUCACUAAUUAAUUAACUAACUAACAUCUAAUCACAACUAACUAAAGGACAGCUGUCAUACAUAUGUGCUAGUCAUGUGACUCCUUCAAUAGUCUCCUUCAGGACAAAAUAGUUCAACCAAACACUGCCUCUGAGUCUCGUUGGGUUUGGAAGCUUAAAUGUCCAAAGAAAAUUAAAUACUUCCUUUGGCUAAGCAACCAUUGUCAUCUUCCUAAAAAAACCUAUCUCCACCGCCUGUACUAUUUGUAAUGCUAUUCUUAAUGCUCCUGAAACAUUACAACACAUCUUUCUUCAAUGUCCCAUCGUGUAAAUAUUUUGGAGCCAGUUGUGCCUUCUCCCUCUUUUCUAAAAUAUUGCGAUGUCCAAUAGAGAAGAUUGGUUACGCAAGUGCAGCAAACUCCCAAUUCCUCUGGUUAAUAAAUUACUUAACUGGAAUGAUGCCUUUCCUUUCUAUAUAUGGCAUAUUUGUUUCACUUGGAAUGAUAACCUUUAUAACGAGUCCAAAAUUAAUAUCACCCUCUCAACUCCUUUUGCUCAGGCUGUAGAAUAUUUAUUCUUGACCAAGAAUCAUCCCCAUGUACCUCUAAAACCUAAAACAGCCUGGAAACCCUGAUAAAAGACUUAAACUAAACUUUGAUGGAUUUUCCAACCACUUAACAAAGACCGCGGGUUCUGGGGGGACUUUCGCGCCCCUUUGGAAUAUGGGUGAAAGGUUAUAGUGCAAAAAUCACUGUCUAUUCACCCUUUGAAGCUGAAUUAACUGGCCUUCAAUUUGGCCUUUUCAUUGCUCGUGACAUAAACGUCUCCCACUUGGAAAUUGCUACGGGCUCUCUUGAGGUAAUAAAAUCCUUGGGCUCAUUUGCACAAAUAAUACCAAUUUACUCCUAUAGGGAUAUUCUCCUCAACCUGGGGAGCCCGAAGCUGUUGCAUGAGCCCAGGAAACAUAACAAUGUAGCUGACAAGCUUGCGAAGCAAGGGCAGAAGUUAACCAGAAGUUUUUGUAGCAUGGAUGGAACCACCAAUUUUUGUUUACCGUCAGAUCAAUGCUGAAACUAAUGAAUCUCUGUUUGUUGGUCCUGUUGGGCGCUUUUUAGGAUCUAAUUGUAAUAAUAGUACUAGGCAUGUAACACCCCAUACUUUCAGGCUAAAAUUUAGACCAUCGUUCCUAUAUGUAUAGACCCGAACUAAAUUAUUCCUUGAUAAUGUAUGUGUGGUGAUCACUCCUAUAGUGAGGGUAAACCUUUGAGUAUGAAUUGACGUCACAAGAAUCCCCUAACUCUAAGACGAGUUGAAAACAAUUCUAUCGAUUUUGUUUUAGUGGAUACUUCAACUGGGGUCAACUUUUGUCAACCAUAACUUUCUGUAUAUAAUGAACUGGGAGGGUUGUUAUAUAUCAAAUGAAAGCUCUUAAUUUGAGUCAUCUUUCUAAUACAACUAAUUUCAUCCAAAUCCAAUAUCAAAGUAAAAAAUUAUGCCCAAUUUACUUCAGCAUAUCAGCUUGUCAACAGAGGGACUGCUGCGACUUUCUUUGUUUUCUCAGGGGUAUUUUAGUCCUUUCACCCAUACUUAUUCAGCUAUAAACACGUGAUUAAGCCAUUAAUUGACCAAAAUAUGGUCAUUUUCUCCAACUUUCUCAAGAACUAAACACUUAGGUCUCAACCUAAGAAUCAAGAUCCUUCAAGAUUCAGUCAUGGGUUUUAGAAAUUGAUUGAAGAUUCGGAAUCCCUAAACCGUAGACUUCAAGAAGCAUCUAUCAAAUUUCUAAUUUGAGUUACGUGGGGUUUAUCCUAAAAAAUACAUGGGCUUGUAAACACUAGAUCAUGAUUUAAAGAUUAUCAAGCAUGAAUUUUAAAGGAGUUUUUGGAAUCUAUAUUUUAAUUAUGCAUUAUAAAUGUUUUUAUGAUAUUGUUGAUUUGGCCUUUAGGUCUUUCCCCCUUGAAUUGAUUUACAAGUAUAUGUAUAUGUAUGAAAACUAAGAUUGAAGGUUGUUUGAGAGAACAUAUUAUGAAACCCCCCUCAUAUGUUGAAUUAAAGAUUAUGGUUUUGUCAGAAAAGAGUUUCAAUGCAAGCCUUGUGAUUUGAAAGUAGUUUUCUCAAUGUCAUAGAUAUUGAAACAUGAUUUAGAAAUAAUGAGAGGGCGUUUCUUGAUGUUACUAUGAUGUUCUUGUGUUAAAGAUAAAGAAAUGCAUGUAAUUGAGAACUUUGACAUGACCGCCUUGAAUUCUUGAAAUAUUGACAAAGAGAGUUUCCUUGCAUAUGUUUACAUGAGUUUUAAAGAAUGAGUUUCUUGAAAAGAAUUGUUGAUAUGGUGGUCCGAAAUUCCAUGUUUUGAAAAUAGAGAUAUAAUUAGCUAAAUGGCCCAAAGAAUGUGACUUGCAAGUCAAUUGUAUGACGAUACCAUAUAAAUGUAUGUCAUGAUAGAGUUAGAGUUUGAUUUCAGAGAAUCUAUGUUUUAAAGAGUUAAAAACUGGGUUGAUGUGAGUUAGGUGGUUACCCAAAGAAAGCCCAAUUCAAAUGACUCUAUGCUGGAAACCAUGAUUUGCCGACACGAGAACUUUUACCCUGCUAUGUGAUCUUGUGUACCUAUCACUUUGUCAUCUCAAAUUGAGACUUAUGGUUUGGAGCCCUGCUUCCUGAUCUUGAGCCCAACCACGAUAUAAUGACAUGAUUGGGGUUGUAACACCCUGCUGUAUGUUUUUGUUUGCUCUUCCCUUACUAGUACUCCUAUCUUGGCUGCAACCGAGAUAAGGUAGUCCUGCAAAAUUAUAGGGUAUAGCACCUAGCGCAGAAGUAAAACAAAGAGUGUUAUAGAGUUCAGAUAAUUUUACAGAGUCAUUUAAAAAUGCCCAUGAGAUUUUUACCAUAUUACAUAUUUAUGAACUGUUUUAAAUUGCUCUCAUAUAUGUUGAAUAUAAAUUAUUAUUUUUGAUUUUCUCUGUGUACCAAUACAUCUAUAUUGACCCCCUACCUCCCAGGUUCGGAAGCUCAAUCUAGGGGCCUGACUAAGUAGUAGAGUAUUCAGAGAGAAGUGAUCAGUGCAGUGGUGAGCCUUAUUUGUUCCAGAAGGCCUAUUAUAUCAGAUUAUGUUAUUCCUUUUGUUUUGGUCUACUGGGGGCCUUGUCUCAGUUUUUCAAACAGUUGUCAUUUGAUCAUGUAGUAGAGAUUUCGCAGAUUGUUCUAGAUGUUGUUUGGUUGAUUUCGGAUUUCAUUCCUUAUUGUUAAACUAAAUUUAGAGUAUGACCAUGUUUCUAUAUCAGAUUGUAUUUUAGCGUCUUCUCUUAUUAUAUGAAUAUUGUGCAUGACUACCAGAUAGAGUAGGACGUUCGGGCCUUCAUGGUUCGGGAUGUCCAUCAUGUCUAGGCCCUAGUUCUAUUCGUGAUAAACUUGGUAUUAGAUCAUGAUUCAUGGUCCCAGGGUGUCUGCAAAAUCGCAUCGAGUAGCAUCUUGAUUAUGGAUUUGUAGCAUGCUAUACUUAUAAGCAGGAGGCUAUAAGGCAUUUAGGAAUGUUAGUUCGUGCUAUAGAGUCAGAAUGUUCCUCUUUCAUACUCUAAUUCGUGCUAUGGUGUCUCCCAUACGAAAGCAAAUUUAUCCCAAUUAUUUCCUUACUCUGAUGUUCUCAAAUAUGUCUCAUUAUUGAGGUGAUUCAAGUGCAGAAGUCUAGAAUCUAAAUAGUGUGGUCCUUUAUGAUUGAGCCAUAAAAGAUUAUAAAAAUUAUGCAAGGACUUGAGAGGAGUCCAUUAGUUCUUUAAGUUUUAUUGAUUUGAGUGUAUGCCUUUAUUCUGAUGAAAUCGUGCCUAUCAGCCCAAGGUACAAAGUCUAUUCAGUCCCCUUUCAAAAUUCAUACUACAGAUGUCAUGUAUAAGGGUAAUGAUGUGUAUAAAAAUAUUGGAACUGUAUUUCCAUCCAAGUAGUAGUAUUUAUUAAAUUGUCAUGACCUAUUAGUAGUGAGAUUGGCCAGGAAGUUGGUGAUAAUAAGUCACAAUGUUAGAAGUCAGAGUGAGGGUGACUUUUCUGUAAAUAAAUAGUUUUAGUUGUUUAACUGUUGAUUGAGGGAUGGUUCACCAUUUUAUAGUGAUAGACUAAUGUGGUAGCAAUAAUUGCUGAUUCGGGAAGAAUGGUCUUACAGAACAAAUCUAAUGGGUGUGAGUCAAGGUUUAUUCAAGAGAUUGUAAAGGUUGUUGUACGAAACCUAAAUCGUGCAGUUUUAAGUGUUGCUCUCCACCCCGUUGGAAUAGAUUCUCGAGUUGAUAUUAUGGCUAUAUAUGGUAUGGGGGAAUAGGUAAAUCUAGCCUAGUCAAGACUUCUUACAAUCUUAACUUCGACAAAUUUAAGGGCAACAACUUUCUUGCUGAUGUGAAUAAAACUUCAAAUAGACAUAAUGGUCUAGUAAGUCUUCAAAAUGAAAUUGAGGAAAUGUUAGAUCACGUAAGAAGGAUCAAGAGUGGAGGUGAUCUAGAUAGCUUCAAGAUUGAUCAAAUUGAGAGACAUGAAAUGGAUCUAAGAUUGUUAAAAACUUUUGUAAAGUACAAUCAUUUUUUUUUGCCUAAUUCCGUAGUAAAAAUCACAAAGAAGGCCAGAAGGAUUGUGAAAAUGCUUUGUGGGGAUUUUUUUGGAAUUCCAUAUGAAUGUAAAACUAACCUUGAUCUGAAAAGGCUAGAAUCACAGUUGUUGGAAGUCAUUGAUGGUAAUACUAGUUUAAGUUACAAUUCUGAGUUGAAUGGUUCUGAUCUGUCAAAAUAUAUGGAUUUCCUCAGAGAGAAUCUAAAUGAUGUACUGAAGCGCCACAGGGAAUCGAAUAGGUCUUACCUUGAAACAAAUCAAUUUACAAAGCAACUGGAAAUUGUUCAAAAGAAAAUGAAAUUUUUUAGAUACUUGUAUGCCAUAGAGAUAAAUGGAUACGUCAACCAUGAGAAGUUGGAAUGUCUGGAGACUUGACUUCAGUUCAUGGCUAACAAUUUGGGGCAAUUUUAUCUUGUUGUUUUAGUUGACGCUGCUGAGUCUGAAGAUGAUAUCUUCAACAAACCUCCUAUCUAUUAUGUUUGAUUGUGUUAGUGGAGCUAGAAAUGAAGAAGAUUUUUCUUGGUACUACAGGCUUCAAAGUUUACUCAAUCAAACAUUUUCAAGGACAAGAAAUUACCAAAAGGAUUUUUCACAUCAUCUCCACAGUUUGCUGAUGUAUCUCAAAAACAAAAAGCUUGAGAACAUUUCUUAUAAUAUCAUUGCUGAAAAUAUUGAUGUGGCAAUAGAUUUCUUGUUGGUUUUCCUUGAUGCCUAUGUAUCAAAUCAUGUUAAUAAUGGUAACUGGUUUAAUGAGGUUAUGGAAAAAGGUUGCUUCUAUAGCCGGUGAUGUUCUAUAUGUAAUUCAAAAUCUUCUUCCUGGAUCUAUAGACAAAGAUGAAACCAGUGACACUGGAGAUAUUUACUCUAUACGGUCACUGGAGAAACCUAAAGAUCUGAAGGCACUGGUGAAGUCAUACUACAAGUCCUUAAAAUUCAUUCCAUCUCAGUUCUACCGCACUUCUGGUGGAUUGAGAUUUCUAGAUUCUCUUUUGAGUAAAUUGAAUGAGGUGUUGAAAUCUAAAUCAGAUUUAGAUUUCCUAAUGGAACCCCUUUUUGAUAAUUUGGAGAGAUAGUAUGAUCUCUAACAUCUAUUUUAGAGGAGGAGUUGUCAUCUUUAUCAUCCAUUUUCAGAGAUGUCGCAAAGGUGCACCAUGAACAUGAAAUUCUUAAAGAUUUUUGGAGGCGUACUAUCCAUUUGGCAUAUGAAGCUGAAGUUGCCAUUGAUUCUAUUCUUCUAUUAUUUCUUAGUAUAAUGUGUUUUGGCAUAUUUUUUCUCACUUCCUACAAUCUUAAAAGAGAUCAAGCAAAUUAAUGCAGAGGUGACUGUGAUGUGGUCUGCAGACGUCGCUCUUAAGCCUUACUAUGUGGAAGAGCCAUCUAAACAUUUGCCAAGUCAACAUAGCAAUCCCGUGGGUGAUGAUGAUGAGAUAGUGGGUUUUUAUAUAGCAACAGAAAAAGUAAUUUGGCAUCUGACUCGAGGGACAAGUGAGCUAGAUGUCAUCCCUACUGUCGAGAUGGGACAAACGGAAAACGAUUAUUGCUAGAAAGGUGUAGGAUAAUAAGAGGAUUGUUUCUCACUUCGAUGUUCGAGCAUGGUGCAUCAUUUCUCAAGGAUAUAACCAAAGAGAUCUAUUACAAAAGAUUUUUAGUCAAGUUACCGGUUCAAUGGAUAAGGGAGAAAAGGAUGACAUACUUACUGACAAGUUGAGGGAAAACUUAAUUGGAAAGAGAUAUCUUAUUGUAUUAGAUGAUAUGUGGGAUGGUAUAGAAUGGGAUAACUUAAGACUUUUGUUCCCUGAUGGUGGAAAACACUGUGCUGAAAAUGGACUUUUUUUCAGUUACAAGAUGAAAAUGCUUCUGCCACAGGGCUGGUAUGAGCAAGGCAUCUUCAGUACAUUUCUUUCUGGAAAAAAGAUACCUAGCUGGUUCACAAAGUUAGUUGUCAGGUCAAUCUUGAAGGAGAAUUUGUUUGAGCAUUAUUAUGUGCAGACUGCAGGUUCAGAGGGCGGGGUAGAAGAAGAAGAGGAUGAUGAUGAUAGCAUUCUUGAUUAUGAUAAUGAUGAUGAAGACGAAGAGGCUACACUGGUAGAGAUAGAGAAGUUGUUUGGAGAUCUUGGUGAAAGAAAUGGAACAAUGCUGCAGCAGUGUGUUAACAUUGAUGAGCUAAAAAAAUUUGUUAUAUUUGAAGGUGAAAAAAAAAUUGAUGUGACUCUCGAACUAAGGUUAUUGGUGAAAGGGAAAAGAAAGAGAUGAACUAUUGUUGUGUGGAAUAGCUAAGAAGGAGAAAUAUGGAGAAAAUAUUUGAGAAAGUAAUUGAAAAUUUUUGGUUUUAGUGGGGAGAUCCAUGUAGUGGGUGUAGUAAUGAUUAGGCUUAAUGUUGUGAUUGUUGAAAAUGCAAACCAAUAUGCUGUAUGGUUAGUACUCCUUGAAUUAAAACUUGAGUGUGUUUGACAUUAGUGAUAAGGUGAAGUAAAUCUUCUUAAGCAGAUGUAGAAUAUGGAGUCCAAAAGCUUAAGCUAGCACCUCUUUUCUCCAAGUUAGGCUUCAACAUAAGAGUAUUAUACAGUGGGACUCAAACUCGUGUGGUUAGUUGUGUAUUGGGAGAAUUCUAAGUUGGAAAUGAUGAAGCAUGAAAUUUAUUAUUUGUGGUGUAGACGAGUAGUGUCUCUAAUGUUUAAGUCUUUUUGUUGUAUCUUUAAUGUUUCGAUUCUUAUGUCCUGUGAUAAUGUCAUCUCAUGUCGUGUACUAAUCUUAAUCAGGACAAAGAUUCAUAUAAAAAAAAUUCAUGUCUUACAAUGUUUUGAUCAUGUGCUAUAAAAUACAUGCCAUGAUCAUGUCAACAUCAAGUUUCGUUAUCACAUGUGUCGUGCUUACACGUUUCCUAGGGGUUAUCAUGAAUCUCGUUGACUGCCUUCGUAUAUUUUGUUGAGGAAAAAUGUUCAAUGCAAUGUUACAUUCUUUAUCUACACUUUUAGAGCUUAAAAAGUCCCUACCCAUCAUUCGGGGACGAAUGAUCCCAAGGGGGGAUAAUGUAACACCCUGUACUUCCGAGCUAAAAUUUAGACCAUCGUUCCUACACGUAUAGAACCGAACUAAAUCAUUCCUUGUUAAUGUAUGUGUGGUGAUAACUCCUAUAGUGUGGGAAAACCUUUGAGUAUGAAUUGAGGUCACAAGAAUCUCCUAACUCUAAGACGAGUUGAAAACAAUUCUAUCGAUUUGGUUUUAGUGGACACUUUAACUGGGGUCAACUUUUGUCAACCAUAACUUUCUGUAUAUAAUGAACUGGGAGGGAUACUAUAUAUCAAAUGAAAUCUAUUUAAUUCUUCUUUCCAAUGCAACUAAUUUCAUUCAAAUCCAACAUUGGAGUAAAAAGUUAUGCCUAAUUUACUUCAGCAUAUCAGCCUGUCAACUGAGGGACUGUUGUGACUUUCUUUUUUUCCUUAGGGGUAUUUUAGUCCUUUCUCCCACCCAUAUUCAGACAUAAACACGUGAUUAAACCCUUAAUUAAACAAAAUAUGGUCAUUUUCUCCAACUCCCUCAAGAACUAAACACUUAGGUCUCAACCUAAGAAUCAAGAUCCCUUAAGAUUCAACCGUGGGUUUUAGAAAUUGAUUGAAGAUUUGGAAUCCCCAAACUGUAAGCUUCAAGAAGCAUCGCGUUGAAGAGUUAAAGGGAUUAUAUAGGGGUAGAAAUUUGACCCUUUUAACCCUGGACACGUCAUUAAAUUUUCAGUAAAAUUUUCUAAGUUGGGCCCUUGGCGCGAUUCGGCAUUAUCGCAUCGUGUCACUGGAAAUUGACAAUUGAGAAACUGCAAGGUGAUGCGACGUGGAGCUAUCAUGUUGCCACCUUGUCUACGACCUGGAAUUUUGGCACAACAUGCUAGUAUCGCGGAACAACACUGGAAUUUGACAAUUACCAUUUGACCUAUCUCCGCGACGCGCUGAAUGCUCAGGUCAAACACUAUUUCACUAAAAAGGCUCUACCUCUUCACCCGGGUAUCAGAUUUGGGUGAAUUAUAUAUCAAUGGAAAUAUUAUUCAAAGAUUAUGCGGUGAUACUUGAUGCCAUGUUUAUCAUGGGAUCAUGAACAUGAGACUGAAUACUAUGUUAGUGAUGUACACUAAUCAUGAAACUGAGUAAGCUUAAGGAGAAUUGUUACCUUGAGCUUGAUUUGAGUUGGCGGGGAAGAGGUGAGGAUACUUGGUAUGCAUAUCUACUUCUGCUUCCCAAGUAGCUCCCUCUACAAACUGAUUUUGCCAAAGAACCUUAACUAGAGAGAAUUCUUUGUUCCUCAAUCUACCGAGUAUGAUAGUUUAGGAUUUCGACUGGAAUCUCUUCAUAAGAGAGGCUGCUCUGAACAUCGAUGCUCUGAAUAGGGACAACAACUAAUGGGUCACCUAUACACUUCUUGAGCAAACAGAUAUGAAAGACUGGAUGAACUGAGGCUAGAUCUAAAGGCAAUUCGAGCUCAUAAGCUACCUUGCCGAAUUGACUAAGAAUCUUGAGGGACCGACAUAUCAGGGACUGAACUUUCCCUUCUUUCCUAAUCUCUUCACUCCCUUCAUAGGAGAGAUCUUGAGGUAGACAUGAUCACCAAUCUCAAACUCAAUAUCCUUUCAACGAACAUUUUCAUAACACUUCUGUCGGCCCUGAGCAGCCCAGAGUCUUUCUCUCAUUAACAAAACUUUCUCUAAGACAUCAAAUACUAAGUUAGGACCUAUGACUAAGGCCUCACUAACUUUGAACCAACCGAUUGGAGAUCUAUAUCUCCUACCAUAGAGAGCUUUGAAUGGAGCCAUCUAAAUAUUAGAAUGAUAGCUAUUGUUGUAUGCAAACUCAAUCAAAGGAAAGUGGUCAUCCCAACUACCCUUGAAAUCAAUUACACACGCCCUUAGCAUAUCUUCCAAAGUCUGAAUGGUCCUUUCUGCUGGACCAUCUGUCUGAGGAUGAAAGGUUGUACUAAGAUGAACUUGGGUACCAAGACCUUUUUGGAAUGCUUUCCAAAAAUGAGAGGUGAACUGGCUACCUCUGUUUGAGAUAAUAGUCAACGAAACACCGUGCAAUCUGACCAGCUCCUUAAUGUAGAGCUUGGCGUAAUCCUCGGCUGAAUAAGAGGUAUGAACUAGAAGAAAAAGAUCUGAUUUGGUCAUUUUGUAUACAAUGACCUACAUUGAAUCAUGCUGACGACGAGUUCGAGGCAAACCCAUCAUGAAGUCCAUGUUCACAACUUCCCACUUCCAAGUAGGAAUAUUGAACUCCUGCAUAGGACCACUAGGCUUCUGAUGCUCUAUCUUAACUUGCUGACAUGUAGAGCACUUAGCCACAAACUCUGUAAUAUCUCUUUUCAUCCUACUCUACCAAUAGAUUUGUCGUAAGUUGUGGUACAUCUUAGUGGCCCUUGGAUGAAUAGAAUAACACGCACCAUGCGCUUCUAAAAGAAGCCGCUGCCUUAAGUCAUCUAUGUCUGGAACACAGAGACGACCCUGACAAUGAAGAACAUCGUCUCCCCUUUGGGAGAAAACCUCUAUUUUUUUAAUUCUUAACUGACUCUUUUAGCUUGACAAGGCUAGGAUCCUUAUCUUGAUUUUCCUUCACCUCGAAAACUAGAGAUGAUUCUGAACUACUCUGAACACAUACACCGCCCUCUGAAGAGCUGACUAAGCGAACGCCUAGUCUGGCAAGCUGGUGGACUUCCUGGACUAACUUCUUCUUACUAUCAUCAACAUGAGAAAUACCACCCAUGGAUGGUCUACUGAGAGCGUCGGCCACUAUGUUGGCCUUGACUAGAUGAUAGAGGACACUCAUGUCAUAAUUUUUUAAGAGCUCUAACCACCUUCUCUGACAAAGAUUGAGAUCUUUUUGAGAAAAGACAUACUGAAGGCUCUUAUGAUCUAUGAAGACGUCUAUAUGAACUCCGUAGAGAAAAUACCACCAAAUCUUUAAGGAAGAUACUACGACUGAUAACUCAAGAUCAUGAGUAGGAUAAUUGUUCUCAUGGGGUUUAAGCUGUCAGGAGGCGUAGCCUAUGACCUUACCAUGCUUCAUGAGGACACAACCUAAACCUACUCUAGAUGCAUCACAAUAAACUACAAAACCAUCUGAACUAUCUAGAAGAGCUAGAACUGGAGCUGAGGUGAGUCGAAUCUUUAAUUCCUGAAAACUCUUCUCGCAAUAAUCUGACCACUGAAACUUGACCUUCUUCUGAGUAAAUUUGGACAUAGGAUAUGCAAUAGAAUAAAAUCCUUUAACAAACCAUCUAUAAUAGCAAGCCAAACCCAAGAAACUCUUGAUAUCUGAUGGAGAAAUAGGGCGAGGCCAGUUUCUUACUGCUUCGGUCUUUUGAGGAUUUACUCUAAUGCCAUCACCAAAAAUAAUAUGGCCAAGGAAUGAUACUAAUCUUAGCCAAAAUUUGCAAUUACUAAAUUUGGAAAAUAAUUGAUGAUUUUGAGAGUCUGGAGUACUAUUCUGAGAUGGUCUGUAUGAUCUCGCUCAGUGCGGGAAGACUAUGACGAACAUGUCCAAGUACUGCUUGAACACGCGGUUCAUCAAUUCCAUGAAAGAUUAUGGGGCAUUGGUAAGACCAAAUGACAUAACUUGAAUUUUGAAGUGACCAUACCGCUUACGGAAAGCUAUCUUCGGGAUGUCACAUUCUCUAACUCUAAGCUGAUGAUAGUCGGAUCUAAGGUCUAUCUUAGAGAAAUAACUGGCACCCUGAAGUUGGUCAAACAAGUCAUCGAUUCUGGGAAGAGGAUACUUAUUCUUGACCGUAACCUUAUUGAUUUGACAGUAAUCAAUGCAUAUUCUGAGUGAACUAUCUUUUUUGCGUACGAAUAAGGCUAGUGUGCCCCAUGGAGAAAUAUUGGGUCUGAUGAAUCCCUUAUCUAAGAAAUCCUUUAACUGUUCUUUCAGUUCUUUGAGUUCUGCUGGUGCCACUCUGUGUGGCGAAAUAGAGAUAGGUUGAGUGUCUGAAAGAAGAUCAAUACCAAAGUCUAUUUCCCUUUCGGAAGGAAUUCCUGGAAGAUCUUCGGGAAAGAUAUCUGAAUAUUCAUUCACUACUGGGACUGAUUCAAGACUGGGAGCCUCAGAAUUGGAAUCUCUAACAUGAGCUAGAUGAUAAACGCAUCCCUUAGAUAUCAUUUUCCUUGCCCGAAGGUAGGAAAUAAGCGGACCCCUGAAAGUGGAUACACUACCCUUCCACUCUAGGACGAGUUCAUUCGAGAACUGAAACUGAACUAUUCUACUUCUACAGUCGACUGUGGCAUAGCAGGAAUAAAGCCAAUACAUGUCGAGAAUGGCAUCAAAAUUAGUCAUCUCUAAUUCGACUAAGUCUGCUGAAGUGACUUUCUGAAAUAUCAUAACCGGGCGAUUCCUUUAUACCCGUUGGGCUAUGAUGGUUUUACCCACUAAGGUAGAGACUGAGAAGGGCUCUGCUAGAAUUUUUAGACUGAUUCUGAAAUCAACUUCUAUAUAAGAAGUAACAAAAGACAAAAAAGCUCCUAGAUCUAGCGAAGCAUAAACAUGCACAUGAAAGAUCUAUAACAUACCAGUAACUACAUCAAGAGAACUUUUCUCAUCUUGUCGAGUCUGAAGAGCAUAGAGACGAUUUGGGCGUUGCCCGCUAGUAGCACUAGAAGUGGAACCCUACUGAUUUGGGAGAUUGGACUGAGCUGAGGAGUGAUUAUUUUGUCCCUGAGGACCUGGCUGCGAACAAUAUCUAACUCUAUGGUCUGGCUUUCCACAACCAAAAAAAUGCCAAUACCUGAUCUACACACACUCUGAUGGUGCUUACCGCAAGUCUGGCAAAGAGGAUAGGUGCAGGCACUACUAACACUGCCCUGGGUAUUAGAGCCUGGUGCUCUAUCUUGUUACCCUCUCUGAACUUAGGGUACUAGAGCACUGGCUGUAGUGGGUGCUGGAACUGAUGACUUAGGAUGAAACUAGGAAAAGUUUCCUCCUUCUGACUUAGGCUGAGCGAAGUUAAAACUACCUGUCUUCGCUCUCUUAUUCUAUUUUUCCCUCUGCUUAAUUUUCUGCUCUUCUAUCUGCUGAGAAUGGUUCAUAAGUCUAGAUAAGGUCAUGUCACUGUUCAAAAUGGCGGAUCUACACUCAUUAACCAUACUGUCGUUCACCCCUGAAGCGAACUUACUCAUCUUGGAUCUACUGUCUGCAACCACGUGAGGGGCAUACCUGGCUAAUUGAGUAAACUUAAAAGAAUACUCUUUCACUGUCAUAUUGCCCUGCCUGAGGUUGAUGAACUCUAGUAUUCUUGGCUUCUCUAAGCUCUUGGGGAAAGAAUCUGUCUAAGAAUGAAGUGACAAACUCCUCCCACUCUAUAGGACCUGCAUCAUCUGAUCUUUCGAACUUUUGUUGUUUGAACCAAGCAUGAGCCACAUCCUGCAACUUGUAUACAGGUAGCUCAGCACUCUCAACAGUAGUCACCUCCAUGGCGUCUAUCACUUUUUGAACUUGAUCUAAGAAUUCCUGAGGGUCUUCAUCUACCUUAGACCCAAGGAAGGUUGGAGGAUUCAUUCGGGUGAAGUCCCGAAUCCUAGCUGCGGCUGAGUUGGCCAUUGGGUUAGCCGGAAUGACUGUUGGCCAUUCAUUAUGAGCAGUGACUGAUUAAGCAAGAGUGAUAAAUGUGAUCUUGAACUCCGCAUGAGAAACAUGAUCGCCCAAAGGUUUUUUGGGUUGAGGGACUGACUGAUUUCUUCUCUUAGGAGACAUGUUCUGAAAUAAAGAGAAGGAGCAGAUUAGACUGAGAGACUAACUUGUGAUUAUGCUCACUAGCACGAUAUGAAUACUGAAAGAAAGGAAAAUGUUCUUAAAAUAUCUUAUAGCCUCUUCCACAUAAAUGUGGCGCAUAAUACACCCUUGUACAAGACUCUACUAGAUGCGGCUUUCAGACUUCCUAGGUCUCUAUUGAACCUUAGACUCUGAUACCAAGUUUGCAAUGACCCAAUUUGCUGAACCAAAAUUCUACACGGUGCUCAUGACACCGAAGGACCACAAGCUAACCCAUGACUGAUAUUUGUACUUGUAUAUUGCAUAAGAUAACAUAAUAAUGUGGAAAUAUACACUGAAAGGCCAUAAGGUUCGAUCAUAAAUAUAACUGAAUAACGUAACAUCUGUGUGGGGUAAUAGAAUACCCAAAACAAAACUGAAAAUACUGAAGUCUAAACAUGAUAAUAUGUAUCUAGUCGGCAUCUAGUCUGAAAGCCUCUACUGUCUGAAGAAUCUGAAUAAGAAGUUGAUAGGACAUUUCCCCAACUAACUCCAACUAAUAAGAUAAUCAAUGAGAUAAUAGAAAAUCAUUAUGUCCUCAAAGAAAGAGGAAUCACUUCUAAUCUGACUACUGAAACUGGAAUCUACUGCUGAUCUGAAACUCGUGUCUUUGAACCUAUGGUGUAACAUAAAAAGAAAGCACCAUAGCGUGAAUGCAUCAGUACAUAUGUACCGAGUAUACAUGUGAGGUAGGCUAUAUUCAAGGGUUUGCAUGCAUGAAUAAUGCUAACUGACUGUCUAACAUGAACGUGAGAAUAAAAGCAUAAAUACGUAACUGUAACUGACAAUGUGAUUUCAUGAUUUUUGAGUCUGUAUACUGAUAAUGUGACAUGCUAGUAACUGAUAUGACUGAUAACAUGAAGGACUAUAUCUGAAUAAUGUUGAUAACAUGGGUGACUGUAUCUGGGUAUAACUGACUGUAGAUGACAGUCCUAAAUCUGAUGGAACUAUCUGAGUUCCAUACUGUAUCUAAGUUGACUAUGUCUGACAGUCCUAAAAUCUAAAAGACUAUCUGAGUUCUAUUACAGAAACUGAUUGACUAUAUCUGAUAGUCCUGAUUCUGUAACAUGAAACUGUGGGAAGUAGUAUCUAACCGACAUGCCCCAAAGGUGCUAUGAUAGCUGAGCUGGGGUCCAAUCUAUGCCCUGACUAGAAGGGUGUCAAUACCGCGCCACUGGUAAGGACAACAUGUGAGUAACCCUCAUAUAAUAGGUAACUCUAGCGAGAAUGGUGGGAACCCUCACAUAACAGGUUAAGCCACCUCAUCUACCCUUAUAUAGAAGGCUACGAUGUCUCAACCUAUACUGGUUACAUAGUUCUGGAAUGCAAGGAUUGCUUCUAGGAAUCACAUCCUCGUAUAACAGGUGAGUCCCGAUCCUUGGGUUCACAGUUAAUAUUUUGGGUACAAGUACCCCCAGGACUCGAUAGAAGGAACCUGACAUGACUUAAUAUUCUUAAAUACAUGAUAAUCACCACAAUAUGUUUAUUGAAGCAUUUCAUCAAACGUCUAAUAGGCAUAAGCCUGUACAUUUAUGGGGAUUUUCAUGAUAUCAUGCUAGUUAGGCAAAUUUCCUUUAUCUAUGCAUUUUAUCAAACAUAUGGUAGGCGUAGUACAUGUAAACACAUUAUACAACAAUUAAACAUCAUGCUUCAAUUCCAAUUCCAUCAUACAAGAUUUUAGUCAUGAGAUUUUGUAAAUCUUUAUCUAUACUAAUCAACCCACAUGUAAUUUAUCAUCAAAUCAUGGAAUAGAAAUCAAUUCCUCAUUUAUCAACAUGAAAGAGAACAUACAAAGCAUAAAAACAUGAAAAAAAUCCAUAACUUGUAGUUAAAAAGGAUUCUUGGACUUCAUGGACGAAAUGAGUCUAUGAAUGAACACUAUGCAUAACUUAGAUCAUGAUUUCGUGAAGAUUGAUGGUGAAACCUUACUGAAUUUGAAUCCCCAAUAGAAACCCUAGUUUGUUCUUGAGAUAAACUUGAGAGAAACUAAUAUGUUUUGGGUGAAAAGUAGCUAAAUCACGUGUUAAAGGGAUUAUAUAGGGGUAGGAAGUUGACCCUUUUAACCAUGGAUACCUUAUUAAAUUUUCAGUAAAAUUUUCCGAGUUGGGCCCUUGGUGCGACGCAGCGUUAUCGUGUCGUGUCAUUGGAAAUUGACAAUUGAGAAACUGCACGGUGGUGCGACACGGAGCUAUUGCGUUGCCACAUUGUCUAUGACCUGGAAGUUUGGCGCGAUGCGCCAGUAUCGCGGAGCAGCACUGAAAUUUGACAAUUGUCAUUUGAGCUAUCUCCGCAAUGCGCUGAAGGCUCAGGCCAAACACUGUUUCACUAAAAUGGCUCUAACUCUUUGCUCGGGUGUCGAAUUUGGGCGAAUUAUAUAUCGAUGGAAAGAUUAUUCAAUUUUCCACGUGAUAGGAAGUGAAAAUUAUGGAAAUACAUCAUGUAUAAGAAUGAAUUUUGAUUUCAAAGUAAGUUCUAACAUCCUUGAGAACCCCUCUCGUAUGUUGAAUUAAACAUUAUGGUUUUGUUGAAAAAGAGUUGAAAUGCAUGCCUUGUGAUUUGAAAGUAGUUUUCUCAAUCUCAUAGCAAUUGAAACAUGAUUUAGAAAUAAUGAGAGGGUGUUUCUUGAUGUUACUAUGAUGUUCUUGUGUUAAAGAGAGAAAUGCAUGUAAUUGAGAACUUUGACAUGACCACCUUGAAUUCUUGAAAUGUUGACAAAGAGAGUUUCCUUGCAUAUGUUUACAUGAGUUUUAAAGAAUGAGUUUCUUGAAAAGAAUUGUAUAUAUGGUGUCCUAAAUUCCAUGUUUUGAAAACAGAAAUAUAAUUUGCUAAAUGGCUCAGAGAAUGUGACUUGCAAGUCAAUGGCACGACGAUACCAUAUAAAUGUAUGGAAUGAUAGAGUUAGAGUUUGAUUUCAGAGAAUCUAUGUUUUAAAGAGUUAAAAACUGGGUUGAUGUGAGUUAGGUGGUUACCCGUAGAAAGCCCAAGUCAAAUGACUCUAUGUUGGAAAUCGUGAUUUGCCGACAUGGGAACUUGGUACCCUACUAUGUGAUAUUGUUUGCCUAGUACUUUGUCAUCCCAAAUCGGUACUUAUGGUUUGGAUCCCUGCUUCAUGAUCUUGAGCCCAACCACGAUAAAAUGAUUUGAUUGAGGUUGUGGUACCCUGCUGUGUGAUCUUGUGUGCUCUUCCCUCACUAGUACUCCUAUCUUGGUGGCAACUGAGAUAAGGUAGUCAGUGAAAGUUGCGAAAUUAUAGGGUAUACCACCUAGCGCAGAAGUAAAACAAAGAGUGUUACAGAGUUCAGAUGAUUUUAUAGAGUCUUUUAAAAAUGCCCAUGUGAUUUUUACCAUAUGACAUAUUUAUGAACUAUUUUAAAUCACGCUAAUAUAUGUUGAAUAUAAAUUAUUAUUUUGGAUUUGCUCUGCGUACUAGUACAUCUGUAUUGACCCCCCUACCUCCCAGGUUCGGAGGCUCAAUCUAAGGGUCCGACUAAGCAGUAGAGUAUUCAGAGAGAAGUGAUCAGUGAAGUGGUGAGACUUCUUUGUUCCAGAAGGCCUAUUUUAUCAAAUUAUGUUAUUCCUUUUGUUUUGGUCUACUGAGGGCCUUGUCCCAGUUUUCAAACAGUUAUCAUUUGAUCAUGUAGUAGAGAUUUCACAAAUUGUUCUAGAUGUUGUUUAGUUGAUUUCAAAUUUCAUUCCUUAUUGUUAAACUGAAUUCAGAGUAUGACCAUGUUUUCAUAUCAGAUUGUAUUUCUGCAUCUUCUUUUAUUAUAUUAAUGUUGUGCAUGACUACCAGAUAGAGUAGGACGUCUGGGCCUUCAUGGUUCGGAAUGUCCGUCACGGCCAGGCCCUAGUUCGGGUCGUGACAAGGACUUUGUGUACUUCUGCUGAGCUUGUGCAAGCUACCACUGUGUCCACUUAUGAUGCAUAUUAUAAAUAGUGAAUAAAAUCUCUUUUAUUACCAAAAAAGAAGAGAAAAUUAUAGUAGAAAAUUUAUAUUCGAUUUGAUACUCAUAAUCGUAGUUUUAUAGUAACGUCAAUGAAUUUGACACUUAAAACAAAAAUAGGUAAAUAAUGUAAUAUACUACAUGAAAUUUAUCAACUAUAUAAUUUGAUGGAACAUUAAUUACUUACCAAAAUCAUUCAGUUAUUUCUAUAUUAACUAAACAAAAUUUCGCACUUGGUCAAAUAAAAUAAAUCUACCAUUUAAUUUGAAAAUAAAAAUGUAUUAAUAUACUUUUAAGUUUUAUAAUUAUAUAAAUUCUUCACUUGGGUUAACAUCUAGAUAAUUUUAAAGGACACUGAAUAUAAUUAUAAAUGUAUUUUGACUAGUAAAUGUUUAAUGAAGGACCAUUAUAUAAGUCAAACUUUCUACAUGUAUUAUAAGUAAAUCAAAUCUAAAAUUUAACUUGAAUUAAAAAAUAUUUUUGACGUGCUUACUGAAAUAAGAGAAAAAACAUUCACAUUAUGAUUAAUUAGCUUUGGAAAUGCAUUCAAUUAAAAAGUUGAACCUUAACUUGAUAAUUAAAAUAUUAUUUUUAAGUUUAAAAAUUGAAAUCGUUAACUAUAACGACUUAUAUAUGCCCUUUAAUUCUAUAUCAACUACGCAAAAAGUUUUGAUAAAGUUUUUGAUAUUUUUCAUCUAUAAAAUAUGAUACGAUAAACUAACAUACCAAAUUUAUAUUUCAAGCCCAACAAUACCAUUCAAUUUCAUAGGAAAAAUAAAUACACCUUAACUUAUCAUAUUUACAUAAAUUUUCACCCUUACAAAGUAAUUAUAAAAAUCUCAACUAAUUAUGUAUCUUUGUUGAAUGUAUCAGGGAGUUAAUUAUGUAUCUUAACAGAUCCAAAAUCUGAAAAAGUAUGUCGAGGGAUAAUAUGUAUCCUCUUAUUAGUAACAUACAUUAUUAUUUAUUCCCUCGUGAAAAAUCCAGUGUGACAUUUUUGUAACAUAGAUUAAUAAUUUAAUUUUGAAUUAGCUCGACGUAAUUUUUUUUCCCCGGAUACGUUUGGUAUUCGUGAGUAACUGAUUAUUAUCUCCUAAUAUAAGCAAGAAGAGAACGAUCAUCGUAUCUCAUGUAUAACUCUCUUAAGUAUUUUUUAAAAACUUAAUGUACUAAUGGGCCAAAUUCUGAUAUUGGUCUCUUUAUCAUGUUAGGACCCCUUUGAUGAAUCAAGAAGUUUUCAGCUGAGGAGAAGCCCAAUAGCUACAUAUUGGACUCUUUAAACCCAUACAAUAAAUGUGGCACCUAAGCCCAUCUUACUCUUACAUAUUUCAAUAAUAUUACUAAUCUCAUAUACACCCGAUGUAUACACAAAACACGGUUAAAGUAACUCUAGUAACAACAUUGUCACAAACAAAUGUUAGUUCCCGUCAAAAUAUAUCCUAUCACAAUCGUAGUAGAAUUAACUGAAUAGGAGAUAAACCAAAGAAUUCGUGUUUUAUUUGAAUAAUCUAUAUUCCAAUAAGUCAUAGAUUGUUAGAGAAAUGACACAUUUACUUAAUAGGCAUUUCGCCAUGAGAAUUCUUUCACUUUUUUCAAAAAAUUCUUUAACUUUUGUAAAAGAGAAACUAGUAGUGUUUCGCCAUAAGAAUUAUUCUCUCACAAAAUUUCAAAAACAACUCUACUUUAUAUUCAUGGCCAAACACAAUACCAACUCCAACUUAGCAAAAAAUAUUAUUUCAUGGCUAAACAAGACCUUAUUCACAAUCUGCAACACUAAGUGUACCAAUGGAUUCGUUUAUAGUGAUCAAAUUUGCCACUUCCAAACAGGAUUCACAAAUAUACAUUGGGUUGUGCUUCAUCUAUAUGGCCCUAAUCAUAAUAAACCCAAAAAUGAAAGGGACAAGUGCACAAGUAACCGAUUCGGACUAUCAUUUAAAUCAUAGCCAUCAUACAUAAUUUUUUUUUUGUAAAUUUAGCCGCUUCAAAACCAAAUUAAGGCAUAUGUGAUCAAAGUUGCGAAAGUGAGUAUGUACGAACGACAAAGUUCUAACAUUUUUACUUAAAAUUUGGCUUGUCAUGAUCAAACUCUUGAAUCUGGUUUGCAAAGGCCCAACAACCCAACAUUUAUGUCUGAAUUUUGGUUGGUUAAGACGAUUGUGUUAUAGCGACUAGCACAAUAAUGAUGGUGGUGAUUGUGACAAUGAAUUGAUUUGAUGUUAGUAGUUGAUGGUUUGAUGGUGGAUGUCACUGAAAAAUGUGUGGUGGUUGACGAUGAGUGUUGGUGGAGGUAGUAGAUAUUAGGAAUUAGCAUCAGUGACGAUAGUGACUUAUAGUAAUAGCGAGGUGGUGACAGUGAGUGUGAUAGAAUAAAUAAUUAUAAUAAUUGAUAUGUAAACAUGAUAGUAUAGGGAGUCGUUUGGUUAGGAAAGAGUUAUCUUGGGAUAUCCCAGGAUUAAUUAUCUCACCAUGUAUAUGGGAUAAGUGGGAUAACUUAUCCCAUCACUGUGAUAUAAAUGGUGGGAUAAUAAUCUCGAGACUAAUUAUCCCACAUUUUAUCCUGAGAACAUUGACCAACUUAAAGGGUCAAACAUAAUUAAAAAACUUGAUUAAGUUAAUUUUGGACUUGAUUAAUAUUUUCAAAAAAUUUUAAUCUUUUCAAAAAAACAAAUCAACCCAUACCCCUCUCCUUUCCAAAUCAACUGUCUCUCUUAUCUCUCUCUCGACAGUCUCUGUCAGCUCUCUCCUAACCAGAAAUUCUAUAAAAUUUCUCUCUUUAAUCCCCAACGACUUCAAGCUCCGUCGACAAAUAGUUGGGCGAGUUUCUUUUUGACUUUAAAUUGUCAAUCGACAUGACAAGCAGUGUUCUCUAGCGACAACAACUUUGAGUUCUUCAUCGUCCCAUUUCUCACGGGUAAAGAUUAUGUCUUUUUUAGUUAUGAAGAAAAAAAGGAACUUAAGCCAACUUCUCUUCUAUUAUUGGUUAACAAUUUCAAUAUUUCUUACUUAAAUUUGAAUUGUGGACUAAAGAAAACCCUAAUUUCUGGCAUUUCUUCUCUACUCUUUCCAUUGUGAGAUAUAAUUUUUUGUUGUUAUUGUAGUUCUUGUUGUCUAAUUUUCAGCAAGUUAAAGCGGAACAUCAGAGACCCUUCUAGGUCAAACCUUUAGUAUUCCUGUAUGGAAAUGGGAUGCUAUUAAUAUGGACUUCAUUAUAGGCUUACCUUUUUCUUAUUGAAAACAUGACUCUAAUUAGGUAAUAGUUGAUCGAUUGACGAAAUCAGCCUAUUUCUUCCUGUUAAGUCUACCAUCACGGCUGAAGCUUAUGCCAAGCUUAUGUAAAUGAGAUUGUUCGCCUACAUAGGACCUAGAUGUCCAUUAUUUUAGAUAAAGGUUCCCCAUUUAAAGCUCAAUUUUGGAAAUCAUUUCAUAGGAGCUUGGGUACUGAUACGAGCCAAAUAGACAACUUAGAUUUUGAUGAUAUCUUUGGAGUCUAGCACAUAGAGACUCAAGACAUGGUCACUUCGAAUAUACAAGAACAAGCAUGGAGGACAAGUUUUGAGCAUUCCAUUAAGCAAGGCCGUGUGUGGAAGAUUUCUUGGAGCAUUAAAGAUUUGAGGACUCACGAUUUUGGACCAUACUUAAUGGCUCAUGAUUUUUGGAGCAUUGAAGAUCCUUAAAACACUCCAAAACCGCCAUUCUACUUAAGGGUUUUUUGGUCAUUUUUUGCCCUUUCCUUACACUCCAUAGGAGUUCCUUUCAUUAAGGGCAUUAGCGUUAUUUUGGUUUUGAUUUUGUAAUUACUAUAAGUAGGCUCUUUAGAGUUCAUCUCAUAGUUGGUUGUUUUAUCGAUGUAAGACUUUGAAACAUUGUAAAAAACUCUCUCUAGUGUGAGGAGUGUAACACCUUUAGUUGUAAGGCUUGGAAUAGCCACCAAACCGAAAUGAAGGAAGCAAGUGUGGAUAUCACUUAUAUUGCAGUCGUUGGCUUCAAACGUUGGUGCUAGGGGAGGUAAUGUCCCUCUUGUGUCUACGUAGGAGAUUGGUAAUAGUUUGUGUAGGUUGUAAGGGUCCUUAGAUUUGAUAUAUCUUAGGAUUCUUAGAGUUUAUACACUCCUUUGUCAAUCUAUUCAUCCAUUUUAUCUUUUGUAAUUCAUGUGUUCUUGUGUUGUCAUCUUGUUGUCGUUUUUGUGUCUUGUUCUUGUAGACUGUUUGUGACAUUUUUGUGGCUGUUUUGUGCCUUGUUUAGACCAUUUUUUAUCAUUUGGUAUCAAUGAUAAGGCUGAUUUUAUUUCCACAAGAUCAAUCUUGGGCUUGUAAACUUGAAAAUCGAAAAAAAAUUAUUGAAAACUGAAAAGUCCAGAAAAAUAGCAAUAUGCCCGUGUUUGUGUUCUUAGCCGAAAUUGUGUUCUUGUUGUUGUUUUGUCCAAGAUUUAAGUCGACAUAUAGGUGUAUUUUACUUGUUUUGAGUGUUUUUGGUGUUAGCUCUCUUCUUCUCUAACACCUUGAGUCUAGAUCCAAGUGAGCUUGAACGAUUGUUGGUGGUAUUAUUGUUGCGGCUUCAAAACUUGAACAUUAUUGGUGUUAUUAUUGUGGAUCCAAAAUCUGGAAGGUGUUGUAUUAAACUUGUGUUGUCGAUAUUGUGUUGUGGGUUAUAAGCUUGAAAAGGGUGUGUUUGAUUCUUGGAGGUUCACGUGAGGUUUGGUCUUCAAACUUCUAUUGAAGGUUCUUGUUGUUCUAAACCAAUCUUCAUGUCUAGUUGCAAGAAGACUCUUCAAUAGUGUUUUUUUGAUUCAAAACAAAGUGUAAAGAAGUGGAGUUUUUGUUAGUCUUGAAAACUAAUCCCAAAGACCUGGCAAAAGGGAAGGGGAACAAGAAGAUCUACAGAAGACUUGGUACCAAAAGAGGGAAAGAACACUUUUCUAGGUGUCCAAAAGAAGAAAGGGCCACUCCAACCCUUCAAAAAUAUGUCUUUCCCAAAAGGUGUAAGACAAGUCAAACCUUUUGAAUGUGAAAAAAAAAGAUCCAACCUUGAUGUUUUCUUCCCCAAGGACGAAAUACACUUCUUCAAGAAUUGAAAAUUGAACAAAAAAUUCAAAGUUGAAAAAUAAGAACCUUUCAAAACCCGCAACCAAUUCUAGACCGCCACAUCACCAAUUUCCAUACAAUACCGAAACCAAGGGCUCAAAAUCUUGGAUUCUUAGUUUCUUAUUGUUGAUUCUUAGUUUAGUUUUGUUGAUUCUUAUACUAUUUGGCAACUAGUAAAUACCUACUAAGUUGUAAAUCAGUUUUUAAAUAUGUUUCUUCGUGUUAGCAUUAUUUUUGUGCUUUUGUUGUUUUUAAGUGGUAGUAUUUCUUGGUUCAAGUUCAGACAUUACUUUCUUGAGUCUUCAAUCAAAGAAUCCAUUCCGACCAAGGAGUAGACUCACCCCUCGACUCAUCACGAACUACAAGCUGACUUGCAACACUUGUGAAACCAAGUGUGAGACGAUCAAGUCUGUGAGAGUGUGGAGAGGUUGUUUCGAACUAACUUGUGUUUUGUUUUGUAGGCUAGUUCUUUUUUUAUUUCCCAUUUUUUUAGGCACAAUUACAAGGGAACUCACGCCUUCAACCUCUCAAACCAUGGCAAUAAUGUCACCAAUGUCAUUUUGGCCUACCUUGACACUAUGUCCCGAGACCUAGCUAUGAUAAAUGAAAGGUUGGAUCAUAUGGUAGGUCAAAGGGAGCAAGUGAUAUGCUCGGACACACGUCAAGAGGAAGGUUGUAGCUCAUGUGAGCUACAAGGUAAUAACGUUAUCCCCUACACUCCUACGAAUUUAGAAUGUUGUGUUGUGGCUAGUAGUAUCCAAAUGGGUGUAGUUGUGGCUUUGCCUAGGGAAGAGGUGCUUGAGUCUUCCUUUUGUGAUACUCUUGGUAUUGCUAGGUCGUAUGAGGACCAAACUCUUGUUGUAGGUACACAAGAACUAGUUGAUCCUUUAAAUGCUGAAAUUGAUUCUCCUCGUGAUAAUGAUUUGUGUCCAUCUAGUGCUAGCACUUAUAACUUGACUAAGGUUCCAUUACCAAGUUACAAGAGUAUUCACACACUAGUUGACCCUUUUGAAAACCAAGGUGAGUCUACGUUGGUAUGUGAGUUUCCAACAACUAGUAAGGGUGAGCAAAAUGAUCAACCAGGUGAAGAUGAUCUUGAUUUGUUUGAAUGUUUAGAAAACCUGAGUUGUGAUUGUCCUUGUGAAGAAGGUUUUGAUUGUGGUCCUUUGGCUUCCCGUGAUGUCUUGGAUGUAUGUGAGGACUACUCUUAUGAAAGAGAAGGUGGUAUAUGUUUAGAAAUUCCAUUGACUUCUUCUCUAUGUGUUUCUUAUGUUGGACAUACUCCUAGUGGAGAUUUUGAAACUAGUAGUAAGUGCAUGCAAGAGAACCCUUUAUUUGAAGUUGACUUGUGGAACAACUUUCUCAACCAUCUUUUUGUUCAUAGUAUUUCCAUUAGUGAUAAAGAGGGUAUGCUUAACUUUGAGAAUAGCACCCUAGGGGAGAGUGAGAGUGGCCGAGACCUAAGCCCUUGGUUACGUCUUUCAUUUGACCCCGGUAAUUUCUUAGGGUGUGAAGGAUGGAUAGUUGUUGUUCGGUCCACUUGUUUGAGUAACAUUGCUAUAUGUGUUGCGUGGACUUUACUUUCAAUUAAGGCACCUCUCCUUGAUGGUGAUUCCUUUUGCCAACUCCUUUGUAAUAUUUUUACUAAGUUCCUCGUGAUUAAAACAAAGAAUGUGUGGUUAUAUCUCAGGUGUGUACCUCUUUGGCAUGUUGAUGUUGUUUAUUGAGCUAACUUUAACCCUCAUGUCAUGAGGAUGUGGUUCUUGUUUUUUUUUUUGUAAGGUUUGGAUUCAGUUUGAAUCCUUUUCAAACAGGGGAGGAUGAUACGAGCCAAAUAGCCAAGUUAGCUUUUGAUGACAUCUUUGGAGGCCAACACAUAGAGACUCAAGACUUGGUCACCUCGAGUAUACAAGAACAAAUAUGGAGGACCGGUUUUAAGCAUGCCAUUAAGCAAGGCCAUGUAUGGAAGAUUGCUUGAAGCAUUAAAGACUUGAGGACUCAUGGUUUUGGACCACAUUUAAUGGACCACGGUUUUUGGAGCAUUGAAGAUCCUUAAAACACUCCAAAAUCGCCACUCUACUUAAGGGUGUUUUGUACAUUUUGUGCCCUUUCCUUACACUCCAUAGGAGCUCCUUUCAUUAAGGGCAUUAGGGUUAUUUUGGUCUUCAUUUUGUAAUAACUAUAAGUAGGCUUUUUAGGGUUCAUUUCAUAGUUGGUUGUUUUAUUGAUGUAAUACUUUGAAACAUUGUAACAAACUUUCUCUAGUGUGAGGAGUGUAACACCUUUAGUUGUAGGGCCUGGAAUAAAAACCAAACUGAAAUGAGGGCACCAAGUAUGGAUAUCACUUGUGUUGCAAUGGUUGACUUGAAACGUUGGUGCUAGAGGAGGUAACAUCCCUCUUGUGUCUACGUCGGAGAUUGGUGAUAGUUUAUGUAGGUUGUAAGGAUUCUUAGAUUUGAUAUAUUUUAGGGUUCUUAGAGUUUAUAUACUCCUUUGUCAAUCUAUUUAUCCAUUUUAUCUAUUGCACUUCGUGUGUUCUUGUGUUGUCAUCUUGUUGUCGUUUUUGAGUCUUGUUCUUGUGGACAGUUUAUGACAUUUUUUAUGCUGUUUUAUGCCUUGUUUGGACCAUUUUAUAUCAAGUACUUAGGUGAACCUUAGCAUUGCAUUUCAUCCACAGACAGACGGCCAGGCCGAGCUCACUAUUCAGAUGCUCGAAGACAUAUUGAGAGCGUGUGUGCUGGAUUUUAAAGGUAAUCGGGAUGAUCAUUUGCCUUUAAUAGAAUUUGCUUAUAAUAAUAGUUAUUACUCCAGCAUUGGCAUGGCUCUAUUCGAAGCUCUCUAUGGGAGACGAUGUAGAUCACCUAUUGGUUAGUUCAAAGUAGGUGAAACACAAGUAUUAGGUUCGAAUCUAUUCUAUCAAGCUGUCGAAAAGGUUAAACUGAUACGAGAGCGGUUAAAGACUGCCCAGAGUAGGAAAAAAUCGUAUACGGAUGUUCGGCUUAGAGAUUUAUAAUUCCAAAUUAAUGAUUUCGUGUUCUUGAAGGUGUCGCCUAUAAAAGGCGUUAUGCGAUUUGGUAAGAAGGUAAGUUGAGUCCUAGGUAUAUUGGGCCCUAUAGAGUUAUUCGCAGAAUUGGACAGGUAGCCUAUGAGCUAGAAUUACCUCCAGAGUUAGUUGUAGUGCAUCCUGUCUUUCAUGUGUCUAUGCUACAUAAAUGCUUAAGAGAGCCCUCUCGUAUGAUCCCUAUUGAAGGUAUUGAGUUUGCUGGAGACUUAUCAUUUGAGAAAGUUCCCGUGGCUAUAUUGGAUCGCCAAGUCAGAAAGUUGAGAACCAAAGAUAUAGCUUUGCUAAAGGUGCUUUGGAGGAACUAGAAUGUAGAAGAAGCCACUUGGGAAGCAGAAGCGGAUAUGAAAACUAAAUACCCAUACUUGUUCCAAAAACUACUAGAAGGUUCUUAAACUACUUGCCCCUUUAUAUGAUUGCUAGUUUCUACUAUAUUUUGUUUUGUUGAUAUCUGACUCUUACUUGAUAUGUUUAGGUACAUGAUUUGUGCCUAAGGGUCUUGAGAUUUACAUGGAAACAGCGUGUGUAUGAAGAGUAUAAGGUAAGUUACAUGAUUGAUUAUGACCUUUAAUUAUGUGUAAGGCUAAGAGGAGCCCCGUGAACUAUUUCUUGAGUUUAAGGCCAAGCGGAGCCUCGUAUGUUAUUUGUUGAGCAUUAUAUGUAUAGUGACGCUCUAUGAAGCGUAUUUGGAUGUAUUCUAGCUAGCUAACAGGUACCCAACAGGCCUAUUUACAAAGAAAACUCUGGCGAAAUUUUUGAAAAUUUAGAGAGUUAGUCAAAUUUAAGGCCUUAUGAUUGGUCAAGUGAGACCAGAGUUGAUUAAAUGACCGUAAGAAUAUCUUAGAUAGUUAUGGGAUGGAAAUUAAGGUACAAGCAUCAUUCGAGGAUGAAUUAUACUAAGUGGGGGAGAUUGUAGCACCUCGAGAAAAUUUUGAAUUAAGUUAACAGCUUAAAUUAAGUACAACUUUGACCUAUAAAGAAAAUUACAGUACAAAGGAAAAACAAAUGGAGUCAAAAAAUAUUUAGACAAGGAAUUUAUAUGUUAGCUGCCGGUAAGAUGAGCAUCUUGAAAUAUCAAGAUACAUAUCGUAAAUGUAUAAAGUUGUGGGGCCCUUUGUCCACCUUCCCUUUCUUUUUUCUUAAAAGUAAAGUGAAAGUAAAAGUAAGGGUAACAUAUAUAUAUAUAUAUAUACUAGUUUCCGACAAUUUUCCAGCUACCGAUCGACUGUACGACCAUGUUUACUACUUUUUGGAUCACCUUUCUCAGUUUGUUCCUUUUCAAUGAAGGUCUCUCAGACGUCUAGAGCGGUCCUUAUUAGUUUUCUCCCACAUAUCUUCACCAAGUCCCUCAUCGAUCCUCAUAUUAAUUACAUCCAUAACAAGUUUGGCACAUAUGUCUUUUUUGCACCACCUUGAGGGGGAGUGUUAGAAUAUGAGUAGGAAUAGGAAUAGCAUAUAGAAUUCUACUUGAAAAAGGAUUGUCAUUUAGUGACCUAUUUGAAAAAGGAUUGAAAUAUAGUGUCUAUAAAUAGGGUCUCAAUGUAAUAAUGUAAACACAACAAUUCAGUAGUAUUUUUCUCUUAUAUUUCUCCCAUUAACUUCAGUCAAAGUAUCCACCACUGUUCUCCCUGAUGCCUAAUACAACACAUCAAAUAUACAAUGAAGAACAUGUACUCCUACCAAAUAUGCAAUGAAGAGAGUACGCUCUCUUUGUUGUAUAAUUUGGUAGGAAUAUAUUUUGUUGGUCGAAUAUUUGGUAGGAAUAUAUCCUCUUGAUUGUAUAUUUGCCAUUUGUACAGGAUAAUCCUGUAGAUUCCUACACUUGUAGUUUUGUUUCCUAGUUUAGCUACACCUCCGUGUAUAGAGGUCAUUUUAAUCAAUGAAAGAUGCAGCUACUUGCAAUUCGUAGACGGUAUUGGAGCCCCAGUCACCUUCUCAUCUAGUCUUUGGUUGUCUUCACCAUCGUGUAUGAAACAAAUGUUACCAUUGUUCAGACCACCGCUGCUGUUGUGAAUUCUGCUUCAAGUCAGCAUCACACCUUUCCCUAUGCCUAGUAUCACACAUUAAAUAUACCAGGAAGAGAAUAUAUUCCUUGCAAAUAUACAAGCAAGUGAAUAUAUCCCUCAUUAAGAUAUUCCUCAUUAAGGCUACAUGGAAAAGAAAUGGACUCUUGAUCUAUUAGUCUAAGUACAUUCUUUUUGAAAAUAUUAACAUAUAUUAAUCUGCAUAAAGGCUAUGCUGGCAGCGAUCUUUAAAAAAUGAUCCCCUGUGUGCUCUACAAAAGACGCUUUAGACCAAAAAUAUAAAUCGUAAAUACAGUUCAUUUUAACUACUUGACUGGAAGUAAUCCUAUUUUCAAAGUAUCUGUUGUUUCUUUCCAGCAGAUGCACGCUGGAAAAAUACUCCACUUAUUUUGAUUAGUCCUUCCAGCGUAGUUCCGGGCUUUCAAGAUCCCUAGUGUUUCUUGGCAUCACCCAUUUCAGUUAAUCCAAAAUCAGAAACAGGUCCCAGAGCUGAGAAGUUAAAUACAAUGUAGGUCGUAGGAAGAGGCGGUUGUUUGAUUCUGAGGCAGCUUUACAUAGAUUUACAUAGGAAACAUCUGGAGAGUAUAUUAAGGACCUUCUUAAAAGUGGGUAUGUCUUUUUGUAGUGACAUUUCUACUCCAUCUUGUACUGACACACGCUUCCUCUGGGUGAUAGUAACACUUUUUAUGAUGAAACUUUGUUUUCUCGAAUUGUUGGAGAGAUUGCAGUUUUUGACUUUCACCCGACCAGAUAUUGCUUACUUUAAUUUAUUGUAAAUAAUGUAAGCAAGGUUUAUGCAUGCUCCUGACCCACUAUUCAUCAUUAGUGGCCAUAGUACAUGGUUGGUUUAUUUCAACUCAUAGUACAUGUGUUCUUCAUUGCAUGUGUUAUGAUCUUUUAUGGACAGGAGAUGUCGUUGACAGGAAGUCUACAGCAGAUUUUGCACUCUUUUAUGGUCAUACUCUUGUCUCUUAGUUGACCAAAAAGCAGCUUUAAGUGUCUCGGUUUUCCACUCAAGCUGGGUACUGUUUCUUCGUAGCUACAAGUUCUGACAUGAUGUGGACUGACAAUCUCCUUCUUAAGAUUUUCAUAUAUGUCCCUGGUGUGCCAAUUGUGUGGUAUGAAAAUCUUAGUACAACACACUUAACUACUAAUCUGAUGCUUCAUUCUUGAAUGGAACACAUGGAAAUAGCCCUCCAUGUUGUCAGUGAUUUACUUUGUGAGAAACAACUUCAGGUUCGGUAUAUCUCCUCCACUAUUCUAGUUGCAGAUGUGCCUAAACUUCUUGCUACACUAAUUCAACUUGAGGGAGGGUAAUGAGAAAUAUAUAUUUUCUUGGUUAUAUAUUUUGUAGGAAUAUAUUAUCUUGAUUGUAUAUUGGAUAAGAAUAUUUUCUCUAGGUUAUAUAUUUGGUAAAAAAUAAGAAUAUAUUCUUCCGGUGGUAAAUUUGUUUUAAAAGUUUUGUAGAUACCUACACCUCAUCUGUAAUAAAUUCUGUUUCGUGGUUUAUCUAUACAUCCUUGUAUAAGUAUAGUUUGAUCAAUGAAAUGAUAAAUUUCCCCGCCAUGUUUACACCUGCUACUCAACCAGCAAACGUCAUGCAGGCUAAUAUCCAUUAAAAUCUUCUAAUAUUAAAUUUUUUUCAUACUUCAUAUGACUAGUCAGUACCCUGUCUUUAAUAAUCAAUUUCCAACUCCAUAACUCAGUACAUAAAAUUUUGGCAACAAGCUCAUUGUUUCUCAAUGUACACCAUAUUCUAUCUUCUUUGACUUUUGACAAUGAUAUCUGACCAUACAUUUUCAAGAUUCUCCAGUCGUUUUUCACAAAGAUAAGUUGCAAAAAAGAUAAUUAGUUACAGAUAAAAUGACCAGGUUUGACCAAGACAACAAUCCGCAAUCGUUACAUCAAGCAAACACGCCAAAAUUAUGAUAACCCACCUUUCAUUAGCUCAAGCAACUAACCUUUGGAACCACCUGUAAUCAAGACAUUGUAAGGAGGAAGCAUUGGCUAAGUUUUAUUUCUCUGUGGAGAAGAAGCAGUCGCAGCCUUCACAACAGCAACACAGAAACGAAACGAAUUGCCUUUAGAUAUUAAACAAAACCUGGGUCUCGGAGACACAAUAACUGAACGGCCGUAAGAAGAGUUAAAUUUUCUGGUUGAGAACGAGCAGAGUGGUGAUUUAGUAAAGGAUUGAAGUGAAGUUGUGGGUACACUCAUUUCAGCCAUUGUUCUUCUUUUCUUGUUUGGCUGAGGGAAGGAAGGAUACAGACCGUUGUUUUGGUGUGCUGCUGAUAACCAAUAUAAAGACAAAAUCCCCUAAUUUUUUCGUCAAACCUAGUCUAACACAUUUUAACUUUAUAGAUACUUACUAGAUACGUAUGCCCGUGCAAUGCGUAUGAUAGAAUAAAAUGAAAAUGUAAAGUAAGGGACUAUCCAAUUUGAUUAGAUCAGUUGAUGGAAAUGAUCCCAAAUGUAUAUUCUAUACAAUCGUGGGAAUAAAAUACUACUGGAUGCUCAAAUUCACAUAUGAUAGUGAUUGUAGUCUAUUUACAUUGAUACACAUAAUAUUUAUAAAUUCUACAGUAGAAGAUGCAUUUUUGUUGUUGUGAUCAAUCUCUCGAGCAUUCAAGAUCAAGCACCUGUUAAAUUAGAUUUACAGAUUAAAUUAGUUCAGAAGUUCAAAAUAAUCCACCUUUGCAAGAAUCACAAGAGUAGCAAAGUUGUGUUUGGUCAUUGUUUCAAUUCAAGCAAUCCAUGUUUGUUGCAUUGUUAAUUAGACUAAUCCAAUAUGUUGGGAUCACAAAUGUGUACCCACAUAGAGUUGGUGGCUUACAACACCCUGACUGCAAAAAAGAAACAAAAAGAAGUAUUAUUAGAGAAAAUAAAUGUGAAAAAUAAUACUCCAUAUGUCACAAAAUAAGUGCCGCUUUAGCUCAUUUUAUGUCUAUUUAGAAAAAUAAUAAAUAGAGAUAAAUAUCAAUUACCAAGGUUCUUCUCUUAGGAAAGAAAAGUCUCCCUUCAAAAAGUUUUUCUAUAUAAAUCUACAACAAUAACGACAUACCCAGUAUAUUCUCAACAAGUGGGGUCUCGGAGGGUAAGUGUACGUAAUUCAUAUUACUACCUCAAAUGUGAGUUAGAGAGGUGGUUUUGAAUAGACCCUCAGCUCAAACUUUUCUAAUAUAAAUCUCUAACAAGAUAUUUAUAAUGACUCCUCAUAGACACUGCAAUGUAUUUGAGGCAUAGUCCUAUACCAUAUAUAGAGAGAGAAAUCAAUCAACUAAUUCACUGGCUCUAAAGCUUUCCGCACCAUUACCCAAAUGUUUUCAAAUUCCGACACCAAGUUAUUUAUAAAGUACAUGCCUGAAGUCUUAAAGUCUACAAAUGUACCAGUACCUAGCAGUCCUCUUUUAGCAAAGACUAUCUUUUUAGUAGCAAAAGACUCUUCAAUUUUGUUUCCAACUGAUCAAAUGAAUUUUUCCUAUCAUCAGAAUUCUAAGUCCAAAUAGCCAGCAUUCUGCUGACCAAACAUAUCUGCAAUUGGAAGUCGUCAAAGUUGAAUAAACGGAAUGAUAAUAGACACUAUAAAGUGGCAUACUUACCCAUGACAUGCAGUCAUAUAUUACCAAGACAGUGUAUGUGCUUCCACCAGGACAGUUAAGAUAGAUUUGACAUUGCAAAACAUGGAUGUAAUUAUAAAUAAUACCUUUUUACAUACAACUUAAUUAAAAAAAAAGUAUAGCUAUACGGUUAUGGAAAAGCAAAGCAGUACCAAAAUAUCCGUGUUUACAUCUAUAGUUUCAAGGGUCACAAGUUGUGAUAUUACUUUCUAAGCAACUGCAGAGUUGAUUAGUGUUCCAAUGAAGAUAAUCCGACUCUUGAACAACACAGUAGAAAGAUCCAACAUGUCCCCUGGUGUGAUCACGGCAGGCAUGAUGAGUGAAUUACUGACUCCCUCUUUUGCUUCAAUAACACCAUAUAUGUUCCCAUGAACAUUGGAGGAGAAAGAAUAUUUACCACUUAUAUUCUCCACCCUGUGAUCUAUAAUCUGGUCACAAUAAUUAAGAUUUAGUGCUUGCAUAUUUUUGCAAUCUUUGAGAUAAGUCAGUCCAGGAUCUGUAACAUCAGACCCCAGCCGAUCUAGGGAAAGUAGAGAUGAACCCUGUGAAGAGAUGACAUCCAUCCAACGGUCGUUCAGACCAGGAUAUUCUCCCAUAUUCAAAUCCUUUAAUGUUAAAAUCACUUUAUCAAGAGUUUGUCUGACCUCAAAGUCACAUGCAAGAAUUAGAUGCCAUAAUACCUUGAAGGCGGCAACCUAAUGCAAGUAAAAUGAAAUGCCAAUUUCAGAAGCUUACUUUAAGAAGCCGUACAGUGUAUAAGCCUGAACUAAAGAAUCUAAGAGUUCUUUCCCCUACAUAGAGAAGUACAGGAAGUGCUAGGUACAUCCGUCUGGAAACAAAUAUAUGUUAGUAGCAUAAAAAUGACAAAAUGAGAGCCAUAUUCAUGAAAAGAGACAGAACAAGAAAUCAGAAACUAUACCGUCUUGGAGUACCAUUUAUGCACAAAAAAUAGAAACGUACCAUGGAUGACCAGCAAGAUGUAGAUAAUGACAAGAAGGUGGUGCAAAUACCAAAAUGCAUUGAAGCUAGUGAGUCUAUCAAAAGGUUUAGGAAGCGUAAUGAGGCUCUGCCUAAACCAUCGCAUUGAAAGAGUGAAAGCAAUGGCCAUGAGGAUUACCAUUAUUAGUCCCGUCACACCCUCAACUCCUUUACCAAGAUCUAUGUACCGAGGCUCACUUGGGCCAAAAUCAUUCACCAAAUAUUUCUGAUAAUUUGUAUAUUUGCACGUAUAAGCUAUGGAAAAUUACAUACAAGGUGGUUGCCGGCAUGGUAUGAUACUAGUAACAAUUGUUGCAACAGCCUGCACACAACAAAAAUAUUAGAGCAAAUAUAAGUGCCACCUAUUGCAACUUAAGGACUAAUAUAAACACCACCUUUCACUUAUGUCGUCCACAUAUUUUGUGAUUAUUAGCGAUGUACAUGUAUAAUAAGGCAAAUUCUACAAGAGUAACAUAGAUAUGUUCAUUAUUCAUACUCACGUAGUAAGAACAAAUUCUCAAUCUACAUGGGCAAAUAGAGUAAUAGUAGGAACAAAUUCUCAAUUUAAUUUUUGCACAUGUAUGAUGAACUUCUUAACAUAUAUAUAAGGUUGUGAUCAAAACUACUGGAUUAUGGCAAAUCCAUAAUUAACAGACUAUCUUAGUUAUAUAAUCUGUUUCAUAGGAGGUUAGUAAAAAAUACUACAUAACCCAGAAGAGAUCUUUGUGGGAGCAUUUCUUUUUUAACAUAUGGAAAUAAAGAGAAUGUAAGGGGCAGCCUACCUUGUGAAAGUUGAUAAUAUCAUCAAAGGGUACAAAACAGUUCAACUUAGUAGACCUGAGGCAUGUAAUAGUAUUCCUGCAUACUUACAACAGUAUUAAAGCCAUGUUGAACUUGAGAGGCUCAACAGCACCCUUAGCCGUGAGAAGACAAUAACCCAUGACUUUAAAUACACUCUUCUGUUUGUACGUAUAGAAAUUCCAAAGAAAAAGUUCAAUUAUUAGCAAAAUCCACAAUGCCAAAACCCAAAUUCUCUUCCAGUUUUCUUGAAACCAAUAGAAAAGUUUUGUGCUCAUUCUUUUUAUUGAGCUUCUCUUCCUUAACCCAUGUAGAUUUUGGCUUAAGGUUUGGCUUGUGUAGCUUAAUGCUUGACUGUAAUUGAGGUAAGUGUCCUUUUGGAGGAAAAGUGUUUCUGCCUGCCAUAGCUGCAUUUUCAUCAUAGUACAGCAAAGCAUGUAAGAAACAUUAUCAGAAAGUUGUGUCAUGGCAUCAUGCUCAAUAACUAAAGGAUAAAUGUUACCACAUGCUAAUUCAUCCAUAAAAUGGUCCAACGUUAAACAUUUUCCAGAAUGAAACCUAAUGAGGCAUUCAAUAUUAUUAUGGGGAUUUACUUUUUUAAGUAUUCCACCAUAACCAACAUUCGAAGCAUCAGUCUUAACUAUUUUUAACCAAGUAGGAUUAGCUAAGGUUAAACAAGGUAAAGACUCAACACAUUUUUAAAUUGUUUUUACCAGAUUAGUGUGAGUAUAAGUCCAAGGUCCUUUGUAAUCCUUCUUUAGCCUAUCAUAUAAAGGGGAUAAAACCGAGACAGAUUCUAAUAAAAAGGAGAAAUGUAAUUAAGGCUGCCUAAAAACCUUUGCAAUUGAGUUUUAUCAGUUAUAACAUCAGAAAAUUUUUUAGCAAAGUCUAUGCCCUUUGUAUGGGUUCGAUUCUCCCUUGGUAAAUAUUGUGUCCUAAAAAUCGAAUAUCAGUUUGAAAUAAGCACAUUUUUGGUUUAGAGAUGACCAAACUAUUUUGUAACAUAAUUUGCUUGAAUAUAUUCAGAUGUUUAAAAUUCUAAUGUUUUUGAAAAUACAAAAAUAUCUUCAAUAUACACAAUUAUAAAAUCUAUAUACGAAUUGAAUAUAUCAUUCAUGAUUUUUUUAAAUUCAGAAGGGGCAUUUUGCAGAUCAAAUGGCAUCACAUUCCACUCAUAUUAUCGAAAAGAAACAUUAAAAGUAGUUCUAUAUGUGUGCUUUUGAGAAUCUAAAUUUGCUAAUAACCAAAUUUUAAAUCAAAUUUUGAAAAUAUAUUAGCAUUAUAUAAUUUAGAUAACAAAUUCUUUUUAUUAGGUAUUGGAUACCUAAUCCAUUUCAAAACUUCAUUAAGAGGUUUAUAAUUAAUUACAAGUCUUGGCAUACCAAGUUCUUUUUCAACAGCAUUAUUAAUAUAAAAUGCAGUACACAACCAAGGGGAUUUUGAAGAUUUUAUAAGACCCUUUUGUAAGAGAUUAUCAAUCUCCCUUUUACAGAAUUCAACUAACUCUGUGUUCAUUUGGCAGGAUCGAGAUUUGGUUGAGAUUUUAUCUUCGCUGAAAUCAUCUUCAUAAGGAAGAAUAACAAUAUGCUCUUUGCGAUUCCAAAAAGAAUUAGGGUGAUCAGCACAAAUAUCAACAAUUAAUUGAUUAGAUAUCAUUUUUAUUUUUUCCUGAAUUUUCACAAAAUUCAUUAUAUUAUGAAUAUUCAUACUCAUCAUUUCAAGCUUUAAGAAAUUUACCUGUCGAUGCUUCAUGUUAAUUAAAGCAUUUAUUUCCCUUGUUACUGGAUCGGUAACAAAAGGAUAGGAAAUUUCUUAAUUUUUAUAAGAAGCCUUGAAACCAUUCACAUCAAUAUGCGUGUAAGGAUAAAUAGCAUUUAUAAAAGGUGUUCCUAAAAUAAUAGGAGGAUAUAACUGAUUUUUUAUUAAGAAAAAGAAAUGUGGAAUGCAAAUCUUAUUUAUACAAAUAUGUUUAUGGGGUAACUUAUAAUUGAAAAAUUCAAAGAUAAACAAUUUAAUAAAAAUAUUAAAAAUACAAAAAAGAAAUAAGUGAAAUAAAAGGUAAGAAAUUAAUUCUUAUAUUUAAUUUAAAAUAUUUUUUCCACCAAAAAAGAUAUUUUACAAUAUAAAUAUGAAAUAAAGAAACUAAUAAAUCAUUUAAAAGUACAACAACAACAAUAUAAAUAUACUGGGUUUGUUAUCAAUAUAACUAAUACAUCAUUUACAAUAUAAAUCUGUAAAUCGAUGAACUAUGUAAAUAAUAGUUAAGUUAUCAAUUUGUAAAAGUUCAUAUUCUUUUGGGGGUCUGGUUACAGUAUAAUUAGGAAGGAGAGAGAGAAGUUUUAAUUUGUGGGUUAAGUUUUUGAGUUGGGUAAUUGGAUGAAAUUUAGGAGACUAAAAUUAUAUCAGUUGGCUGCAAUUUUUAGUUUAGGCGAAAAAGAACUAAAUAUUUGUCCCAAAUGGAAGAAAAAUCCAAUUGUUCUCCCCUUAAUUAAUUUAACGAUAUUUAUUAUCGCCCUAAUUAAUUUUUCCUGACGUACGUCUAAUGUACGUAUGCAUAUAAACUUAAAUAAAUGCAAUUAUAUUUCAUAAUUAAAAGAACUGUAUUUAAAAAAUAUUAUAACGAUAUGAAGAAAUUUGUUUAGAAUUAAACAUAAAAGUAACAUACUAAUAUUUUUUUUUUCAAAAAUUAGUGAAGAGAGUAAUCUUUAAAAUGUUCGAUGCGAUAUCAAUAAUUAUUAGACUAUAUAUAGAUAUAGAUAUAGACUAUAUAGAAAUUGGAGCAUUGGGACGACCAAUGACAAUAAUGAAAUUAAAUUCAGAUGUAAGGUUAAAAUGGUAAAUUGAGCAUACUAAAUAUCCUAAAAAUUUUAUUUUAUGCGUGGCCUUGUGCACAUUGCACAUAGCGCUGUAGAACUCUAGAAGUUUCUCAGAUAAAGCCUAAGGUUGGUACAAUAUAUUUUGAAGUUGCUGCGAACCAAGGAGCAAUUCUUCUUGCCGGCGGAGAGAAGGGCAUGAGGUAUGCAGUGCCAAAUGCACGUAUAAUGGGUCAUCAACCUCAAAGUGGUUGUGGAGUAAAUUCUUUCAGGUAACUUUUUCUGUCAAUUUUACCCUAAUCUUUUGUUGAUUUUUCACUUUCAUGAACUGAUGCUUCCUUCCUUUCUUGAGCUAUUUCUUUUGCCAUAUUUCUAGUUUCUUUCACACUUUUGAUUUCCAUUACCUCAUCUAGAUUUCAAGUUCAGGUAUGUUUUCUAGCAUAUUUCUCCUAAUUGUCUUCUCAUCUUGAUUAUAUCUUUUGUCCAGUUAUUCUAUUUUAUACCCUUUCGUCUUUAACAUUUUUCUUUUUUUACUUUUUCAAGUUUUCUUCAAAUAAUAUAUUUUAUAGUUCAUUGUUGUUGAAGUUGAAGGAUAAAUUAAACUCUUAGUUAAGACAUAUCAUGGUUGUAAUUUAUUUUCUUUAAAAUUCUUUUCAAAUUUCAAAAUCUGUUCAUUCAGAUUUUGUUUAUUUUCAAUUUGAUUACUCUUUUCUUCCUUUUAUUUCCUGCCAAGAAAAAAAAUUAAUUUUAGCUUCUAUCUCCAGUUAAAUUCUUCCGUUGUGUUCUUUGCACCUAUUUGCGGAGGUAUGCUCUAAUGAUUUAGUGUUAAUACUUGAGUUUUUAAACUAAUUUUUAUGUCAUCCACUCUUUAGUAAGUUCACUGUGAGUUAUCUUCGGCUACAGGGCUACACCUAAUGCCAACUUUUUAACCAAAGAAAAAAUCGGAAGAAAAUAGUUGUUUAAUUUAACCUUUUUGCAGUUUGUUACUUGUCCAUUUAUAAAUGCUUGCGAGAAAAAUGUUGUUUUAUUGCAAAUACAGCAAUCUUAAAUAUAUGAUAAAAUGAUGCUCAACAGAAAAUUUGGGCGCUCUUUUUUUCCAAUCUUAAAUUUGGAAUCUUAAUUUCCUCAUUUAUUUUAGUCCACUACCUUGGCUAUAUGCUUUCUGGUUCGGUUUUUGGUCUACUAGUAUUUGUUUGUUGUAUUCAUUUCUUCUUCUCACUCACCUAUACUUUCAAAAAUUAUCCCAAUGUAUCCUACCCUCCUCUCGUAAGAAAUUAUCUUAAUUGUACACUUGAUUAAGGAGUGCUAAUUUGUUAAUGAGUUGUUUAAGCUGAGAUUAGGAUUCUUGAUCAUGUUUUCUUUAUUUUACUAAUUCGAAUAAACUUAUUUCUUUAAAAUUCUCCUGUAGACUCUCUUGGACUAAUCACAUGUGUGAUAUGUUCUAUACAUAAUUGAUGUUGAUUUCAUCAUAAGAUAAUUUACAAUUUCCUUUUAUAUGUUAAUAUAGUUUCUUUUUAGUAUACAUACAGAAGAAGGUGGCAAAACUAUGUUUUACUCCUAAAUGAUGUCAAUUUUUUUUUCUUUUCUCCUUUUGCUUAAUUAUUAACUUGCUAUAGUAUUUUGAUGUGUGCUUUAUUCUUGUCUAGUUGAGGAUGUGUUUUGAUGAUUACUGCUGCAACCAUAUCCCUCUAUCUAAAAGCAUUUGUAUUUGUGCAUAAUUUUUGCACUUUCCCUGUUGUGAUUAAGUUUCUUGGUUAGUCACUUGAUUCAAGCAUGUUUGUGUUUAGGCAUGAUGUUCUUCGAAAUAAUUCGCAACUUGUAUUUCCUUGUCUAUGGUAACAUGAGAAUUUCAUAUAUAGUUUUAGUAUUGCAUGGUCUGUUAGAGAGUAUGAGUUCACUUUAAAUUUACUAUUAGAAGGAAAUUAAAAGUUUUGUUACUUCUGGGGUUAAGUGUGACUCAUUUGUCUUUUUCGGUUUGGUUGUUUUAUUUCCUCUAUAACAUGAAAAAUAAAAUGAGCGACUCACCUGCAUAUGAUAAUAAGGAUAAUGAGAGUAGAAUAGCAUCACAGUAGUCUUCCUAGUAAUGUUGCCUAAUCAUAUCAACAGACUUUUUGUUUGCUAUUCAUAGUCAUAGUUUGACUAAAAAAAGUGCUCCAGUAAUAUUCUUUUCCCUCUUAGUAGAUUUUUGGCACGCGUAUUAAUUCUCGUAUCUUUUCUUUGCAUGAACUCACCUUGAAGUCCAAAUAGACUUUUUCUCCUUGCAUUUCAUAAUGGUUCAACAUGACCCACUUUCUCGAGUCAAACCCGAAAGGAAGUCCAAAGCCGAUUACAUAGCGCGUGGAUACGAGAAGAAGGAAGAAGGAAAAUGGGUCAAAAUUCCAUCAUUAAAGUUGCCAAGAGACUCGAAAGUCUUGAUUUUAUUAGUUUUGUUCUUUUUUACAUUUCUUUUAUUUAUUUAUUUAUUUGGGCCUCGAAGGCAAAGUUGUAAACGAAUACAGGUGAACAUAUUUUGGACCCAAAAGGUCCAGAAAUAUAGUUUAGGACAGGUUAUAGGCCAAAGCCCAAAUACUUAGAUUAGGACAGUUGAAGAUGGACCGAAAGCCCAAUUAGAUUAGGACAUGGUUUAUGGAUUGGGGAUUAAGAGUCUAAAUCACUUAUUUCUCCCCCUUUCCCUUUUUCUAUGUUUAUUUGCUAUAUGCUUCUUCGAACUUAGUUAAAUCCUGUACGAAGUUGUUAAAAACUGACUUUGCAUAAAACUCAAAAAAUAUUUUCUUAAUCUAUUUUCUUUUCAAUAAUCAAUUUUCCUUUUUAAAAUAAGUCAAAAGAAUCAUUUUCAAAUAGUCCAAAUAAGCGCAAGUUAGCGGAUAUUCUUGGUGCCUUAAUAACCUUCCAAGAGUAUUAAUAGGAACCGCUUAUCUAGAAUUUCAAAACUUAAAUGAUUUUUCAAUUUUGAAUCAUUUAAGUAAUUUAUAAAGGUUUUCUUAAUUUCCUAAAUAAAUUAAGUGGCGACUCUAAAUAGUCAUUUCUCCGCAAAACAGAAAUGACGACUCUGCUGAGGAUUUAAUUAGGUUCUAACCAAAUGUUUAAAUUUAUCUUUUGACUAACUGUUUAAACUAUUUACGUGCUUACAUGUUCCAAUUCUGCGAAAUUUAAUUGUUGCAAUUCAUGGCAUAAUCCUUCAUGAUUAUUAAACUAUUUUAGGGUUUCGUGGAUGUCCCGGCCCCUAUUGAUCAACUCCAAAUCAAGUAUUGGAAAUACGAUAAUUUAUCAGCACGUUAGGCGGUCGGAGGCUAUUCGUAUCUCCAAACCAAAGUUGUUCACUUGGGAACCUGUGUCUAAACCCACUCUAGACACCCAGGAUAGAGCUAAACCAAAUCCUAUUUUAGGCAUGAGCCUAGGAUGACUCAAUACCCGAUGGGGUAUUGGGUUCAUUAGAAGACUUGUCGUGCGUCUAUUGACCCUGAGUCAAUUACAGAAGAACCAUAUUUAUGUGUUGAAGAAAUAUAUAUUUGUUUAAUCCAAUCCAUUAUUCUUUGGGGGUUGGGGGAAAGCUUGCUUUUCUUACUUUCAUAUAAGGAUGUCUCAAUCAUAAAUCAAUUAAAGGAGGAAUUAAAAUGAGCCAGGCAAAAGAUUGAUCGAUUUGGACGAUUACAUGAUUUCCCAGACUAAUGAUCUAGAGCAUAGUAAUACGAGAAUUGUUUGAUCAUCAACAGAUGUCACCAAUGACAAGAAUUAGAUAAAGCUAAGAUGUUGAAGGCCGAUAGAAGAGCAUCUAGGAACUAGUAUUUCCUAUCUCCUACACGGGAUAUUGUUCUUUUUCUCAUGAUAUUUUUCCUUUCCCAAAAGAUUGUAUCCUUUUUAUGCAACUUUUGUAAGCAUUUAUGCCCUUUAUGUAUAUCUAUGUAGAUUUGGCGGAUAAUAGAUUAGUUUUAAAAAGCAUAUAUUUCCUUCAAAAUUCGCUAGGCCAACACUUGGCUCAAAAGGGUCACCCCAACUAGGAUAUGUGCUUAUUAUAAUGUCAAUAUGUGAUAUACUGCCUUAUGUGUUUAUGUGUGUUUGUUUGAAUCAAAUACAAAUUUAUCUACUAUGUCCCCGCGGAUCAGUUUGUCUAUGUGGCAAACAACUUUAUGUGGUUACUUCUUGUCAAAUAUCUUGCAUUAAUUAUCACAUAUGGGAACUACCACAUUUGUCUUUGAGUUAUUUUACUUUACAGAUAAUCAAAAACUACUCUGUGUUGAAACAAACUGGAAGAACAUCCUUACUUCACCCGGUCAAAAGUUCAUCAAAAUCCAAUCCUCUGACCAUCAUUCAAAAAUGACUAGAAGCGACGAAGAAAAUGUGCUGACCAUCAAGGACAAUGUAAUAGCGGAAUAAAGCGAGAUGAUUGAUGAACUCAUGUGAAAAUUAGAAAUGCUUCAGGAGGAGAUGAAUCGUACUCGAGAUUUGAUUAAUCUGGCCAUCGCUGUUAACGCUCCCGCUCCAGGAAGACAUGGGCCUCCGCUCCAGAUCCCUUCCCACAAUACGCCUAUUCUCGAGGACCAUCCAAAUAACAUAUCGUCCGCCUCCACUCCUCAACUUGUCCAAAACACCAAUUGAGAAAAUAACUCAAAUGCUUACCAUCCACAAAAUUCAUCCCUAAUCUCACAAAAUCCACCUCCAAACCUAUAAAAUUCAUUCCUAAAUCCAUCAAACCUACUCCCAAAUCCACAAAAUCCACUCUCAAAUCUAAAAAGUCUAUCUCCAAAUCCACAAAAUUUAUUUUCAAAUCCACAAAAUCUCUCUCAGAUUCCACCAAACUAUUCUUAAACUCCACAAAGCUCUAUCAAUUUCCAAAAUGUAAUCCCCCCCUACCGCCCAAUCUCUUCUCAUCCUCAAAAUCAAGCUACCCUCUCAAUUCCUUCUUUUGUCAUUAUACCCCCUAACAUCUACAAUCCCUUUCCCAAUCCUGAGAUAGAUCAUUACGAGGAGAAGGAAAAGGAGUGGAGGACUGAGCAUGAAAAAAAGUUGUUGGCCAUGCAUGAAGAGAUUAUGAGGAUCAAAGAAUCUCAUGGGGCUGGCGAUAAUGAUGCUUUAGGGUACGAUGAUCUGUGUGUGCAUACCGGAGUAGAUCUAUCAGAAGGGUACAAGGUCCCCUAAAUUUGAAGUGUUUAAUGGUAUCAAAAAUCCAAUGGCCUAUCUAAGAAGGUAUUGUGAUCAAAUGGUUGGGGUAGGAAGAAAUGAGGCAUUAUUGACGCACUUAUUUAGCUGAAGCUUAAGUGGUGAAGCCUUAGACUGGUUCACAUCUCAAGAACCAAAAUGAUGGUCUAGCAGGAUGGCAUUCGCUAAAAGUUUUCUCGAUAGGUUUGCAUUUAACAUUGAGAUAGUCCCUGAUCGAUACUCACUAGAACGGAUCAAUCAGAGGAAUGAUGAGAGUUUCUUAGACUAUGCCUUUUGUUGGAGAAACUAAGCUGCUAAAGUACAACCUCCCAUGUCUAAGGAAGAAAUGGUAUCGGUUUUAUCUCAUGCUCAUGAGGGAUAAUGUUAUACCAGGAUGGUAUCCGUGGUCCGAGCAACUUUCGCAGAUUUGGUAAAAAUUGGGGAAUAAUUAGAGGAAGGCAUUCGAAUAGGAAAAAUUGUCAAAACCCCAACAUCAUCUGAAUCUUCUACGUUCUCAAAGAAGAAAAGAGAGGAUGUGACUACGGUCUCUACUAAUUCUGUUGAUAAAUUGAAGAAGAAGUUCAAGCCAAUAUUCUUUCUUCUCUAUCGUCACCAAGUUUUCAACAUGUAUUCUACGCCAAAUUAUCAGUCUCAUGUUUAAGCUACCCUUCCAAAUAGCCAAAUAAACAUCCAAGAACCUCCAAACUAUCAUCAAGUACCUCCUCCCACUAAUCAAAACCAGUAUAACCCCCCACGUCUUAACCUCAAAAAGAAACCUCCUAGAAAAUUCACUCCAUUGGCUAAAAAUCUACCCAGCUCUUCAGAAGAUUGAUAAAAGAUGGUUAUUUACAGCUUAUUCCAUCAAAACCUACCAAUCUCAAUUCCCGAUUCUUUCAAGCCGAUCAAGUCUUUGCUUAUCAUUCAGGAGUGGAAGGGUAUAAUACUGAAGAUUGCAUUAACCUAAAACAUAAGAUCCAAGACUUGAUUGAUCAGAAGAUUAUCACUCUUCAGGUACCGACACCAAAUAUCAUUAGUAAUCCACUGCCUAAUCAUGAGGGAGCCACAGUUAGCAUAAUCAAAAUAGAAAGCGAAUGGGUAUCUAACAAGACUAUUACUAAGGUGGAUUCGGAAAAUUCUAAAAAGACAGAAGGAGUGGAAAAGAUAGAGAAAUUCAUGGCUUCCUUAAGUGUCUUGGAUAAGAACUUGGAAGGAAUUAUUGAGCCCAUUAUGGUCCCAGAAAAAGCAUCUAAGCAUGGGAUAGGAUACCAACCAAGAAAGGAAGAUGAGAUUCAAGAUAAGUCAAAGAUGAGUCUGUCCAAACCGUUGCCACUCCUAUACUAGUCAUUUCUUGUGUGUGAAAUGUCAAAUAAUGAUGGUCUUGGGGAUGAGAUAAGAAAUCUAUUCAAGGGAUUCAAUGCUAUAACAUAGGAUUUCCCGAAUUCUGAUAGGGUGAGGAAGGUUGCACCAGGAGAGGCUUUACAAAAUUGAACUUCCACUCCACUCAUAACUCGUUGCCCGUCGUGGUAGAUGAAAGUAUAAUUACUAGUAGUUUUAAAAAUUGGUAAUGAUCCGGAGGAGGCCCCAUGAUCCACCCUUUUAUGUCUUGAAUUUUCUUUUCAUGUUUUACUACUUUAAAAAAGGCAUGGGCCCGCAUUUGUGCGAGUCAUGAGCCAUAGUUUGUAUUUAUUUCUCAAAUUUCAAUGAAAAGAUCUCCCUUCAUUUAAGAAGUUAUUUUGAAAUAUGAUUAUAUUACUGUCUUUUAUUAUCUUACUAUCAUCUAACUUGGUAGCAUCAAUUUAAAACCUACCAAUGUUAUGUCAUGUCAAAGGUUAGACGAACAAAGUGAGGGGAAUGAUGAUGAAUAGAAAGAAGUCAAUGAGGAGCAGUUAGUGGAAGUAUAAAGGAAUUUUAAAAAUUAAGAGAAGCCCAACUUGGACGAAAAUGGAAUAGACAACCUGGGUGAUCAUGAUAAAAUCAAAGAGACAAGUGUUAGUGUUCACUUAGCAGAAGCACGCACAAUUCUGAUGUGAUAAAGAGAUACUAUGUUUUAUGAUGUUCUAGUUUCUGUUUCCUUGGUUUAUUUGGAUUCGUAUUCAUAAUAAGAUUUUGUUUUCUAAUUUGUAACUGCCUAGAACCUCUUUCCUUUUAUGUACGAACUGCGUUUGACCUGAAUUCCCAAGAAAGGGAUACAUAGGUGGCGUAUGUCGGCUUCGGUCAACCCCUUAGGAGAAUUUACUCUUUCUUUUUAGGUAUGAACUAUGUGAUGACCUGAAUUUCCAAGAAUGGAGUACGUAGGCAUCCUAUGUCGGAUUCGGUCAAGCUUUUAGAUUUUUCUAUAUACCCCUAGCACAGUCCUGAACUACGUUUGACCUGAUUCUUGCUUGAACGGGAUACGUAGGUGCCCUAACGGCUCAGUCAUACUACCCCAAAAAUGGAAACUGGGUAGAAUUUUUGAGAAGAAAUCUCAAAAAUUCACAAGAGGAAGAUCAUCAUCCAAUAAAUAGAACGAAGACCAACAAAGACUUUGGAUCCUCCCAAGCUGAGAUCAUCUCAAACAACUUUAAACUGGGGCAUAAAUUUAAGGAAGGUCUCAAAAUUUCCACCAAAUACUGGAAUAUAUUUCAAACUCUACAGCACCAGAGGUUAAAAUCAAGCUUUAGAAGACACCAGUGGCAACAAAGUCUAGGUAGACUAAAUCUACAACUAUGAUAGAACUAUUGAUAGAAAUCCUCGGCGACGAUGAUGAAUCCCUAGAAUUCCUCCAUCACACGUCUGAUACAGUCACAAUCAAGAGAAAGAUGUUUGUUGAGCUAGUACAUGACAUGAUUGGAAGGGAUUUUCUAAAUCUUUUACAGAAGUUUUGAAACUAGUUUUUGAAAUUAAGACUACUUUCAAAAAACUAUACAAUUUUUUUACUUAGUGAUUGCCUACGCAUCUAUUGGAAUGAGGAGUCAGGGUGGAGGUCCCAACAUGACGGAGCGCCCGAAAGAUGGCGAGGAGAAAACCAAGGAUCGAAGGAGGUCAACACGAAGUAGUUUUGCUCAAGACUAAUCAUUUUUCUGUGGAUGCAUGGCUCAAUACACAAAAAUGGGAAAAAAAAAUUUCAAAAAAUCUCCAAGUUCAUUCAAGGGAGUCGGCACAAUAAAUACGACAAUCAAAAGGAUCGCUCAAUAGGAGAAAGAGCAGAAGUCAUCCUCAAAAUUCGCCUUGAAGUGAAGCAAAUGGUAUUUGAGUAAUCCCCAAAACAAGGACUUUGCACCAUUUACUUGCAUCCGAUGGAUUUGCUAUUUAAUUAUUUCUUCAAAAAGAGAAGAUUAAUAGCGGAAUAAGUCAUUCAAAUAAGGAUGCUCAGUAUUCAUCAUUUAACUAUCAUAAACCUUGAUUGUGGUCGCCAGUGAUAGUGAUAUUGUGUCUACUAAUUGUCUACCUUGAGUAAAAUUACAUGUAUAAAGUAAAAUGCAGACAAACAAACUCAAGUGAAACUGUUUUCAAAUCAUCCAAAGAACUAUUUCACAUCAUCUCAUUACCAAGAGGGCCAUUUCAUGCCAUUACCAAGAGGGCCAUUUCAUAUCAUCUCAUUGCUGAGAGGGUCAUUUCAUGCCAUUGCCGAGAGGGCAAUUUCAUAUUAUCUCAUUGCCAAGAGGGACAUUUCAUGCCAUUGUGGAGAGGGUCAUUUCAUGUCAUUGCCAAGAGGGAUAUUUCAUGCCAUUGCCAAGAGGGUCAUUUCAUAUCAUCACCGAAAGGGUUAUUUCAUGUCAUCGCCAAGAGGGCCAUUUAAUAUUUAUUGACAUGCGAGACACAAAUGCUAGCGUCGAGGAUAUUAUCAAUAUUUAAUAUCUAUUAACACAUAAGACACAAAUGUUGGCAUUGAGGAUAUCAUUAGCAUUUAAUAUCUAUUAACAUAUGAGACACAAACUCUAACAUCGAAGAUAUCAUCAAUAUUUAAUAUCUGUUGACACGCGAGACACAAACGCUAGCGUCGAGGAUAUCAUCACUAUAUAAUAUCUAUUGACAUGUGAGAUACAAAUGAUGGCUUCAAGUAUAUCUCAUUAUUUUAUGAAUAAGAAUCUAAAUACAUCAAGAGCACGCGAUUUGAAAGAACGCCUUUAAGUCGCUAUCUGAAGACUGAUGAUGUAUGAGAUUUCCUAGAAAUUGACAAUUUGAGGGUCAUCUAUAAGUCAUAUUAUUUGAAAUAGGAUAGUAUGAAAUAUUACCUAUGAUUUGAUAGCCCAUAGAUCAUCUGUAAGCCGCAACAACAUCCUAACUGGAUAGUGUGCAAGGUUACCCAAAAAUCAAUAGUCCGAAGGUUAUCAUAAGUCUCAACUAAAUCCUUACCGAAGAAUAUGCGAGAUUAUCAAAGUGAUAAGUCUAAGGGUUCUCUAUAAGCCGCGUAAUAUCCAAGAUCGAUUAUGUGUAGGAUUACCCCAAAACUACCAAUUUGAGAGAUAUCUAUAAGUCAUAUUGUGUCCAAGGUCGGAUAAUGUGCAGGAAUACCUGAGAACUAGCGAUUGGAUGGAUAUAUAUGAGCCAUAUAUUAUCCAAGGUCGGAUAAUGUGCAGGAUUACCUAAAGGCUAGCCAUUCAAAGGAUAUUUGUAAGUCGCCUCGUAUUGAAUAUCAAAUAAUGCGCAAGAUCAUCCAAAGAUUGACAAUUAAAGGGAAAUCUAUAUGUCGUUCAUUGGCAAUAACAAGAGAGGUUAUCAUUCCACAUACAACAAGCAAUAUAGGUAACCAAAAGGUUGCCGCAUCAACACAAGAUUGCACGGUUGCACGGACCAUUCUGCAUAAAGUAUCGUCGGUGUCCAAAAGGGUCACCCCACUUUGAAGACAUAUUCACUCGAUGAACAAACUACUUAUGCAACAACCAAGAGGGUUGUUGUUGCAAGUUAUUUCUUGCCAAGCAGGUACAUGAAAGGAUGACUUCGCUUUUUAGGCAACAACUCACGUGGAGAUAUAGUAAAAAAUUAUACAUUUCUUUCGUGAAUUGUGCUUGUUUUGCAGAGAAAUUUUGGCUUUUGAGAAGAGAGCCGCCACUUAAUUUUGAAAAGGAAUUAAGAAACCUUUAUAAAAUACUUAAAACGAUCCAAAAUAGGAAAAUUAUUUUAAGUUUAGAGAAUUCUAGGUAAGCGGUUCCUAUUAACGUUUUAGGAAGGUGUUAGGCACCUAAAACAUCCGCUAACUUGAGGUUAUCCGAUCUGUUUGAAAAUUAUCUCUUUUGACUAACUUGGAAAAUCGACUUGUGGGAAAAGUAAUUGGUUAAGGAAAAGUUUUUUUGCAAAAUCAAUUGUUUAGCGACUUAGUUAGGGAAUUAACUAGAUUCGAACACUAAGCAAAUAAAAUAACAAAAGGGAAAUAGAGGAAGAAAUAAAUGAUUUGGGCCUUCAUGCCCAAAUCCGUCACCCUGUCCUAGUCUAGAUAUUGGGCUUUCGACCCGUAUUCCACAUGUUCAAGCUUUUGGCUCGAGUAUCACUCCACCUGUAUUAACUUUACAACUUUGGCUUCGAGGCCCUAAUGAAUAAAUAAAUAAAUAAAUAAAUAAAUAAAUAAAAGACGACAAUAAAUAUAUAAAAUAAAAUAAUAAAUGAGACUUUUGUCUCUUAACCGCUUCAAAGUGGAACUUUAACCCACUUUCUUCUUUCAUCUCCUUGCCCCCAGUAUACCGUAGGGUUGAUAUUCAAGCUUUCUCUAAGAAUUGACACGAAAGAUAGGCCUCAUUGGCCCGUUUAAGAAAUGCAAAGAGGCAAGUGUCCCUUCGGACUCCGAGGCGGGCUGCAAAGUAAAAAAUGAGUGAAUUAGUAUACAUUCUCAAGAGUCUUUACACUAAUAGAUAAACUAUGCAAUAAAAAGCACAACGCUUUAGGCGGGAGAAAAUAGCAAUUCACUUGCUACAUAUAGACAUGUGAACUAUAAAAACCAUAAAUACAUGAGCCUCAAGAUUAUAAAAGUAUAUGGCUUGCAAGCGAGUUAAUUAGUUAACGAAUGUGGUAAUCAAUACACUCGGAAUAAAUCCACAUUCUAUAAUCUCUACAUUAUUUCAAGAGAGUGUUAGGAAGCUUAAAUAACCAAGUCUCAAUUACUUUUGAUCGCGUAUGGUACCGAUAUAAUCACCAAAAUUUUCAGAAAAAAGAAUUAAACCAGAUUUUCAACGAAUAUGCAAGGCAAAUCAAUACACUGCCUUUAGUUAGGACAUAAAGAAGGAAGCUAACCAAUGAUGAAAAAUUCAACUUUAUGGAUAACCAAGAUCCUGUAUUAUUUUUAUCAAGAGAAAAAUAGGAGCAUCUUCAUAACAUGAUACUUGCAGACAUUAAAGACAAAAAAAAGGUAAGAAUUUGACACUUUACAAACCCAUCCUCAUGAAUUAAGAGCGACUUUCAUAACUUGGUUUAGCAAACUAAAAUGCAGUUUCGAAGACCCAUGAAAAUAGAGAAAGAUUUGAUUUUUGUUUUCAAAAUAUUGCUCAGAUAAGACCUCUUUUGGUCCGUCUAUACUACAACAGGCAAAAUCCUUCUUUAAAACAUGCUUGACUAAGCAACAAAAAACAAUUCAAAUUUUUGAUGUCAAUCAUAACAAGCCACGAAAAAACAAAUAGAGUUAGGGAAAAUGCUAGAGAUGGACAUCUUCGAGUAUUGAGGGAAAAUGCUAGAGAUGGACAUCUUCAAGUAUUGAUUUAUCAUUCAUUUGAAAGAUAAAUUCCAGUGUUUUAUUUUGACAUUAUGAGUCAAGGAAAAACAAAGUGAAGAGUCCUCUUUCAACCAAGAAAACAACAAGAAACAAGCAAUAUUAAAUAUGCAUAGAACUCGAAACGUCUUUCGCGAAAUAUCACCCAAAAGGAUAUAAGAUUUACAUUAUCCUAAAGUAACUAUUUGAAGCAGUAAAAUACCAACAGAACAUGAACAAUGGCAUCUCUAGAGAAAGUCAAAUAACUAUGAAUAGGGCAAAUUUCAAGCAGACUGGUGCAAAGUUCAUCAAAGCAUAAAUUUUAACAUCAAUAAUCAAAUAAAUUAUGAUCUUGGACUCAACCCAAACCAACUUUAUAGUCAAACCAUUAUUUGCACUUCGCAGGUAAGAUGAAGGAAAAUAUUUUAAUACCCUAUAUUCUAACCAUAACCAUACUAAGAAGGAAAACUAGUUUGAACACGCAGAAAGAAUGCAUUUUCUCUUUAGCUAUAGCAGCUUACAGACACGGGAAAUAAGGGUAUAAGAAAAUUACAAAAGCAAACAGCCAACAUCCAUCAUAACCUAUGGCUUUCGAGGCCUCUAACAACGAACAUCCCAGCACACCAAGAUAUUAUUUAUCACCAUAGAACGACAAGAUGAAGCAGAAAUAGGUAGAAAUAAUUUAAAAACUGAACGUAGUGGAGUGUUACCUAUUUCGGAGAAGCAAAACAGUACUACAAGCUAACUUUGGACCUCCACCACCACCGGAAAGCUCAAUACCAUCGUGAACACUCGACUAGCUGACUGUUUUCCCUUUUUUCUUUCUUGUUUUCCCCUAUCAAAGAAAAGUUUUGCCGCCCUAAAAGAAUUUUUCUACCUAGGUUUUCGAGUUCGGAAUUUCUAAUCCUUCUUGGACCCAAAAGUUUCCCAACCCAAGAAUCUUCAACCCAGAAUUUCCAACCUCUCUCCUCUUGAACCGGAAUCCCCUUCCUUGCUUCUGAAACUCCCCUUUUAUAGAGAGUCAACUAGGGUUUAUCUACGGGGUAAAUUAGGGUUUUUCCAGAAUAGGAAAUUUUGAAAUUCGAAAUUCCAAACGUCCCCCGCUUCGAUUUUUAUCCAUGACACAUCCAUUUUUGGAUUCUUUGAAGAAAAAUUAAAAUUGUGGACCAACAAGAUUUGGGGAAAAACAAAUUAACCCCAAGAACCAAUGACAUUCGUCCAAAUAUGUACGAAAUCAUACAAUUACACCCGAAAAUCGCGGAAUCGAACCGUUGGGGGGACAGCUUAUCCGAUUCUAGAAACUUCUAGAGCUUUCUUCGUACGAAUCUAUGUGAGACGCGCAUGGAGAAAGGUUGGGUUGGGUCGGGAUUGAAGUUGUUCGCAUAUUGGGUUGACGGAUUCAGGUAGAGUGGGUCACUGGAUGCGUUAUUGUUGUUUUGUUAUUGAUAGAGUAUCGGUGCUUAGCUUUUGUUAGUGCUAUUGAAGAAGAAGAGAGAAAUGGGCUGGGUUGGACAGCUUUGGGUGUUGGGUUGAAAUUGUUAUGGGCUGCUGGUACAUGGGUUAACCAUUGGGGUUAUUUAAUAACCCCAAUUAAAUCUAAUUGAAUUAUUAAAUAACCCUAAUUAAAUUUAAUUAGAUUAGAAUAAUCAUAAUUAAAUUUAAUUGGAUAAAAAAAAUAACUCUAAUUAAAUUUAAUCGGAUUAAAAUAAUCUCAAUUAAGAAAUGAUAACUUUUGGGAUUAAGAUUGAAUUACAAUUUAAAUGGCUUAUUUAAAUUAUAACCAAAUUGAAUAUCUAUUGGUCAAUUGCAUCACAAUUGGGCCAAUUUGAUUUCAAUUGAGGUCAUAUUUAAUUUGUUCGCUAAAUUGAAUCGCAAUCUGGCACGAAUCAAGUAACAAAUCAACCUCGAGUUUCUUAAUUUGAAAAAGAUCCAACAAAUAUUCCUCCAGAUAAAAUAUUUUGAGAGAAAAUCUUAUUUAAAACCAAGAUUUUAUCCAUUUGAAUUUAUUUUCAAGUUUAAUCAAUAAAAAUCUAAUUUUAAUGAAAACGUUCAUUUAGAUAACAAAAUUUAUACACUCUCGUAUAUAAAAAUGCGAAGAAUGUAUAAUCGUUAAUUAAAUGAUAAAAUUGAAUUGAAUAAGUAAUUUAAACUAGCAUUUAUUUGAACAAAAUAAUUGUUGUGAUUUUAUUUUAAAAUUGAAGAAACUCGAAAUUAAAUUGAAUUGCGGAGGGCAAAAAUUAGGUGUCAACAGUGCUUAUUACUAAUAAUUUUUGUUUGAGAUAUUGUCGAGAGAUUCCGAGAGAAUGAAAAUCUCAAAAUUAAAACUACAGGUGCAGACAACUCCAGAUAGGAUCCAACACAAUAUGAAACUCUUUCAUAGCAGCAAAACGAAACAUAGUCUAGAGAGGGACGUCAAAUUCUUUGGAUGCGAGCUAAAGGAUCAUCGCCACGACCAAUCAAACCACACCCUUGUUAGAAGGCAUGUGGGUAUUUUGAGAUACUCUAGUUUCGGCUUCACCUUUGAGACAUUUCUAAACUCAUACUGAGGGUAAUUUUCUCUUUCUUUCAAAUACGGGUGACAACAUGCUUAGAGUUUUGGAAAUUAUGUCCAGCUAAGUUCUUACCUAUGGAUGUGAAGAGCUCCACAUUCAUUGUUAAGAGGUUAUAAACCUCUUUUCUGCAACUCGAUCAACCUGUCACUCAUCCCUAACCAAAGAUCGUCUAAAAUAAAAAAACUAUUUUUUUACUGAUUAUAUUGAACUACAAGCAGUCUGAUUCCCUAAGUCUCAGGGAUAUGUAGGUGUAGGCUGGGCUCUAUGUAGAAAACUCAACUGCAUUCCAACUUCCCCCUAAAUUCCUUUGUUCUCCAGCUUUUUGGUUUCAUCAAAAACUCUAAAACCGAGAUACCUUGUGCAUUUUGUUGAAAAUCAAGUUUUAUGAACUACAAGUGGCCUGAAUUCUCAUGUAACCUGAGAUAUGUAGAAAACCCGAUACCGGAGUUCGUCCAUAACUCCAACACUCGUGCGAAAAACAACCUCUUUCAGAAAUAAAUUUGUGCUCGGGCAAAAAGUAGGAACUUCAAACUCACUUUGCCCAGGGUUACUUGUAUUCACCCUACCCAAAGGGAGGGGGCAGUUAUUAACACCUAAUUUUGGCCCUCCACAACUAAUUUAAUCAUGAGUUUCUUUAUUUUUAAUAAAAACAAAUAAUUAUUUAAUCCGGCUAAAUGUGCUCUAAAAUAUUUAUUUUAAAUUAAUUUUAUCAUUUAUGUGAUGAUUAUAUGUUUCGUAUUUACAUAUGCGAGAUUGUAUAAAUUUGGUUACUUAAAUGAAUAUGUUUAUCAAAAUUGAAAUAUUAUUGGGAUUAAUCUUGAAAAUCAAUUCAAAUGAGUAAAAUCUUGAUUCAGUUAUUUUUUGUUCUCAAAAAUAAUUUAUAUGGAGAAAUAUAUGUUUGAUUUUGUUAAACUUGGAAAUUCAAGAUUGAAUCGGUUCUUAAUUUGUUUUAAGUUUUGAUUCAAUUUAGUCGAUUUAUUAAAAUUGAUCAUAAUUGAAAUUAAAUUGACCACAAUUGUAAUGUAAUUGGUCAAUUGUUAUCCAAAUUGGUUAAUAUUUAAAUAAAAUUGACUAAAAAUCUAGCUAAUUUGACCAUUUUAUAAAGAACCAAUUUUUAUCCUUUUCCAUUUUUAAUUUUGGGCCACAAAGACCUGCCCAACAACAAUAACAACAAUUAAAUCAUUCAUUUACAACUCAGCAACCCAACAAUUCACCCAUUUAAUAAAGGGAAAAUUUCAGAAAUAGCAACUAUAGAGCUUUAAUUGCAACUUUUAUAUCAACAGUUUUAUAAUUACGAAAAAUAGCAAAUUGUUUUUUGUAUUUAAGUAAACUGUUGCUAUACAAAUACAUAUGCAACGAAAUUUACUGCACUUGUUUUACUCAAAUUAGUUGAGUUAAAUAAGGAAUAAUUAUCUCAUCUAAUUAAAUUCCCAUAAAUUACUCUUAUUUAUAUGUAGAAUCCUUUUCCAAAUCAAAAUCAAAUAUGAAGAUUAUUAUUUCUAUGAUCUUCAAAUUUUAAAAUAGCAUUCUCUUAUAUCUCUAAAUAUUUAUUUUUUUAGCUUUUUCAUUUUUUUAAUAUUUUUCUUUUUGUUUUAAUUUCUGUUUCUUUUCCAUUUUUUUCUUUCCACUUUAUUUUCUCUUUUCUAUUUCUUUUUUUUUUCCUUUUUCGUUUUUUAUUUAUUUAUUUAUUUUUUUAUUUUCUUUUUUUAUUCUUUUCUCAUAUUUUUUUUCAUUUUCUUCUUCUUCUUCUUUUUUUAAUUUUUUUUUCGUUUUUAUUUUUACACUUCUAUUUCUAGUUUCUAUUUCUCUUUCUUCUUUUUUUUCCUUUUUCACUUUUUUUUUGACUUUUUAUUUUUUGUUUUUUUUUUUUACUCUUCUAUCUUUAUCUUUUAUUUUUAAAAGAUAAAUAUCUAUAUGAUAGAUACAUAUUCAAAAAAUAUACAAAAUAAACAGACAUAAAGAUCUGCAUAUGUAUUUAUGGUAAAAAAAAACAUUAGAUAUCUGCAUAUGUAUUUACAGAAAUACAUAUCUGACUCACAUGUAUAUAUAAAUAUAUAUGACACAAAAUCUUUAUAAUAAAAUGACAAUUAUAUACAUAUACAUAAAGGUAGUAAAAACAUACAUGAUAGAUAUCUUAAACAGUAAAAGAAAACAAAUAAGUACAUAUGUUACCCUCUAAAAUGAAAUAGUAUGUACAGUUUAAAGACAAAUUCAACACCGUAUAAAAUACAUAUAGCUCUACAUAUGUGUUUACAGAAUACAUACUUGAUCCAUAUGUCUAUUCUUAUUUUAUAUGAGUCACUUUUUUAUUUCGCAAAUACAUAUGAAGAUAUAUAGUAUAGUUAUAUUUGUUAUUGUUUAAUAUAAAUAUGAUAUGUAUAUCGUAAAUACAUAUGUAUGUUUUGUACCGUAAAUACAUAUUCAGAUCUGUAUGGCUAUGUAUUUUAUAUAUUUUUUGAAUAUGUGUAUGUGAUAUACAUAUUUGUAUUUUCAAAAUAAAAGUUAGAGAUAGAAGAGUUAAAAAGGAAAAAAAUAAAAAUAUAAAAAAAAUGAAAAAAAGAGAAGUGAAAAAAAAAAGGAAGAAAGAGAAAUAGAAGUGUAAAAAUAAAAUAAAAAAGAAAAAAAUAAAAUAUAAAAAAAAGAAGAAGAAAAAGAAAAAAAAGAUAUGAAAAAGGGAAAAAAAAAAAGAAAACGAAAAAGGAAAGAAAAAAAGAAAAAUAGAAGAGAGAAAAUAAAGUGGAAAUGAAAAAAAAAAAGAAAUCAAAAUAAAAUAAUAAAAUAAUAAAAAAAUAAGAUGAAAAAAAAACUAACAAGAAAAAAAAAAUAGAGACAUAAGAUAGUGAAAGACAGUAAUGAUGUUUUAUUUUAAAAUCUUGAAGAUCAUAAAGAUAAUUAUCUUCAAAUAUGAAAAAGGUAUAAAAAAGAAAACAAAAAAUAAAAAAAGGAAAAAUGAAAAAAGAUGAGAAAUAUAAGAGAGAAAAUAAAGUGAAAAUAAAAAAAUGAUAAAGAAAAUAAGAUGAAAAAAAAGAGGGUAAAAUAUAUGGCUAUAUUUGGGGGAGGUGAAAUAGUGGAGUGAAAAUAGAAAAAUGUAAAGUUGUGCGUGUAAAACAUGCACUUGCCUGGUUAAUGAUUAAAAUAAUGCUACUCUUGCUAUAAACUAUAAUUUUACAAAAGUGUUGCUAUUUAUUGUAAUUAUAGUCUUAAGUAUGCUACUUUCUGUGAUUUUUCCUUUAAGAAAUAUCCAACACCGGCCUCCCCAGCCUAAUCCAACAGUGAAUCACAACAGCAACAUUAAGAACGUUCAACAAACAACGACCAAGGCAAACAACAAUUUUAACCGACACAGCCUCAAUCAACCCAAUACCCUUCAACGACGAGCUGAAUCCAACAAACUCAACAGUUCAACAAUCCGAACCUGCUCCAGCUGCAAACAACCAGCGGCUAACCCGACACCCUCGACCCGACUUUGACCCAUUCGACUAAAAUUCUAGAUUUUUUGUGGAUGUUCCGACCCCUGUUAAUCAACUCCAAAUCAAGUGUUGGAAAUAGGACAGUUUAUCAGUAAUACCGACUCCUACUCAAAAAAAUAAUAUUAUAUUCACAGCUAAACGGGGCUUAUUUACAAUCUGCAACACUAGUUCUACCAAUAGCUUCCUUCAUUUACAAUGAUCACAAAAAUAUACAAUUUAAAAAUUAAUAUUACAAAAUCUACUAAUAGUAUCCACUUUUCAGAUUAUACCAAUAGAUAAUUAACAAAACCUAUCAAAUAACGUAGAAGGAAAGAAAAACACAGUAAAAAAAUAUCAAAAUUGCAUACAAAAUAAGUGAUAUUCUUUCCUAUAAUUUCUCCUCAUAUGUUUUUCAAUUCCAUAGUUGACUCAUUUCUUUUCAAUUUUAAUUUCUCUUCUUCUCUUUUUUUCCUCUUAUUUUCCAUUUUGAAAUGCCAACACACCCACGUUGGGUGUUGCAUCACGAUACCACAUUGUGGUGAUUCCCAGUUUCUCUUCAAAAUCAUUCUAAUGAAUUAAAGAAGAUUGAAAAUUGAUAUCUCCUUUAGGAACAAAUUUGUAAUUAUUUCAGUCUCUAAUUGCUAAACUUAUCAUUUAAUUUCAUAUUAUUCGUGAAAAUAAUAUAGAAACUUAUGUGUAAAAAGGUUAAAUAACUACCUCCUAUAAAUAUAGUAUGAAAAUAGUGUAAAAAUUGAUGUCUUGUAAAGGUUAUUUAUUUGCUUCUUAGAAACAUAGUAUAAAAAUGGUAUAGAAGUGGUGUAGUAUAAAGGUUAUUUAAUUACCUUCUAGAAAGAUGGUAUAAAUAUGAUGUAAAAAUUGGUGAUCCUAUAAACAUGGUAUGAAAUUGAUAUAGAAAUUGAUGUUUAGUAAAGAAUAUUUAACUAAAUUCUAAAAGUAUGAUAUAAACAUGGUAUAGAAGCUGGUGUUCCGUAAAAGGCAUUCCAAAAGAACUUAUAUAUUAUAUCCAUAAACGUUUUAAUCUGAAAAAGAAUAAUUGAUUUUUUACUAUUGCUUUGAGUAAAGUAUUUAGCCCAACAAGAUUGAUUUAGUAACAGUACAGCGAGAUAAUUGCAUGUAAGACUAUUCUAUAUACGAUACCACAAGUUCACGGCUUGGGUGAAUCAAUAUUGCUGCUUGUUCAAACAUUUAUUAACCUAAAUUCUUUGAUUGUUGUAGGAUUAUGAUCAUAUUAUUUUAUAUAACUUUGAGUGAAGAAAAUGGUGAGGAUCGUGAUUGUACUUAUGAAAAGAGAAGCAACAGAUUUAGUGAAGAUAAAGGAGUUUGGAGACCUUCAAAGAACUUCUGAAUUUUUAAUGGUAAUGGGUCGGAGUCGCAAUCGAAAUCGAAAUCGGGUUGGAUUGAAUUAAUUGAUUGGGUAUUUUUUAUUGAUUUUUUUGUGUGAUUUUGAAAGGGGUAGCUACAUAAUUUUCUAAUUUUUUGAUGAUUUUUCAUUUUUUCACUUCGUUUUUAGUAGCCAUAGGAAGUUAGAGGUGGGAUUGGAAGAAAGAGAGGAGUGGAAAAAAGGAGAGGAGUAGCAGAAUUUUUGGAUUUGAUUUUUUACAGAGGAAAAAAAGGAACUGAAUAGUUGAUAGAUUUUGUAAAUAAAAAAUAAUAUUGUUAUAUUUUGUGAUAUUGAUUCUUAAAUUGUAUAUUUAUGUGAUUUUUCCAAUAUAAAUUGGGUUGUGCUUCAUCUAUAUGGCCCUGAUCUAAUAAGCCCAAAAAUGAAAGGGACAAGUGCACAAAUAACCGAUUUGAACGAUCAUUUAAAUCAUAGCCAUUGUACAUAAAAAAAAAUAUGUAAAUUUAGCUGCUUCAAAACCAAAUUAAGGCAUAUGUGAUCAAAGAUGUAAAAAUUCGAGUCUGAACGGAUGACAAAGUUCUAACAUUUUUUCUUAAAAUUUGGCUUGUCACGAUCAAACUCUUGAUAUAUUUUCCAGAAGUUUAGUUUGAAAAGGCCCAACCACCAACAUUUAUAUUUGAAGUUUGGUUGGUCAAGACGGUUGGUCUUGUAGUGACUAACACAAUAAUGAUGGUGGUAACUGUGGAAGUGAAUAGAGUUAAUGUUAGUAGUUGAUGGUUUGGUGAUAGAUGUCGCUGAAAAAUAUGUGGUGAUUGACAAUGAGUGUUGGUGGAGGUAGUCGAUAUUGGGAAUUGGCCUUAAUGACCAUAAUGACCAAUAGUAAUAGCGGAGGUGGUGACAGAAAGUGUGCUAGCAUAAAUAAUUAUAAUAAUUGAUAUGUAAACAUGAUAGCACUAAGGGUCGUUUGGUUGGAAAAGAGUUAUCUCGAGAUUAGUUAUCCCACCAUGUAUGGGAUAACUAUUCCAUCAUUAUGAUAUAAAUGGUGGGAUAAAUAAUCCCAAGACCGACUAAUACCUCCAACCAAAUAUGGGAUAAAACAAUCCUGCAUUUUGUCCUUGGAUUAUUAUACCUUAUACCUACACCAAACAAUCCCUAAUAGUAGCAAUCGAUAGUGAUUAUGAUUAUUAGUGAUAGUUAUGAUGACACAGAUGAUUGACGAUGAUGAUAGCGAUUGCGAUUGUUGACAUGGUUGGAGAUGGAGACCGGUAGAUAUGGAUAUACUAGUUGUGAAAAUUAUUUACAGAAAAUAUAUUUUAAUAAUAGUAUUUUGUAUCUUAAUUAUUUAUAUAUUUUAUAAGCAUAUUUAGUAUUCUAAUAUAUGUGAUGGUUCAAAUGGACUUUGAAUUUUUUAUUCUUAGUACUCUAUUCUAUUUCUUUAUAUUUUUUGUUUGACCCACGGUUCAGUCCAGUCCAUAUUACUCAAACCCACGGACCAACGGGAUUAUACGGGCCGAGCUAAAAAGUCUUGUUCUCAAACGAGUUGUAAAAGUCUUAGCCCAUCCCUAUAAAAUUACAGGUUGGAUUGGGUCUGACCUAUAUUGACGGCUCUAGUUAAAAGAAUGAAUUCUAGGUUUUACUUAAUUCGUUCUAAGUACUUACAUGAUUACUCUUUCUUAACAUUUUCAUAUAUUAGCAACAUGUAGUUUGAAGUUCACAUAAAAAUUGGAUUGUGACUUUGUAUCUUCCAUAAAAUAGUCAAGUUAUGACCUGUUUUUAAUUGAGUUUUAAAAUGAAUUGUAAUAAGUUAGAAUGAAAUUAAUAGAAAUUAAUAAACAGAAAGAUCAUUAAUAGAAAUUAUUGCAAAGUACAUAUAAUAUGUACCAUUAUUGAAACAAAAUAACAAAAAUGGAAGAUGAAAGCAUACUUAAAUAGAGUGAAUCUAUAUAUAUACUCACUUCAUUAUAUAGAACUUCGAUAAAUAAUAUUAUACGAAGAUAGUUUAUUUAAUUCAUUUAAGAAGCAGUAAACUAGAUAUCUGCAUCUUUUGAUGGAGAUUGUGAGGAGGACGAAGCUUCAGCUAAUUGAUCCUUCAACAAAAUUUCUCCACUAUCCAACCAAGCUUGAAACUUCAUUACAUCAUCUGCAUUUAAAUGAUCAAUGGACUCCCAUCGACCUUUAUCUCUAGUCUUAUUCCUUUGGGAUAAGAAAAGGAAUUUAUCUUUUGCAACUUCUUCUCUUUCAUCAAGUUCAUUUAGCCUAUCAUUAAUUGAUUCACUUUGUGAAUUUUCAUCAACAAUUUGUUCACCUAAAUCUGUUUUCAAAUUCAUAAAACGAUCAAUGAUUGCAUUUUGUGUUGGGUGGACAAAAUCAACUGGUGAAGAUAGAAAGAUUCCAAGAUCUACAUCAUUUUCUCUAACGAGUUUGCUAGCUUUUUUAUAUAAGCCGGAACGUCGUUUAGAGAAUGUGGAAUAUCGAUUAGCAUUUUUUUCUAUCCUCACCAAUGGAAUUUUUCAGCGUCCUAUUGUUUUCUUACGCUCCAUGAAGAAAUAUGACUUACAAAAAAAAAUGAAUUAUGAUGAAUAUUUAUAUACAUAUUAUUCAUAAUGAUCAUUAAAUUUCUAUCCAAAUAUCACAAUGGAAAGUAAUCUUUUCUUCUUGAAAAUUAUAGUAGAAAAUUUUUAUUCAACUUGAUACUCAUAAUCUGAGUUUUAUAGUAACAUCAAUGUGAAAUUCAAGGGGGAUGAAUAAAAAAUUUGUGAGUCGACUAUUGACUCCUCACAGUCGACAUACCUACCGAUCAGUAUACUUCACAAAAUAGAUUAGAAUUAAAACAAAUAGACAAGUAAAUAAUUAACUUUAAACAGAAGAUACGAAGAUUUAUCCCAGUUUGGAAAACCAAUGUGCUUUCUACUUCCAGUCCCAUUGGGUUUCAAUAUUUUUUUAGAUCUUUCAAUGUUGGGCUCGAGUACAAUGAUGAGAAACAAGUUCCGAAGACUUAAUUUGUUCUUCGGAUCUUGUGACAUAACUUCAGCUUGUAUUAGAAAGUUGACUCGAUCCUAUUCUUUAUACAACUAUUGUAAACUAAGGAUUACAAAGCUUUGUGAGACUAAGAUUGAGGCACUUUGAGAUUUCUCCUUGAAGUUGUGUAUCUUCUUUCUUCCAUUUUGGCCUUUUUAGUCUUCUGUUGUAUAUGCUUCUUUUCUUCAUAAGAAAACCCAAGAGAUUUCUUCUCAAUCAAGGAAUUAAGUUGAUUUCUUGAUUGAGGGAAUUUGCACUUUUUGGUAUGUCCAUAUCAGAUAUGUCCAUACUUGGUGCGAUUUUUCUUUCUCACAUAUGUACAUGUCCAUAUCAGAUAUGUCUAUGUAGGAGGUGAGAUCUUCUUUCUCCUUUUUUUAUUGCCGUGAGGUGCAUUCAAUUGCCUUGUUCACUGAGAUCUUUAGUUGAUAUGAUUUUUGUUGCCUUGUCAAAUGAUAUCCUACUUUGGUGUGGCUCCAAAUUUAACACGAUCUUCUUUGAGAUAUAAUCUCCCAUUAUUUGAGUUCUUCAAUGUCUUUUGUGUGAGAUCUCCUUCCAUCAUUAGGUAUCUUUAAUAUCCUGCAAAUUUCACUUAUUAGUUUAUCAUUAUUAAAACAUAAAACAUAAAUAUCGGAGGCUAACAAUCUCUCCCUUUUUUAUAAUGACAAAUAAUCAUUUAAAAAUCAGUUGACUUCCCUGUUAUAGUAGUAGACUUGCUCCUUUGACUCUUAUCCAUUGAUAGUCGACUUGCUCCCCUUGAAUUUAAGCAUUGAUAGUCGACUUGCCCCCCCUGACUUUAAGCCCAUUUGAUGUUCCUAUUUUUCUCCCUCUUUUGGCAUAAUUAAAAAAAAUACAUGAAAUCAUACAUCCAAAAAGAAUAUGCACAUAGCAACGAAAUUAACAGAUUAAUUACCAAGAACUCAGGCAAAAACAAGGAAGUGUGGUAGAAAUUAUUUGUAGAAAACAUCUUACAACCCAACAAAAAUAAGGGACAGGACCCCCUUUUGAUUAAACAGUCAUUAUUCACUGCUUAGCUAGAAAAUAUGUUAGGUUAUUAUGCAUGUUAUAGCAUAAUUUGUCAUUGAAUUUCUCAACAUUUUUAAAGAACAAGGAAAAGGAGUUCUAAACAGAAACAACAAGAUUGUCAUUAGAGGAGGUGACUUGGGACUUGAGGGAGUCCAUGCGAGUGAACACUCGAGUAAACAACUUGAUGCCUUCCUGUUUCAACCCAUCGAGUGCCAGCCAAACCACACUCAUGUCAGUGCUGGUGCUUGUUCCAAGGUCCAUAAGUUUGGAAGUCGACUCCUGGAGCAGCAUAAUACCUUCCUCAACGGCUUUGAACCGAUCUUUGAUUUCCUCCAGUUCCUUCAUCACAGCAAUAGAGGGGUUAGACUUACUUACCUUUGGGAGUUCAUAUUUUGCACGGGCAGAAUCGUUCUUGUACCAUUCAUCUUCAACCAAAACAUAGCCCAUACUGACAAAAGUUUUGGAGUCAUAAGUAGCCACAACUUCCACUAAAGGGUAAGUAGAGAGAUCAAUUGUGUAAUACAGAAGAAUCCAAGUAAUGAGCAGGCCAUACGGUAAACUGGCGAAAGCAUGAACAUCUGUUGCACUCUCAAGCAUGUACUCAUGAAUCCAAGUUGCACAAUUUAUUUUGGUCUUCUUAACCAGACAGUAUAGCACAAAAAAUCAUGAUAAGUGAUGUUUCUUAGAGAUCUUUUUCGGUGAAUCAGAGUGGUGGAAACAAUAUAAGCCAUAAUGUGAUAUUUGAAUCAGAGAGACAGGGACCAAAGCUAGAUGGUACAGAUUCAGAAUUAGACAAAAACUUUUUGGGUUCCUCUAAGCGCACUUUAAAGUCCUCAAGCCAGUUAUUAUUCAUAAAGGCACUACACCGGAGAAUUUAGUAUCAAAAACUUUCUUGAAUAGAAAGUUGUUCAAGAAAAUUCUUGUGUUGAGCACAAGAGUCUCAAACUCCCCACUAUCUGGGAAAAUUCUGAAAUUGGUGUAGAACAUGUUCAAAUGGACUUUGAAUUUUUUAUUCUUAGUACUCUAUUCUAUUUCUUUAUAUUUUUUGUUUGACCCACGGUUCAGUCCAGUCCAUAUUACUCAAACCCACGGACCAACGGGAUUAUACGGGCCGAGCUAAAAAGUCUUGUUCUCAAACGAGUUGUAAAAGUCUUAGCCCAUCCCUAUAAAAUUACAGGUUGGAUUGGGUCUGACCUAUAUUGACGGCUCUAGUUAAAAGAAUGAAUUCUAGGUUUUACUUAAUUCGUUCUAAGUACUUACAUGAUUACUCUUUCUUAACAUUUUCAUAUAUUAGCAACAUGUAGUUUGAAGUUCACAUAAAAAUUGGAUUGUGACUUUGUAUCUUCCAUAAAAUAGUCAAGUUAUGACCUGUUUUUAAUUGAGUUUUAAAAUGAAUUGUAAUAAGUUAGAAUGAAAUUAAUAGAAAUUAAUAAACAGAAAGAUCAUUAAUAGAAAUUAUUGCAAAGUACAUAUAAUAUGUACCAUUAUUGAAACAAAAUAACAAAAAUGGAAGAUGAAAGCAUACUUAAAUAGAGUGAAUCUAUAUAUAUACUCACUUCAUUAUAUAGAACUUCGAUAAAUAAUAUUAUACGAAGAUAGUUUAUUUAAUUCAUUUAAGAAGCAGUAAACUAGAUAUCUGCAUCUUUUGAUGGAGAUUGUGAGGAGGACGAAGCUUCAGCUAAUUGAUCCUUCAACAAAAUUUCUCCACUAUCCAACCAAGCUUGAAACUUCAUUACAUCAUCUGCAUUUAAAUGAUCAAUGGACUCCCAUCGACCUUUAUCUCUAGUCUUAUUCCUUUGGGAUAAGAAAAGGAAUUUAUCUUUUGCAACUUCUUCUCUUUCAUCAAGUUCAUUUAGCCUAUCAUUAAUUGAUUCACUUUGUGAAUUUUCAUCAACAAUUUGUUCACCUAAAUCUGUUUUCAAAUUCAUAAAACGAUCAAUGAUUGCAUUUUGUGUUGGGUGGACAAAAUCAACUGGUGAAGAUAGAAAGAUUCCAAGAUCUACAUCAUUUUCUCUAACGAGUUUGCUAGCUUUUUUAUAUAAGCCGGAACGUCGUUUAGAGAAUGUGGAAUAUCGAUUAGCAUUUUUUUCUAUCCUCACCAAUGGAAUUUUUCAGCGUCCUAUUGUUUUCUUACGCUCCAUGAAGAAAUAUGACUUACAAAAAAAAAUGAAUUAUGAUGAAUAUUUAUAUACAUAUUAUUCAUAAUGAUCAUUAAAUUUCUAUCCAAAUAUCACAAUGGAAAGUAAUCUUUUCUUCUUGAAAAUUAUAGUAGAAAAUUUUUAUUCAACUUGAUACUCAUAAUCUGAGUUUUAUAGUAACAUCAAUGUGAAAUUCAAGGGGGAUGAAUAAAAAAUUUGUGAGUCGACUAUUGACUCCUCACAGUCGACAUACCUACCGAUCAGUAUACUUCACAAAAUAGAUUAGAAUUAAAACAAAUAGACAAGUAAAUAAUUAACUUUAAACAGAAGAUACGAAGAUUUAUCCCAGUUUGGAAAACCAAUGUGCUUUCUACUUCCAGUCCCAUUGGGUUUCAAUAUUUUUUUAGAUCUUUCAAUGUUGGGCUCGAGUACAAUGAUGAGAAACAAGUUCCGAAGACUUAAUUUGUUCUUCGGAUCUUGUGACAUAACUUCAGCUUGUAUUAGAAAGUUGACUCGAUCCUAUUCUUUAUACAACUAUUGUAAACUAAGGAUUACAAAGCUUUGUGAGACUAAGAUUGAGGCACUUUGAGAUUUCUCCUUGAAGUUGUGUAUCUUCUUUCUUCCAUUUUGGCCUUUUUAGUCUUCUGUUGUAUAUGCUUCUUUUCUUCAUAAGAAAACCCAAGAGAUUUCUUCUCAAUCAAGGAAUUAAGUUGAUUUCUUGAUUGAGGGAAUUUGCACUUUUUGGUAUGUCCAUAUCAGAUAUGUCCAUACUUGGUGCGAUUUUUCUUUCUCACAUAUGUACAUGUCCAUAUCAGAUAUGUCUAUGUAGGAGGUGAGAUCUUCUUUCUCCUUUUUUUAUUGCCGUGAGGUGCAUUCAAUUGCCUUGUUCACUGAGAUCUUUAGUUGAUAUGAUUUUUGUUGCCUUGUCAAAUGAUAUCCUACUUUGGUGUGGCUCCAAAUUUAACACGAUCUUCUUUGAGAUAUAAUCUCCCAUUAUUUGAGUUCUUCAAUGUCUUUUGUGUGAGAUCUCCUUCCAUCAUUAGGUAUCUUUAAUAUCCUGCAAAUUUCACUUAUUAGUUUAUCAUUAUUAAAACAUAAAACAUAAAUAUCGGAGGCUAACAAUCUCUCCCUUUUUUAUAAUGACAAAUAAUCAUUUAAAAAUCAGUUGACUUCCCUGUUAUAGUAGUAGACUUGCUCCUUUGACUCUUAUCCAUUGAUAGUCGACUUGCUCCCCUUGAAUUUAAGCAUUGAUAGUCGACUUGCCCCCCCUGACUUUAAGCCCAUUUGAUGUUCCUAUUUUUCUCCCUCUUUUGGCAUAAUUAAAAAAAAUACAUGAAAUCAUACAUCCAAAAAGAAUAUGCACAUAGCAACGAAAUUAACAGAUUAAUUACCAAGAACUCAGGCAAAAACAAGGAAGUGUGGUAGAAAUUAUUUGUAGAAAACAUCUUACAACCCAACAAAAAUAAGGGACAGGACCCCCUUUUGAUUAAACAGUCAUUAUUCACUGCUUAGCUAGAAAAUAUGUUAGGUUAUUAUGCAUGUUAUAGCAUAAUUUGUCAUUGAAUUUCUCAACAUUUUUAAAGAACAAGGAAAAGGAGUUCUAAACAGAAACAACAAGAUUGUCAUUAGAGGAGGUGACUUGGGACUUGAGGGAGUCCAUGCGAGUGAACACUCGAGUAAACAACUUGAUGCCUUCCUGUUUCAACCCAUCGAGUGCCAGCCAAACCACACUCAUGUCAGUGCUGGUGCUUGUUCCAAGGUCCAUAAGUUUGGAAGUCGACUCCUGGAGCAGCAUAAUACCUUCCUCAACGGCUUUGAACCGAUCUUUGAUUUCCUCCAUUUGCUUUAUCACAACAAUAGAGGGGUUAGAAAUAAACUUACUUACUUUUGGGAGUUCAAAUUUUGUGCGGGCAGAAUCCUUCUUGCACCAUUCAUCUUCAACCAAAACAUAGCCCAUACUGGCAAAAUUUUUAGAGUCAAUAAGUAGCCACAACUUUCACUGAAGGGUAAGCAUAGAGAUUAAUUGAGUAAUACAAAAGAAUCCAAGUAAUGAGUUGGCCAUACGGUAAAUUGGCGAAAGCAUAAACAAUUAUUGCACUCUCAAGCAUGUACUCAUGAAUCCAGGUUGCCCAAUUGAUUUUGAGUUUCUUAAUCAGACAAUACAACACAAAGACAUCACGACAGGUAAUGUUGCUAAGGGAUCCUUUCCAAGGAAUCAAUGUGGUAGCAAUUAUAUGGGCCAUGACGUGAAACUUGAAACACAAGGACAUGGGACCAAAAAUUGGUCAAAAUAGAGUCAGGGUCAGACGGGACCCUUUUGGCUUCUUCAAAGCUAACCUCAAAAUUUUUGGGAUAGUUACCAUUCAAGAAGGAGAUUGCACUAUAGAACUUUGUAUCAAAAUCAUUUUCAAACAUAAAAUCAUUCAGAACAAUUCUUAUGCCAAGAACAAGAGUCUCAAGUUCACCACUAUCAGGAAAGAGGUGGAGAUUCAUAUAAAACAUGUAAACUAGAUCCUCAUAAGCCAGAAGUCCACAGAGAUGAAAAACCAGGGAUAAAUCUUGAAACUUAAAGAAGUGACUGGCAUUACAGAAGGCAUAUUUCAAUUAACGGAGAUUGAUAAUGUGAUCGGGUACAACCAAGCAACUUUUAAAGGAAAAGAAUUUGUCUUUGUGAAAGUAUGUAUAGAACAUGUGCAUGUCUUCUGAAAGGGGGGAGUUUAGAAAGUUUGUACAAGGUUUCUUGGCAAAAGGGGAUAAGCUGGGAGUAGGACGACGUCUCUUGAUGAGAGUUGAUUGAGAGUCCAAUGACGAUUAGUUAGAGGAUUCGGAGAGGAGAACAGGACUGUUGGAGAGGGUUUUGUGAAGGAGAUUUGGACAUAUUUUCCAUAGAACGAGUUCUGACCAUGAGAGAAGAGGGAAGAUAAAUUUUAAAGGGGAAAAGAGGGAUAAGAGGGAAUGGUUAAUAGGACUAAUAAAGAGAAGGAGGAUGUAGACAACUGUUGGAAAAGAUAAUGAAGGGGAAGAUGAAGAGGUGUGAGGUGAAAAAGUGACUGGUAGAAGUGAAAGGGCGGCAGAAGGGGGGUUAGAAAGGUGAAGCUAUGCAGAAACGACAUAGGUGGCGUGAAUAUCAGUGAGAAAUAAUGAUGACUUCCCUUUUGAAAACCAAUUUUUGGUUAAAACCUAACGAUAAAAUUGGAACAAGUAAAAAUUAUUUUUCUAUCCAAAAAUAAAAAUCAUAAGUUAUCAAUACUGAGAAUUCCAAUUAUAUUUCUAAGAUAAGAAAAUCUUUCUUCUAAUAAGGGUUUUAUAAAAAUAUCUUCCAGUUGAUUUUUGGAGUCAACAAAUGUUACCAAAAAAUCGUCAGUUUCUACAUGAUUUCGAAUAAAAUGAUGCUUAAUGUUAAUGUGUUUAGCCCUAGAAUGAUGAACAAUAUAUUUAGAUAAACUAAUAGUACUGGUGUUAUCACACAUUAUGGGAAUAGAUUCAAAAUAUAAAUUAAAAUCAAGUAGUUGAUGCAUAAUCCAUUGAAUUAGAGUACCACAACUCCUAAUGGCUAUACAUUUGGCUUCAGUUGUUGAAAGAGCAAAUGAAGUUUGCUUCUUGUUGUGCCAUAAAAUCAGGGCAUCACCAAGAAUUUGAAACGUUCCACUAGUGCUUUUUCUAUCACUUUUAUCACCUAUAAAGUCAGCAUCUGAAUAUCCAAUUAAAUCGAAAUGGGAAGAGCACGAAUACCAUAGUUCAAUGUCUUGAGUUCCUAUGAGGUAUCGGAUGAUCCUUUUGACGGCAUUCCAAUGAGACUCUUUAAGAGUCGAAUGGAACCUGACACACUUACGUUUACUGAACAUAAUGCCUGGUCGACUGGCGGUCAGAUAGAGUAGUGAUCCAAUCAUUCUCUUAUACAUCUUUUCAUCAACAACCUUUCUAGACGAAUCUGAAUCAAGACUUGUGGAUGGACUCAUCGGAGUUUCAUAGGCCUUUUUUUUUCAUACCAAAUUUUUUAAUGAGUUCCUUUGUGUACUUACUUGACUAAUGAAGGUAUCUUUGAAAGUUCGUUUGAUUUGUAAUUCCAAGAAGAAUGUGAGCUCUCCCAUAAGGCUCAUUUCAAAUUCUCUUUUCAUCAGAUUUACAAAAUUCUCACACAGAGAUAUUAGGACUACGAAAAAUGAUAUCAUUAACAUAAAUUUGCACAAUAAGAAGAUUUGAAUCAAGAUUUUGUAUGAAUAGAGUUGUAUCAAUUUUACCUCUUUGAAUAUUGCUAUUUAUUAAGAAAGUACUCAAUCUCUCAUACCACGCCUUUGGAGCUUGUUUGAGACUAUAGAGUACUUUUGACAAUUUGAAAACAUGAUUUGGAUAAGAUAGAUUUUAACACCCGAGACGUUGUUUUAUGAAACUUCUUCAUGGAUAAAACCAUUUGAGAAGACACUUUUGACGUCCAUUUGAUAUAACUUAAAACAUUUGAAAGAAGCAAAAACUAAUAAAAUUUGAAUUGAUUCUAACCUUUUCACAGGGAAAAAUGUUUCAUCAUAAUCAAAACCUUCUUGUUAGGAGUAUCCUUGAGCUAUAGGUUUGUUUCUGAUAACCUUACCUUCUUCAUUCAAUUUUUUUUGUAGACCCAUCUAGUUCCAAUUAAUGAGCAGUUAUUGGGUCUUUCAACCAGAGUCUAAACUUGAUUUCGUUCACAUUGGUCCCGUUCUUCCCUCAUGGAUUUGACCCAUGUUUCAUUUUUGAGGGCAUCAUCAAUCUUCUCCGGUUUAAUUUGAGAUACAAGGGAAACAUAUGCCUACUUUCUCAAUGAUGCUCACGUUUGCAUCCAAUCAUUUGGAUUUCUGGUGAUAAAUUUAUUUGGAUAGCUAGCAUUAUAUCUCCAUUCUCUUAGAACACUCAUUUUAACUGUUUCUGCUGUGGGAUUUGACUCUGAAGGUGGUAUAGUCGACUCAUCUUGUGAUGGCUCAGAGGUUGUACUAGUAUUGGCUCCAGAUUAUAGACCACUCACCUGUUCUUUGUCAAUACUCAAACUCAUAAAAGGGUGAUUAGUUUAAUAAAAAACAAUAUGCAUAGAUUCUUCAACACAUAAAUUUUGUUUAUUAUAGGCUCGAUAAGCACGACUGGUGGGAGAGUACCCAAGAAAAAUAUCUUCUUCACUUUGUAGAUAAAAUUUUCCCAGGUUAUUCUUACCAUUAUUAUAGAUAAAACAUUUGCAUCCAAAGGGAUGAAAGUAGCUAAUGUUUAGAUUCUUUACUCUCCACAUCUUAUAAAUUAUAUUUUUUAGGAUUGGUCUAAUAAGACACCUAUUGAUGAUAUGAAUUACUGUGCUUACUGCCUCUGCCCAAAAAUGAUCUAGGAGAUUGUGUUAUGACAGUAUGGUCCUGGCAAUUUCUUGGAAGGGCUGAUUUUUUUACUCCACCACAUCAUUUUGUUGAGGAGAUUGAGGUGAUGAAAGGUUCUGAGAGUAUCCGUUCUGAGCACAGUACUCCUCAAAAGCUUUGUUUUCAAAUUCUCCUCUAUGAUCACUGUGAACAUAGGUGAGAAGUGAACAGCUUUACUCUGUACUCUUUUGAAAAAUAUUUCAAAGUUUCUAAAAGCCUCGUGUUUAUAAGCAAGACACAUUACCCAAGUAAAACAAGAACAAUCAUCAACUAUGACAAGAGCAUAUCUUUUUCCACUGAUACUUACGGUUUUGGUGGGGCAAAACAAAUCCAUGUGGAUUUUUUAAAGGGGCUUGGUAGUAGAGAUGAUGUCCUUGACUUUGAAUAAUGUCUGGGUCUGUUACCAAAAUGGCAGGCAUGAUAAAUGUGAUUUUUUUAAACUUGAGUUUUGGCAGACCUUUCACCAAUUCCGGUCUGUAUUUCUCAAUAAUAUGCAUACUAGCAUGCCUGAGUUUUCUGUGCCACAACCAAGUGUCAUUUGUUUGCACAGUGAGGCAGGUUAAGGUAGUAAAGUCAGGAAUAUUUAAUAUAUAUAUAUAUAUUAUCAAUGCGUUCACCGAUAAGGGAGAUGUUUCUUUUAUCAUAUUUGAUGGAAUAACUUUCAUCUUUUCAAACUUUCAGCUUUGAAGAAGACUCUAAAUCUAGAGUCACACAGCUGACCGAUACUGAGCAAGUUAUGUUUGAGGUCAUCCACUAGAAAUAAUUCAAUAAGUUCACAUGAGAAGUUGAGCUUUACUGAGCCGACUCCGAUGAUUUUGGCUCUAGUGUUAUCUUCGAAUCUGGUUGAUCCUCCUUUUAUUUUCCUUAGAGAAUAAAAAUUUUAUUUAUUUCCAGUCAUAGGUCUGGAACAUCCGUUGUCAAUGACCACCAUUCCCUUUUUAUAGCUUCUGCAAGCAUGUUCCUCGCUAGAUUCUCCUUUUGCCAUGAAGCACAUGUUGGCUGCUUUUGUUUCUUCUUCAGUUUCAUCUUCAUCACUGCAGGCUAUAAAAAUUUUAUUCUUUCUAGAUGACCUUCUUCUUAAUUCUGGACAGUUUUGUUUAAAGUGGACAAGCCUUCCACAGUGAUAACAGCGAUCAUAAUUUCUAGUGGAAUCAUUAUUUUAGCUCCGUCAAAUCUUUGCUGUCUCUGUCUCAUGAUUUGCCUUACUCCAUGAUUUAUAAGUCAUUCCUUCGCUAUUGGCUUCCUCCAGAAUGUCCUCUUCUUCAGUUGGUGCAACAUUGAAGGCUAUUGGUUUCUUCUUUUCCUCUUUAUAGUAUCUGUUAAUAUAAUUUCAUUCAUAUGCAAUGAUAUUACCUCAUAGCUCAUCAUAUGUUAUUUUGUGAAGAUCUCCAUCUUCUAGGAUGGCAGCCUUGGUUUCCCAUAUUUUUAAGAGACUUUGGACCAGUUUUUGUACUUGCAAGCUAUGUGAAUAGAUCUUCCCUAGUGAUUUUUGCUCACAUACGAUCUUGCUAAAUCUGGAAAACAUUGUUUCAAUGUUCUCAUUUUCUUUCAUUUUGAACAGCUUGUAUUCAUUGAUUAGGGCAGCAAUCUUUGACUUUUUGACUUUGGUGGUUCCUUCAUAGGUUAUCUCCAGUUUAUCCCACAUUUCUUUUGCAGUCUCAUGGGUUGAUAUCUUGUCGUAUUCUUCUCCACUAACUGUACAAAGAUGUAAACUUAUAGCUCGUGCAUUAGUUUGGAGUACCUCUUGUUGUUCUUUGGUGACAACAAAGCUUGCAAGAUCUUCUAUAUUAGUACUGCUCAAUUCUUUGUCCUUGUUCUUUUGCUUCUCCUUGAGUCCUGCAACUGGCUUUGGUCCCUUCUUAAUGACAACCCAAGCUUGAAAGUUAUUUGAUUGGAUAAAGAUUUUGAAUCUAUUUUCCAAUAAGAGUAGUGUUGUCUAUUAAAGUAUGGUGGUCCUGUAAAGGAAUGACCAUCUUGAAGAAGAGCACCGAGAAUUUUAUAGGUUGUCAUUCGAUCUUUGCUCGCAUGCGGUUAAGCAACACUGUUGGUGAGAUCUACUCUGAUAUCAAUUGAAAUUCAAGGGGGUAGGGGUGAAUUGAAAAUUUCUGUGAAUCGACUAUUGACUCCUCAUAGUCAACUUGUCUGCAGAUCAGUAUACUUCACAAAACAUAUUAGAUUACAAACAAACAAGUAAAUAAUUGACUUUAAAAAAAAACACGAAGAUUUAUCCUGGUUCGGAACAUCAAUGUGGUGCCUACUUCCAGUCCUCUUGGGUUUCAACAUUUUCUUGGAUCUUUAAAUGUCGGGUUCAAGUACAAUAAUAAGAAGUAAGUCCCUAAGACUUAUUUUGUUCUUCAGAUCUUGUAACAGAGCUUCAGUUUGUAUUAGAAAGUUAAAUUGAUCCUAUUCUUUAUACAACUAUUGUAAAGUAAGGAUUACAAAGUUUCUUAAGACUAAGAUUGAGACACUUUGAGGUUUCUCCUUGAAGUUGCAUAGUGUCUUCUUUCUUCCAUUUUGGCCUUUAUAGUCUUUUGCUGAAUAUGCUUCUUUUCUUCAUAAGGAAACCCAAGAGAUUUCUUCUAAAUCAAGGAUUUGAGUUGAUUCCUUGAUUGAGGGAGUUUGCACCUUUUGGUAUGUCCAUAUCAUAUAUAUCCAUACUUGUACGAUUUUCCUUUCUCACAUCUAUACAUGUCCAUAUCAGAUAUGUCUAUGUAAGAGGUGAGAUCUUCUUUCUCCAUUGGUCUUGCCGUGAGGUGCAUUCAAUUGCCUUAUUCAUUGGGAUUUUAGUUGAUAUGAUUUUUGCCGCCUUGUCAAACGAUAUCCUAUUUUGAUGUGGCUCCAAUAUUUAGCACGAUCUUCUUUGAGGAAAUAUUUCUUGCCUUGUGCGAGAUAUCCUCCCAUUAUUUGAAAUCUUCAAUGUCCUUUAUGUGAGAUCUCUUUCCAUCAUUAGGAAUCUUCAAUAUCCUGCAAAGUUCGCUUAUUAGUCUGUCAUUACUAAAACAUAAAAAAUAAAUAUAGGAGGCUAACACAAUGAAUAUGAUAUUCUAAACAAAAAUAGGUAAAUAAUGUAAUAUACUACAUGUCAUUUAUCCACUAUAUAAUUUGAUGAAACAUUAAUUACUCACCAAAAUCAUUCAGUUAUUUUAUAUAGUAAUUAAAUAAAAUUUCGCACUUAGUCAAAUAAAAUAAAUCUACCAUUUAAUUUGAAAAAGAAAAAAUUAUUAAUAUACUUUUAAGUUUUAAAAUUAUAUAAAUUCUUCACUUGGGUUAACAUCCAAAUAACUUCAAAUGACAUUGAAUAUAAUUAUAAAUCUAUUUUGACUAGUAAAUGUUUAAUGAAUAACCAGUAUAAAAAUCAAACUUUCAACAUGUAUUAUAAGUAAAUCAAAUCUAAAAUUUAACUUGAAUUAAAAAAUAUUUUUGACGUGCUUACUGAAAUAAGAGAAAAACAUUCACAUUAUGAUUAAUUAGUUUUUGGAAAUGCAUUCAAUUAAAAGCUGAACCUUAAAUUGAUAAUUAAAAUAUCUUUUUUAAGUGUAAAAAUUGAAAUUGUUAACUAUAAUGACCUGUAUAUAACCUUUAAUUGGGAAAAUUAACUAAAUAAACUUAUUAAAUUAUUUAUUAUAAGUUAUAGUAACUAUUUUUAGUUUUCAAGUUAUAGCAACUUUCAUUUAAAAAAAAUUUAAAAAUAUAUUUUUUAUUUUUUUUUAAAAGGCAUAUCAAAAUAAUUACAAGAAAGGAAAAUAUAGAUUUAAUAUAACUAAUCUACAAUAUUCCUUCCUUAAAUAUUGUUAACAUUAAUAAUUGAUAUCAAUCCCGCUCCCCAAUUCUCACUAACCAUUUUUAUUUCUCCUAUUUUAAUGCGUCCAUUAGGAGUUUCCAUCUUUAUACACUAUCUUUUUUUCUACAAGAUUAUAUUGUUCCAGUAAACAGCAAUCAUAAAUUUUUUUUGUUUUAUGCAACUUUUGAGAAUCUUUUUUUUGAAAGGAAAGCAAACAUAAUUUAUUGUUGUGUUAUAAAAAUAUGAAUUGUGAUAAUUUGCAUUCAAUCAUUUGAAAUUUGUCAAGUUUGUUAAAUUAUUUAGCAAAUUGAUACUUUGCAAUCGAACGUAUUUAAAGAAUUAAUUAAUUUUUUUAUGUGUUUCUUCAACUAAGGAUCAACUAUUAUAAACAGAAAAAUAACCAAACUUAUUUUAAUUACAAAUGAUAACAAAUUACAUAAAUAAGUAUGAAAAAGUAUAACAUGUAUGAAAAUAUGACUAAAAGAACUCAUCUACUGUUUAUAAUUUGCCUUUAUAAUGUCAAUUAUGUUAUGUGAUAUUUAACUUAAAUGCAAUAAUUAAAUAAAUUGCAAAUUUAUUAAUGUUGCAAAAAGAUAAUAUAAGAUGAUCAAAACAUAUACAUAUUAACAUGAACUUAAUAAGAAUUUAUAAUAUAAAUUAUCAAAGGAUAAACGUCAAUAAUAUCAAACUUGAUAACAAAAAAAUCAUUCCCAUAAACUUUCUAUUAAGUGAUAGAACAAUAACGAUAAAAAAUCAUUCCCAUAAACUUUCAAAACUGCUUCCCUUGAUCUUUUGAAACCACCAUGCUUGCUAGUAACAUUUUUAGUUACCUCACUUUCACUGAUUGCUCCAUCAUUCUGCUGUCGUCUGGCAUGAUCCCAUAGUAGUGCACCAUAUCUGAGUCGAUGGUUGAAAGCACCAAAUACUCUACUGGAAAUAUCAAAUACAGUGUGGCUAACGAACUUAACAAAGGCACAUACAAACAUGCCAUUAUCACUGAAAAAUAGAAAAUCAAAAAAUUAAGUACCUCUCGAACAUAAGCAGCCAUUAGUAUAAUAGAUGCCUCAUGUUUUGGAUUCGAAAUCGAGAGGGCGUCAUGCGGAAGCUAUUAGGUGCAAACUAUGAGACGAUAAAUCAAAUGACACAAAACAAAACUAGAAAACAUAAUAUUAUUUAUGAUUUGGCCAAUUGGCCUACAUAUAAAAUCUAACAUUAAAAAACAUAAAAACAAACUGAAAGAGAAAAUUUCCCCUUAAACAAAAUUCUUUAAUCAACUACAUUGUGGAUGCUAUUGUGUUAUGGUAUGAGAAGGGGGUCUUCUAUUUAUAGAGUUCCAAAACCUUUCCUCCAAGAAGGAGGUUUGCCAAAUAUGAAAAAAAUUUAUAUUUUUUUUUUAGAAAAGUAAAAGUAAUUAUAGUAUUACUUUUAUUUUUCUUUCAAGAAAAGUAAAACUUAACCUUGGUAAGAAAAUCAGGGCAAAAACCUAACAAAUCUCUCCCUUUUGGCUUGAUUUUCUUGACUUAAUCCGCCUCUUCACUUCACAUGCAUAAACUUCUUCUUGAUAUAAUCUUCAUAACUGUUGUUUGCCAUGGUUUAAAAAUAAAGUUUAAAAUAUCAUGAUUAAAAAUGAGUUAAAAAUUACUAUUUUAUUUUUAUUUUUAAAGAUGCAGCAACAGGAAUGUUGAAAAUAUUGAAAAUAUGGUUGAAACUUGUUCUCCACAAGUAGCAAAACAAAGUUGUCAUUAUCUCCUAAUUAGUUGCAGCUUGAUUUUGAAACAGCUUUGAACCUAUUUAAUCUCGUCUCACCACACCAUUGACCUUUGAACUGUAGGCUCUGAUACCACUUGUUGGGUUCGAAAUCGAGAGGACUUCAUGCGGAAGCUAUUAGUUGCAAACUAUGAGACGAUAAAUCAUAUGACACAAAUCUAAACUAUAAAACAUAAUAUUACUUAUGAUUUGGCCAAUUGGCCUACAUAUAAAACCUAAUAUUAAAAAGCAUAAAAAUAAACUAAGAGAGAAAAUCUCCCCUAAACAAAAUUCUUUAAUCGACUACAUUGUGGAUGCUUUGUGUUAUGGUAUGAGAAUAGAGUCUUCCAUUUAUAGUGUUCCAAAACCUUUCCUCCAAGAAGAAAGUUUGUCAAAUAUGGAAAAGUUUUAUAUUUUCCUUUAAGGAAAAGUAAAAGUAAUUAUGGUAUCACUUUUAUUUUUCUUUCAAGAAAAGUAAAACUUAAACUUGGUAAGAAAAUCAGGGCAAAAACUCUAACAAAUCUCCCUUUUUUAAAAAAAACUCUUACCUCAGUCCCCAUCAUUUCCCUACCCCCUACCCCCCACACCUAUACCCCUACACCCCGCCCGCUCCCAAAAAAAAAAAUUUAAGAAAUUUUUUUUAAAAAAAAAAAGUUAAUUUUUUUUUUAAAAAAAAUUACCUCAAACCCCAUCCUAAAAACCAUCCCUCCUACCCCCGACCCCUUACCCAACACCCCUCCCUAAAAAAUAAAUUUUAAUUUUUUAAAAAUAUUCUUACCCCGCCCCCACUCCCAACCCACCCACCCAACUUUUCAAACCCAUUCAAAUUUUAUUUCUUUACAAGUGGUAAAUAUUAAUAUGUUAAUAUUUUUUAGACUAAGCGGGUUAGAUUGGGCAGGUCAAGACCCAACCCGAUUUUUAUCAAUUUCAACCCAACCUAUUUCUACUCAAAGUGAAUUUGGACAGGUCAUGACCUAAUCCGAUAUCCAAUGCAACCCAUUUAAUAUCUUCAAUCUCAACCCAACCCACCCAUUUGACACCUCUAUCUGAAACAAUAAAAAAAUUAAUCAAGACUUAAUCACCAAAUCUUAGCCUCUUAAUGUAAAAUUAAACUCAAAUGAAAAUCUAAUCCUCACACUAACAACAACAAAAGUUAUAUCUCCACUUUCAACCACAAACACACAAAAGUUAUGAAAUUUCAUUUACAUACAUGUCAUUAAAAAUAGAAAAUGUGAUUCAAUAUCAAUAUUAUACCAUUAUAAUACAGAAAAAAUAAAAUCAAAAUCAAAUUAUAUUAACCUUAAAAACUUUUCUUGAUUUCCUCGUGUCAACCAUCUUAUCACCAAAUUUAGCAACAUUCAUAUUGGACUUGGACCUUGUAACUUUAGCAUUUUUAUGAUUUUUUAUUUUUGAUUUCUUCGUUUUGUGAGCAGAAAUUUCAUCUUCAAAAUCAGAAUCUAAAACUUGAUCAACAACUACCUUUUUUCUCUUAUCAAUCAUCUUAUAUUAUGGAACAACAAUUGUUUCAACUACUUCAAUGAUGAUGACUUCUUUGAAAAAAUAAUUUUGACCGGAAAAAACCCACCUUCAGUUACCUUCUUCUUGUUCUUUGAUAAUGAAAAUGAGGUAAAACACCCCAAACCAAACGAAGGUCUAGAUAGAAUAAUCAAAUUAUUUUCUUGUAUUAAUCUAGGGCCUUUUAUAUUAGGAGUAGAAUCAAAUUUGUAUUUUUCUGACAUGUCUCAAGAAAAAAAAAACUAAAGUGAAGAAUUCUUAAUCCAAACGUAUGAGUGAGUGUUGGUAAACACUAAACGAAUGAGUGGAUGUUGGAAAACCCAACUUCAUACGCAUGAAAAUCAAAAAAAGAGAAAAAAAAGAUGAAAAAAAAAAUAUGAUAAAGAGUGAAUAUUUUUAUCGGUAAAGAAACACUGUAAGACGCGAUAAUGUGUCGAAAGUAAGUUAAUUAUUAAAGUUAAUAAAAAUUCAAAAAUUUAGUAUCAAUGUAAAAAAAUAUAUUUACUAUAUGUGACUCCUUAAAUUGUGAACAAACUUUGAAACUUAAGUAUUAAAAAAAAAUCAUUGAUACCAAAAUAUAACUUGCCAUAAUAUCAAAAGAUUUAAUGAAGAGUGAUAAAUGUUAAAUGCUAUAAAUAAGGAAAUAAUAUGAAUAUUAAAUUUUAAAAAAAUAAUUUUUGAAUAUUUAAUAAAAAAGAUUUUUCUAAAAAAUUGCUUUAACUUGCAAUUAUUUCUUUAGUCUAAUAAUUAUUGAAAAAUAUUGCUAUAACUUAUAAUAAACAAUCUAAAAAGUUCAUUUAGCAUAAUUUUCACUUUAAUGAUUCAAGAAGUUUUCAGCUUAAGGGAAGACCAAUGGCUACAUAUUGGACUCCUUAAGCCCAUACAAUAAAUGUGGCACCUAGCCCAUCUUACUCUUGUAUAUUUCAACUAGAAAAUUUUCAAAAAUAGCAACUUAACAGUUAUAAUUAUAACUUUUAUAGUAACUGUUUCAUAAUUACGAAAAAUAGCAAGUUGUAUUUUGUAUUUUAGUAAAAUGUUGUUAUGUAAAUACAUAUACAAAUUGAAUAGUAGUUCCUAUUUUUACUCCAUCAAUUAAAGUUAAAUAAGGGAAGUAAAUGUCCCUAUAUUCAUACUACUUUUAAUUAUAAAGAUCAUUUUCCUUAUUUCCUUAUAUGACUUUUCUAUUUCUCUUCUUUUUUUAUCAUUUUUCCUUUUUUUCUUUUUUCUUAUUUUUCGUUUUCUUAUUUAUUUUCCUUCUCAUAUUUUUCUUUUUCUUUUUCUUCUUCUUUUUCUAUUUUCGUUUCUUUUUUUAUCGUUUUAUUUUUUUAUUUUGAUUUCUUUUUCUUUUCCUUUUUUUUGAGCAAAAUGGUUCAAUGGACCUUUAUACUAUGUCUGUUUUGUAAUGUGGACACUUCUACAUACAGGUUUAUCAUCUAGACCCUUGAACCCACUAAAAAGCAACAUUUUAAACACAUUUUCUGAUAUGGCAUCCUAUGUGGCUGGAACCACAUAGGAGAGUGUAUUUUAGCCUCCUAGCACGCGUCAACCAUCAAAAAAGGUCCCCCAAUGGUUAUUAAAAGACCUUAUAAAUGCUCUUUCUUCCUCAUUUGUUUCCAACACCAUUGUUGGAGCAAUUUGAGCUUUUUUUUCUCCCUUCUUCUCCAUUUUUUCUCUCUCUAAGUUCUUGUUCCUUAAUUUUUUUCUGCUGUGUUUGUAAUAUUGGAAAGUUAAUUUUUUAUGUAGUUUUUUGCAACACUAUGACAGUUCGAAUUUGUUAUUGUGGGCUUUAUGCGGAACUUAAGAUAUCAAGAACACCAACCAACCCCGGAAGAAUGUUUUGGGGCUUUGAAAAAUAUAAAGUUAGUAAUGGAUGUGGAUUUUUUCGAUGGGUUGAUGAAAAUGAACAAUAUAAAGGCGGACAUAGAAGGCAACGAAAAAAAGAAGGACUGGGAAGAUAUGAAAGGCACGAAAGACCUGAAAGAUCAAGCAUUAGUAUUGAUAUCACUGUUAUCAUUAUUGUUGUCAUCUGGUUUCUAUCUAUUGGAUUUAAUAUGGCUUGAUCUUUGUAUUUACAAUAUGCAAUGAAAAGGAAAUUCAAAUUUAAUGACAAACACCAUUUUGCCAACAUAGAAAUCUUCAAUAUAUAAUAUCUUAACAAAGUUGACAUCAAAAAGCUUGUCUUAACAACAUCUUAAAUGAGAAAUAUACUAGAAGUCGUAAAAAAAUUAUCUUAACAACACUUAGGAUCUGUCACGACCCAAAUGGCCAUGAGUGACACUCACACUCAUCUUCCUGUGGGAGAACCAUCUAAAUCAAACUAUUACCCAAUCACUAAGUCAAUAUUAAAUUGAUAUUUUCAUAAAACCAUCUUAACAAUAAUAAUCUGGAGUUAAUCAUGAGUAAUGUGGAAAUCAAACUAUCUACUUACAGAAAUUUCCAAGAUCCGAAAGUCAUCGUACAAGAACUAUAACAUAGAUCAUGUCUAAGGAGAUAUCCAAAAAUAAAGUAAAUAAAGAAUGUUUCAUUGCCCGAAAGAUGAACAAUAACAAAUAAGAUGACCCAUGGAAGCCUGGAGACGGAGUGCUCACCCUUGGAUCAAGAUCUGCUAUCAAACUAUAGAGGUGAGAUCAUGUAUGAGCCUCUAGAACAUUUUCUGCACUCAACAAAAGAAGAGUACAGAGUAGUAUCAGUACAAACCACUAUGUACUGGUAGGUAUCAUAGGCUAACUCAACUUAAUAACAUGUACACAACAUAAAUCAAAUAACAAGUAGACAGGCAUAAUCACAUAACAAAUUACCAAUGAAUCAACAAUACAGCAAUAGCAGGUCAACAGUGUUCACAAACAAGCCACAUAACUAUCAAGAGUAUCAAUCAUACUGUAAACAUCCACCAACUCAACACAAGUAUGUAAACAUGUUAUGGGACUUAUUUUUGCCUAAAUAGUCAUGACCUGCAAGGAACAAUCUAUGUUCAUGUACCGUACCGACGUGGUACCCGAUCCAACAUAAAUAUAAACGUACCGGCGUGGUACCCGAUCCAACAUAAAUAUAACGUACCUGCGUAGUACCCGAUCCAACAUAAAUAUAAACGUACCGGCGUGGUACCCGAUCCAACAUGAAUAUAAAUGUACCAGCGUGGUACUCGAUCCAACAUAAAUAUAAACGUACUGGGGUGGUAUCCGAUCCAGCAUAAAUAUAAACGUACCGGCAUGGUACCCAAUCCAACAUAGAUAUAAAUGUACCGGCGUGGUACCCGAUCCAACAUAAAUAUAAACAAGUAUUAUCAAUAUCAAUUUACAUAACCUCACAGCAUACAAUACAAUGUACCAAGUCUACAAGUACACUUAAAGUCAUAAGACAAUUCCAUCAAGUCAAUUUUCAAUAAACAUUUAUACACGAAUCAACAAUCCAAACAUCAAUAAUUUCAAGCAUGUAUGAAUACCAAUCCACAAGUAUCCAAUUUAGGAGCAUACACACAAUUAAGUCGAGUCUAAACUCCAAUUAAACCGUAACCUACCUCAACCAAAGAAUCUGAAUGUCACUAGUGCACAGUACCUUGUCCUUUCUCAAAAUUUUGAAACAUUCACAAUCUGUUCAAAUAUAUAAUCCUUAUAAGAAUACGAAUCUAGUAAAAACCCUACUAUUAUGAUUAUUUUUAAUUUAAUUAGGGUUCACUUAAUAACUGAAGUGAACCAUCGAAAUAAUGGCUGCCCAAAUCAAGAAUUACAUAACUGUUUCUUGGCCUAACUUAAACCUCACAUUAUUAUAUUUUAUAUUUUCCAAGACAAUUUCUUAAUGAGAACAAAAACCAAAAUUCCUUAACUUAUUUCAAAUUGUAGUAUAAACAAGAUUCUCCAUAAUGCUACUGUGAGUCAUGAUUUUCAUAGCUUUAGUGGAAAUAAAACUAUUUUCCUAUAUUAUUUGUCAUCAUUACCCCAUUAUUGGUUUUUCUUUCAAUUAACAUCAAAACUUGCACCCAAAACAUUCAGAAAGAUUGAUUACUAAGGCACUGUUUACCUUAUCCUAAAAAACACCAAACAUGCACAGCAUUACUAUCUAUAUAUAUCUUUGACACAUGCAUAUUGCUUACAUAAUUAGACCUUACCCGAAGUCCGUGUCCUCGGACGCUGCAACGAAUUCCGCCUCUCAUUUUCUCAACUUUCUGACUCCAUUGUUAUUAUAAAUGAUAAAUCCUAACUAAUUAAUUAGUUUUUGUAAAGACCACAUAAGUAAAUAAAUUAUAGUUUUGAUCCGCUAAAUUACUAAUUAAAAUAAUUAUUUAAAAUACCCAAAACUUUUAAUAUAUUCCAAAAAUUUAUUUGAAACUCCAUGAAAAUAAAUUAAAUAUAUAUGUAAAUUGACUAGAAAGUACAUUCUGGGCCGAUUAAAAAUAUUACGACACUAAUCCGAGACCAUCUCGAUUUAAGGUUGACUAUAAUCGGGUUUAAUUUUUUUUCAAACUCAACAACCCCGUUAAUGACUUAAAUUUCCUCCGAAUACUCAAAGAAUAUCGAUACUACUCACCACCGUAAGUCAUAAAUCAUGUAUACAAACUAUGGAGAGCGCUAAAAAAAGGAAGAUGAGAAAAAUUUCACAAACGGACCGGAGGGUCGUUACAAGAUCAAUACAGAAAGAGAAUUAUACUAAUGUAUUCCUUGAGUGCUUGUUGUGGACUGAUUCUUGCUGACUUUAGUGCUUGAUGUGGCUUGACUGGUUAUAGAUGAUUUUGCCUUUGAUCUUUUGUAACUCUGUUUUUGUAGCUGUCUUUGAGUUACUGCAACUCCACAUUUCCACCCUAGUCCAUUUGGUUUGAAACCCAAGUCAAUAUUGGUUGGAACUGAACUAAUAAGUAUUGGACUAUGUAACUUUCUAUCAGUAUUUCCAGACUGUAAAAAUAAAAAAAUCAGUUAUAGAUGCACUAAUUAAAACCAAUUAAAUAUAAAUUACAUUAUAGGAAACUUACCCUCUCUACCAGACAGCCACUUGGUCCAAACAGCACACCAAAACCAUCUUCUUUUGCCUUGGUCUUUUAUAUGCAAGAUUUGUACCACCUCUCAACAUUGUACUAGUCUUCCUCUUUUGGGCACCAACACCACUAGUAGACAGAUGAGUUGUAGAUUGUGUAGCAUUAUCACCUACUGGUGGAAUGGUAGUGGGCAUCACAAUAGCUGCAGGCCUUAUAUCAGCUGUUGAGGCACUUGCAGGCCUCACACCACCAACUGAUGCAGCAUUUGCAGGCCUCUUGCAGCUCUUAGUGCACUGUGAGCAUUUGCAGGCCUUUUUGCACCUCUUGGUGCACUAUGAGCAUUUGUAGGCCUUCUGUUGCUUGAUUUAGCAUUUGUAGGCAUCUCUUCAGCUGUUGAGGCAUUUGCAGCUUUCUCAACAGCAGCUGCAGCUGCAGUACUAGUGUUGGCUUGCACAUUUGGUUGACUUCCACAACUACUACUGAAAUCUUUUUUCUACAAAAAAAUAUGUAAAGGUCAAAAACACAUUUAAAAAGAGUAAAAUUCAUCAAUAAGAAAAGAUUUAGCUUACCAAAGUUGGACAUCCUUUCGUGUUGUGUCCAAUAGACUUGCACAUAGAAGAUGUCAUUUUUCUUUCCUUUCUUGUAGCCUUUCGAAAUCUUUUCUUAACAGGUUUACCCUUAGCUUUCUUCUUAUUUUUACCUGGCCUUCCUGGUAUGGGAGUAAUCUCAGGUGGCUCAAUUGGUGGUCUUGUACUUCUUGGCCACAUCUUAAUAUUUGUCAUUGGUUGAAUAUACUUAUCAUAUGCCUUUAGGUAUGUUUCCCUUUGAUACCAGCGAUCAACAAAUGACUCUAUAUUCCAUCCCUUGUAAUGCAUUGCAGCAAUUGCAUGUGCACAAGGAAUUCCCUUUAGUUGCCACGACCUAUAACUACAUUGCUUCCUCUUCACAUUAACAAUAUGUAUAUAAGGUGGAUCACCAAUCUCAAAGCCCAUAUCACCAUUAAACCUUACCUCACACUUGGCUGCAUAUUCACCAUUCUCUCUGUAAGAACGUCCAUAGCCAUUGAUGAUACAUCACUAUCUAUUUUUCAAAAAAAAAUCUCGUUUGCUUUCCAUUACUUUGCAUCUUAUUUCCUCCAACAUAGUGAUAAUUGUUUUGAACCUAGUACCUAAAAUCCAACUAUUGAAAGUCUCACACAUGUUGUUCUCAACCACAUCACACCUAUUAUGUUCCUUAAAAAAGGCCCUACACCAUGCCUCUUUGUUGUACUUGAGCAAAUCUUCCACAAUUCCAACACCCAACUCACUCAUUCCAUUAAGUUUUUGUUGCAAAUAAAAUUUAAAUGGGGCCCAUGCAACCUGCCGAAAAAAUUUUCUCCUUUUCUUCACCACUCCAAACCUGCUUCUAGUUGUCCCAUAUAUGUCUAGCACACCAUCUAUGCUCAAUAUUUUGGCAGUAGAUUAGUAAGUGCCAAAUGAAGAUCCUAUCAAAACAUGUAAAAUAGUAGUCAAACAUUAAUGACAUCACUGCAGCAAAUAGAAAAAAAUAACUGAAAAAUAUGAAACUUCAUACCUACGCAGACAUUACUGUCAAGCCUUCACCCCUAUUUUCUUGAAGUUCAAAAUCAUGGCUGAUGAAUCUAAGAAACCAAGACCAUGUGUCCUUGGUAUCUUUAUCAACCACAGCCCAUGCUACAGGGUACAUUUGAUUAUUUCUAUCUAUGGAAAUGCAAGACAACAAGAUAACUUUACAUACACCCUUGAGAAAGGCACCAUCUAAACUAAUUAUUCUUCUGCAGCCCUCUUUCUAUCGAUUUUUUAAGGCCCCAAGACAAAUGUAAAUGUCCAUUAACACCUCUUUUCCUAGAAUUGCAUUCUUGGAUGUCCUAAUAGAUACAGUGGUACCAGGAUUGGUGGUCUUCAACUGUUCAGCAUAGUCAUACAACCUAGCAAACUCUUUAACAAAAUCACUAAAAUGUUCAUUCAGAAUUUUGAUUUUUACCUUUCUACAGGUUGUUUUACUAACAUUUAAACCACAGUCCUUUCUUAAAAGUGCUUGAAUCUGAUAUAAUUUUAUUGAUGGAUCACUCAUAAUCCUAUCCUUGUAAUGUUUACUAAUCCACAAAGGGUUACACAUCUUAUUUCUUGUCCUUUUAGAACACUUGUGUACAAGAAAGUAAGUUUUCACACUAAAAUUUCCUGUGUUAUCAACAGUUUAAAGAAUAACCCAAGGACAAUUAUGCUUACACUUUGCCCUUACCCUUUCCUUCUCAUUAGGUUUCAACUUAAGGUUCACAACUUUUUAAAUAGAGUAACUCUGCAGUGCCUCUCUAAACUCAACAACAUUAAAAAAAACAUAUACAACUUAAAACAUACCUUCUUUGUAGUUUUAUCAAAGUAGAUCUUGCUAAAUGAAGUUCUAGGUAGUGGAUCUACCACUUCAUCAUCAUCAACAGGAUCUCCUUCCUCUUCAUCACUAAUUUCACUACCCGAAUCUGAACUAUCAAAAUAAAGGUCAUUCCCACUCAGUUUACCUUCAUACUAACCCCCUUGUUCUUAUAAAUAUCAUCAAAACCAGCAUCUAUACCUACUGGUCCAGUGGUAUCUCAUCUAGAUUCACCCUAUCAACCUUUUCUUUUGCUUGUUUUUCAAUGUUAGACUUCCUAGAUUGAAGCAACUCUUGGUCAAAAUCACUCAACUCUUCAAUGUUUUCAUCAGGAUCAUAAAGUUAAUCACCAUCAGAAUCAGUAAUAUCAAAAUCUAAUUCAGAAUCAGAUGUUUGAAGAUAGUAUGUGGAGAAAUCAUUAACUUGACCUUCACCUAAGUCUUCUAAAGAAACCUUAGCUUUUCAUUUGUCUGCCCUUGCAGGCUGAUUUUCAUUUAUAUACUCAUCUUCAUUUAUAUCCAAUGGAUGAGAUGAAGACACGUCAGCCCUAUCAGUUUCAAAAGGGGCUGCCACAUCACUAUUACUAAGUAGUAAUAAUGGUGGAGUGGCUGCCACAUCAUCAUUAAAAACUAUAGGUUCACUAAUUUUGUGUACAACAUAUACAUCAACAAAAUCUCCAUGUUUUAAACUAACCUGUAAUAAUAGCCCUUUUUGUUUACUCUACACCAAAAGGUUUCAACUUUUUUCACAUCAAAAUCUGCUGCUAAGUUAUGAAACAAUAUAAUAUAAAUCUCAUCAACAUCUACUCUAAUUUUAUCAGGAAUACGAACUCCAUUUGCAUACCUUAGAUCAGGGUCUGACAAAAAGACCCCACCCACCCCCACCCACCCCAUAAGAGAAUUGAAGUGUUACAAUUAUGUCCAUUUAUUUAGAAAAUUUGUACAAUGAGAAGAUAACAUAUACAUUAGUCAAUUAUCCACAAAGCCCUAAUUUUUAAAGAAAAAAUAAAGGAGUAAAAAAAUCAAUUAUGAUUUUACCAAAAAAAUCCUAAAAUGUAAUCGAAAUAACAAAACAUGCCAUUGAAGGAACAAAACUGCUAUACACACGUUUAAUAGGAGCAUUAAACAACGAAAAAAAUUAAAAACCCAAAAAAUUUCGAACCCAAUUCUGAAUUUACCAGAAAAAAAUCCAAAUCGAAAUAACAAAACAUGUCAUUGAAGGCACAAAACUGAAAUAUAUAGGUAAAAUAGGAGUAUUAGACAACAAAUAAACCAAAAGAUCCAAAAUUUUUGGACCCAAUUACCAUUUUACGAAAAAAUCCUAAAUUCUAAUCAAAAUUCCAAUAUAUGUCAUUGAAGGCAUAUCACCACUACAAAUACUACCUACAACAACACUACAUACAAAACAGAGCAAAAACACCCGAAAGAUUAAAGGAAAAAGUUCAUAAUCGCGAAAACCCUAAAACCACUAAAACGGAAUCCAUUAAAUCGACAAGAAGCGUCAAAAUAAACUGUGAAAUACUACAACUACCCCAAAAUAUUAAAUACUUACACGGAUUGCAACAACCAUCAACAAUAAUCGGCCUAAAUUAAGUUAAAUCGGGGUAAUUUUGAAUUUGAGAUGAUAGAGACGAAGGACGAAGAAGAAGGGUCUCAAAUGACCUAAUGUUUUGGUCCAACUUUACUAUUUAUACUCUAGACACGUCAUUUCCUAUGUGGAAAUUAUUUUACAAAUAUUUGAUGGCGUGUUCACAUUUGUGCAACACAUUCAACUGAGUAGAUCGACAAAGGGUUUAAAAUGUUGCUUUUUAGUGGGUUCAAGGGUCCAGACGACAAACAUGUAAGUAGAAGUGUCCACAUUACAAAACGGACAUAGUACAAGGGUCCAUUGAACCAUUUUACCUUUUUUUUCUUUUCACUUUAUUUUCACUCUUCUAUUUCUCUUCUCUUUUAUCCCUUUUCAUUUUCUUUCUUUAAUUUUCUUUUCCUUUCUCAUAUUUUUCUUUUUCUUGUCUUAUUUUCGUUUUCUUCUUCUUUUUUCUAUUUUUAUUUUUUAUUUCUUUUGUAUUUAAGUAAAAUGUUGUUAUAUAAAUACAUAUAUACAAAUUGAAUAGUUGUUCCUAUUUAACUCUUAUCAGUUAGAGUUAAAUAGGGUAAGUAAUCGUCCCUUAAUUCAUGCUACUUUUAAUUAUAAAGAUUCCUUUUCCGUAUAUGACUCUUCUAUUUCUCCUUUUUUUUUUCUUUUUUUUUCUUUUUUUUUCUUUCUCAUAUUUUUCUUUUUAUUUUCCUAGUUUCGAUUCUUUUUUUAUCAUUUUAUUUUUUUAUUUUGAUUUCUUUUUCAUUUCCUUUUUUUUCCUUUCCACUUUAUUUUCACUCUUCUAUUUCUCUUCUUUUUUAUCCUUUUACGAUUUUUUUUUUAUUUUUUUUCUUUUUUUUCCUUUCUCAUAUUUUUCUUUUUUUUCCUAUUUUUGUUUUUUUCUUCUUUUUUUCUUUUUUUUUUUUGCUUUUAUUUUUACACUUAUAUUUCUAGCUUUUAUUUCUCUUUCUUCUUUUUUAUCGUUUUUCACUUCUUUUUCUUCGAAUUUUUCUUUUUUGUUUUUUUAUUUUUUUUACUCUUUUAUCUCUUGCUUUUAUUUUUAAAAGACACAUAUCUAUAUCACAUAUACAUAUUCUAAAAAUAUACAAAAUACAUGGACAUACAGAUCUGCAUAUGUAUUUACAAUACAAUAUAUAUAUAUAUAUAUAUAUACAUAUAUAUUUGCAUAUGUAUCUACAUAAAUUAAUAUUUGAGUAAUAUGUAUAUAUAAACAUAUAGGACACAAAAUCUCUAUAACAAAAAGUGACAUAAUACAUUUGCCUAAUUGCGCUUGAACUACAGAUUUGUUGUACAUGAUGUAGACAUCAACGCGCUACGUCUUCUCCACUUUAUCAGUUUUCAAUAUUUUUUCACCAAUACAAUCAUAUUAAAGAUUUCAAAUGAUUCCAUUAAGUCAAUUUCAAAUUUCAAGUCCAUUCUUAUCACUCCAAAAGUUUUCAAAUUCAAUUUCAAGUUUCAAACUUUGAAUUCUGUUGAGUUUAUGAAGAAAGUUUUUUCAAAUUAUUGAAUGAAAUCUUUCAUUAAUUUUUCAUUGAAACUCGAAAGAGUUAAUUAGCGAGUUCCAUUAAUAGAAGAUUCAAUGAAACUUCCUAAUUGAAUAGAACUCGCUAAUUGAAAACUCAAUGUAAGAUUCAACUUUUAUUAAUGGAACUCGGAAGAUUCAAAAAAUUUAAUUUCAUGUAUAAAGACAAAAAUAAGGACUGUACAUGUAUGAGGCUAUUCAAUCUUCCGUUAAUGAAACUCGAAAGAUUCAAUUUCCAUUAAUGAAACUCGAAAGAUUCAAUUAGCGAGUUUUCAAGUUUGAAUCUUCCAUUGAGUUUCAAUUAGAGAGUUCGAAGCGGAAUCUUCAAGAAUUCAAUUUCAAUUCAACAAUGGAGCAAAUUCAAUUUCAAUUCAACAAUGGAGCAAUCAUUGUUUCAAUUCAACAAUGGAGCAAUCAUUGUUGAAGAAAAGAAAGAAAGAAAGAAAGAAAGAAAGAAAGAAAGAAAGAAAGAAAGAAAGAAAGAAGAAAGAAGAAAGAGAAUGAAAAAAUAAAUAAAAAUAUAAAACUUUAAAUAAUUAUAAAAUUAAGGGGUUGUUUGAUAAAAAAAAUAGUUUUAUAAUGUUUUUAACAUUGUUCACGCGCUCAAUGCGCGUAACUAACACGCAAUGUGCCAAGUGGAAGAUAUAUGUCAUUAAAAUACGAAAAAAAAAAGUCUGGGGGGUAAUAGGACCCCCGCUAAGUUCAGUAUGCUCAACUGGUAAUUCGGUCAAACUUCAGGUAUUUUUGUGAGUAUUCUCCCUAUAUAUAAAUAUUUAUAUAUAUAUAUAUAUGCAUAUGUAUUUACAGGAAUACAUAUCUGACUCGUAUAUAUAUAUAAUCAUAUAGGACACAAAUUCUCUAUAACAAAAAGGAUAACUAUAUACAUAUACAUAUAGGUAAUCAUGAAAUAGAUGAUACAUAUUUAAAACAAUAAAGAAUACAAAUAAGUAUACAUGUUACCUUCUAAAAUGAAAUAGAACAAUUCAAAGACAAAACCAACACCGUACAAAAAUACAUAUGGAUAUGCAUUUGUAUAUACAAAAAGGACAACUAAAUACAUAUGCAUAUAGGUAAUCAAAAGAUGCAUAAUACAUAUCUUAAACGGUAAAAAAUAUAAAUAAGUGCAUAUGUUACCCUCUAAAAUGAUAUAGAACAGUUCAAAGACAAAUCCAAUACCGUACAAAAUACAUGUAGCUCUGCAUAUGUAUUUACAGAAUACAUACCUCAUUCAUAUGUAUAUUCUUGUUUUAUAUGAGUCACCUUUGUAUUUCGCAAAUACAUAUGAAGAUAUAUAGUAUAGUUAUAUUUGUUACUGUUUAAUAUGAAUAUGAUAUAUAUUUCGUAAAUGCAUAUCAGAGUCAUAUUUGUAUUUUUUAUAGUAAUAUACAUAUGGAUCAGACAUGUAUUCUGUAAACACAUAUGCAGAGUUAUAUGUAUUUUUUGUAAUGUAAUACAUUAUGUAAAAGAAAACAUAUGAAUAUUAUGUAUUUUGUAUUAUAUUUUUAUGAAAAGUACAUACAAUGCAGAUAAGUAUUUUAUAUUUUGUAUAUAUAAAUGCAUAUCUAUAUGUAUUUUUGUACAGUGUUGGAUUUGUCUUUGAACUAUUCUAUGUAAUUCUAGAUGGUAACAUAUGUAUUUAUUUGUAUUUUUUAUUGUUUAAGAUAUGUAUAAUGUAUUUUUUGAUUAGCUAUAUGUAUAUCCUUUUUGUUAUAGAGAUUUUGUGUCAUAUAUGUUUAUAUAUACAUAUGAGUGAGAUAUGUAUUUUUGUAAAUACAUAUCCAGAUACAUAUGUAUAUUUUGUACUAUAAAUACAUAUCCAGAUCUGUAUGGCUAUGAAAGUAAAAAAUGAGAAAAAAAAAAUAGAAAAAUAAAAAAAUAAAAAGAGAAAUAGAAGCUAGAAACAGAAGUGUAAACACCAAAGAAACAAAAAAUAGAAGAAAGAAGAAGAAAAUAGGAAAAGAAAAAAGAUAUGAGAAAGGAAAAAAAAAGGAAAAAACAAUUAGAAAAAAAAAUGGAAGGGAGAAAAUAAAGUGGAAAGAAAAAAAAUAAAAAAUAAAAAGAAAUCAAAAUAAAAAAAAUAAAAUGAUAAAAAAUAAGAUUAAAAAAACUAACAAGCAAAAAAAAUUAGAGAUAUAAGAGAUUGAAAGAGAGAAAAAAACAGUAAUGGUGUUUUAUUUCAAAAUUUUGAAGAUUAUGAAGAUAAUUAUCUUCAAAUAUGGGAAACUAAAAAAAACGAAAAAGAAAAAAAUAAAGAAAAAAACGAAAAAGGAAAAAAGAAGAGAAAUAGAAGAGAGAAAAUAAAGUGGAAAGAAAAAUAUGAAAAAAAGAAAAUUAAAAAAAAAAUAAGAUUAAAAAAAAGGAUAAAUGAUAGGCUAUAUUAGAGGAAAGUGAAAUAGUGGAGGAAAAAUAGAAAAAGUUAAAGUAGUGGAAGUAAAAUAUGCGCUUGACUAGUUAAUAGGCAAAAUAAUGUUAUUCUGGCUAUAAACUGUAAUUUUGCAAAACCGUUGCUAUUUAUUGUAAUUAUAGUAUUAAGUAUGCUACUUUCUGUAAUUUUCAAUUUCAAUAUUACUAAUCUCAUAUACACCCGAUGUAUACAUAAAACGCGGUAAAAGUAACUCUAGUAACAAUAUUGUCACAAACAAAUUUGAGUUCCCAUCGAAAUGUAUCCUAUUAUGAUCGUAGCCAAAUUAAUUCAAUAGGAGAUGAAUGAAAGAAUUCGUAUUUUAUUUUGAAUAAUCAAUAUUCCAAUAAGUCAUAGAUUGUUGGAGAAAUGAUCCAUUUACUUAGUAGGCAUUUCGCCAUGACAAUUCUUACACUUUUUUUUCAAGAAAUUAUUUGACUUUAGUGAAAAAAGUAAAACUAAUUGCGUUUGACUAUAAGAAUUAUUUCACUCUUCCCUAAACAAGAUUUACACGUAAGAAGGAAUAUAAAUAAACAUAAAUUGAGUUGUGCUUUAUCUAUAUGGCCCUAAUCAUAAUAAACCCAAAAAGGAAAUCUUUGUUUAGAUUUGGUUCACUGUAUUGGAGGACAAGUGCACAAAUAAUCAAUUUUGGACUAUCAUUUAAAUCAUAGCCAUUAUACAUACAAAAAAAAUGUAAAUAUAACCGCUUCAAAACCAAAUUAAGGUAUAUGUGAUCGAAGUUGCAAAAAUUCGAGUUUGAACUAACAUCAAAGUUCUAACAUUUUUACUUAAAAUUUGGCUUGUCAUGAUCAAACUCUUGAUAUUUUCCCCCCAAGUUUGGUUGGCAAAGGCCCAACUACCAACAUUUAUGUCUGAAGUUUGGUUGGUCAAGAUAGUUGGUGUUGUAGUGGCUAACACAAUAAUGAUGGUGAUGAUUGUGAUAAUGAAUUUGAUUUGAUGUUAGUAGUUGAUGAUUUGGUGGUGGAUGUCGCUGAAAAAUGUGUGGUGGUUUACGAUGAGUGUUGGUGGAUGUUGUAGGUAUUAGGAAUUGGCCUUAGUGACAAUAGUAACUGAUAGAAAUAGCAAAGGUGGCGAUAGAAAGUGUGAUAGCAUAAAUAAUUAUAAUAAUUGAUAUGUAGACAUGAUAGCACUAAGGGAUCGUUGGGUUGGGAAAGAGCUAUCUCGGGAUAAUUAAUCUUGAGUUAUCCCACCACGUAUAUAGGAUAACGUAUCCCAUCACUAUGAUAUAAUUGAUGGGAUAAAUAUUCCGAGACUAACUAAUACCUCCAACAAAAUACAGGAUAAAACAAUCCUGCAUUUUAUCCCGGGACAAUUAUACUUUAUACCUCACACCAAACGAUCCCUAAAAAUAGUAAUCGAUAAUGAUUAUGAUUAUUAAUAAUAGUUGUGAGGACAUAGAUGAUUGACACUAAUGGUAGUAAUUGCGAUGGUAGACGUGGUUAGAGAUGGAGACCGACAGAUAUGGAUAUACUAGUUGUAGAAAUUAUUUAUAGAAAAAUAUAUUCUAGUAAUAUGAAAACUUAGGGGUCGUUUGGUUGGAAACAAGUUAUCCCAAGAUUACUUAUUCCAUCGUGUAUAUACAACAACAUACCCAGUAUAUUCCCAUCAAAUGGGAUAUGAGGAAGGUAAGUGUACACAGUCUAUACCACUAUCUUAGAGGUGAGAUAGAGAGGUUGUUUUUUAUAGACCCCACUCUUAUCCCAUCGUGUAUAUGAGAUAACUAAUGAUAUAAAUGGUGUGAUUAUUACAAAACUAACUAAUAUCUUCAACCAAAUGCAACAUAAAAUAAUCUUGCAUUUUAUCUCGUGACCUAACAAAACAAGGCCAAAGUUAAAGAUUCAAAUUUAGAGGCUUAUUUAUUCAAAGUAGAAAAUUAGGGGCAAUUAAAUCAAACAAUUUACAAAUGUUACGACAAAAAAAAAGCAAAUUAAAGGUAAAAAAAGAACAACUUCGAGUUUCUAAUCUCCGGGUCUUCAUUUUCCUUCUAGAGAUUCAGGUACCACCAAACAAGUCCUAAUUUUUCUUCUUUUUUUCACGUAUUUUUUGGGAAAAUAUGCAAAUAAAUUUGUUUAUUCUUUCUUUGUUAAAUUUUUCCAUACUAGUAUUAUUUUUGUUUGAGAUUUUUUUUUUUUUUGAGGACUUUUGAGUAAGGUUAGCUAUUGAUUUACUUUCAUCGCCGUAUUGUGUACAACUCGACUAAUUCCAAGGAAUAUUUGCCAACCUGCACCACAACCAAUAGGUAAUCAGGUAACUCUGUCCAUCAAGGCUAAGUGUUUUUGUCUUUGUGGGAAUUUGAACGUGAGACCUCAUAUUUCUCAACUACUUGAUUACCACUAGGCUACCAUAAGCUAGUUAUAGUGUCUUUGGAUGGAUGGUUGAGUAUCCUUUUGGUUUUAGUAGAUUUUGGCUCAAGAAUUUAUUUAUUUUUAUAAUCGUGAUGUCCGGUAUAGUAUGUGCACACCUUGAUGAAUCCAUGGGAAAUUUGCUGACUUCUAGUAGAAGUAGCAGUUAACUCUGUCUAUUAAGGCUAGAACAAAUAGAAAGAAGUCACCCUAGUGUUUGUCUUUUCUGAGAAUUGAACCUGAGACCCGAUGGUACUAAAUCCAAUUUUAUUGAACCACUAAGCCACAUGCUUGGGUGCUCAAGAAUCUUUUAUGCAAGUGUAAUUUUUGUUCAAGCAAUCUUUUAUGAAAAAUCCUACAUUGUUCAAGCAUAGCCAUAUCAGAGCUCGCCCUCAACGCCCCCCUAAGACCCUAACCACAUUAGACCCCAAACCACUCCUCCUCUCAACAAAACAUAACAAAGCAUCAAUAUUCUUUCCAUUCCUCACAAACCUAACAAUCAUCGACGAAAAACAGAUCUCAUCUCUCACAAACAUUUUAUUUUAAAAAUACAAUGACACUCAAAAUAGGCUCUUUGAUACAUGCAAAUACUUGUAAAAGGCAUGCUAGUAAAAACUAUAUCAAAGUUAAAAGUAGAGCUGUCAAUACAAGUCGGCUCAGUCCAUCCGGGCUAGCCCAUACGGGCUUUUGAGUUUGACAGGUCAGGCCGACCUGGCCCAUCAACAUGACAAGCCAGAUAGCAAGCCCAACCUUCUCUGUGGGCUGCGGGCCUCCACGGGUUUGUCCAUUUUUUAAAAAUAUCUUAUUUUUAUAAUUUAAAUUUAAAAUUAUUAAUUACAUAAAUUUUUACAAUAAAAUAUUACAAGAAGUUACUACUUGUUAAUAUAGUCUCAAAUUUAUAAAAAAAAAAAAUAUCCUAAUAAUCUGUGAAAUUAAAUAACUUUUGACACCACAUUCAAACCAAAUAGAGAUGUUAAAAAACAAACGAAACUGUUGUUGACACUCAAUUUUCGCUCUCCGUACUUAAAAUUAACGUCUUCAGGCUUCCUGACCGUUAAAGGACACAAAAUACAAUUUUCACAUAUUUUUUACAAUUCCUAAUAAAUUAUUGAUAUUCAUUCUUACUUUAGGAUUUUAUCAAUUUAUUUUUAUAUUUUACUUUUUAUAAUUUAUUAAUAAUUCUAUGUACAUUAGGAUUUUUAUCAAUUCAUUAUCGUUUUAAUAGUUUACAAUUAUCUGCACACGUGCACGACAUGACGUCAUAGUUUUUACAGUAUUUUCAAUAAUUUUAAUAUUCUUUACAUUUUUUCUGUAAUUACAUAUCAAUACUUGCAUUUUUGUAUAUUUUAUAACAAUCCACAAAAGUUGAAUCGAGUCAACUAUUUUAAUACAUAGAGCAAUAAAUCAGUCAAGUCAAAGUCUCGUCAUCAUUAUGACACUUAACUUUUCUUUCACCUACUAUCCAUAAUUUAAGGGAUAUGUUGGGAAGAAAGUACAUUUGAUGUUUAUUUUUUAUUAUUAUUUUUACUUUUUAAUACUCAUUCACACCACACACAUUCACAAAAACACACACAUUUUUAUUCUUCAACUCUCUCAAAAUAUCCACACAUAUUUUUCUCCUCUUUCUCCUCUCCCUCAAACACAAAAAAUUUUAGACAUCUUUUCCCUUUAUCUCACACACACACAUUUUUUUACCAAUUACACAUUUCAUUCUUCUUCCUCCCCUCUCUUAAAAUAUAAAUUUCUUUUUAUAUAUUUUAUUUUAUUUCCAAAAAUACAAUACAAACAUAUUUUUUCUCUUCUCACAUACAAAUACAUAAAUAAAAUACACAUUCACAAAUGCAUUUACACAUUUUUCGUCCUCACAUAUUUUUCUUUCUCUCUAAACACACAUUUCUUCACUACACACACAUUCUUCACCACACAUAUUUUUAUCAUACACAAAUUUUGUUCAUCUUUUUCUUUUUCUCAAAAACACAUACAUAUACUCAAACACAUGGUCGAUGAAAUUAUCUCUCCGUCGGAUAUUUGAAGCCACCCCACUAUAAAAGACAGAUUUUACUUUCUCAAAUUUACUAUUUUAUAUCAAAGAUCAACACAUGGCCAAUGAAGAAACGCCCGUAAGUUUUUGAGGCUUUCACAAAUAAAAAGGCGGAUUUUACGUAUACAAAUACGUAAAAAAAAAUAUCUUUAGGCGAUGAUGAAAUCUUUAUAAUAUUUUAAAACUUUAUCUGAGCCCACUUUUUUACAAAAAUUAUAUUUUUAAAUAUGUAUAUGUACACAUAUUUUUUAAUUUAUUUUUAUUAUUAUUUAUUUGUUACUAACAUUUUUAUUACAAGUGUUUAUACAGGUUAUUGGGAAUCAUUAUCGGAAAUGACAGUCAAAGAAGACUUUAAUUUAUGUGUUUAUAAUUUUUAUAUUCUUGCACUUGUACAAAUGCUAAUCAUAGUGAAAGUUUUAUUUUUGGGGUGUUGGGCGGGAUAUUUUUUAUUUAAUCUUCACCACGCAUUUAGGCAAAUUUAGGCCAUUAAUAUUUAUAUAAAAAUAUUAGAUUGACUUAGAUUAUUUAAUCAAACAAUUUAUACUUUUGACACUAAAAAAUAUUACGUAGUUUUUUUCUUUAGAACAAGUUUUUCUUUACAUACAUAUACUAAUGUACUUUUGUUUCUAUUUUUUACGACAAAACAUAUAUAUUAUUUUGAUACACUUACAUAAAAGAAUCAAGUUAAUCAAGUAAUUCAUAUAUUAUGUAGUCUUUGCUUCUCAAAUAUGCUUUACUUUUCUCCGUAAUUUUAAUCAGAUAAAAAAUAUUACUGAUAAAUAUUUUUUCUUUUCAUGGCACAUCAAAAUACAUUUUUUUUCAUACAUCAUAAAAUACUUUAACUCUUCACAUGAAUUUAUACAUUUUUAUACAUGUCUUUUACAUAUUUUUAUAACAAUAUGUUUUAUUUAUAUAUUUAAUAUACAUAUGUCUUUUCAUGGUUUUAAAACAUUUAUAUUUUUUCAAAAGAAUUAUUUUAUACUUGAUACUUACACUUUUUACAUUAUUUUAGAUAUACCUCCUUCUCUUUGAUAAAUUUAGUUUAGCCGGGUACCACAUUUGUGGAUCCUGAAGGUGCCUAACCCCUUUCCUUCUGGAUAAUUUGAACCCUUACCGAGAAUCUCAAUUGAUUUUUUGCAGACUGAAACAUAAAUCACACGUGUUAAUAAUUCAAAAGGUUUCCUUAUUUUCCUUAAAAAUUAGGUGGCGACUCUGUACAAAUUUUAAUUCUUUUUAGAGUCCAUAAGUCGUGCUUGUUUAACCAUGAAAAAAAUUGAGCAUAACUGAAUGGCGACUCCGCUGGGGAUAACAGCAGUUUCUAACCAUGAUAGACUCAAUUUUUCAAUUGAGGGAGGUAUUUUUACAUUUUUUUAUAUAUAUUAAUUCUUUGAUUCUUUAUCUAUUUCACAUUGCAAAUUGUGUAUACUUUUUCAUAAAUUUUUUACAUUAUUUGCGCAAAUUAAAUUUGUUGCCUUAUCAAUUUUUUUAUUAUUUAUUAUUUGUUUAAUACACUGUAUUUGUAUAUUGUAAAAACUAUUACACAUUAUUCUUUACUUCAUUUGAUCAUAAAUCACAAUGCCAUUGAGUAUUUGGUCGUACACUUCACACACUGUGGUUCACAGUGGGAGUGUCUUACACUCCCCCAAACCUUAUUUGAAUUCCAUAGUUUUAGAGUCGGUGCAUUUAGGUUAGUGCGCCUUCUCGUAAUCAUUCAGUCCUACUCUCAACCAUUUAGGAAAGUUCCUAUUCUAAAAAUUGAUCACACCAUGUACAAACUAACAAAUUGGUUUGAGCUACGUUUUGACCUAAUUCUUUCCCUGACAAGAUACGUAGACAACCCUACAUAAGGGUUCGAUCUCUUCACUGUUUCAAAAUAAUUUCUCUGGAAUUCAACUGGGGCAAUUUUUUCAAAACAGUUCAAAGAUGCUCUCCAAGAGCGUAAAUUUCCAAUAACACUAGUGCCUAGCCGGCCUACCUCCAAAUCCUCACCCAAUUUUAAUUCGAGGACACCUAGCUUCUUCUCUUGAACAUUGUAAAUCAUUAAAUUUACGACGUAUCGAUCCCCACUUUCAAAGCAAGGGUUCAAUAGUCUUUCAUUCAUAAUAAUUCUGCCAACUGUGGCGAAAUAAUGUCAUAAUUUCUUCAAUGUCUGACUUUCUCAAUCUUGUCAGCAUACCGAAGUUGCUUCAAAACUCUCUUCAUGAUUGACAUCCUUUCUCUCGGUCAUCUGAUUAAAAUAAUUUUGAUGCUAUAAGAAAUUUCUUUCUAAUUAUCUUUUACAUCAUAUUCAAGGAUGAUCAUUGGUCUUAUACAUUCAUACAUUCUACAUACAAAUUUAUAAAUUUGCUUGAACUACGCAGACCUGAUUCUUGUUUUCACAAGAUACGUAGGCAACUCUCAUUCGGGUUCGGUCUCAUUCUUUUUCUCAAAUAAAUAAAAAUUUAGAAUUUUAUUUGGUUGGUACUAACACAGUUAGGAGUGUGGAUGAGAAAGAGAACUGGUAUAAUAGAGAGGCCCGACUUCAUGGUAAACCAUAGAUUCAUUUGGUACCUUUUAAUCAAACCUGAGUAACACUAGAAAGUUCUCUUGCAUACAUCUAAGACAAGAACUAAACCAACCUCUUCGUUUCAAGUGCAUUGUGUGGUAAGAUUUAGACUAGUUAAUUGCAUUGCAUUGUUGAUCCAAAACUUGGCCUGAAUGUCUGUUGAGAUGAAAUUCUGAGUUACACUUAGUUUGGGAAAGGAUUGUAGGCCUUCUUUGACCCGAUUGUGCCUUUCACAGCCUACCAAAUGAUAUCAAUCCUUAGUAUUCCCUCCUUUGAGCUUGAAACCUUUUCUUUGGAUAACCACAUUUGAGCCUAUACCUUUUGAGUGCUUACAUGCACUAUCCCUCUUUUGGCCUACCUCCUUGAGCGCAUUAAGUACGUGUAAGUUGCGAAUGAAGAUUCAAGAUCAAAGCUUCUAAAGGCAAAGGACUUAUAGUCCCAGAAGAACAAAAACAAAAGAUGACUUUAAAGAAAAGAAGGAGAAGAAACCCCCUACAAAAAAAGAGAUAACUCCGACAAAGGUGAAGAAUCAUCAUCACCCAAAAUAAAAUAUAUCCAAAAAAAAAGGGAAAAACUCUGGUACAAGAUUCAAAUGAAGUCGAAUCAAUUACCAAACAAGGGGCAAAAAGCAUAACAAAGAAAAUCGAACGUCAAAAUGCAGUAAAUAUCAAAAGCACAAAUACAGUGUAACACUCAUUGAGAAAUUAGUCACUUUCAACUCAAAUAUCAUCCUACCCAUCCCCAAGCCUACAUUACAAGACAAUAAAAAGUCCUACAAGAUCCCUACUCUAAGUAUUCUCACAUUAGUGGAUACUUAUAUGAAGGCCAAGCCUAUGGUAUCACAAUUGCAUUCAUUGAAUUUUUUUUUCUGAGUGUGAGGCUAUAUCUCUAGACGUCUCCAAAUUCAAAAGAAAAAUAGCAUUCAAAUAAGUGUGAGAAUGAGACAUUCUUUCUGGAGAGCACACUUGAAACAUGAGAACAGACACAACCCAAAAUCUUUACUGGAAGCAAGAUGAACAAAUCGUGUUGAUACUUAGGUAUGUCUGAGGUACUAUUUGAAGCUAUAGGAGUUAUCCUGAAGUCAAUCUCGGUUAGCUGGACGAGAUGGGGAAAUUCUUAUACACACUACUAAUUGUUGGUACCAACUACAGUCAAGGCACGAUUAUGCUUUUUUCUAACUUUCAACAUUUCUUACAAAAGAAAAUACAAAAUAAUUUUGUUUCACUGAUCAACACUUUUUACAAGGAAAACAUAAAAUAAUUUUCUACAAUUUUCACCUAUCAACAUUCCUCACAAAGAAUAACACAAAACAAUUUUCUACAUUUUUCCACUUUCAACAUUUCUUACAUAGAAAAUACAAGACAAUCUUCUGCAUUUUCACCUUUUCGCAUUUUCCACAAAGAAAACACAAAGCAAUCUCCCACAUUUUUCAUCUUUCAACACAUUUUUUACAACAAAACUGCAAAAAAUAAUUUUCUUUCCUUUCAAACACAUGUCAUCACAUACCUGCAUUACACUUUACAUGCAAGAAACCCACCUCCAAAUACAGACGAUUAACGUUUCUUUUCAAGUUCUCACAUUCAAACACAAACAUUUUACUUUUCUAUUUGGUGUUUUCCUUUCAAUAUUGCUUCUACCUUUUCAUAGCCCCGCUAGUCGAGAGGAUAUUACCUUUCAAUUGCUCCGCCAGUCGAGAUCUUCUUUAUUUCAGUUGCCUCACUAGUCGAGAGGUUAUUAUAUUUUACUCUUCCAGUUGAGAACUCGUUAGUUUCAACAACCUCAAUAGUCGAGAGGCUAUUACCUUCUAGUUGUUCCACCAACCGAGAGGCCAUUAGAAUUUGAUUUCCUUACCGGUUGAUGACCUCAGUCUUCAUAGACAAUUGAGGACGACCAUUAACAUUAGUCUCCAUAGAUAAUUGGAGACGUCAUCAAGUCUUCGUAGACAAUCGAAGACAUCAUCAUUCAACAUUCAUCUCCAUAGACAAUUGGACAUGUCGUCAAGUCUUCAUAGACAAUCAAAGACAUCAUCAUUCAACAUCCAUCUCCAUAGACAAUUGGAGAUGUCAUCAAGUCUUCGUAGACAAUCGAAGACACCAUUCAUCACAUUAGCCUCCAUAGACAAUUGUAGGUGUCAUGCAUCUGUCUUCUAAAUAAUCGAAGAUGUCACAUAGUCUCCGUAGACAAUCGGAGAUGACAAUCCACUAGCCUCCAUAGAUAAUUGGAGGUGUCAUACAUCAAGUCUUCAUAGACAACUGAAGACAUGAUCAUUCAAUAUCUAUCUCCGUAGACAAUUGAAGAUGUCAUCAAGUCUUCGUAGACAAUCGAAGACACCAUUCAUCACAUUAACCUCCAUAGACAAUUGGAGGUAUCAUGCAUCUGUCUUCGUAAAUAAUCGAAGACGUCAUAUCAGUCUUCGUAGAAAAUCAAAGGCAACAAUCAACACCAACCUCUAUAGACAAUUAAAGGUGUCAUGCAUCAAGUCUUCGUAUACAAUCGAAGACAUCAUCAUUCAUCACAUCAGUCUCCGUAGACAAUCGGAGACAAAAAAUCCACACCAACCUCCAUAGAUAAUUGGAGGUGUCACACAUCAAAGUCUUCGUAUACAAUCAAAGACAUUCUCAUUCAACAUCAGUCUCCAUAGACAAUCCGAGACAACAAUCCACACCAGCCUCCAUAUAUAAUUGGAGAUGUCAUGCAUCAAAGUCUUCAUAUACAAUCGAAGACAUUCUCAUUCAACAUUAGUCUAUGUAGACAAUCAGAGAAGACAAUCAACACCAGCCUCCAUAGACAAUUGGAGGUGUUGUGCAUCAAGUCUUUAUAGAUAAUCGAAGAUAACAUCACUCAUCACGUUAGUCUCCAUAGAUAAUUGGAGAUGUCAUCAAGUCUUCGUAUACAAUCGAAGACAUCAUCAUUUGACAUCAAUCUCCGUAGAUAAUCGGAGAUGACAAUCAACAUCAGUCUCUAUAGAUAAUUGGAGAUUCCAUACAUUAAGUCUUUGUAAACAAUCAAAGACAUCUUUAAUUCAUCACAUAAAUCUCCGUAAACAAUCGGAGGCGAUAUUCAUCCCAAGUCUCCGUAAACAAUCGGAGGCGUCAUUCAUCCUCAAGUCUCCGUAGAUAAUCGGAGAAAUCAUACAUAUUUUUAACAAAAAGUACAAUUCAGAAUAACAAUACAUUUUUUCAAGUCCCAUACAUCAUACACUGGAGCAAAUUUUGAGAACCGCCCCAAAAUUUUCUACUUUCUCAUUCUUAAACUACAUUGACCUGAUUCUCGGGAUACUGGAGAUAUGUAGGAAGCUCUAUGCAAAGUUCGGUCAUCACAAUCCCCUAAUCAUUCCUUCUCCCCAGCAAGUACACAAUCCUGCAUCCCCAGCAUCUCACAGCUCGAUACUGGGGCAAUUUUGACAGGAACAUCGAAAAUAGAUGAACACUUCCGUUCCCAAAUAGUUCGUCUCUCAAUAAUCACUCUACAUGGUCAUCCGCCCCUAAUAACAAGGUAGGAGGCAAUUGCUUAUUCUUUUGAACUACACCUGACUUGAUCCUCAUACAACUCGAGGUAUGUAGGCAACUCUAAAUUGUAGUUCGGUCAAAUUUUCAUCAAAAUUAUUUUUUGUCGAGCAAAAUUGGCUACGUGUCAACGUUUUCGUUUGAAGACUUCUACAUCACCUUCAAACAAAAAGGGGAAACUAUUGACACUCAAUUUUUACUCUUCGUGCUUAAAAUUAACGUCUUCAGGCUUCCUGACAGUUAAAUGACACAAAAUAUAAUUUUCACAUAUUUUUUACAAUUGUUAAUAAAUUAUUGAUAUUCAUCCCUACUUUAGGAUUUUAUCAAUUUAUUUUUAUAUUUUACUUUUUAUAAUUUAUUAAUAAUUCUCUGUACAUUGGGAUUUUUAUCAAUUCAUUAUCGUUUUAAUAGUUUACAAUCAUCUGUACACAUGCACGACAUGACGUCACAUUUUUCACAGUAUUUUCAAUAAUUUCAAUAUUCUUUACAUUUUUUUUGUAAUUACAUAUCAAUACUUUCAUUUUUGUAUAUUUUAUUACAAUCCGCAAAAAUUGAGUCGAGUCAACUAUUUUAAUACAUAGAGCAACAAAUCAAUCAAGUCAAGGUCUCGUCAUCAUUAUGACGCUUGACUUUUCUUUCACCUACUAUCCAUAAUUUAAAGGAUAUGUUGGGAAGAAAGUACAUUUGAUAUUUAUUUUUUAUUAUUAUUUUUACUUUUUAAUACUCAUUCACACCUCACAUAUUCACAAAAACAUACAUAUUUUUAUUCUUCCUUUCUCAAAAAAAAUUCACACAUAUUUUUUCCCUCUUUCUCCUCUCCCUCAAACACAAAAAUUUUAGUCAUCUUUUUUCUCUCUCACACACACACAUUUUUUCACCAUAUGCACAUUUCAUUCUUCUUCCUCCCCUCUCUCAAAAUAUAAAUUUCUUUUUAUAUAUUUUAUUUUAUUUCCAAAAAUACAAUAAACACAUAUUUUUUAUCUUCUCACAUACAAAUACAUAAAUAAAAUACACAUUCACAAAUACAUAUACACAUUUUUCGUCCUCACAUAUUUUUUCUUUCUCUCUCAACAUGCAUUUCUUCGCUACACGCAUAUUCUUCACCACACAUAUAUUUUUAUCAUACACAAAUUUUGUUCAUCUUUAUUUUUCUCAAAAACACAUACAUAUACUCAAAAUAAACGCAUGGCCGGUGAAAUUAUCUUUCCGUCAGAUAUUUGAGGUCACCCCAUUAUAAAAGAUAGAUUUUACUCUCUCAAAUUUACUAUUUUAUAUCAAAGAUCAACACUUGGCCAAUGAAUAAACGCCCGUCAUUUUUUGAGGCCUUCACAAAUAAAAAGAUGGAUUUUACGUAUACAAAUACGUAAAAAAAAUAUAUUUUCGGGCGAUGACGAAAUCUUUAUAACAUUUCAAAACUUUAUCUGAGCCCACUUUUUUACAAAAAAUUUAUUUUUAAAUAUGUAUAUGUACACAUAUUUUUCAAUUUAUUUUGAUUAUCAUUUAUUUGUUACUAAUAUUUUUGUUACAAGUGUUUAUACAGGUUAUUGGGAAUCAUUAUCGGAAAUGAUAGUCAAAGAAGACUUUAAAUUAUGUAUUUAUAUUUUUUAUAUUCUUGCACUUGUACAAAUGCUAAUCAUAGUGAAAACUUUAUUUUUGGGGUGUUGGGCGAGAUAUUUUUUAUUUAAUCUUCGCCACGCUUUCCCGCAGGAACAUCCACAAUAGAUCCAGUGCGCUUGGCAAGAUCUCCUUCUUUAAUAGCAGUAUCACUACCAAAGACAACAAUCCCUACAUUCUCAUUCUCAAGAUUCAAGGUUAUUCCUUUCACACCGCUGGCAAAUUCCACCAUUUCCCCAGCUUGAAUCUCGUUCAAUCCAUAAACACGUGCAAUUCCAUCUCCAACUGAGACCACUCGACCGAUUUCAUCCACUUGAAAAUUCGUGUAAAAGUUGCUAAUUCGACUUUCUAAUAGACUUGUUAGUUCCGCAGCUCGGGGAGAAAGUUCCAUAAUUCAAAUAGAUAGAAGGGAGAAUGCUGCUGACAAAGAUGACAAAGAAGAGCUCUACCAGUAUCUCUUUCUUUUGAUUGAGUCAAAGACCAGCGCUAAGUCCUGCCGAGCAAUCUCUCUCAAAACCCUUUUAUAAGGCAGGCUGCGGUGGGUCCCAUAGUUUUCUAUUUGAGAUAGGUGGUCUAAGUAAGUGUCCAAGGAUAAUGGCUUCCCAAACGGGUAGAAGAGUUCCACCCUAAUCUGGUGCCUUUUCUCAAAAAGAGACGCGUCUUGCACUCUGUCUGAACGAAGGGCUUCCUCUAUCUUUAGUUCCGUUUGGAAUUGAGCCUCGAGAAUAUCGGAGGAAAUAUGCUCGGGCAGGGGACACCCGAAAGUAUAGAAGGAAGGACUCUCAUUGAGCUCCCUUAGCCUCUCUCCAUCCUCCUGUAACGGAUGAUAAGGCUCAGCAAUAGGAGGCUCUGCGGGUUCACCAGGGUUGGGAGAGUCCGGGGCCGGUUGGUUGAGACCGGCUUCGGAAUUUGCAGGGGAACUGCUUCCAAAUAAAUCGGAAAAUAAAUCAGUCAAACUGAAGCCCCUUCCUCCAGCGGAAUUAUCAUCCAUGUGCAAGCUGCAGGCAAAUUCAGGCAGUUAAUAUCUAUAUAAAAAAUUAGAUUGACUUAGAUUAUUUAAUCAAACAAUUUAUACUUUUUACACUAAAAAAUAUUACGUAGUCUUUUUCUUUAGAACAAGUUUUUCUUUACAUACAUAUACUAAUGUACUUUUAUUUAUAUUUUUUACGACAAAAACAUAUAUAUUAUUUUGAUAUACUUACAUAAAAGAAUCAAGUUAAUCAAGUAAUUCAUAUAUUAUGUAGUCUUCUCUUCUUAAUAAUUUUUACUUUUCUCCGUGAUUUUAAUCAGAUAAAAAAUAUUACUGAUAAAUAUUUUUUCUUUCAUAGCGCAUCAAAAAUACAUUUUUUUCAUUCAUCAUAAAAUACUUUUACUCUUCACAUGCAUUUAUACAUUUUUAUACAUGUCCUUUACAUAUUUUUAUAACAAUAUUUAAUAUACAUAUGCCUUUUCAUGGUUUUAAAACAUUUAUAUUUUUUCGAAAGAAUUAUUUUAUACUUGAUACAUACACUUUUUACAUUAUUUUAAAUAUACCUCCUUCUCUUUGAUAAAUUUAGUCUAGCCGGGUACCACAUUUGUGGAUCUUGAAGGGUUCUUAACCCCUUUCCUUCGGGAUAAUUUGAACCCUUACCUAGAAUCUCAAUUGAUUUUUCACAAAUUGAAACAUAAAUCACAUGUGUAAAUAAUUCAAAAAGUUUUCUUAUUUUUCUUUAAAAUUAGGUGGCGACUCUGUACAAAUUUUAAUUCUUUUUAGAGUCCAUAAGUCAUGCUUGUUUAACCAUGGCUAAAAUAGGGCAUAACAACUGUUAAUGAUUAAUAAUAUACUAGCUAAAUAACAAUAUUAACCUAAUUUUAUUUUAAUUGAUCGUAAUAAAAAACAAAGAAAUGUCAAUAUUUAGUCCAUUAAAAGUGAAAUGAACUCCUCAAAAAAAAAAAAAAAAUGGUCCAAAUGGACUUUGAAUUUUUUUAUUCUUAGUACUCUAUUUUAUUUUUUAAUAUUUUUUGUUUGACCCACAGGUUAAUCCAGCCCAUAUUGCUCAAGAUCCACGGGCCAACGGGCUUAUACCGGUCAAGUUAAAAGUUCUGUUCUCAAACGGACUGUAAAAAUUGUAGCCCAGAUCUAUCAAAUUACAGGUUGGGUCGGACCAACCCAAUGGGCCUACCCAUAUUGACGGCUAUAAUUAAAAGAAUGAAAUUCCAGGUUUUACUCAAUUUAUUCUAACUACUUACAUGAUUACUCUUUCUUAACAUUUUCAUAUAUUAGCAACAUGUAGUUUGAAGUUCACAUAAAAAUUGGAUCGUGACUUUGUAUCUUUCAUAAAAUAGUCAAGUUAUGAAAUAUUUUUAAUUGAGUUUUAAAAUGAAUUGUAACAAGAUAGAAUGAAAUUAAUAGAAAUUAAUAAACAUAAAGAUCAUUAAUAGAAAUUAUUGCAAAGUACAUAUAAUAUGUACCAUUAUUGAAAAAAAAUAACAGAAAUGAAAAAUGAAAGCAUACUUAAAUAGAGUGAAUCUAUACAUAGAUUCAUUUCGUUGUAUAGAACUUUGAUAAAUAAUAUUAUACGAAGAUAAUUCAUUUAAGAAACAGCAAACUAGAUAGCUGCAUUUUCUGAUAGAGACUCUGAGGAGGACGAAGCUUCAGGUAAUUGAUCCAUCAACAUAAUUUCUCCAACAUCUAAUUAAGCUUGAAACUUCAUUACAUCAUCUGCAUUUAACUGAUCGAUGGACUCCCACCGAUCUUUAUCUCUAGUCUUAUUCCUUUGAGAUAAGGAAAGGAAUUUAUCUUUUGCAACUUCUCCUCUUUUAUCAAGUUCAUUUAGCCAUUAUUGAGUUGAUUCACUUUAUUAAAUGAUUUUUCAGCAACAAUCUAUUCACCUAAAUCUGUUUUCAAAUUCAUAAAAUGAUCAAUGACUGUAUUAUGAGUUGGGUGGACAAAAACAUAUGCAUUAUCAGCUGGAGAAGGUAGAACAAUUACAAGAUCGACAUCAUUUUCUCUAACGAGUUUUUUUAUCUUUUUCAUAUAAGCCAGAACAUCGUUUAGAGAACGUAGAAUAUCGAUCAACAUUUUUUUGUAUUUUCACUAAUGGAAUUUUUCUACGUUCCAUUAUUUUCUUACCCUCCGUGCAAGAAAUGUGACUUACAAAAAAAAAUUGAAUAUGAUGAAUAUUUAUAUACAUAUUAUUGACAAUGGUCAUUAAAUUUCUAUCCAAAUAUCACAAUGAAAAGUAAUCUUUUCUUUAUAUUGAAAAUUAUAGUAGAAAAUUUAUAUUCAAUUUGAUACUCAUAAUCUUAGUUUUAUAGUAACAUCAAUGAAUAUGAUACUUUAAACAAAAAUAGGUAAAUAAUGUAAUAUACAUGAAAUUUAUCAACUAUAUAAUUUGAUGGAACAUUAGUUACUUACCAAAAUCAUUAGUUAUUUAUUUCUAUUUUCUAUUAUAUAUGAGUGAAGAGUUGGUUACUACUAUUUUAUCUUAUGUAAUGACUACUUUGGUAAAUAACACUUUCAAUCAAGAAGAGAAUAUGAGGUAGUCUGUUCCCACGUGUCCUACAUCAUUCACGAACAUUUCUCUAAGAAAAAAAUAUUAGCAGUAGAUCAUGGCUGGUGCAUACGGCUACAAUGAUAGGCGAUCCACUCCACCACCUGCUGACGGUGGUUCCGGCGGCGAUAGAUACAGCAGCUCAUCCGCAGGUGAUAGUGGUGGAUACGGUGGUUCAGGAGGCGGUGGAGGAUAUGGCGGUGUAUAUGGUGGUUAUAGCGAUGGAAGAUCAGCUCCGCUACCUGCUGGUGGAGGAUACACAGGCUCCGGCGGCGAUAGAUACAACGGCUCAUCCAGCAGUGUCAGUGGUGGAUACGGUGGUUCCGGUGGCUGUGGUGGAUGCGGCUGCGGUGAAUAUAGUGGAUACCGUGGUUCUGGCAGCGGCGGUGGUGGAUACAGUGGUACGGGAGGCACCGGUGGUAGAUACGGUGGUACAGGCGGCACCGGUGGUGGAUACGGUGGUUCUGGUGGCAGCAGUGGUGAAUACAGUGGUUCUGGUGGCGGCGGUGGCUUAGCAUAAAUUGUGGACAGUUGUGGUAUCAUGACUACUAACUUUUUAUUUGAAAUAAUAUAGUUGCAAUUUCCUAAAUGAUGUUGUAUCCAUGCUUUAAAUUUCUGUUAUAUAUUAAUUUUAUUAUCUUAAUCCAAUAUAUAGGACCCUUCUCUAAAUGUAGUUCUAGCCUCCAGUUUGACUCAACUUUCUCUCGACUUGCAUAGGUUAUUUCGUCUGGUCAGCUCCAUGUGAUUGGGACUGAAUGACAUGAGUGGCGGCGAAUUGAUAAUCAGGUACUAAUUUUGAUAUUGCCAUUGCAGUACAUUGGUCAAAACUAACUAGCGGCGAAUCAUCAGGUCCUGCGACUACUGCUGCUUCAACUAUUUUAAAUACUUUUGAGUUUUGUUGGAAAGAGCCUCGAACAAAGUGGAAAAGUUGGAAAUGAUUCAUACGGCUGACCCAACGAGCGUUUGAUUGAACGAAUAGUUGGUUGGUUGAUUGAUUGCAUUUACCUAUUGAUUGUAUCCCAAACGGAGUUAUGGUGAACUCCCAAUUCCACCCCUAAUUCGGGGGUCGGGUAUCAAUUGAUACCUUUUGGAUAAGGUGUCACUCCUCCCCUGCGUAUAUACAUAGCAUAAUUUUCGGGUGAAUUUGGGGGUCGGGUCUCAAUUGAUACCUUUUAGCUAAGGGUGUGGAUCCUCCCUUGAUUCUCCAUCACACAAAUUAUCUUAGAUGUAAUAAUCUAAAAACAAUAUAAUGAUAUAUGUUUCCUCUAUUAAUACUUCCUUACGACAAGCUUAUUUUCACACCAACCAAAAAACAAGAACAACAAUAUCUAUAGUGCAAAUUAAUUCUCUCUUAAUCGCAAUGAAAGUUGUUGUAGUGUUGUUCAUUGCAAUGCUUGUGUUCACAGAGCAUAAUGCUAUGACUGGUACAUUAACAUGUCUGAUAGGAUGUUCAGUGAAGGGACAAUCUCUAAAAAAGUUACUUAAGUGUCUCGUUGGUUGUGGUACACCAUGUUUGAUACAAUGGUACACGAUGUUCAAUUUCUUCAGCAUAAUGAAGCUCGUCAGAUUUUUUAUGAAGCUGAUUAUGUUAUGUUGAAGAUUUUGGAACCUAGAAGCCUUUGCUUUGAGGUUAUUUGUUGUUCUCGUUAGCUGUGCCAUAGGAUAUUUAGCAAACUUACUAGAAAUUGUGUGUGGCAGAUAGUAAGCCCUGAAAAGAUCCUCAGAUUGAGAGUCCGUGAUACCAAGAGAGCUCUGACCCAAGAUGCAUCAUCAGAAGAGGUCUGUGUUGUUAUGUCAGGUGUUAUUGCUCGUUUUGAUGGAUCAGACAUUCAGGUACUCAAUCAUUCUCACAGUUACAAGUAACAUUAUUUUUUCUUCAUCAACUAUGCUAUGAGUUAUGAGAACAUUUAUUUUUAAUUUUUACAUCUCCAUUUAGAUCUCGAACCAUGAAGUUUAAGUUCUCAUAUGCCAUACUGCUAAUGUCGGUAUUAAAUGCAGAAUAUACUGCAGAGAUGGUUUCGAGAAAGAUACUCCCAGUUCUGGGGUGAGAAAGAAUCUGAAAAUUCUAGACAAACUUUCGGUAGGCUUCCGUACCAGCUAUGGAAUGUUAGUAAGUAUGGUUCGUGUGUUGAUGCUGCUAUCACUUGUCUGAUGCCCCCUCCCCCGCCUCUGUUGCUUUGUUUUAGAACAAUACAACUACUAAAAUAACAAGUUGAGGGAAGAUGGCAAUGAAAAGCAAGUAGGUCGAAUCAGGCAUAAGAAUUGAUUUCAAGCCAAACUAGCCACCAGAUGGAUGAAUUGGUGUAGUAUAGAUGGCUUGGAGUUAGAAUCAUUGGGACUUAAGGCUCCAAUAUGACUUUGAAUGAAGGUGCUCAAAAUAAUACAUAAUAUCGUCAUAGCUAGAAGGUAUAACAACUUUCAUUGAUGAAAUUCACAACUUAACUGAAUAGACGAUGUAAACAAUUACUGCAGAUUCUGAAAUAUUAAAAAUUCAGAAGUGCUCAUCGACUAAUGAAUUUGCUGACAGGAAAUAGUCAAGUGCAUUUUCCUCUUACUGUUGGAUGUUGCAUUACUUACCAGCAAGAUCAGCUAUAAGUCGUACAUGCCCAACUGUUUGUUUCUCAUAAGUUUUAAUCUUUUGAUUUCAUAUACUGUAUUAUCAUUAUCAUGAUUUACUUACUACAUUUGAAGUUAUCUUUCCAACAAUUUCUGACGGAGGCGAUUAUAUUGAUGAUUAUGAAGGUCUUGAGUUUAGUUACAUUGCCUGAGGGUUUAAAAUUCUGUAAUUGUAGUUAACAGGUGUGUAACCAUAGAGGUUAAGUCUUGAUUUUUUUACUUUCCUUGUGGCAAUUAAAGUUACACAAGAAGAUAAGACAGAAACAUAAAAUUCUCAUAUUAAUAGGCUAGGAUUGCCUUAUGCAUCUUCAAAUCAGUCUGGAUGAAAUGAUUAAAAUGUGAUGGUGUUAAGUCAUGAGUGCAUUUGUAAUUCUGAUCAGUGAUGGAUUACUUCAGUUAGUAAUGGAUACUUAAGGAGAACACCAGUUGCCUGGAUACUCUAAGGCUAUGUUGCUCGGACUCUUCAAAAAUGUCAUUGGGUACAUGUUGGAUCCUUCAAAAGUAGUGCAUUUUUUAAGGAUCCCACACGGGUGCGGCCACAUUUUUGGAGAGUCCAAGCAACUUAGCUCUAAGGAAACCUAAGUCUACUGGUAGACUAAAUCUACUGAAUAUUUUCCUGUGGAACGAAGCUGCAAUAUGUAAGCUUCUUGAGUUGUGACUAAGAAAAAAGAAGCACUACCGAUACUCUGACUCAAGAAUCUAUAAGACAUGUCAAAAUUCUAUUUUUUCCUCUCCAUAAAUUUCAACCUUAGCUUAUUGCGAAGAUACUUUGUAUAUAUGUUUGGAAUGGUUCUUGUUAUGUGGAUUCAACUGCUCCAGUUGAAGCGAAACUUUUUCUUGGGUGACCCUAAAUAUGGUGCAAGAGCUUUCAAUACUACGAAGCAAUAUGCAUCCACUAUUUUGCGAUGUCAUCGGCAUCAUAUCUGCUCAUAUUUUGGACUUCAGAAAUAGUUUACAGGAGAAUCUGAAUGUAUUAACAAGCGAUAAAAGAGCCUUUACAUCCGAUUUUGCGCUUUGUAAUUAAUUAACAGUUUGAAUCUGUCUUUGAUUUUCAUUUCAUACUUUCUUUCUGGUGCCAAUACUUCUACAGGAAAAAGCUAAUGAUGGAGAGGGUGCAGCUCUUUUGAAGAGUUCACAUAAUGGUGCUACUGGUGGUUAUGAGGAGUCCUUAGCCGCAGUUCUUGCCAAACAUAAGCACCACCUUGCAAGUACACAGGUCCGAUGUUCAGUCUAAUUUGGUAAAAGGAACAAUAUGCCUACAAAGAAGAUGAAUGGAGCAGCAGCAGGAGAUGGAGGAGGAGGAGGAUUCAAGGCCAAAUUAGAUCAUGUGUUAUAGAGCGGCGAAAAGAAGCAUGUCUUAGGUGGCAUCGCCGUCAUUGGCGUUCUCUUUGGUGUUCCCUGGUACUUCAUGACCCGAGGUCACUGAUUCUUCUUCUUUUUCCCCCCUUCUAUUACAUCAAUAGUAUAUGUAUGAAUACUUCAUGUCUAAUUCUCCCACUAUUUCAUACAAAGUUGCAAUUUUUUUCCAUUUUAUUGGUUACCCUGCUACUGGUAUAAGAGAUUGAACUUUUCCAUGUUCUUUUAUUACCUUGGUGUUAGGGCCAGCUUGAUUGUCCCACGACUAAUUCCAUACGCCAUAUACUAGCACAACUCAAUCUGUCUAUCUAAGCCAUGUACACUAAUAUUGUUUCCUGCUAACAACUGAUGUUUCUUAUGUUGAAAACUUUUUGGUCCUUAUUUUCUUUGUACAUUAUUUCCUAUUAUUGCAUGCCAAAGCUCAAUUUUAAUGAAGAGAAAUGAAAAAUGGAAUGAGAUGUAUUUGUUUUGAACUACUACACAACCAGCCCCAUCAAAUUAAAAUAUACAUUAAAAUAAGACAAUUAGACGGAAUCUCAGUUGAACUACAUUGUAAAAAGGAAAUAAGAACUAAGAGGUUGGAGUAAGAGAAUUGGAGAGGAAUAGACAAUAGAGAGACCAAAUGAGAAAAAAGAGAGGUAAAAUUCACAUGGUUACUCUUGAUCAUUUUAAAUGUAGGCUUGCACUAAUUUUUAUAGUAAUGCUUAAGAAGUUGUUAUUCUUUGAGUACUCAAAUCGAAAUGUGUUGGAAAUUUGUGAUUUGCAAGGUAAAAAGGUUGACUAUGAAGUUGAUUAGAUCUUAUUAGGAAUUUUUAAUUGCUUAUUUAUGGUAUGCAAUUCAUUCUCCGUUCUCCUUUCCCUCUUUUUCCUUGGAAAUGCCACUGGCUUGAAUUUUUUUUGAUUUCGUAUGCAUUAAGCAUAGUAAUAUACAGUAUGAGAAAAAUAUUCAUGCUUCUGUGCAUUCAAAUUGGUCUAUUCUCCAUCUUAAAGUUUGUGAUUCAUUUGCUUUGAUUCCGCUUCUUCUAAGUUGAUGGAGAACUGUGGUUCCUCAAUCCAAAAGUUUCACUUCAAAUAAGGGUGGGAUGAACACAACUCUUUUAAAUUGUGCUUUCUGUAUUAUAUUUGAGAACGCACAUUGUUUUCUUGAAAAGUAAAAUUUACAUUCCUCAAUUGCAGGCUAAGCUGCAGGAAUUUCUUGGAAGGAAUCUGGACACACACUUGGACUCUGAUAAAGCAAUUGCACUUAGUGCUUCAUUGCAUACUGCUAAUAUAAGUGAUGGAAGAUUAACAACUGACAUUGAAGUGCCUACAUUCGCUGCUGCGAUAGCGACACAUUAAAAGCAGAUAAUUUAUUAUGUAUUUGGAAAAAGAAAAAAAGAGCCAUAUUAUUUACUCGGAGAGAGAAAAGAAAGAGAAAAAAGUUGCUGCCUAACCUUUCUAUAUUUCUAUUAUAUAUAAAUGAAGACUUGGUGUACUACAUUAAGUCAAAAAUAAAUUUGACUAAAACGGAUGAUAUAAUUAUUGCAGUCAUUUCAGAAAUGAAUAUUGAGAGCAAUGUGAGAAAUUGGAGAAUACUUUACUACAUUAGAGUAAGAAGCAGUUUAAGUCCACUGUAGAAUCCUUUUUGUUGUACUAACAAUACUUUUAGUUAGAAACAACACUUUACUAUUAGAGUAAGAAACAGUUUGAGUCCACUGUAGAAUCCUUUUUGUUGUACUAACAUGGCUAUAUUGCUUAAUAUGUUCUUAAUCUAUAUCUUUUGAUGUAAUAUAUUCAGUUUAUAGUAACUGCCAGUCAAAUUGAUGUGUCAAAAGGAAAUAGAAAAGCUGUUGUUAUCUAUCCAUUAGAAGAUAUUAGUAGUUAAAUACUAUGUUGUUUGUGUGAUUGUAAUUAAAGAAAUAUCAGCAUUUUUUGUCUAUUAUCAAUAUUCAAGUCAAGUAUAAUGAUCUUAUAAUCAUACAAAUAAUGCACACAACUGUAUAAUGAUCUUGUAAUCAUACACAUGAUGCACACAACUAUCUGAAGCCAUCUAGUAUAUAUAUAAGUAAAGACUUGGUGUACUACAAUUUUGUCUUUUGUGGAACUACCAAAUCUUUACUUAUAUAUUCAUUCUUUUUAACAGGAUCUCUUAGGCUGGGGUAUGCCACUCAGCCUACCAGACCAUAUAAUAAUAUCGGAUUAAGCCAAAGUCGGAAGACCGAAUCAAAGCACCAACCGAAAUAGAAAAGAAUCUUAAAUAGUUUAAUGACUGUAUGGGCUAUUUUACCCAAACAUGGGGCCUUUCAGAGAUUUAAUAACCUUAUGUUAAACCUAUGUGUCUAGAAGUUCUAAUUGUGCAGAAUUCGCCCUUUUCUUAACAACACAAUUGGCUAGAGAGGCACAACUUACUAGACAGAGUUACAGAGACAAAGCUAACAUAAGUGUAUUGAAUUCGACUGUACCUCCAUUUUGGAACCAAGUCAAGAAAUUAGAAAGAUUCUUUUAUAUUUUGAUAGAGUCUGGAGCUUUCAUAGUUAACAUGUCAGCAAAGUUAGAUCUUUAACAUAGAUAUAAGAAACCUUUCAACCGGACAUAGUCACGGCUGGGUAGGGUAGAAGUUUAUUUAAAUGUACACAAGUAAGAAAGAAAUAUGUACCUGAUUUUUUGAGAACCAGACUGAAAUAAUAGUAAAUAGUAGCUUCUUCUUUAUUUAAUUCUUGAAUAUGUUACAGAGAGAGAGAGAGAGUUUUUAGAAAACAAAAGGAGAGAACUUCUGAACUCCUGCCUCUUCACAAGAACGAGGCGUCUAUAAAUAAUAAAAAAGGAAAUCUUGCACAGUAAGGGGUGGGUCCCUGUGCACAGUUAUUUUACUAUUACAAAAAAGGAAAAAUUAGAGAGGUCUUUAUCAAACAGUCAUAUCUUGUCUUUUUCUUUCCAUUUCUUGAUGAAUGCUUCAGCCUUUUUAAUUUCUUCCUCUUCUAUCAGAAUUUUUGGAGGUUGAGAAUCGGUAAUAUCUUCAGUAUUUGCUUCGGUACUAUUCAUUGAGAUGUCUGAAUUUUGCUCAACAGUUUGAAGUAAUUUAUCUCUGGCUUCUGAUAAAUAUUCUUCUAUCAUUUGCAUUUUAUUCCCGUCAUGUGCAGAUAUUCUUCUAGAAACAUAGUUAAGANNNNNNNNNNNNNNNNNNNNNNNNNNNNNNNNNNNNNNNNNNNNNNNNNNNNNNNNNNNNNNNNNNNNNNNNNNNNNNNNNNNNNNNNNNNNNNNNNNNNNNNNNNNNNNNNNNNNNNNNNNNNNNNNNNNNNNNNNNNNNNNNNNNNNNNNNNNNNNNNNNNNNNNNNNNNNNNNNNNNNNNNNNNNNNNNNNNNNNNNNNNNNNNNNNNNNNNNNNNNNNNNNNNNNNNNNNNNNNNNNNNNNNNNNNNNNNNNNNNNNNNNNNNNNNNNNNNNNNNNNNNUGAUCUGAAAGAUAUAAUUUUGUUAAGAAAGUGGAGGAUUUUUUCCAUGAAUAGUACAGAGAAGAAUAUUCUGGAGGUAAUAUUUUGACUGUAGGUCCAUGUUGAGUCCACCAUUGAAUAAAUCAAUUUGGAAUAGGCUUUUCAAAUACUUUAGCACAAAUUUUUAUAAACCAAGUGUGUUUGUGCUUAUAAUUAUUAUAAUAUAAUACUUGAGAAAAAGCUUUAAUAUAAGGCUUUUAUAAUUAUGGAUAUGGGAAAAGUUAGUACUAAAAGUACAAAACUCGAAGAGGUAGAUUUACCUCAAGAUAUGGAUUUACUAAAUAAAUGGACAAUUUCAAAAGUUGAAUUAAAAACCAUAUAUGAAUACGGAUUUUUUGAUAAAAUAAAACAUAAAUAAAUUAUUAAAACAACUGAACAAUCCCUUGCUUUAAAUGCUGAUGAACAAACUAUUCAACUCCUAAAUAAGCAUGAUAUUGAUAUUUUUAAACGAAAUUAUAAUUAUAUGCAUAUUGGCCUAGAACAAAUUGCCUUUGACCUUUAACACUAAAGAGUCUCCCUGAAACAUUUUUAGCUGCUUUGCAUGAUGCUAGAAAUUUAAAUUUUAGAAAAUCCUUAAUGGGAUCUAUUGAAUCUACUCUUGCCUAUGGUCCUGUAUAUUUUAAUACUCAGCCAAAUUUACAAUUAUCUCUAACUGAUGUAAAUAUUCUUCAUGCUUUAACCUUAAAUGUGAAAACUCAUGGAUAUGAUUAUGCCCCUGGAUCUGAACUUAUAGGAUUAACUUACCGCAUAUACUAUCGUUUAUUAUCACCUUAAAUCCUCGAUGUAAAUUAAUAGAUGAUAAUUCUGAUUGCACUAUGCUUAUUGAAACUAAUUUUAUAAAAUCCAGGGUUACUACCCGAAGACCUCUUAGAUGGGAUGAAAUUGACUUCCCCAAAACAUGGAUUUUAAACUCAGUCACUUCCUCAAAACAAUUGGCGGAGGAUGUGACUAAUUCGGAGUUAACUCAAGUAACUCAAAAUUCAGAUGGACGAAUUUGUCUACAAUUUGAUAAUAAUCCCCCAGUUUAUAAAAAUUCAUUUUCUCUACCAAGAAGACUUCCUUCUAUACAUCAUAUUUCUCCUAUAGAACCUGAUUAUGAUCCAACUAGGAAUCGAGCGGCAUCCUUGCAUACUAUUAAUUCUGCAGAUUCGCAUGUUACACCUAAAGGUGUAGAAAAGAUAAAAAUCAACUCCAAAACUAAUAUAGUUCAAGAUUUUGAUAAUGAAAAUCCUACCCCGUCUGAGAUGGAUUUUGAUAUCAAUUCUGUUUAACUAUGAUGACACAACUUAUUGAUUUUAGUCCUGGUUCUCAGGCAAGAAAAUAUAUUCAGAAAGAAUUUGUUUUUGAAAAAUGGAAAACCUUUAGGACAUGAUUUUUUAAAACUUAUAAUCCUGAUGAAUUACGAAAUAUUUCCGAAGAAUUCUAUGAAAUAUGUGUCUUACAUAAUAAAAUUAUUUUUUUUGUACCAUGGUUCAUGUCUGCAUAUUUGCCGUCAUAUAUCAAAAUAAUUGAAAGAUCUUAUCAAAAUUCUGAUGGUACNNNNNNNNNNNNNNNNNNNNNNNNNNNNNNNNNNNNNNNNNNNNNNNGGAAUGACUUUUUCUGCUUUCCAAAAAUUUGUCAGUGAAGAUGUUGGAAAAAUUACUGUUUCUGAAAUAAAUAACCUUAUCGCCCAAAAUAAUUAUUUGAGUCUCUAUGUUAAGGUUUUAGGAGAACAUAUUUCCUCUCUUGAUAAAAAACGUGACGAAUUAAUUGAGUUAGUUAACAAACUUAGCCCCUAGAUGAAUUCCUCUAACAAUCCUUCUACUUCUGAAAACAAAGACGAAGAAGGAUAUAUUUUAUCUAAACCUUGUAUCCAAAGACCUCCUGAAAUAGAAGGAUUUGAAAAAGUUUCUCAAUUAGACCAAUUAGAAAAACUCUUCGACAAAAAAUUCUCUCGUUUAAACAUUCAACCUCUUAAUAUUUCUGAUGAUUUUGUGCAAAAACUCGAGUCUAAUUUUGAUGAUAAUAACGAAUCUACUCAAAAUACUGGAGAUAUAAUCUCUUCUGAGCUAAAUAAGCUAAAAGGUAUGAUUAAAAAACNNNNNNNNNNNNNNNNNNNNNNNNNNNNNNNNNNNNNNNNNNNNNNNNNNNNNNNNNNNNNNNNNNNNNNNNNNNNNNNNNNNNNNNNNNNNNNNNNNNNNNNNNNNNNNNNNNNNNNNNNNNNNNNNNNNNNNNNNNNNNNNNNNNNNNNNNNNNNNNNNNNNNNNNNNNNNNNNNNNNNNNNNNNNNNNNNNNNNNNNNNNNNNNNNNNNNNNNNNNNNNNNNNNNNNNNNNNNNNNNNNNNNNNNNNNNNNNNNNNNNNNNNNNNNNNNNNNNNNNNNNNNNNNNNNNNNNNNNNNNNNNNNNNNNNNNNNNNNNNNNNNNNNNNNNNNNNNNNNNNNNNNNNNNNNNNNNNNNNNNNNNNNNNNNNNNNNNNNNNNNNNNNNNNNNNNNNNNNNNNNNNNNNNNNNNNNNNNNNNNNNNNNNNNNNNNNNNNNNNNNNNNNNNNNNNNNNNNNNNNNNNNNNNNNNNNNNNNNNNNNNNNNNNNNNNNNNNNNNNNNNNNNNNNNNNNNNNNNNNNNNNNNNNNNNNNNNNNNNNNNNNNNNNNNNNNNNNNNNNNNNNNNNNNNNNNNNNNNNNNNNNNNNNNNNNNNNNNNNNNNNNNNNNNNNNNNNNNNNNNNNNNNNNNNNNNNNNNNNNNNNNNNNNNNNNNNNNNNNNNNNNNNNNNNNNNNNNUUCAAAAAAAACUUUUGGUCAGCUUAUUGUAGCUUGUACUCAAGAAGGCUUAGCCCUUUGCAACGAGUUAAAAUUAGACAGACAAAUUAAGCUCGACAAACUCAGUGAAAAAUCCCAAUUAGGAGACUUUUGUGAACAAUUUGGUAUAUAUAAACCCUUAGCAUGAAAAACCCAAAGAUAUUCCAAGCCUAAUAAAUCCUAUAGAAAUAAACGUUCUAGGCAUAGAACCAAAGAAGAACGUGAAACUAGAAAAUCCUUUCUUAAGUCUGCCAGAUUCACGAAAAAUAGAUCAAAAAGAGAGUUAGCCAAAAUUAAGUACUAUAAGUGCAACCAGUAUGGUCAUAUAGCUCCAAACUUCAAAUUACAAAAACUCAAGUCCUUAAGACUUUCUGAAGAAGUUCAUGACCAAGUUUAUAAUUUGUUAUAUACCUCUGAUUCCGAAUCUGAUUCUACAUCUGAAAAUGAUUUUGAAUUGCCUAAUUCUGAUAGUGAACUCAAUCAGGUUGAUAAAUGUAAUGAUUGUGAUAAUGAUAUUUGUAAUUAUGAUGAAAUGAUGUAUAAACUUCAAGCGCAAUUCGAAGAUCUUGAUUUAAAUGUUUAAACUCUUACUGCUGAUAAUGUCCUUGAAUUAUUGAAAGAAGUUACUGAUGAAAAACUUCGUGAAAAAAUCAUUAAUUUUGCUACUCAAAAAACUUCUGCUAAUACUAGUAUUUCUAAAGAUAACUCUUAUGAUAAUUAUCACAUGUCAUAUUUCUUAGCCGNNNNNNNNNNNNNNNNNNNNNNNNNNNNNNNNNNNNNNNNNNNNNNNNNNNNNNNNNNNNNNNNNNNNNNNNNNNNNNNNNNNNNNNNNNNNNNNNNNNNNNNNNNNNNNNNNNNNNNNNNNNNNNNNNNNNNNNNNNNNNNNNNNNNNNNNNNNNNNNNNNNNNNNNNNNNNNNNNNNNNNNNNNNNNNNNNNNNNNNNNNNNNNNNNNNNNNNNNNNNNNNNNNNNNNNNNNNNNNNNNNNNNNNNNNNNNNNNNNNNNNNNNNNNNNNNNNNNNNNNNNNNNNNNNNNNNNNNNNNNNNNNNNNNNNNNNNNNNNNNNNNNNNNNNNNNNNNNNNNNNNNNNNNNNNNNNNNNNNNNNNNNNNNNNNNNNNNNNNNNNNNNNNNNNNNNNNNNNNNNNNNNNNNNNNNNNNNNNNNNNNNNNNNNNNNNNNNNNNNNNNNNNNNNNNNNNNNNNNNNNNNNNNNNNNNNNNNNNNNNNNNNNNNNNNNNNNNNNNNNNNNNNNNNNNNNNNNNNNNNNNNNNNNNNNNNNNNNNNNNNNNNNNNNNNNNNNNNNNNNNNNNNNNNNNNNNNNNNNNNNNNNNNNNNNNNNNNNNNNNNNNNNNNNNNNNNNNNNNNNNNNNNNNNNNNNNNNNNNNNNNNNNNNNNNNNNNNNNNNNNNNNNNNNNNNNNNNNNNNNNNNNNNNNNNNNNNNNNNNNNNNNNNNNNNNNNNNNNNNNNNNNNNNNNNNNNNNNNNNNNNNNNNNNNNNNNNNNNNNNNNNNNNNNNNNNNNNNNNNNNNNNNNNNNNNNNNNNNNNNNNNNNNNNNNNNNNNNNNNNNNNNNNNNNNNNNNNNNNNNNNNNNNNNNNNNNNNNNNNNNNNNNNNNNNNNNNNNNNNNNNNNNNNNNNNNNNNNNNNNNNNNNNNNNNNNNNNNNNNNNNNNNNNNNNNNNNNNNNNNNNNNNNNNNNNNNNNNNNNNNNNNNNNNNNNNNNNNNNNNNNNNNNNNNNNNNNNNNNNNNNNNNNNNNNNNNNNNNNNNNNNNNNNNNNNNNNNNNNNNNNNNNNNNNNNNNNNNNNNNNNNNNNNNNNNNNNNNNNNNNNNNNNNNNNNNNNNNNNNNNNNNNNNNNNNNNNNNNNNNNNNNNNNNNNNNNNNNNNNNNNNNNNNNNNNNNNNNNNNNNNNNNNNNNNNNNNNNNNNNNNNNNNNNNNNNNNNNNNNNNNNNNNNNNNNNNNNNNNNNNNNNNNNNNNNNNNNNNNNNNNNNNNNNNNNNNNNNNNNNNNNNNNNNNNNUUAAAGAAUGCUCCUUCUGAAUUUCAAAAAAUUAUGAAUGAUAUUUUUAAUCCCUAUAUGGACUUUAUCAUUGUCUAUAUUGAUGAUAUUUUAGUAUUCUCAAAAACCCUUGAAUCUCAUUUUAAACAUUUGCAUACGUUGUUUAAACAAAUUAUUCAAAAUGGCUUGGUCAUCUCCAAACCAAAGAUAAGUUUAUUCCAGAAAAAUAUUAGAUUUUUAGGACAUAAUAUUUCUCAAGGUUUUGUUGAGCCUAUACAACGAGUUCUAGAAUUUGCUAAAAAAUUUCCUAAUAUUAUUACUGAUAAAAAACAACUUCAAAGGUUCCUCGGUAGUCUUAACUAUAUUUCCCUUUUUUAUUAAAAUCUGUCUAGAGAUUUAGCUCCUUUGUAUGAUAGAUUAAAAAAGGAUCACAAAACUCCUUGGACUCAAAUCCACACUGAUUUAGUAAAAUUAAUUAAGAACCGAGUUCAAACUCUUCCUUGUACAUCUCUUGCAAACCCUAACUGGUUGAAAAUCGUUGAAACUGAUGCUUCUAAUAUUGGGUAUGGCGGAAUAGUUAAAUAAGUUAAUCCCCAUACAAAAACAGAAUGUUUGAUUCGAUUUUAUUCUGGUAAAUGGACUGAAAGUCAGAAAAAAUACNNNNNNNNNNNNNNNNNNNNNNNNNNNNNNNNNNNNNNNNNNNNNNNNNNNNNNNNNNNNNNNNNNNNNNNNNNNNNNNNNNNNNNNNNNNNNNNNNNNNNNNNNNNNNNNNNNNNNNNNNNNNNNNNNNNNNNNNNNNNNNNNNNNNNNNNNNNNNNNNNNNNNNNNNNNNNNNNNNNNNNNNNNNNNNNNNNNNNNNNNNNNNNNNNNNNNNNNNNNNNNNNNNNNNNNNNNNNNNNNNNNNNNNNNNNNNNNNNNNNNNNNNNNNNNNNNNNNNNNNNNNNNNNNNNNNNNNNNNNNNNNNNNNNNNNNNNNNNNNNNNNNNNNNNNNNNNNNNNNNNNNNNNNNNNNNNNNNNNNNNNNNNNNNNNNNNNNNNNNNNNNNNNNNNNNNNNNNNNNNNNNNNNNNNNNNNNNNNNNNNNNNNNNNNNNNNNNNNNNNNNNNNNNNNNNNNNNNNNNNNNNNNNNNNNNNNNNNNNNNNNNNNNNNNNNNNNNNNNNNNNNNNNNNNNNNNNNNNNNNNNNNNNNNNNNNNNNNNNNNNNNNNNNNNNNNNNNNNNNNNNNNNNNNNNNNNNNNNNNNNNNNNNNNNNNNNNNNNNNNNNNNNNNNNNNNNNNNNNNNNNNNNNNNNNNNNNNNNNNNNNNNNNNNNNNNNNNNNNNNNNNNNNNNNNNNNNNNNNNNNNNNNNNNNNNNNNNNNNNNNNNNNNNNNNNNNNNNNNNNNNNNNNNNNNNNNNNNNNNNNNNNNNNNNNNNNNNNNNNNNNNNNNNNNNNNNNNNNNNNNNNNNNNNNNNNNNNNNNNNNNNNNNNNNNNNNNNNNNNNNNNNNNNNNNNNNNNNNNNNNNNNNNNNNNNNNNNNNNNNNNNNNNNNNNNNNNNNNNNNNNNNNNNNNNNNNNNNNNNNNNNNNNNNNNNNNNNNNNNNNNNNNNNNNNNNNNNNNNNNNNNNNNNNNNNNNNNNNNNNNNNNNNNNNNNNNNNNNNNNNNNNNNNNNNNNNNNNNNNNNNNNNNNNNNNNNNNNNNNNNNNNNNNNNNNNNNNNNNNNNNNNNNNNNNNNNNNNNNNNNNNNNNNNNNNNNNNNNNNNNNNNNNNNNNNNNNNNNNNNNNNNNNNNNNNNNNNNNNNNNNNNNNNNNNNNNNNNNNNNNNNNNNNNNNNNNNNNNNNNNNNNNNNNNNNNNNNNNNNNNNNNNNNNNNNNNNNNNNNNNNNNNNNNNNNNNNNNNNNNNNNNNNNNNNNNNNNNNNNNNNNNNNNNNNNNNNNNNNNNNNNNNNNNNNNNNNNNNNNNNNNNNNNNNNNNNNNNNNNNNNNNNNNNNNNNNNNNNNNNNNNNNNNNNNNNNNNNNNNNNNNNNNNNNNNNNNNNNNNNNNNNNNNNNNNNNNNNNNNNNNNNNNNNNNNNNNNNNNNNNNNNNNNNNNNNNNNNNNNNNNNNNNNNNNNNNNNNNNNNNNNNNNNNNNNNNNNNNNNNNNNNNNNNNNNNNNNNNNNNNNNNNNNNNNNNNNNNNNNNNNNNNNNNNNNNNNNNNNNNNNNNNNNNNNNNNNNNNNNNNNNNNNNNNNNNNNNNNNNNNNNNNNNNNNNNNNNNNNNNNNNNNNNNNNNNNNNNNNNNNNNNNNNNNNNNNNNNNNNNNNNNNNNNNNNNNNNNNNNNNNNNNNNNNNNNNNNNNNNNNNNNNNNNNNNNNNNNNNNNNNNNNNNNNNNNNNNNNNNNNNNNNNNNNNNNNNNNNNNNNNNNNNNNNNNNNNNNNNNNNNNNNNNNNNNNNNNNNNNNNNNNNNNNNNNNNNNNNNNNNNNNNNNNNNNNNNNNNNNNNNNNNNNNNNNNNNNNNNNNNNNNNNNNNNNNNNNNNNNNNNNNNNNNNNNNNNNNNNNNNNNNNNNNNNNNNNNNNNNNNNNNNNNNNNNNNNNNNNNNNNNNNNNNNNNNNNNNNNNNNNNNNNNNNNNNNNNNNNNNNNNNNNNNNNNNNNNNNNNNNNNNNNNNNNNNNNNNNNNNNNNNNNNNNNNNNNNNNNNNNNNNNNNNNNNNNNNNNNNNNNNNNNNNNNNNNNNNNNNNNNNNNNNNNNNNNNNNNNNNNNNNNNNNNNNNNNNNNNNNNNNNNNNNNNNNNNNNNNNNNNNNNNNNNNNNNNNNNNNNNNNNNNNNNNNNNNNNNNNNNNNNNNNNNNNNNNNNNNNNNNNNNGCAAGAUUCCCUUUUUUAUUAUUUAUAGACGACUUCGUUCUUGUAAGAGGCAGGAGUUCAGAAGUUCUCUCCUUUUGUUUUCUAAAAACUCUCUCUCUCUCUCUCUCACUCUCUCUCUCUCUUUGUAACAUAUUCAAGAAUUAAAUAAAGAAGAAGCUACUGUUUACUACUAUUUCUGUCUGGUUCUUGGAAAAUCAGGUACAUAUUUCUUUCUUAGUUGUGUAUAUUUAACUAAACUUCUAUCCUACCCAGCCGUGACUAUGUCCGGCUGAAAGAUUUCUUAUAUCUAUGUUGAAGAUCUAACUUUGCUGACAUAUUAACUAUGAAAGCUCCAGACUCUAUCAAAAUAUAAAAGAAUCUUUCUAAUUUCUUGACUUGGCUCCAAAAUGGAGGUACAGUCGAGUUCAAUACACUUAUGUUAGCCUUGUCUCUGUGACUCCAUUUAGUAAGUUGUGCCUCUCUAGCCCAUUGUGUUGUUAAGAAAAGGGCGAAUUCUGCACAAUUAGAACUUCUAGACGCAUAGGUUUAACAUAAAGCUAUUAAAUCUCUGAAAGGCCCCAUGUUUGGGUAAAAUAGCCCAUGCAAUCAUUAAACUAUUUAAGAUUCUUUUCUAUUUCGGUUGGUGCUUUGGUUCGGUCUUCCGACUUUGGCUUAAUCCGAUAUUAUUAUAUGGUCUGGUAGGCUGAGUGGCAUACCCCAGCCUAAGAAGGCUGAGUGGCAUACCCCAGCCUAAGAGAUCCUGUUAAUGGUUAUUAUUAUUAUUAUUAUUAUUAUUAUUAUUAUUAUUAUCAAGGGUAUUUCGGUAAUUUUAGUCAUCCCAACCUUCACUUAUAUAUAAUAGUAAAUAAAAUGAUUACAUAUGCAUAUGGACACAUAUCGAUUCAGAAAUAUUUUUUGCACCAUAAAAUUAUCAAAAUAUCCUUGAUAGUCAUUUAAUAAGAAAUAAAAAGAUAUUUAUAAAAAAUUACUAUCAUGUAUAAUUAAGUAAAGACUUGGUGUACGACAAUUUUGUCUUUUGUGGUACUAUCAAAUCUUUACUUAUAUAUUCAUUCUUUUUUACUACUUUAUUACUACUAUUGUUGUUGUUGUUGUUGUUGUUGUUGUUACUAUUUUAUUACUACUACUAUUGUUGUUGUUGUUGUUGUUGUUGUUGUUGUUGUUGUUGUUACUAUCAAGGGUAUUUCGGUAAUUAUAAUAAUAAUAAUUAUUAUUAUUAUUAUUAUAAUUAUUAUUAUUAUUAUUAUUAUCACUACUAUCAGGGGUAUUUCGGUAACUUUAGUUAUCACAACCUUCACUUAUAUAUAAUAGUAAAUAAAAUGAUCAUACAUGCAUAUAGACAUAUAUUGAUUCUAAAAUACUUAUUGCACCAUAAAAUUAUCAAAAUACUCUUGGUAGUCAUUUAAUAAGGAAUAAAAAGAUAUUUAUAAGAAAUUACUACCAUGUAUAAGUCAAUUACAAAGUCUAAAUAAAAUAUUAUUAAAAUAAUACAUGAGGACAAAACUAAUAAAUAUAACAAAAAAGCAAUAUGCAUGUCUAACUAUUUUAUUGCACCAUAAAAAUGACGAUAAAACUAAUAAAUAUAAGGAAAAAGCAAUACGCAUGUGUAACCAUUUAUUGCAUCAUAAAAUUAUCGAAAUACCCUUGGGGGUAUAAAAAAUAGGUAAUUUAAUAAGGAACAAAAAGAUAUUUAUAAAAAAUUACUACCAUGUAUAAUGCAAUUGCAAAUGUCUAAAUAAAAAUAUUAUCAAGAUAAUAUAUGGGGACAAAACUAAUAAAUAUAACAAAAAAAUAAUAUUCAUGUCUAACCAUUUUACUGCACCAUAGUGGUACUACUAAAUCUUUACCUAUAUAUUCAUUCUUUUUUACUAUUAUUAUUAACUAUUGUUGUUGUUCUUAUUAUUAUUCUUAUUAUUAUUUUUAUUAUUAUUCUUAUUAUUCUUAUUAUUCUUAUUAUUAUUAUUAUUAUUAUUAUUAUUAUUAUUAUUAUUAUUAUUAUUACUAUUACUACUACUAUCAAGGGUAUUUCGAUAAUUUUAGUCAUUCCAACCUUCACUUAUAUAUAAUAGUAAAUAAAAUGAUUGCACAUGCAUAUGGAUAUAUAUCGAUUCCGAAAUACUUAUUGCACCAUAAAAUUAUCAAAAUACCCUUGGUAGUCAUUUAAUAAGGAAUAAAAAGAUAUUUAUAAAAAAUUACUACCAUGUAUAAUUCAAUUACAAAGGUCUAAAUAAAAUAUUAUUAAAAUAAUACACGAGGACAAAACUAAUAAAUAUAACAAAAAAGCACUAUGCAUGUCUAACUAUUUUAUUGCUCCAUCAAAAUGAUGACAAAACUAAUAAAUAUAAGGAAAAAGCAAAACGCAUGUGUAACCAUUUAUUGCAUCAUAAAAUUACCGAAAUACCCUUGGGGUACAAAAAACAGGUAAUUUAAUAAGGAACAAAAAGAUAUUUAUAAAAAAUUACUACCAUGUAUAAUUCAAUUACAAAUCUCCAAAUAAAAAUAUUAUCAAGAUAAUACAUGAGGACAAGACUAAUAAAUAUAACAAAAAAAAAUAAUAUGCAUGUCUAACCAUUUUAUUGCACCAUAAAAAUGAGGACAAAACUACUAAUUUGUCUAUUGUGGUACUACCAAACUUUUACUUAUAUAUUCAAAUUUUUUUUCUACUGCUACUAUACUUCUACUACUACUACUACUACUAUUAUUAUUAUUAUUGAUAUUACUUUAUUACUACUAUCAAGAGUAUUUCGGUAAUUUUAGUCACUCAACUGUCACUUCUAUAUAGUAGUAAAUAAAAUGGUUAUAUAUGUAUAUGGACAUACAUCGAUUUCGAAAUAUUUAUUGCACCAUAAAAUUAUCAAAUUAUCCUUGGUAGUUAUUUAAUAAGGAACCAAAAAAUAUUUAUAAAAAAUUACUACUAUGUAUAAUUCAAUUACAAAGGUCUAAAUAAAAUUACUAUUAAAAUAAUAUAUGAGGGCAAAACUAAUAAAUAUAAGAAAAAAGAAAUAUGCAUGUGUAACCAUUUUAUUGAACCAUAAAAAUGAUGAAAAAACUAAUAAAUAUAAGAAAAAAUCAAUAUGCAUGUGUAACCAUUUCAUUGCACCAUAAAUUAUAGAAAUAUCUUUGGGGAAUAAAAAAUAGGUAAUUUAAUAAAGAACAAAAGAUAUUUAUAAAAAAUUACUAUCAUGUAUAAUUCAAUUACAAAGGACUAAAUAAAAAUAUUAUUAAAACAAUACAUGAAGACAAAACUAAUAAAUAUAACAAAAAAAAAAAUGCAUGUCUAAUUAUUUUAUUGCACCAUAAAAAUGAGGACAAAACUAAUAAAUAUAAGGAAAAACAAUAUGCAUGUGUAACCAUUUUAUUGCAUCAUAAAAUUACCGAAAUAUCCUUGAUAAUCAUUUAAUAAGAAACAAAAAGAUAUUUAUAAAAAAAAUACUACCAUUAUAAUUCAAAUACAAAGGUCUAAAUAAAAAUAUUAUUAAAAUAAUACAUGAGGACAAAACUAAUAAAUAUAAGAAAAACCAAUAUGCAUGUGUAACCAUUUUAUUGCACCAUAACAAUAGGGAUAAAACUAUUAAAUUACUAUUACUACUAUAUAUAAGUGAAGGUUCGGGUGACUAUCAAAGGUAUUUCGAUAAGUUUAGUCAUCCCAACAUUUACUUACAUAUAAUAGUAAAUAAAAUAGUUACACAUGCAUAUAGUUUUUCUCUUAUAUUUAUUAGUUUAGUCCUUAUUUUUAUGGUGCAAUAAAAUGGUUCCACAUGCAUAUUGCUUUUUACUUUACUACUAUAUAUAAGUGAAGGUUGGAGUGACUACCAAGGAUAUUUCAGUGAUUUUAAUCACCACAACUUCACUUAUAUGUAGUAGUAAAUAAAAUGAUUACUCUUUUAUUUUACUCCUAUACUAAACAAUUAAAACAAGUAGGAAGUAAUCUUCCUAAAAUUGGAUCUCUUUUGCACAUUACUGUUACCAAAAUGCCCGUGCCUUGCACGGACACGGGUAUCUAGUAUAUUAACUAAAUAAAAUUUCACACUUGGUCAAAUAAAAUAAAUCUACCAUUUAAUUUAAAAGAAAAUGUAUUAAUAUACUUUUAAGUUUUAAAAUUAUAUAAAUCCUUCACUUGAGUUAACAUCCAGAUAAUUUUAAAUGACACUGAAUAUAAUUAUAAAUUUAUUUUGACUAGUAAAUAUUUAAUGAAUAACCAUUAUAAAAAUCAAACUUUCAACAUGUAUUAUAAGUAAAUCAAAUCUAAAAUUUAACUUGAAUUAAAAAAUAUUUUUUUGACUUGCUUACUGCAAUAAGAGAAAAAACACUCACAUUAUGAUUAAUUAGCUUUUGGAAAUGCAUUCAAUUAAAAAGUUGAACCUUAACUUGAUAAUUAAAAUAUUAUUUUUAAGUGUAAAAAUUGAAAUUGUUAACUAUAAGGACUUAUAUAUGCCCUUUAGUUCUACAUCAACAACGCAAAAAGUGUAGAUAAAAUUUUUGAUAUUUUUCAUCUAUAAAAUAUGAUACGAUAAACUAACAUACCAAAUUUAUAUUUCAAGCCCAACAGUACCAUUCAAUAUCAUAGGAAAAAUAAAUACAUCUUAACUUAUCAUAUUUACAUAAAUUUCCACCCUCACAAAGUAAUUAUAAAAAUCUCAACUAAUUAUGUAUCUUUGUUGAAUGUAUCGGGGAGUUAAUUAUGUAUCUUAACAGAUCGAAAAUCUGAAAAAAUAUGUCAAGGGCUAAUAUGUAUCCUCUUAUUAGUAACAUACAUUAUUAUUUUUUCCCUCAUGAAUAAUCAAGUGUGACAUUUUUGUAACAUGGAUUAAUAAUUUAAUUUUGAAUUAGCUCGACACAAAUUUUUUUCCCGGAUACGUUUGGUAUUCGUGAGUAACUGAUUAUUAUCUUAUACUAGAAGCGAGAAGAGAACGAUCAUCGUAUCUCAUGUAUAACAGUUUUAAGUAUUUUUUAAAAACUUAAUGUACUAAUGGGCCAAAUUCUGCUAAGAAGUUUUCAGCUUAGGAGAAGCCCAAUAGCUACAUAUUGAACUCUUUAAACCUAUACAAUAAAGGAAAAAAUGCAUAAAGUAUCAAACUUAAGCAUGAAAUUACAAAAAAUAACAACAAUUUUAUUAAAUUACAUUUUGUAACAUUCAUAUCAUUAUUUUAUGUGGUCUCCACUUUUUACCCAUUUGAAGAAGUUACUGUUAGUUUCCCUAUUUUCAUGCCAUUAGCCUUCUCUUUCAUUAUUUUGAAAGAUUUUUUUCCGUUUUUUUCGCCCUAAACAAUAUCUUUCCGCUUCAAUUUUUUUCACUUUGCACGCUUUUAGCAUCAUCAGUAAAGAUUAUCUUCAUCUAUUUCAGGUAACUCUUAAUUUAACCACUGCAUGUUAGCAUUUUUUUUUUUUGGGGUAAAUUUCAGAAUUAGCAUACUCUAAUAAAUCUCAAAAUCAGAAUUUAAGGUUUUUGAUUUUAAUGGCGGAACAAACACCAAAAUUAUGAACAUAUAGUGGUAUAAGUAAUUCGAAUUUGGUCUAUGAUUGUGGACCAUCUUUUAGUCUUGGAUUAACUCAAGAAGAUGUAGUUAAAGUUGUUUCAAAUUCUUUACAGUCGAAGAAAUCUGACAAAACCGGAGGAGAUUAGGUCGAAGUUUCGCAACAAUCCGCUGAAGAUGAAAAAGAUUUUGAAAAAAAAAAUGUUGAAGAAAUCGCCUUCUCAGAAGGAAAAAAAAUCAAAAAAAUCCAGAAGAAAAGGUAAGCGAAAGAAAUUGAAGGUUUGACAUUGGUUGAUGAGGAUGUUCAGAUCUCUUUUGAUGAUGAUUCUGAAGAUGUUAGCGAGGAAGAGGUAUUUUUUUGUUCUAAAUGUAUUUUUGAGUGAAAUGUAUUUUUGCCCUAAGUAAAGAUGUUAAAGUUGUAAGUUAUAUGUAUUUUUUUUAUGUAAUUAAUAUGUAUUUUGAUGCUAUGAUGAUAUUUACUGAUUAAAUGAUGAUUUGUGAAGAUGAUAUAUGUAUUGAUGAGGAUGUUCAGAUAUCUGUUGGAUAUAUGUAUUUUUAGUAUAUAUGAUAUGUAUUUUUCAGUGUUGGUUUCAGUUUUGAUAUUAUAAAAAUACAUAUGCAUGUUAGUUUAAGCUUAAAUACCAGAACUGUCUAUUGACUAGAUGUAUUUUUAGUAUAUUUGAUAUGUAUUUUUCAGUGUUUGUUGCAAUUUUGGUAUGAUAAAAAUACAUAUGCCCGUUAUAUGUUUUUGAUUUUUAUUGGAUGAUUGAUUUGUUGGUUGCAUGUUAUAUGAUUCUUUUUAUAGGUGAUGCGGGAUGAAAUAUUCAUUGUCAAAAAACUUCCAAGAUUUACACCACACGUGUUCUUCCAGUGACAAAGAUAUUUAUGGAAGCAUACGCACAAUUUUAAACAAGGAACGGUUUAAAAACUUUUGCGAGAAAAACAUUUUUGGUUAUUUUAUGAAGAAGCAGCAAUGUGUAGUGCAAACACAAUUGUGCAGAUGCGUUAUGACGCUUGAGGUGAAAGGUAGUUCUUCUUCUGAGAUUUUGAUUUGUACUAAUGGGACCUUUCUUAAUUUUACUCCCAGGGAAUUUGCUAUCAUAACUGGAUUGAACUGUGUGUCAAAUAUGUAUGACUUUAUUUUUGACGAGGGUGUACCAAAUAGGAUGGUUGAGAAGUAUUUCAAUGGGGCAGAAAUUAUACAGAAAAUACAACUAUUUCUAGCAUUCAUGGAGAGAGUAUGGGGGAGAACAAUGAUGCAGAUGCUGAGAAAUUUGCAAUCCUGUACUUCCUGCAUUCAUUUGUCUUAUCUAAUGUUGAAACUGUGGUAAUACCCCGUCUUAAUUUCGAUUUGGCCGAUAGUGGAAGAUAUAAGGGUUUUUCAUGGGGUUCUUUAUCUUUUGAAGAUUUGGCCAAAAGUUUGAACAACCGGUUGAAAGCUGGUGGUCAAUUUUAUUUGAUUCAGGGAAUGCCACUGGCUAUUCAAGUAUGGCUUUACGAGUAUUAUUCAAAUGUCCCAUCAAAGAUUGCACUGAAGGUUGAUAAUCGGAUUCCCCAAUUAUUAAAUUGGAAGACGAUUUCACCUCGUCCACACUUUGAGUUUGUAAUGAAUGCUAUGUUUAAUGGCAAUGGCAAGGUUUGUUCUUAAUAAAUACAUAUGUAUUAAUAUGUAUUUUUCAGUAUAAAUAUAUGUAUUUUCAUUUACAAUUGUUUAACUGAUUCUUUAACAUUUAUUAUUUACCUAUUAUUCUAGGUUGUCUUUAAGAACAUAGAGCCAACGAAAAAGGAGCUGUCAAAAUUGCAAAUACCACAGAAAGAUGCAACACAACAUGAACGUUCUGUUGAUUUUGAUGACGACUUCCAGGAUCCACCACUAAGAAAGAGCAACGAACAUUCAAAGAAGAAACAGAAGGUUGAUUCCUCAACACCAGUAGUGAAGAAACCUUUAAGGAAAAAGCAAGUAGAUAGUUUUGAAGAGCAUACCCAAAUGAGGACACCAGCUCCUCGUGCCGCAAAGGCUAAUGGAAUGAAGACACCAAUUUUCAAGCCAAUUUCAAUACGGCAGACAUCUUCAAAAACGGCGAAAGAAAAGCAAACAGCUCAGGUUAUUUUUCCUCAGGUACACUCAAAGCCAGAUAUUCAUGUAGAGGAAGUAACUGUGUCAAAGCCUGAGAGUCAUGUUGACAAACAAGCCUUUAUUUCUAAGAAAGAUUUUGAUGCAUUCCACGAUGAGGUACUUUUUUUUUGGAAUAAAUUUUGUUUUUCAUGAAAAAAAUUUUGUAUAUAGAUUUUUUAUCAAAACAGGUUCAUCGCAAAUUUAAAGGAAUUCGUGGUCUAAUGAGAAAAAAAUUGAAAAAGUUGAAGAAAGCAUUUGCUCAAAGCAAGGUAAAUUUUUUCUUUGAAAAUCUUAGUUGAUUUGAAUAUAUAUACUUAUUGGAUUGCCUUAUACAAAUACUACACAUUUUGUAAAAUAACUCGUUAUGUUAUUGGACACAAUUUUUUCAGGAGUAGGUUGAAGAUAUUGAGGCUGAUAAAGCAGCAAAUGUUGAUGAGGGAGGGUUAGAGCAAUCUGGACAAUAUUUCAAUCCUAAUGUUGUUCAAUCUCCGGAUAAUAUUUUUAACGGUACAAAGGUAAAUAUUAAAGUUUCAAAUACAUAUUUAUUUGUACUUUUGAAUUUUAUAUUCAAAAUAUAGCUGAGGUUAAUAGACUGUCAAAUUUGCAAUAGAAUUGAAGAUUGACUUAGUAACAGUAAAUAUUAUUUGGUUCAUUAAAAACACUAUAACAUGCGACACAGUGUGUUUUUAGUUUUAUUCAUAUGUAUUUUUAACACUGCAUAUGUAUUUUUUAAAACUACAUAUGUAUUUUUAGUUUUAUUCAUAUGUAUUAUUUAACAAUGCAUAUGUAUUUUAACAAUGGAUGAUUAUUUUGUUAUAUUCUAUAAUAUGUUUUUUUGAGUUUGAUGUUAUAUAUAAAUAUGUAUAUUCAAUUUUUAAAAAAAAAACUGACUCAAGUAUUAAUAGAUUAUUUUAAUUUGUAUAUGUAUUUGUAGCAACAACAUGCAGAUAAAGAUCCUGAAGUCCAGAAUAUGGAUUAUGUUGUUACUGAAAAAUCACCGCAACAAUUAAGUUUGGAGGUUGAUCAGGAAUUGGAGGCAAAUUUGCUUGAUAAAAAAGUAAAUAAUUAAGUUUCAUAUAUAUAUUCAUUUGAAUUCACAUAUAUAAAUAGAUACAAGUACAUGUUUGUUUGAUGUUUUGAUUUUUAUACUUGUUUUCAAGGGGUGCACUAUUUUGCGUUAUGAAAAAAUGAAUGUUGAAAUUGAUUCUCAACAAUUAAUUCCUGAUGAGCUUCUCCAAAAUAUAAAUUUGGAUUACUUACAUUCUGAGAAGGUUGUUCAACAUGAUUGUCAAGUAUGUAUAGUGAUGUUAACUUUAUCUUCAUGUCAUGUAAUAAUCAAUAGGACAAUUAAAUUAUUUCUUUCAUUUUUUGGCAGACCAGCGAUGAGAAAAUUGAUGAAACAAUUUUGUCUGAUUCGCAAUUCAUAAUCCCUGAUGUUACCUAGCCUAAAUGUGUAUCAAAUACAAAGCAUCAUCAUACAUCCAUCGGCAAACCGUCAAGAAGAAUCUCAUCAUGAAAUUUUGGAUGCAACAACUUCUAAGACUGUUAUUGAAGAUCAUGAUCAAGUAUGUAUCUAACUAUUAUAUAUUUUGAGUUUAUUUAAGUUCAAUUUGAUGGAAAAAAUGUAAUAUUCUUUUUUCAAUCUUUUUGUUAGAUCAACAGAGGAAUCACUAAUUCAGAGGUAGAACUUGUUAGAACUUGCUCCUCGGUAUCAAGUUAGAACACCUCCUAAUACACAAGAAGUAACCAAUGAUGAACAGAAGGAUGAAAAAUUGUGGCCUGAUUCACAAAACACAAUCCCGGAUGAAUUUCUACCUAGCUUGAAUGUCUACAAUAAAAAAAGCAUCAUUAUUCAUCCAUUCGCUAAUCGUGAAGUAAGAACUCCAAGACCAAAGUUAAGGAUUAGGCGACCAUCAAAAUUUAAGGAAUCGCCAUACACCAAAAAAUUUGGUUCAGCUACUGGUAAGUACAAUAAGAUAUAUAUAAUUUUUUAUGUAAUAUGUAUUGCAAAUACGUUUGUAUUUAUUAAGUUUUUAUAUUCUACAAUUAUAUAGGGAGCUCAGCAGGGGUAAUACGCAUAUUCCCCCAGAAACAACAAUUUUUAUAUCACCUGAUUGAUGGGAUAAAAGAUUGAAAGAUUGUGAAGAACUUCACGGACUGAAUUUCUACGGACCUAUUAAAAGCUACUGCUAAGAGGUUGUUCUUUUGAAUAGUGACAAAUUAUCUUUUUGUAUCAAUACAUGUUUUCAUGGUCUACCAAAUACUUAAAAUACACAGGAAAGGAAAAGUGGAUCAUUACAAGAGGGGAAAAUCAAAAAUUUCAAAGAUGUAUUUUGGUGUUGAGACUGUGGAAGACAAAAACUGGUUCUAUACGAUGGGAUUUGCAGAUCAGACAUGGACAGACUAGGUUAAUAUAUUAUUUUGAAAUGAAAUUUUUUUCAUUUCGUCUGUAACAAUACUUAAAAAUACAUAUUAGGUUACAUUGAAAUACAUUUGGUUUAACGUGUAUGUAUUUUUAAGAAUUCAAAGUAUGAUAUAGUAUAAUACAUCAAAUACUAUUGCAUAUACUAUGCAGAUAACAUUGUCUGCAUGUAACUGAACUUUAAGAAUGCAAUUUUUGAUACACAAGUCAUCUAUAUUAAUAUAAAAAAUUGCGUAUGUAUUUUUUACUUGCAUAGACUGUAAUAUUUAGAAUACAAUUUUUUUGAAUGCUCUAAAGUUUGUCGUAUUCACUAAUGCAGCAUAUUGAUGUCUGCUUUUACUGCUUGAGGAAGAAGUCGAAGUAUGGGCCGCACAGUUCGUACAAAAAUGAGCCAAACAAAUCAUACAAAUACAGUACAGUUGACUGCAACUGUAUGAACGUAAUUAGAUCGUUGAAUGAUGUAUAUUCUAUGGAUGCUCAAAAUCUUAAAGAUGGAGGUCAGGAGCACCAUCUUAUGGAAUACAUCAAUGAUUUCCGUAUGCAUACCGCAGUACCAUGGCAUACAGUCGAAGAAAUUUUUAUUCCGGUCAAUAUAAAGGAAAAACAUCACUGGGUUCUCGCAAUUUUAUUAUUUUCAGAGAGGUGUAUAUUCUUGUAUGAUUCAUAUGAAUCCAGUGGUCAUUAUGCGGCUGUUCUUGCUGAGAUCGAGAAAAUAGCAAAGAUUAUUCCAUUGUGUCUCCAAGCAUGUGAUUUCUAUGUUAAGGAAGGGAUUGAUCAUCAAAGACAUCCAAGAUACAAAGACAAAGAAUCCUCAUAUAUGUUUGAUGUUUUAUUUCAAGAUGAUUUGCCUCAACAACCCAGUGAAAGCUUGUAAGUUUUGAAAUUACAUAUACCAAAACUGUAUCUUUGUACAAAAUAUAUUUCACCAUUUAAUCAAAUUUAUUUAUUUUUGUAGGGACUAUGGUGUGUUUAUGGUUAUGUAUGCAGAGUGGCUUUCUUAUGGUCACAAAGUUAUUGCGUCUGAGUUCGACCCCAACGCACUCCGUACAAGAUAUGCUGCACUUUUAUGGGAUUAUGGGAUCCGAAAAUAAGAAGCAAAUGCCAUUAGUGAUGUCGAAGCACCCGUGAGGCCUGUAAGGUAAAGUAGAAUAACUAGUGUCACUGAAGUUGUUGAUGUAUGAUAGUUUAUUGAUUUUUGACUUUUUGUACUUUAAAAACUAGUUUAUGGAUGUAGGUUUUGAUUGUACAGACUAAUUAUAUGUUUUGAAUUUGUUCAUAUUUCAUGAAAUUCUACCUUUUACGGUGAGACAAAAAAUACUUGCGUAGUUUUUAUAUUACAUUUACAAAUACAUAUAUCGUAUAAAAAUACAUAUGCAGUGUUAAAAUCAAAUAUUGCAAAAAUACAUAUGAAUCAUUCCUAAUAUGCAUUUUAGUAUGUUGUUUUUGUUCUCUAAAGUUUUUCACCACAUUCCUAUAUUAUUAAAUACAACAUGUAGUGUUAGAUUUAAGGAGUUCAAUAUUUUACUGUGAGAUUUAGUUGAAAAAAAUACAUAUGUAGUUUUCAUAUUAUCCUUAAAAAUACAAAUGUAGUAUAAAUCAAUUGUUUUUCAAUAAAAAAAUACAUAUGAAAUAUUAAAAGCAAACACUUAAAAAAUACAACUGCAACAUACCUAAUAUGCAUUUUUACUAUAUUUUCAUUAACUAUAAUUAUAAAUUAGGAUUUAAAUUAAAGUGUAAUUUGACAUUUUAAUUCAGUUNNNNNNNNNNNNNNNNNNNNNNNNNNNNNNNNNNNNNNNNNNNNNNNNNNNNNNNNNNNNNNNNNNNNNNNNNNNNNNNNNNNNNNNNNNNNNNNNNNNNNNNNNNNNNNNNNNNNNNNNNNNNNNNNNNNNNNNNNNNNNNNNNNNNAAAAAAUACAUUUGUAUUAUACAUCAAAUGUAUUUUUACAGUAUAAAUUCAUAUGCAGUAAUAAUAUUAUGCAAUUCAAACAUAUAUUUAUAUGUCACAUAUAUUUAAAACAGUGAACAAUUACGAAUCAUAUACUUGUUUUGUGAAUCAAAGUUACCACCUUUAACCUAACAUAUAUUUACUAUGUCAAAAAUACAUAUGAACUGCUGCUUAAAAAUACAUAUGUAAUGUACAGAUUUUGAAACAUAUAUAGCUCUAUUAUUCAGAUAUUACUGUCUUCAAUUGUCAAAUGAUUCAUAAAUGCAUUAACUAGACUGAAUUAGUUCAUCAUUAUAAAAAAAGAAAAAAAAAAUAAGAAACAAUACAAAAAAAGAAAUGUAUCAUUUAUAUUUCCUACAAGAGUGCCUAUUGUGACCCUUAACCCCACAACCACCACAUGAGUAGAUAUUCUUCUUUCCAAACAUAUCCCGGCCUGAUUUUCCACGAUCCUUCUUUGCAGGUCUUCCUGGAGGUCUUUUGUAUUUUAGAGGCAGUACUAUUUCAGCAAGUGUGGUCUCUGGAAUUAUCCAGUCAUCGCUGUGUGGCAACGGGUACAUUGGAACAUCAUAUGUCUUCAAAACUGUUUUUAGUUUAAACAAAUCAGAACAGUAUGGCCCCUUCUCAAAAUUCUUUUUCUCUAACACCGCACAAGCAUGUGCACAUGGUAUCUCAUCUAUUUGAAAAGUAUUACAUGAGCAUUUAUUUUCUUUGAUGCAAACAAUGAAGUGCUUUUGUUUGUCGUGUACCGUAUAUACAUACUUUGUGGCUGAUACAACCUGACAUAAAAAUAAAAAAAUAUUUAUGUAAUAAAAAUACAUAUGCAGAGUACAUUUUUACAGAGCAGCCAAAUACAUAUGUAGUUGUUAGUAAUUUUCAAUACAACAAUAUACAUAUGCAAAAUACAUAUUAUGUAUUUUAAAUGUUCAUACAUUUUAUGUUUUAUAUCUUUUCAUUUAUUUACAACUGCAUGGAAAGUAUUUUCACAUUGAUACUUUAUGCAUUUUAUCCUUUCAUAUUUAUGUUUUCAAAAUUAAAAUUUCCACAAAUCAAAAAGGUCAUACCGUCAUACGGGUACACAAAGCCUCGUUCUCACUGAAUAUGUCAUUAAAAUUUCCAAUGAUUGUUAUGAAGGUAUAUGAAGCCUCCUUCCUAUUUGCACAAUUCCAUUUUGCAAACAGUAAUCGAACUUUCUCAAGAAAGUCAUAAAUUGGCAAUUCUCUAGCUGAUACAAGCACUCCAUUUAUUGACUCUGCAAUGUUUGAAGUCAAAGUCCAUCCUCUGUGAACUUUUGCAUGCGACCUAGCCCACUUUUCAUAACCGGCCAAUUCCAAACAUAUCUUCACUCUCAUAUCAGCUGCCUCAACUCUUUUCAUUAACAUGUGAAAUUCUGACUUUGAAUAUGAUUUGACCAUUGUAUAAAAUAUCUCCGACAAUGCAUCGUGUGACUUUCUGUAAAGUUUUUUCACAUUACCCCAUAGAUGCCAAAUACAUGCAUAAUGUGGAACAUCUUCAUACACAUCACCAACAGCCUUUAUAAUGCUUGGAUUCCUAUCAGACACAACACACAUGUUUUGCCUAACCCCGUACGCUUCCUUUAGAUUCUCGAAGAACCACAUCCAAGAUGCAUCAUUUUCAGAAUCAAGAACACCAUAUGCCAAAGGAAAUAUAUGACCUGUAUACAUAAUUCAUAAUUUUCAGAAUCAAGCACAACAUAUGCCAAAGAAAAUAUAUAACCUGCACAUAUAAAAAAAAAAUCUGCGCAGGCCGAUUUAAAUACAGUUAGGAACUGCAUAUGUAUUUAUUACAAUAUAGUUCAAUUAAAAUAUGUAUUUUAUCUACCAGAAAUUGUAUCAAUUACAUAUAAUAAAAUUUACAUCAACCUCACUAUCAAACAUAAUCAAUUUUACAUGUUUCAUUCAGAAAACUUUGAACAUAUAUCUAAUUAUAUACACAUAUGUAUAAAUGAGUUGGAUAUAUGUACUUUUCAACUCUACAGCAGAAAGCCAAAAAAAAUACAAGCGGUUAUAGUAAUUAAGUGCUACUAACCUGCUCCAUCUGUUGUACAUGUUGUUACAAAUGCCCCAGUAUACAUUCCUGUCAGAUGACUAGCAUCAACAACUACGACUGAUCUACAAUGAUCGAAUCCUUUAAUGAAUGCAUGUAGAGCGAUAAAUACAUACAAGAACGCAUUAUCAUCUGUCUUCUUCAUUCUUAUAUGUGAAUCCGGAUAGGUAGUAUUCAGAACAUAUAAGUAUAAUGGCAGUUUCCCAUAAGAUGUUGAUAGCUUACCCCUCAAUUCUUCUAACGCUCUUUCCUUUGACCUCCAACAUAAAGUGUAUGUCAAAUCCAUACCAAAAUCCUCCUUCAUGUCAUUUUUUAUUUUCGUCGCACUGUAUUUUCUUUUGUGGUUUUUGAAUUUCUGUUUAACCAUACCAGCUAUCAACAUACUAGUUGCAUGCACCUUUGGAUAGAUAUUGUCCUUCACCGGGCAUGUAUGUUGAGGUCUGAAUUCUCUUAUUCUAAACAUUCUUGUUUCUCCUAUUCCUGAUGCAUGCAUUAAAAACUCACAGUUUCUUGAUUUGCAAAACAAUGUAUACCUGCACGCAACAUAAUUUAUUACACUAAAAUUCAUAUCCAAACUAAUAUUAAACAAGAUCUGAGAGAUAUAGAAUGUACAUACGUUUUCUUACUUGGCCUUUUACUGCGCGUUUGAAACUUCUCCCUAAUUGAAUAGUCCUUCAUGACUGACUUUAAAAUUAUUUUUCUCAAGUAAACCUGGUCUUCCUCAACAUGCUUAUGAUGUGGGUCUGAGAUAAUCACCUCAACAGGAUCCAUCNNNNNNNNNNNNNNNNNNNNNNNNNNNNNNNNNNNNNNNNNNNNNNNNNNNNNNNNNNNNNNNNNNNNNNNNNNNNNNNNNNNNNNNNNNNNNNNNNNNNNNNNNNNNNNNNNNNNNNNNNNNNNNNNNNNNNNNNNNNNNNNNNNNNNNNNNNNUUACAUAUAAAGGAAGACAAUUCAUGUCUUGUAUCAGCUUUUUCUGCAAUAUAAACACUUUUAAAUCCAUAUCGUUAUGUAUUUCUAUCUGCCCUGCGUUAGGAGUGAUUUGAUAUUCCACUAGAAUACGUUUGAUGGUUAAAUCCACACUUAAGUGAGAUGCCAAAACAUCGUGCAGCUCAACGAAUGUGGCUGAUGUGCUCAACAAUAUAGCAUCAGUGACAUAUUCUUCAAAGUUCUUUUCGUACGUCCAUCGACUAGAGUGCUUCACAAGGACUGGUAUGCUUCCCAUUUCUAAAAUACAAAAUACACAAACUAUUUGAUCAAACGGAAGUAAAACAGGCACCAAACAUAUUAUCACAUAUACACUUAUACUCUCAAAUUCCCACAAGCAAAACAAAAAUACAUAUGCAGUGUUUACAUAUAUCGCAUAUAAAAUACAUAUGCAGUGUUAAAACUAAGCAUAUCAAAACAAUACAUCUGGAGCAUAACUAAUUUGUAAUUUGAUAUGUUACAUACAAAUUUGUCAAUUAUCUCUUCUUAUAACACGCACUUUUCAGAUUUACGUGCAAACAAAGAUACACAACCAACAUCUCAAUUAAAAAAAUACAUACACACAAGAUUACCUUAAACUAAAAUAUUUUUGCAAAUAUACAUUUAUAUAUCAAAAUACCUACAACAAAACAAAAAAUACACAUGCACCAUUACCAUUAACAAUAUCAAAAAUACGUAUGCAGUAUUAUCAUUAAACACAUCAAAAAUACAUAUGGACGAAGAUAUUUUAUACUUUUAUCUGGGUUCACAGAAUAUCGUCAACUUCAACAGAAACAUUUGUUCAAUCAAUUAUCUAGUAUUUCAAAAAAAAANNNNNNNNNNNNNNNNNNNNNNNNNNNNNNNNNNNNNNNNNNNNNNNNNNNNNNNNNNNNNNNNNNNNNNNNNNNNNNNNNNNNNNNNNNNNNNNNNNNNNNNNNNNNNNUGAACUGAAUAGCAAUAAUGGUUAUGUACCUUGAACAGCAGUAAUGGUUGAAUUUUCAACUGACAGUUGAAUUCAAACAAAUAUAAUAGAUGAAUCAACAAUUGAAUUUGAUUCAAACGAAUAACUGCUUCGUUUUGCAAUUGCUGUUAAUUUCGCAUAAGAAUCAGUUCAAUUUGAUUAAGCAAUACAGGGUUGGUUUAGAAAAAAUUGAAAAAAAAAAUAUGCAGCUGUUAAUGGUGAAAAACUGAAAUUUGAAUUAUUUGAUUAUAACGGAUGUCACGUUUUUUAAGUGUUUUAAAUGCAAAAGGAAUCAACAUGUUUACUUGAUUGGUAAUUAUACCAUAUAUAGCUCAACUAAUUUCAGUUAAUUAAGUGCAGUAAUUUUUUUGUAGAUGUAUUUUUACAGCAACAUCUUUUAAAAAUCCAAAAUAAAAGUUGCUAUAAAAUGUAAUUAUGAAACUGUUGCUAUAAAAGUAGUAAUUAGGCUCUUAAGUAUGCUACUUGUGAAUUUUACCCUACAAUAAAUGUGACACCUAAGCCUAUCUUACUCUUACAUAUUUCAAUAAUAUUAUUAAUCUUAUAUACACCCGAUGUAUACACAAAACACGGUUAAAGUAACUCUAGUAACAACAUUGUCGCAAACCAAUGUGAGUUCCCAUCAAAAUGUAUCCUACCACAAUCAUAGUAGAAUUAAUUGAAUAGGCUAUAAACCAAAGAAUUCGUGUUUUAUUUGAAUAAUCUAUAUUCCAAUAAGUCAUAGAUUGUUAGAGAAAUGACACAUUUACUUAAUAGGCGUUUCGCCAUGAGAAUUCUUUCACUUUUUUCGAAAAAUUCUUUAACUUUAGUAAAAAAGUGAAAAUAGUAGUGUUUCGUGAUAAGAAUUAUUUUCCUCCGCUAUUUCUCACACAAAAUUUCAAAACAACUCCACUUUAUAUUCAUGGACAAACACAAUACCAACUCCAACUCAGAAAAAAUAUUAUUUUCAUGCCUAAACGUGGCCUUAAUCACAAUCUGCAACAGUAGUUCUACCAAUAGAUUCAUUUACAGUGAUCAAAUUUGCCACUUCCAUAAACAAAAUUCACAAAUAUAAAUUGGGUUGUGCUUCAUCUAUAUGGCCCUAAUCAUAAUAAGCCCAAAAAUGAAAGGAAAAGUGCACAACUAACCGAUUUGGACUAUCAUUUAAAUCAUAGCCAUUGUACAUAAUUUUUUUUUUUGUAAAUUUAGCCGCUUCAAAACCAAAUAAGGCAUAUGUGAUCAAAGUUGCAAAAGUUCAAGUCUGAACGAACGACAAAGUUCUAACAUUUUUACAUAAAAUUUGGCUUGUCACGAUCAAACUCUUGAUAUUUGAUUUGCAAAGGCCCAACUACCAACAUUUAUAUCUGAAGUUUGGUUGGUUAAGACGAUUGGUGUUAUAGCGACUAACACAAUAAUGAUGGUGGUGAUUAUGAUAAUCAAUUGAUUUGAUGUUAGUAGUUGAUGGUUUGAUGGUGGUUGUCGCUGAAAAAUGUGUGGUGGUUCACGAUGAGUGUUGGUGGAGGUAGUAGAUAUUAGGAAUUGGCUUCAGUAACGAUAGUAACGAUAGUGACUGAUAGUAAUAACAAGUUGGUGACACAGUGUGAUAGCAUAAAUAAUUAUAAUAAUUGAUAUGUAAACAUGAUAGCAUAAGGAGUCGUUUGGAUAGGAAAGAGUUAUUAUCUCGGGAUAUCCCAGGAAUAAUUAUCUCACCAUGUAUAUGGGAUAAGUGGGAUAACUUAUCCUAUCACUAUGAUAUAAAUGGUGGGAUAAAUAAUCUCGAGACUAACUAAUACCUCCAACCAAACAUGGAAUAAAAUAAUCCCACAUUUUAUUCCGAGAACAUUGACCAACUUAAAGGGUCAAACAUAAUUAGAAAACUUGAUUAAGUUAAUUGUGGACUUGAUAAAUAUUUUCAAAACUUUCUAAUAUUUUUAAAAAUACAAAUAAACCCACACCUCUCUCCUUUCCAAAUCAACCGUCUCUUUCCUCUCUCUCGAGACAGUCUCUCUCGACUCUCUCCCAAUUAACAGUUCUGCAAAAUUACUCCAUUUAAUCCUCGACGGUUUCAAGCUCUGGCGACAAAUAGUUGGGCGGUUUCUUUUCAACUUUCAAUCAUCAAUCGACAUGACAAGUAGUGUUCUCUGGUGACAACAACGUUGAGUUCUUCGUCGUCCCAUUUCUUCUUUCACAGGUAAAAAAUUAUGUAUUUUUUAGUUAUGAAGAAAAAAAGGAACUUGAGUCAACUCCUCUUCUAGUAUUGAUUAACAAUUUCAAUAUUUCUUGCUUAAAUUUGAAAUGUGGACCGAAGAAAAUCCUAAUUUCUGGCAUUUCUUCUCUACUCUUUUCGUUGUGAAAUAUAAUUUUUUGUUGUUAUUGUAGUUCUUGUUAUCACUUGUCAGUAAGUGAAAGCGGAACAUCAAAGACCCGAUGGUCUAGCUCAAACCUUUAGUAUUCCUGUGUGGAAAUGGGAUGCUAUUAAUAUGAACUUCAGUGUAGGCUUACCUUUUUCUUAUCAAAAACAUGACUCUAUUUGGGUAAUAGUUGAUCGAUUGACGAAAUCAACCCAUUUUCUUCCUGUUAAUUCUACCAGCACGGCUGAAGCUUCUGCCAAGCCUUAUGUAAAGAAGAUUGUUCGCUUACAUGGGACCCCGAUGUCUAUUAUUUUAGAUAGAGGUUCCCCGUUUAAAGCUCAAUUUUGGAAAUCAUUUCAUAGGAGCUUGGGUACUCAAGUGAACCUUAGCACUGCAUUUCAUCCGCAGACAGACGGUCAGGUCGAGCGCAUCAGUCAGACGCUCGAAGACACGUUGAGAGCAUGCGUGCUGGAUUUUAAAGGUAAUUGGGAUGAUCAUUUGCCUUUAAUAGAAUUUGCUUAUAAUAACAGUUAUCACUCUAGCAUUGGCAUGACUCCAUUUGAAGCUCUCUAUGGGAGACGAUGUAGAUCACCUAUUGGUUGGUUUGAAGUAGGUGAGACACAGGUAUUACGUUCGAAUCUAGUCCAUCAAGCUGUCAAAAAGGUUAAAUUGAUACGAGAACGGUUGAAGACUGCCAAAGUAGGCAAAAAUUAUAUACGAAUAUGCAACGUAGAGAUUUAGAAUUCCAAAUUAAUGAUUUUGUGUUCUUGAAGGUGUCGCCUAUAAAAGGCGUUAUGCGAUUUGGUAAGAAGGGUAAGUUGAGUCCCGGGUAUAUUGUGCCCUAUAGAGUUAUUUGUAGAAUUGGCCAGGUAGCUCAUAAUUACCUCCAGAGUUAGCUGCAGUGCAUCCUGUCUUUCAUGUGUCUAUGCUACGUAAAUGCUUAGGAGAGCCAUCUCGUAUCAUCCCUAUUGAAGGUAUUGAGUUUGCUGGAUACUUAUCUUUUGAGGAAGUCCCUGUGGCUAUAUUGGAUCGCCAAGUCAAAAAGUUGAGAACCAAAGAUAUAGCUUUGGUCAAGGUGCUUUGGAGAAACCAGAAUGUAGAAGAAGCCACUUGGGAAGCAUAAGCGGAUAUGAAAACUAAAUACCCAUACUUGUUCCAAAAACUACCAGAAGGUUCUUAAAUUACUUGCCUCUUUAUAUGAUUGAUAGUUUUUACUGUAUUAUGUUAUGUUGAUAUCUAAUUCUUACUUGAUAUGUUUAGGUACAUGAUUUGUACCUAUGGGUCUUGAGAUUUACAUGGAAACAGCGUGUAUAUGAAGAGUAAAAGGUAAGUUACAUGAUUGAUUAUGACCUUUAAUUGUGUGUAAGGCCAAGAGGAUCUCGUGAACUAUUUCUUGAGUUUAAGGCCAAGUGGAGCCUCAUUUGUUAUUUGUUGAGUAUUAUAUGUAUAGUGACACUCUGUGAAGCGUAUUUGGAUGUAUUUUGGCUAACUGACAGGUACUCGAUAGGCCUAUUUACAAAGAAAACUCUGGUGAAAUUUUUGAAAAUUUUGAGAGUUAGUCAAAUUAAGGCCUCAUGAUGGGUCAAGUGAGACUAGAGUUGAUUAAAUGACCUUAAGAAUGUCUUAGAUAGUUAUGGGAUGGAAAGUAAGGUACAUACAUCAUUCGAAGAUGAAUGACCCUAAGUGGGGGAGAUUGUAGCACCUCGAGAAAAUUUUGAAUUAAGUUAACAGCUUAAAUUAAGUGCAACUUUGACCUAUAAAGAAAAUUGCGGUACAAAGGAAUAACAAAUGGAGUAAAAAAACAUUUAUACAAGGAAUUUAUAUGUUAGCUGCUGAGAUGAGCAUCUUGAAAUAUCAAGAUACAUAUUGUAAAUGUAUAAAGUUGUAGGGUCCUUUGACCACCUUUCCUUUCUUUCUCCUUAAAAGUGAAAGUAAAAGUAAGGGUAAUAUAUAUAUAUAUAUAUAUAUGUUUUUGUGGGAAAGUUUCCUGUACAUGGAAAACUUUGAAUAUUAGCACCCAAAAGGGGUUUCUGCCUCUCUUCUCCUUGCGCAGCUCUUGACAAGAAAAUUGGAAGGAUCGUAAAGCGUACGAAAAGAUUCCUUCAAGAGGAGAUAUUCUAUGAUCCUUAGUAGCUAGAAAUUACUAGUUUUAUCAAGAAUUUUCAAGAACUCAAAUUGGGGAUUUAUUUCCAAAAGGUAAUUUCUUCACCUCAUAUUUGAAUUUACCCAUAGAAUAUGUUGGGGUGCAGUAUAAGUUGUUAAUUAUCAUUUAAUUUGAAUCUUUUCACUACCUCUUGAGAUGGGUUCACAACUAAGAUUCUCGAAAGAGAUGGCAUUUUGGUAAAGUGAAGUUUUAGGAAUUUCUAUCAAUUGGGUGAAUUUAGUGUUGAUUUGUAUGAGUUGGAAUUUAUCUCGAAUUCUUAUUAAGGAAUUCGAUUAAUUUCGGUCAUAAGUGAAAAUUACCGGAAGGGGUUAUUAAAUGCACCCACGGGUUACUAAUGAAUGCUUAUGUUAUCCUUGUAGCUAGUGAAGUUGUCUAUUGGAUAAAGAAAGUUGGUGGUUGGAUAAAUAAAAGUUAUACUAUCGCGUGUUGAAUUAUUUCAGGCUCACAUUACUGUCGUAGUCAGCGAAGCACUAAGGUAUGUAAAGAUAAACCUUCCCUCGCCAUUAAGGCACCACCCUACGUCAUGUACUCCUUCCCAUUAAUGUUAAUAUAAUUCUCAUGAAAUACAAAAGUAGAAUCUUUAUAUAUUGCCUUACGUAUCAUUCUUUCAUUCUCUUAUCAAGCUUAUAAGUAUACAUCUCUCCCUCGUUGUGUUAAGUUUCCAUGAUACUUUCAUAUUACCAUAAGUUUCUCUACUUGGAGCCCUUAGGCCACCAUAUAGAUAUAUCACGUAUUAAGAGUAAAGUAAAUAGUAAUAGCAUAGCUGCACUUGUAUAUGUUAGCUAAAUGGUCAUUUUAGCAAUUCACAUGUUAUAGGCCUUCAAGUCACUAUUUGAUAAACAUUUAAUGAUGGGAGGGUACAUAGGUUUGGCAUGGCAUAUCGCUCGAAGAAAUUCUGUGCACAGGAUCGAGACCAGAUCACUAUAGUAAGCCCAACCAUUGGGCUUGCCCACCUUUGUGGCAUCACUUGUAUUUGAAGUCAGCUGAAACGUCAUGUAGUGGUUUCCCCUGACUUGAGCCAACAUAUGGCAUAUAUGGUCUGCGGGCAGACCCUGAAAGUGAGCCCCUGGGCAGGGCGUACCUGGAUAGAGACUGCGAUUAAAGUUAUACAUAUGGGAUCAUAGCAAUGAGUAUGUGAGCAACAUAUGUUUUAUACUUGCCUCAGAUUACCUUCGGUAGGCCAUUUGUGAUUAUUUGUACGACUUAUAGGAUAAGUACAUCAUCUAGGCAAAUUAUAGGCCCUAUAUUAUAAUGAACAUUUUCCUAAAUAUUAUAUAAGAUGCUAAUAAGGAUGGUGCAUAAGUUAUAAGUUCAUAUCGUAUAUGUGUUAUUUGUUGGCUCAUACGUUUUUCACUUUAUCAUUUGUCGCAUAUGAGCUUCUGUACUUUUCCAGUUGUUAUUCUACCUGCUUUCAUACCAGUACAUGUUUAUGUACUGAUAUCUCGGGCCUACCAUAUUUUAUUAAUGCAGGCUCAGAUCUUCAGGAUAGAAGACGUCCACGUUAGGCCCUAUUGUCGUUUUCAACUGAUAUUUUGGUAAGCUCCAACUCUCUCUGGAGCCAGUCUAUGCCUAGUAUUUUUUAUUAUCUGUACAGGUCUCUGGUUGGGCAUGACGGGCCUGAUGCCAACUAGUCACUUGUAGUAUAGUGUGUUAAACUGACUAGAGCCUUCAUGGACAUCGUGUAGUAUUGUAUAGUUUUGUUAAUGUAACUCACUCAUGUAUAUAUACGACUCUUAUUUAAUAUCCCACUUGUUAUAAUCUCAUAACCUCGCGUAAGUCAUAGAGUGCUUAUAGAGUAAGUGUAUGCGGUCUUGUUUGUCCUUAUUAAUUUGGGACGUGACAUGGCGAUAGAUCCUUUUGGAAGUUCCCCUAACCAUAGAGAUGCUUCUCCAGUCAAAGAAAAUAGGAACAACCUCAAUCUCAAUGCUUCCUAAUUAACCCCUGGAAUAUUGUAUUUAGUGCAGAUCCUAUGAAAAUUUGUAAGGUGCAUGUUUGCGUCAUCCUUAGCAGCACCCGAAAACACACCCUUCAGAUUCAACAACUGGAUCAUAGCACUAGUAAUAUCAAACUUCACAUUUGGGGCUAAUAGAGGAAUAACAAUGGCUCCUGAUUCAGCAGGUUCCACAUACCCCAAAUCUUCAUCAUUUUUCUCAUCAGGUCUAAGGGGUUGGUAUGUCGAAAUAAAUGGAGAUCUGGCUUUCUGAACUCGUCGAUCAACAACCUGUCUAGGCCUGGAUAGUCCACUCAACCUCUACAGCAAGUCUAGCCUCUUCAGCUUCUCUACGUUCUUACUCUAACAGUUGUUGAGUAUGUAAGUCUACAAUAUUCUGCGAAUCUAAUUGACCACGCGAGAGUGCCGCAUUUGGGUCCACAUGUGGGGGAUCUUGCAUCCCAUCAAGAACUUGUGGACAUCCUUCUCGGUGUUUGAAGGAUUCUCUCAGGCUCUAAAUCAAAAAGGAGUAAGGGAUUGCCUCUCCUUGCAAUACUUGGCAUAUGUCCAAAUCAAAAACAGAAAAUAAAACCUGUGAACUUCACCAAUUCAAUGCACUACUCAAAUCGCCUUCUCCGACAACGAUACCAAAAUUUGAUGUCGCCCAAAACUACACCUCAAUUUGAAGUAUAAUGUGGUCGAUUGCAAAUAUAAUAACCCAACAAGGUUGGGGUCGAUCCCACUGAAAAAACGUGAAUAAUUGUUUGAAUUGAUGUAAUCCUCGAGCAGUACAGGAAAGUAAAUGGGGGGAUUUUGUUGUCCAUCGCAAAUAGUAACCAAAUCUUGAGUGCAUUUGAGUUGUAAUCAAUAUGAGACGAACGCUAGGUCUAUAUUCCCCCUAGCUUCUCAACUGCGUAGGUUUCCCGUGAUCAACCUAACUACUCUGUUGUGCUACAUGCAAAGCCUAUAAGAUAGAUAUUAUCAACUGCUGGGUAAGCUAGAAGAUAAAUUUCACCCUAUUGACUUAGUUAUCGUCUCGGGGUGUCGCCUUAUUUUCCCUUACUACGACCUCAGUUACACUUGUCAAGGUAGGAUCAAGUGAUAAGAUGAGAUGCUUGGCUAUCGUAUCCCAAAUCACUGUCUUAAUCUUAUUUUUCCUAAUUGCAAACUUCUUGGUUAUCGAAUGGAUGUGAAUACAGGCAAUCUCAAGUGUCUGCAGCUGCUAUGAGUUUAAUUAUUGCAAAGAAGAAGUAAGAUACACGCAGAAACCCUAGAACAACUGAGUCUCACACUUCCUCUACGUAACUAAUCCGCCAGGGUUCCCACAACCCUAGCUAAGGAGAUUAGCCGCUCAUGUUUGUGCAAGAAACCAUGAUUAUUAAUGAAGAACACAUAAAAUCAUUUGCACAAGAAUAAGAUGAAUAAACUCUGAAGUCUGUAAUUGAAUAAAAUCCUAAAAUCUAAAGAACAAUUGUAAGAGUGUUGUAAUAGUAUGUAAACUAAUGUAAAGGAAUGUAGUAGAAUAUAACCUAAUAAAAGAUAAACCCUAAGGUAUUUAUAGUAUCUCAAAAUAACAUAAAAAUUCUAUUAAAAAUGGGAAAGGUAAAGUUAAGUCGACAAUCGAUACGAUUCAUUCUUCACUCAUAUCCUCAGCUUACAAGUCGUACCCUUCCUUGUCGUAUCCGUUCUAGUGUCUGAUCUUCCCAAGGCUUUAACUCUCUGUUCAGCAUACGACUUCUGUUUAUGAUUCGUUCCUGAGUGUACGACUUAUGUCCUCAACUCGUAUCCACCGGGGACUUCAGUCUUUUCAAGUCUUGAACACCGGUUUGUAUAUGAUAUCUCUAUGUGAGUCAUACUCAGACUUUCGACUCGUAUACUCUUGAUACUUCCACUUCUAGAUUGUAGCUUGGGUUCUGUUAUGCUCACGUCUUCUUCAUACGACUCGUAUUCUGGCUUACGACUGGGAUACUUGAGUUGUAUCUUUCUCAUACUUGGCUCCUCGAUUUGGCUUCUGGUUUUGUUACUCAUACGAUCCAGCAUACAAGUCGUAUCGAACGGGUACGACUCAAGAGCUGACUCGUAUACUGAUCAGAGUUGGCCUUUUUCAGGUCUUUUUCUUGUUUUUUUGUUCAAAUACUAUUGUAGACCUGUUUUACCUGCAAUUCACACCAAAGUGCAUCAUAUCUAACAAAACACCCUAAGUUCACGCAUAAAUUCACGAUUUUAAGCAUCGAAAAAGUCGUGUUUCCACGCCACAUCAACACCCUCAGCUUAAACUUUUGCAUGUCCUCAGGCAAACAAAACCAAAUACUAUUAUCUAAUCUAAAGCAAUGCUUAAAACAGAAAGAUCUUAAACAACCCAUGACAGUGAUUUUGAAUUAACUUUCAAUCUUGUUGUUCCCCUCUUAGUUUUCAACUUUUCAACUCAAAUUGCGUAUAACAAUUUAGCACAUGUAGAAACAAUAAGGAAUCCGAUGAUGCCAUUACAUUAGCAAUAGACACUUGGGCAUAGACAUUGUUUACAUUAGUCAAACAAUCUAGCAACAUAUCCCAUCACAAUCAAAGAGAUCCCAUUUGCUCAUCUUUUGAAUAAAUCAAUCUGUUAAGGGAUAUAACAAAUGACUCUCACUCACAAAGAAGUAUCACCGGUGUGCACAGAAUACCAUAGGCUUGCCCUUAUGCUCUUUUCUAAGUGGUCAGAAAGUCAUGGUAGGAUCACUAUAGGACUUUAUCUGGCUUAUAACAUAGGCUUGGGGCUAGUAUGAUAGCUUUUGAGAUUCUUUUACGCUUUUCUCUCAGGGUCCACAUACUUUCCACUUUACUACUAUUGCAGUUUCUUUGCCUAUUGAACACCUUGAUGGAGUGUCUACUAGUGUUCUUGAAGCUGAAAGUUGGCUAAGAACCAAUGUUUUAGCUCACUAUCCAGCCACCAACAUCACUACUAUUCUUGCUGGUCACACUUUUGUGCCAAAAAGAUCAAGAAAAUAGAAUAAGCUUAAUCUUGCCAUCGGUUAAGAACAUUUACUACUCUCUUACAAGGUGGGGUUUGCAUGCUGAAAUCAAAGUGUCCACUUCUUUUUCUUCCUACUGCUUGGACCAAAAUAUGGCUGAAGAAUAUGUAAAACCUCUACUUGAGUUCUUUCAACAUGUCAAUGCACGUUAUGUAGUGAGCACAACAAGAGAUUUGGAUGAAAAGAUAGAAACUUUGAUGAAUAACCAUUUAGGGUCUAUGAAGAAGUUAGGAAAUUUUAGCCUAAGCAAGAUUUUCUUGAUUGGUGAGACCCUUAUGCAGAAAGCUCUUAACUUUCGACUCAAAAUACAUUAUUCCUACCAGGCCAACCCCAUUGGCUCCAAAUCCAAAUCAGCCUUCUCCAGCAUUUGCUCCUAACAGUCCACUUCCUCCGUUAAUUGGAAACAUUUCACCUCCUUUUGCUCCUGAAAUGGCACCUCCAUUGUUCAAUCCUAUUAGUCCUUCUUAUGGACCUCAUUUGCCACCUUGUAUUCCAUCUCAUGGUGGGGUUGGGGGUCCAGUAGGUGCACCAGCAAUAGGAGGUGGAGGGCUGCAUGGAAGUGAUGGGCUAUGGUGAGUAGCUAAGCCUAGUGUACUACCAGAGACAUUGCAAGAGGCAUUAGAUUAUGCAUGUGGUGAUGGAGGUGCUGAUUGUGAAGCUAUCAGUCCAACUGGAAGUUGUUAUUACCCUGACACUGUUGUGGCUCAUGCUUCUUAUGCUUUCAAUAGUUACUGGCAGAAAACUAAAAGUAUUGGUGGGACUUGUGGAUUUGGAGGCACAGCUAUGCUCAUCAACUCUGAUCCAAGUAAGCACUUUCUUCAAUUUACCUCUCCAUUUCAAUUUGGUUGUCUGAUUUUGAUUUGCGGUCUUAAAUUAAAGAUAUGUAAAAUGUACUAAAAUGUCUUUUAAUUUAUGGUCUUAAAUAUGUCACAUGGAAGUUGUAGAGUGCGAAAAUCCUUUUUGAAACGAACUUAUAAGAAAAAUAAGAUAAACAAAUUAAAAUCGAGUGAGUAAAGAAUUGAUUGGUUCACUUGCUAGUUAUGGAUUGUGUAUUGUAAGAGGUUUUCUGGUACAUGAGAUAAGUAGGGAUAAUCUAUGGUUUUUUCCUACCUUUCAAAUGGGAUAGUAAUCCUAUCAUUUUUGUACAAAUCUCAUUUGGUAGAAGGGAUAAGAAAAAUAAUCUCGGAAUUAAUUUUAUCCCACGUUUCGUAUAAGAUAUUACUUAAUCCCGAACUAUUUUAUCCCAUCAGUUUUGCUAAAAUGGUGGGAUUACUAUCCCCCAUGCAAAGGGAGGGAUAAAAUAGUCUCUAUGAAAUAUCUCACCUCAUGGGAUAUCCUUACUAUAGUCUCAUGAAUAUCUCACCUCAUGGGAUAUCCUUACUUAUCCCAUUCAGUGUACCAAACUACCCCAUAGUGGAUAAAAUAGUACUUUUGGUAUUUGAUAAUUCCUCACACAAAACAUGAAAUAAAGUUAAUUCAAAACUUUAUUUUGGGAUUAUUAUCCUCAUCUCAGGUACCAAAUAACUAAUAAGAAAGAUUAUAUAGCCAUCUUAUGCUAAUAAUCAUAUGUUUGUGCCAUUUUUUGUGCUCCACAUUCAAUUCAAGGCGUCGCUAUGUGUGGAGAAGGGGGAACCCAGGAAAUAGAAAGAAAAAUGAGAUCCAUAAAGAAUGAAUUUUAAAGUUUAUGGGUAGCAAUAACAGUUUCUCUUUUGGUAAUUAGUGAUAACAGUUAUUGAUAUUCACUCGGUUCUUUUUUAUUUAUUCACUAUACUAAAAAGUACAUGUUCAUUUUAGCAUAUUAAAAAAAAAACUACUUUUCUUACUUUACCCUUAGCUGUAGGACUAUUCCAUUUCAAAUUAUUUCUUUAGUCCAAUAUAGAGUAUACAACAACUAAUAUGGAUAUGGGUAUCAGUAAUUUUUAUGAUAAGACAUGGAAUUAAUUCAUUAUUUUUCAAAGUGCGUACAAAGUGUAUUGUGAGUAUAAGCAAAAAUGAAGGGAGAUGGUAUUAGUAUCAUAGCAUGCAAGAGUGACUUCCUUUUUCUCAUUCAUCCAAUGGCACCAUUCAAUUAAAUAUACUUGAUCUUAAACUGAACAAUCUUAGGUCCCAGUGUGUAUUAAAUAUAUAUACUGUUAAAUAAAAGGACACACAAAACUUGUGAUGAACCAACAAUUUAUUGGCUUUCGUUCUUUUCUUAUUAUUUAAAACUUAACUUGGUAAACUGACUAGUGCUUGCACUGUCUGCAUUUGCAGGGGCUCCACAAGUUUUUUUCGAAUAAUCGUUUGGAUUCAGUCCAAACUCAGUGCACAAUAUUUAGGCAUAAUGUCACCGACCAGCCCAACUCGACUUAAAAACCAGCUCAUGUGAUAAAAGGUUGCGGACAACUUAUAAGCUGCCCAAGCAUCACCGAAUUGGAAUGCCCAUGCUAUUGUCCAACCGCCAGAUUCAACUAUGUCACUGGCUCAGAAACAAGGCGAGACUAGCUCUAAUCCCACUGUCAUGCAUGGACACACCAAACUUCAACCACAAAAGCUAGCUCGUGCAGCGAAGGGUUGUGGACCACCUAUUAAGCUGCCCAAACAACCCUUGCGUCCGUGCAGAACUGGAUGUUGCAAGACGAGAGCUCUUUUGAUUAAAUUACUAAGCAAGUACAAAUUUGGACAGAAACAUGGGAAACAGCUUGUAUCAUCUAUGCUAUUAAGAAGCAUAAAUCGCAUAUUGCUUUUUGUGGAGCUGAGAGAUCUGUGUGAGAAACAAUCUAAAAGCAUCUAUCUGCAAUGUGAGCCCAAAAAUUGGAUACUCGGCUAACAACGGAUUUCUUUAUAGAUAGCUUAGGAACCAUAUCUAUCUCACUUAUUCAUUAGUGAUCGAUCACCUUUUGUCAUUUAACUGACAGCUCCUUCCAGGUCAUUCUGCCUUUCAUCAGCACCAUCAGUCAUGUCAACCAGUGCUGCUUCCCAACCAUUCUCUCUUUCAUCAGCACCAUUUGUCAUGUUGACCAGUGCUCCUUCCCGACCAUUCUGCCUUUCCUCGGCAUUAUCAUUGAAACCUUUCUGCAAAAGAUGAAGGUUGGUUGGUGGGCGUGUUAGAACCUCAGACUAAGCGAGCAGAAAAAACAGCAACUGGAUACUAAGGUAAAAACUAAUACGUGAAUAGCAAAAGUUCACCAGCUGCAAGGUUUCAAAUGCAGUUCUCUGUUCACAUAUUAUUAUGGAUAUUACUAUUACUACUCUAUAUAUAAGCGGCUAGAAGCAGGCAGGUGUUCAUGCCAGCAAAGGGUAAUUUUUUGCUCCUAUAUAUAUGUACCUUCCCUCUAUUAGACAAAAAAACCAACAUUUACUUACGACCCGUGUUGUCCCCUAAAAAGAUUUAGGGGUCGUUUGGUUGGGAAACAAGUUAUCCUACCCUCAAGGUAUCCCGUGAUGAGAUAUCCCAUGCUUUUUAACCUAACCAAACAUGGGAUAAUCUCAUCUUAAAAUUAAUCCCGGGAUUAGUUAUCCCUUAUCCCUGGUACCAAACGAGCCCUUAGGGUCAUUUGGAGAUAAGGACUAUAAUCCGGAAUGAAAUAUUUUGAUUGAGGUAUUAUCUAAAUACAGGGAUUUUUUUAUCCCGACAUUUCAGUAAAAAUGGUGGAAUUACUAUCCCAUAUAGAAAAUGGGAUACAAUAACUACAUGGGAUAUCCUUCCUUAUCUCAUCCCGCGUACUAAACGACCCCUUAUGCUUUGUCUGCAUUUUGUGCGCCCAUCUUACUCUAUCCUGCAUCACAGCAUACUCAUUUAAUAUUUGUAGUGUUAUUAUAGAGAACAGUUCAUAAAUUUUUUAACCGAGGUAAUUGUUUCUUUUUUUUUUUUUUUUUUAAAAACCAAAAAUUGUUUCGUACGCAGGCAACAUAUAUUACAACAACAACAACAACCCAGUGUAUUCCCACAUAGUGAGGUCUGGGGAGGGUAAGAUGUACGCAGUCCAUACCUCUACUUCUAAAGAAGUAGAAAGGUUGUUUCCGAUAGACCCCCGGCUCAAGACACGGAAUAAUAAACAAAUUCAUAGUAAAGCAUCGGACAAGAUGGCAUAACAUAAAUACGACACCCACAAGUAAUAGUAAACAGAGAAAAGUAAACAGAUUCGUAAUAAAGCAUGAAACAAGGUAUCACAACAAGAAUAAUACCCCCACCAAGUAAUGCCCUACACUAGCGACCCAAACUAACCCUAGCCUUCUUCCCUAAUUCGCGUCCUCCAGAUCUUCCUAUCUAGGGUCAUGUCCUCAGUGAGCUGUAACUGCUCCAUGUCCCGCCUAAUCACCACUCCCCAGUACUUCUUCGGCCUACCCCUACCCCGACUAAAACCAUCCAAAGCUAGCCUCUCACACCUACGAACCGGGGCAUCCAUGCCCCUCCUCAUCACGUGUCCGAACGAUAUCAAUCAGACUUCCCGCAUCUUAUUCUCCACUGAAGUCACACCAACCUUCUCCUAAUCUCAUUCCGAACUCUAUCCCCCCUAGUCAGCCCACACAUCCAACGCAACAUCCGCAUUUCCGCUACCUUCUUAUCACACAACACCCCGAAGUAAGCUUCCACUUCAUCCAUCCCGCCCCAAUACGGUGCGAGACAUCCUCGUCAAUCUCACUGUUACCCUGAAUCACGGACCCGAGAUACUUGAAACUAUCCCUCUUACAUACCACCUGUGAUUCCAACUUCACUCCCACCUCAUUCUCCAGCCUCAUGUCAUUAAACUUGCAUUCCAAAUACUCUGUCUUGCUCCUACUCAACCCGAACACUUUAGACUCAANNNNNNNNNNNNNNNNNNNNNNNNNNNNNNNNNNNNNNNNNNNNNNNNNNNNNNNNNNNNNNNNNNNNNNNNNNNNNNNNNNNNNNNNNNNNNNNNNNNNNNNNNNNNNNNNNNNNNNNNNNNNNNNNNNNNNNNNNNNNNNNNNNNNNNNNNNNNNNNNNNNNNNNNNNNNNNNNNNNNNNNNNNNNNNNNNNNNNNNNNNNNNNNNNNNNNNNNNNNNNNNNNNNNNNNNNNNNNNNNNNNNNNNNNNNNNNNNNNNNNNNNNNNNNNNNNNNNNNNNNNNNNNNNNNNNNNNNNNNNNNNNNNNNNNNNNNNNNNNNNNNNNNNNNNNNNNNNNNNNNNNNNNNNNNNNNNNNNNNNNNNNNNNNNNNNNNNNNNNNNNNNNNNNNNNNNNNNNNNNNNNNNNNNNNNNNNNNNNNNNNNNNNNNNNNNNNNNNNNNNNNNNNNNNNNNNNNNNNNNNNNNNNNNNNNNNNNNNNNNNNNNNNNNNNNNNNNNNNNNNNNNNNNNNNNNNNNNNNNNNNNNNNNNNNNNNNNNNNNNNNNNNNNNNNNNNNNNNNNNNNNNNNNNNNNNNNNNNNNNNNNNNNNNNNNNNNNNNNNNNNNNNNNNNNNNNNNNNNNNNNNNNNNNNNNNNNNNNNNNNNNNNNNNNNNNNNNNNNNNNNNNNNNNNNNNNNNNNNNNNNNNNNNNNNNNNNNNNNNNNNNNNNNNNNNNNNNNNNNNNNNNNNNNNNNNNNNNNNNNNNNNNNNNNNNNNNNNNNNNNNNNNNNNNNNNNNNNNNNNNNNNNNNNNNNNNNNNNNNNNNNNNNNNNNNNNNNNNNNNNNNNNNNNNNNNNNNNNNNNNNNNNNNNNNNNNNNNNNNNNNNNNNNNNNNNNNNNNNNNNNNNNNNNNNNNNNNNNNNNNNNNNNNNNNNNNNNNNNNNNNNNNNNNNNNNNNNNNNNNNNNNNNNNNNNNNNNNNNNNNNNNNNNNNNNNGCCUCCUUCCUAGCUAACUUGUACUCUUUCCAGUUUACCCGUCUCUCUUCUUCGUCCUUACUCUCAACCAACUUAGCAUACGUCCCUUUCUUGGUCUCCACUUUCUUCUUAACCUCUUCAUUCCACCACCAAUCCCCCCAAUAAUGCCCGGCCCAGCCCCUAGAAACACCCAACACCUCACCCUGAUGCACCUAGCCACCCUAUCCCACAUACUCUCCACGUCCCUCCUACACUCUCAUACCCCCAUUCCCGCCAACUUCUUCCGUAUCUCCCACGCAUUCACUGGCGUCAAGCCGCCCCACUUAAUUCUAGGUCUACACUCCUCACCCCUUCUCUUCCUAUCCUUCUUUAUACCCAAAUCCAUAACCAAGAGCCUAUGCUGGGUCGAAAAAUUCUCACUCGAGAUGACCUUACUACAGUCCUUACACAACACCCUAUCGCCUUUCCUAAGCAACAAAAGUCAAUCUGGGUCUUGGCUAUCACGCUUCGGAAGGUGAUCAGGUGAUCGUCCUUCUUCGGAAAGCCCGAGUUCACCACCACCAGCCCAAAGGACCUCGCAAAAUCCAAUAGAGUAGCCCCCUCUUCAUUUCUUNNNNNNNNNNNNNNNNNNNNNNNNNNNNNNNNNNNNNNNNNNNNNNNNNNNNNNNNNNNNNNNNNNNNNNNNNNNNNNNNNNNNNNNNNNNNNNNNNNNNNNNNNNNNNNNNNNNNNNNNNNNNNNNNNNNNNNNNNNNNNNNNNNNNNNNNNNNNNNNNNNNNNNNNNNNNNNNNNNNNNNNNNNNNNNNNNNNNNNNNNNNNNNNNNNNNNNNNNNNNNNNNNNNNNNNNNNNNNNNNNNNNNNNNNNNNNNNNNNNNNNNNNNNNNNNNNNNNNNNNNNNNNNNUCAAUCUGGGUCUUGGCUAUCGCGCUUCGGAAGGUGAUCAGGUGAUCGUCCUUCUUCGGGAAGCCCGAGUUCACCACCACCAACCUAAAGGACCUCGCAAAAUCCAAUAGAAUAGCCCCCUCUUCAUUUCUUUCCCCAAAAACAAAACCGCGAUGCACAUCACUAAAGCCUCCCGGUAAUGCCCCGAUGUGCCCAUUGAAAUCUCCUGCUACAACAAUCUUCUCCGAGCUAGGCACGCCUUUCACCACCUCAUCCAAAGCCUCCCAAAACCGCAUCUUCUCCUCCCCAUUCAAGACCACCUGCGGCGCAUAAACACUACACACAUUCAGGGUAAACCCCCCAAUGACCAACUUAAUAGUCAUCAACCUAUCGCUGAUCCUCUUAACCUCCACUACCUGACCUCUAAGCUCUUCAUCUACUAAGAUGCCAACUCCAUUCCUACGCCUCUCGCUCCCAGAGUACCAAAGCUUGUAACCAUCCACAUCCCUAGCCUUAGACCCUACCCACUUGGUCUCUUGAACACACGCAAUCUUUCUAAGAAUCUUCACAAGCUCUAUGGACUUACCCUGAAGACUCUCUAUAUUCCAAGACCCAACCCUCAACCUACCAACUCUAUCAUCACGUCUUCCUCUACCGCCCCUGACGCCAAACCUUGGUAAUAAUCAAAUAUUCUGCAGAAUGCUGGUUAGACCGGCUAUGUUGUAUGAGGCGGAUUGUUGGUCAAUCAAGAAAUCUCACAUCCAAAAGAUGAAGGUGGCAAAGAUAAGAAUGUUGCGAAGGAUGUGUGGAUGUGCUAAGAAAGAUAGGAUUAAAAAUGAGGUUAUUCGGGAUAAGGUGAAGUGGAGUCGUUGCAAGCCAACAUGCAGAAAGUGACGCUGAGAUAGUUCAGACAUGUGAUGAGGAGGGGCAUGAAUGCCCUAGUGCGGGGAUGUGAGAAGUUUGCUUGGGGUUGAUUCAAGCGAGGUAGAGAUAGACCGAAGAAAUAUUAGAUGAAAGUGAUUAGAUAUGACAUGGAGCAGCUUCAGCUUACCGAGGACAAUGACCCUAGAUAGGAAGGUGUGGAGGAGGCGAAUUAGGGUCGAAGGAUAGUAGGAAAGGGGUGUGUCAUUGUUAGUAGGUAGGAGGCCUUUGUUUUGUUAUUUGUGCUUGUAGCAAUAGUACUAGUAUUAUUUCAGAAUGUUAUCAUUUGUCGUAUUACUUGGUGGAUCUUGUUUAUCUUAUUAUUGGGUGUGGUAAUUCCUACUAUUUCUUGUCUCCUAUGUUAUUUCUUUUCUAGACUUUUAUCUUAAGUGAAGGGUCUAUUGAAAACAAUCUCUCUAUCUCACCUCUGAGGUAGUGGUAUGGACUGCGUUCACUUACCCUCCCCAGACCACACUUGGUGGGAAUAUACUAGGUAUAUUGUUGUUGUUGUUGUUGUAUUCAUGAAACUAUGUUGAUAGCUUUUGUAAAAAAUAUUUCAAAUUUUUAAUAUAUUCACUAAAGUUGAAAGGGGCAAUGUCAAGGAAAUUUGCACUUACAAAAAGGAUAAAAAAUGAGAACACUAUGAAUACAACCAACUAUAGGAUAACGUAAGAUGGCCCACAAAGUUGCAACAAAGUACAAGGGGUUGUUUGGUACGGGAAUGGGAUAAGCAAGGAUAUCCCAUGAGAUUAUUUUAUUUCACUUUUUAUAUGAGAUAGUAAUCCCACCACCAUUUUUACUGAAAUAGAACGAUUCCGGGAUAAGUUAAUACCUCAAAUCAAACAUGAGAUAAAGUUAAUCUCAGAUUUCAUCUCGAGAUCAUUAUCCUUAUCCCACGUACCAUCUGACCCCUAAAUCUUUUCAGCGGACAAUGUAGGUCAUUGAGCAAAUGUUAGUUUUUUGUCUAGCAGAGAAAAGGUAUCUAUAUAAAGUAGCUAGACACAAAAGUCCUUUUUUAUAACUGUGGUAUCCGGACAAGCUUGUGCACACCUCGACUAAUUCCACGAGAUACUUGCCACCUCCCUCCCACCAGCACCGGUAUCAAGAAACACUAUCCAACCAAGGCUAAAAAAGAUGUGAAGAAAUCACCUAGUAUUGUCUUCGCUAGGAAUUGAACUCGAAACCUCAUGGUACUCAACCCACGUCAUUGACCACUUGGCCACACCCUUCUAAAGAACCAAAAAAAAAGCAAAAAUACCUUUACGGGCAUGUCGAUGACCAAUCGUCUGCUUCUAGCCGCUUUUAUAUAGUAACUAUAGAGAAGACUAAAAUUAUUUUUUACCGAGCUAAUUGUUUCUUACACAGAAAGGCCCAACUGACCAAAUGUAACCUAUGCGGCGCAAGCCUACACCGGCCUGUAACUGCUUUCUAAUUGGCUCCAUUAGGGUUCAUAGUCUCAUCCUAAAAAGGUUUUUUUCUUCCUCCGAAUAUACAUUCAACUUUCCCGCAAUCUUAUCAACAUGUCAGUCAAAAUCAGUUGUGGAGGAAAAAGAGUAAUACCUUUUUUCAGUUAAUCUUAAUAGUUUAAUAAUUCAAGUAGUGGUCUCCUUGCCUAAAAAAAAGGAGUAAGCCCAUCAUGGAUAAUGAUAGACAUACCAAAGAUUUUACGCAGUCCUUGUGUGCUUGCUUUGUGCACAGACACAACAGAAUUCGAAGUUGCUCGACGUACUAGCCUUAUAACGAAGUCAGACCCAAUACACUCUCUUAGAACAAAGCAAAGCAGGACCGAGGAGCUUGAUCUGACUCCCCGUCCAACCGCCCUGGCGUAUGUUUCCGAACCAACUACAUCGUAAGCUUCUAUAGCUUGGAAAUGAAAAAGAAACUCUAUCCUCAACCCAUCCAAUCAUUAGUUUAUGAUGUACAACAUACCCAGUAAAAUCCCAUAAGUGAGAUCCGGGGAGGAUAAAGUGUACACAGACCUUACCACUACCACGGGGAGGUAGAGAGGUUGUUUUUGAAAGACCCUCCACUUAAGUAUAGCAAAUCCAGGUACAACAAAGAGUAAAACAAUUAAGAAAAUAUUUUUACUCACUCACAAAAUUGUGUGAUAAUCGAAACACAAUAAACAACAACAAUGAUAGAUAUCUACAGCUAAACCCUAAGCUAUCAUACUAUGGUCCAUAAGCUAUCAUACUAUGGUCCAUGACAACCCUCCUACACGACUAACCUUCUACACGAAUACGCGUCCUCCACAAUCCCUAUCUAAGGUCAUGUCCUCGGUAACCUUAGUUUAUGGCGUAACAUAUAAAAUUUUGUCUCAUAUUAUUAUUUCAUGAAAUUAUGUAGAUUAAUUUCGUAAAAGAAUGUUUCACAUUUUUAAUAUAUUCACUAAAAUUUUAAGGGGCAAUGUCAAGGAAAUCUGCACUCAAAGAAACCCCCCAAACAAAUAUGUUUGGAAGAAUUCAUUGCUUUCAUUGCUCUGGGAAGUUUUAAAGGACUGCUUGAUAUCUUCAUCAACAUUUAAUUAUUUCUAUAAAAGUUUUGGUGUCAUUCAAAUUUUCUCAUAAAUAGUAAUCGCAUGACUAUUUUGCUGACACGUGAUCUCUUCAAUGUUGAUAAUUAACGACAGUCAUUAGCCCAGAAAAAAAAAACUAUGAAUAGCAAUCAUGUUUUUGAACAUUAUUUAGAAUUGGUUAUGUAUUACUGACUUGAGCCGAAGGUUUUCCGGAAACAUCUUCGGUAAGGUUUACAUACAUUCUACCAUCCCCAGACCCCACUUGUGGGAUUACAAUGGGUAUGUUGUUAUUUCCAAAACAAUUAAAUUAUUACUUUUUAAAAAAAUCACUUUGUCAUGGUUAUAAAAAGUUUUAUAACCACAUAAAUAUUGUAGCAUACUUAAGACCGACCACUUUUAGGAUAAUUUGUACUUUUUAUAACCAAAUAAAUAUUGUAGCAUACUUAAGACCGCUUUUAGAAUAAUUUGUAGGGUCGAUGCUGGCACGGGGCUCUGCAUCUAGUCACAUCGAUAUCUUAGCACAGAUUGUCUUAGCUAGUCGUUCUUUAGUGUUUUAACAUAUUGUGCUAGAGAUUCCUAUUCCCAUCGGUUGAGCAUUCUUCCUAUUCACUGUGCCUCUUUUCUUUUGGGUUCCAAAUGAAAUACUAUCAAAUUCCAUUUUGAUAUACACUACAUAUUUUAACGCAUGCGUCUACAAACUUUUCUAAAGCAUGGAACAGGAGUCAAGUAACAGAUAAUGCGAGAAAAGGAGAAGAAACAACCUUCAAUCUCAUUUGGGAAAAAAAGGGUAGCAGGCUCUGUCCAUUGCUAAGUCAAAGUUGUACUACCCAAUAAGUGCACCGAGUCACAGAAAACAAUCUUAACAGUUGCAUCGUUCCUUCAGAUGGCGUGUUCCCUAAGGAAGAGAACAACAAGAUUUUGAACAGACUACCACUUAAGAUAGAUAUCAAUAGAAAGGUAGGGUCAGGAAGACGAGAAAUAGAAGUGUUCCCUUUCUUGAAAAAGCUCUCAGACCUCAGUAGUAGGGCUUGAAGCGGUCAUCACAUUGAAAAAACUUUAGCAUGUAUGCAUGAGCAGUUAUAGGAACUAAGACAACAAACACUUGAUCACAGAGAUAUUCUACAAGUGUGAAUGUACCUUUUUAGCUAGACCAUGAGCAGACAUAAGUUCAUGGAACUUGCGCAUCAGCAUUUCUUCCUCAACCUACAAGUAGCACAAUGUUAGUUUGGAUGCUGAUGUAAUAUGAAUGACAAACCCCCUGUGCGAAAAAGCUACUAGGGAAAAUGAAUGGUAGUAUUGGUUUAUCCUAAUGUUCUACUAGAUAUACAUGUUAGUCAUCGUGCAGGACGUUCACAUCACUGGCACUCUAAAUAAAACUUUGUCAUGCUACUUGAUUAAGUACUUCCAGAUACAAACCAAAUUCACCGUAAACAAAAUGAUCUCUUGUAAGUUUUUCGUUUGAGAAUUAAAAUAUCUCACCAAACAAAUGCUAUCUGAACUCUGAAGAGCAAGUAAAACAACUAUUGAAUGACUACCACUACUAAAAACAAUAGGAAAACCAACAUGUAAUCGGUUUUCCUGAAUUUCCGACCACACAAAACCAACCAAAAUGCAUGGUCGGUAAAAGUGUGGUAGCUUUUUUUAAAAAUAUAUAUAUAGAUUUUUAAAAUUUAUUAUUAUUUUAUUAAAAUAGAAAAAAAUGAUUUUAAAAAUAAAAAAAUUCAAAAUAAAGUGGUCGGUUUUAUUUUAAAAUUAAUUAAUUUUAUUAAAAUCGACCAUCUGUGGUCGGCUUUUUAAAAAUUUCCAAAAAAACUAACCACUUGUGGUUUCUGGGAAUUUUAAAAAAAAAAAAAAAAAAAGCAACAAGCUGAACAAAUGAAACAACAUACAAUACAAAAACAAAAACAAAAAAUCAAGUGUAUUCCCACACAACUAACAUACAAUACAACUCUAAAAACUACAAGUCAUCUCCAAAUCCAAACUACAACACAUACAAAAGUCAAAAAACUACCACUCAUCAUCGUCUUCGUCUUCGUCUUCUGCAUCCUCAGCCGCACACGCAGGAUCUGAUUCCUCAUCCGUGUUGAUAUCAUCCGGUGGGUCUAGACCUUUUGCAGCCUGAACUGCAUCACCAGGACAUGGAAUAAUCCCUGCAAAUUGAAUAAAAGAGCUGAACUGCAAAUUGAAUAAAAGAGCUGAACUGCUCCUGCAGCAUCCUGAUUUGUGAUGAUGUUUCCUCUUCCUUCUACGCCCCCCCUCUUUGCAACAAGCUCCUCAGUGAGUUUAGAAAUCGUAUUUUUUAGUGAUUCAACGGUUUCUCCAUUAACUGACGAGGUAUAGGAUGUAGGGUCGAAGGAAGACCUAACAUUAUCGCCAAAAUAAUUUUUGCGGUAUCCGUAGUAAUGGCCUCUAACUGCAGGAUCCACAGUUUGUUCCCAUAACUCCUCCUCUACAUGUUUGGGUAUUGGGUCACCCUGCUGAGCACUACGAAACUCACUAAGGAGCUGUAUAUAUUUGUCCUAUAUUCAAAGUAAAGUUAAAAUUAAUAGUCAAAGAAUACUAAAGUACUUAUACUUGAAUAAUAUCAACUUUGAGAAAAAGAUUCAUAAAUUCAAAAUUUGAUUCUUACAUGGGCAGCUUUUGCACGAGGCUCAACCUAGACAUCUUCAUCAGUCAGGUUCUUUUUCUUCUUCACAUGCGUCUCCUCGAAGGGUAUCUUCCUACCCUUUUCUUUUUCCAGCAUAUGGAAAAAUUAUUAAAAAUUUAAAUAGAAACAAACAAUUAAAACUAUAAAAGAUACAUAUCAUUUUUUCCUCCACAGCAAUCAUACUAACUGCACCCGCAGUAUGUAGAGAGCCACCCUUGGAUGAUGCCCGGCUUUCUUUCCUUUGUCUCUCAACAAUUGGUUUUCUUCGCUAUUCCAAUAGCAAAUAUACUAUUGUCAAUUGGAUUCGAAUAUAAACCCUGGUCGUAAUGUUGGUUAUGGCAUAAUCCAACAGACCGUUAAAUCUGGAUCUAGCUAUUCUGUAAAAAUUCCUCCUUAUAGCACAUUCAUUCGCAUCAUCCCACUAAUAAUAUUUCUACAACAAAAAUAAAAAUAUAGUAAUAUUCAAUCUUUUGUUCUAACAAUGUGUUAAGUAGUCGAUAAGUUAAAUCCUUACCUGAAAUUCAUUAAACAUUUUUUCUCUGUUAUUUUCUGGAACCUUUUACCAACUGGUCCAGUAGCCGUUGAAGUGCCAAAAAUGCAUUUACUCGCAAUUUUUCCAACUCCAGCAUAAACCUACAACACAAGAUCAAACAGUAAUUUCAUGGAGCAUAAUAAUAUAGUAACAAAAAAUGAAUAAUGCUAUUAUAUUUAGAAAUCUUACCCUGUUCCAUAUGGAAUAAGAUAACGCCUACCAUAAUCAUCUCGAUCUCCGAGCCGCGGAGCAAGUGCUGGUGGAUGCACUGGCGUGGGCGGAUCUGAAGCACCGGAUGGAGUGCCUCCAAGAUGAAGAUCCGACAACCCAAUAGAUCCAGCAGAAUUACUAUGCGAACAUGGGUGACUGCUACAGGAGAGUACUGACGAUGAUAUAUGUCCGGAUGUGCCAACGGUCGUCCGACAAUACUGUGAUGGCGAUGGCACGGUGUUAGGAGCAGAAUGAGUCGGUGUAGACCCAUGAAGUGGCCCCACAUACGUAGGAGCAGGAACCGAAUGCUGAGACAACCUAGAAUAUGAGGGUCGUGCUGGCGCGUCAACAAACCGACCCUCAGAUAUAUGAAUACCUGUCGGUCGUCUAUAAGGCGGAGGUUUUUUCUCUUUUGUUUUUGUAGGUUUAACUUUUCCCUUACCUUUGUCACCUCUACCUGACAUCUAAAUUAUGUCAAGUUAACAAGUAGUUAGUUCCUACAAAAUGAAUAUAUAUAAGAAAACAUUCCAAGUAACUAAUUCACAUUUCAAAUCGCUCCAACAACACGAGAUAGACAAGAAUAUUUUAUUACUAUAUAAAUUAUGGAAAGUGAAAACAACAAUCUUAAACAGUAUAUUACAUAUCAAUCUUAAACAAGAAACAUAAAGGUAAAUAUAUAGUACAAAGCAUAUAAAGACAUCAAUACAUAAUAAAUACAACCUACACAAACUAAUCCUCCUCUCCUGAAGAUUCUCCAUUAAACCAUUCACCCUCUUCGAAAGUUUCCUCAUCUCCUACCCACUAAGCCUCUUCUUACGCAAUAUUAACUUGUUCAAAUAUAUUUUACGGGUGAUUCAAACUAUCCACUAAGUCAAUGUCCACUAGCUGGUGAUCAAUCUGCAUUUCAUUUUGAUAUGUAGUCUCCAACACAUUCUCAACUUUCAGCCGUCCUAGGCUUCGUUUUGAUUACAACCCACCAAUCAAACUUAUCACUGCACAACAGAUAAGGAGCAUAAUACACUUGUUUAGCAUUUUGCGCUAAAACAAAUGGAUCGUAAACAGGAUACAACCUAUUGUGCUUCACUUCAAUGAUGUUAUGCUCCUUAUGUACUCUUGUGCUUGGAUCAAACCACUUACAUCGAAAAAGGACAAUUUUUUUUAUUGGGAAACCAGCAUACUCCAAUUCUAAGAUCUCGUGUAUGAUGCCAAAGUAAUCAACAUCAUCAUCACCCUUAACCUAAACACCAUUGUUUUUCUUGUUCUGGAGUGUUCUUUGGUGGAAAAUUUAAACCCAUUUACUGUGUAAUGGGACAUUGCAUGAACUUCAACUGCACCCAAAAAAAUAUCUCUCAAAAACUGAUCGUAUGCGGCUGCAUUUGGUGACUGGCGCACCUAAAAAUAUUAUAUAUAUAUAUAUAUAUAUAUAUGUUAGUUGAGGAAUGUGUAAAUGUUUAAAAUUUGUAGAAAUAUUAAUACACUUACGAACUUCAUAUGUAAACCAUGUUGCAAAAGAUGCAUACACUUGAUUUUCGUGGAAUUGAGUCUUAAAUGAACUGAAGAUCCAACAUGUGAAAUACAAUUAGUUUCUUUAAGUGAAUGAGUAAAUAAAUAAGAUAUGUUACAAUUUUAAUCUCCUUACUUUAGAAAGGGCUCAACUUUCGGGCAAUUAAACAAGACAGAUAAAAGAUGUUAAUUUGCGCUCCGUGGGAGUGAGCUAGCGAAAUAUGGACCAGAUUGAUUGAAAAUUGAUAUUGGUUGCAAAUAAGGCUCAUUCUCAUCAUCCUGAUGACGAUUCAGUCGGUUUUUUGAACAAGUAACUUCAUCACGAAAGUAGUAUGAACAAAAUUGAGAUGUUUCUCUUGCAAGAUAUGCCUCAACUAUAGAGUCUUCCACCCUAUGUUUUUGGGACCCCUUUUCAAUUUUCCAAUUGUCCUUCACAAUCUUAAAAUUAGAUGUUUACUAUAUUAAAAAAAGAUAUGUAUGAAUUUAAAUAUGUUGUAAUUGCUUACCGUUCGAAUGGAUACAUCCACCUUGUUUGAACUGGACCGCCUAGCCGAGCUUCGUGCACAAGGUGAAUGGGAAGAUGUUCCAUCACAUCGAAGAACGCUGACGGAAAAAUCUUCUCUAACUUGUUGGUGAUAACAACAUUACUUUCCAUUCGCACCAGAUUUUCUUCUUUUAAAAUGGUGGCACAUAAGUUUUUGAAGAACAAACUAAUCUCUGCUAUUAAUUUCCAUAUGUCUUCAGGUAAACCAAUAAAAGCAAUUAUUUCAUGAAAACAUGACAAUCAUGGCUUUUCAUUCCAUGCAAAAUUCCUUGUGCCAUAUCAACCCUUUUUCCCAAAUUUGAGGCAUAUUCAUCGGGCAUCUUCAAACUUUGGAUCCACUCACAUAUUUGACGCUUUUGGUCCAACUUGAAUGUAAAACUAGCCUUGGGCUUAAGAACAUUGCCAUUGGGCCCCUCCUGUAAGUGUAAUUCUCUGCGUUUGCAAUAUUCUGGUAAGUCAAGUCUGGCCUUAGGAUUAUCCUUUGUUUUACCGAUGAAAUCCAUAACUGUGUUGAACAAGUUUUCAAAAUAGUUCUUCUCAGUAUGCAUGACAUCAACAUUAUGUCUAAGUAAAUUAUCUGGCCAAUAUUGUAACUCUCAAAAUAUACUUUAUUUAGUCCAGUUAUGCGAAACGCCAGAUCCAUCCAGCCUAUACAAUGGUUCCUCGCUGACUUUAGGCAAAUCCUGGACUAUCUCCCAGAUGUCAUGAAUAGAUAGCCUUGAAGAUAGACGAUCAUGUUUCCUUCUGAAUGCAUUCUUGAGUCUCCUAAAUUUAUGAUCAGGUGGCAAGAAAUAACGAUGACAAUCAAACCAUGAAUUUUUCCCGCCACGUCUCAACGUGAAAGAUUUUGUUUUUUCCAUGCAGUAUGGACAAGCCAACUUUCCAGUUGUCAUCCACCCAGACAACAUUCCAUAAGCAGGAAAAUCAUUAACAGUCCACAUUAGAUAUGCACGCAGAUGGAAAUUCUAUUUAAGUGAGAUGUCCCAAGUUUCAACCCCCUUAUGCCAUAAAAUUUGAAGUUCAUCGAUCAAAGGUUAUAUAAGUAGACAUCUAUUCUGCUUUUUGGGUUACGCGGGCCAGGAAAAUACAAUUCAGAAAUAUAUAGGGACUAAUCAUCAACACUUCAGGAGGAAGAUUAUACGGGGUGAUAAAUCCAGGCCAACAUGAAUAUGGCCCAGCACCAACUGAAAAAGAAAGGAAGCCAUCCGCACAUAAUCUCAAACAAAUAUUUUGUGGCUCAGCUGCAAAAUCUGGAUAAGCAGCAUCAAAAUGCUUCCAAGCCACUCCAUCAAAUAGAUGACACAUAACUCCAGUGGGCCUUUUAUUUCCACUGUGCCAUCAAAUAUGAGGAGCUGAGCUGUUUGAAACAUACAACCUCUUCAACUUUGAUAUUAGAGGUAAAUAAUGCAUCACCUUAAUAGCAAUUUUAUUUUCACUACAACCACGCUUAUAUCGAGGGUGGCCUUAUAGAAAGAAUCAAGAACCUCUAAGUCAGGGUCAACUAACUCUUUAAUAAGAUCUUUCAUUGAGUCCAUUCCUCCUUCAGCAAUAUUCAAGUUAGAUUUAAUACUUAAUAUUCUAACAGCAACAGACAAACGAGAGUGCGAACACUCGUCAAACAAAGAAUGACUAGUAACAUGCAAUCCUUUGUCUGUUGGGUGUUUGCACUCUCGUUUGUCUGUUGCUGUUAGAUUAUUAAGUAUUAAAUCUGACUGAAAUAUUGCUGAAGGAGGAAUGGACUCAAUGAUAGACCUUAUUAAAGAGUUAGUUGACCCCGACUUAGAGGUUUCUGAUUCUUUCUAUAAGGCAAAGAGAUUGGUGUCAAAGUUAGGUCUCUCCUCGGUUAGAAUUGAUUGUUUUGAAAAUGGCUGCAUGUUAUACUUUAAGGAAGAUGCUAACCUAGAGUCCUGUAAGUUUUGCAAGCACCCUCAAUAUAAGCGUGGUUGUAGUGGAAAUAAAAUUGCUAUUAAGGCGAUGCAUUAUUUAUCUCUAAUAUCAAAGUUGAAGAGGUUGUAUGCUUCAAACAGCUCAGCUCCUCAUAUGAGGUGGCACAGUGAAAAAUAGAAGGCCCACUAGUGUUAUGUGUCAUCUAUCUGAUGGAGAGGCUUGGAAGCAUUUUGAUGCAACUUAUCCAGAUUUUACAGCUAGGAAAUAUUCGUUUGGGAUUAUAUGCGGAUGGCUUCUCUCCUUUUUCAAAUGGUGCUGCGCCAUAUUCAUGUUGGCCUGGAUUUAUCACCCCGUGUAAUCUUCCUCCUGAAGUGUUGAUGACUAGUACCUAUAUAUUUCUGAAUUGUGUUUUCCUGGCCCGCGUAAUCCAAAAAGCGGAAUAGAUGUCUACUUACAACCUUUGAUCGAUGAACUUCAAAUUUUAUGGCAUGAGGGGGUUGAAACUUGGGACAUCUCACUUAAACAAAAUUUCAAUCUGCAUACAUAUCUAAUAUGGAUUGUUAAUGAUUUUCCUGCUUAUGGAAUGUUGUCUGGGUGAAUGACAGCUAGAAAAUUGGCUUGUCCAUACUGCAUUGAAAAAACAAAAUCUUUCACAUUGAGACAUGGCAAGAAAAAUUCAUGAUUUGAUUGUCAGCGUUGUUUCUUGCCACAUGAUCAUGAAUUUAGGAGACUCAAGAAUGCAUUCAAAGGGAAUAGAAAGGAACAUGAUGGUCUACCUCCAAGGCUAUCUGGUCAUGAAAUCUGGGAGAUAGUUCAAGAUUUGCCUAAAGUCAGUGAGGAACCAUUGUAUAGGCUGGAUGGAUAUGGCGUUUCUCAUAACUGAACUAAGCAAAGUAUAUUUUAGGAGUUAAAAUAUUGGCCAGAUAAUUUACUUAAGACAUAAUGUUGAUGUCAUGCACACUGAGAAGAACUAUUUUAACAACUUGUUCAACACAGUUAUGGAUGUCACCGGUAAAAUAAAAGAUAAUCCUAAGGCCAGAAUUGACUUACCAGAAUAUUGCAAACGCAGAGAAUUACACUUACAGGAGGGGCCCAAUGGCAAUGUUCUUAAGCCCAAGGCUAUUACAUUCAAGUUGGACCAAAAGCGUCAAAUAUGUAAGUGGGUCCAAAGUUUGAAGAUGCCCGAUGGAUAUGCCUCAAAUUUGGGAAAGAGAGUUGAUAUGGCACAAGGAAUCUUGCAUGGAAUGAAAAGCCAUUGUCAUGUUUUCAUGGAACAAUUACUUCCAAUUGAGUUUAUUAGUUUAUCUGAAAACAUAUGAAAACCAAUAGUUGAGAUUAGUUUGUUCUUCAAAAACUUAUGUGCCACCACAUUAAAAGAAGAAAAUCUGGCGCGAAUGGAAAGUAAUAUUGUUGUUAUCACCAACAAGUUGGAGAAGAUUUUUCUGCCAGUGUUCUUCGAUGUGAUGGAACUUCCGCCAGCGUUCUUCGAUGUGAUGGAACAUCUUCCCAUUCACCUUGUGCACGAAGCUCGGCUAGGCGGUCCAGUUCAAACUAGGUGGAUGUAUCCAUUCGAACGGUAAGCAAUUGCAACAUAUUUAAAUUCAUACAUAUCUUUUUUUAAUAUAGUAAACAUCUAAUCUUAAGAUUGUGCAGGACAAUUGAAAAAUUAAAAAGGGGUCCCAAAAACAAACAUAGGGUGGAAGACUAUAGUUGAGGCAUAUCUUGCAAGAGAAACAUCUCAAUUUUGUUUAUACUACUUUCGUGAUGAAGUUGCUUGUUCAAAAACCAACUGAAUCUUCAUCAGGAUGAUGAGAAUAAACCUCAUUUGAAAACGAUAUCAAUUUUUAAUCAAUCUGGUCCAUAUUUCGCUGUUGCACUCCCACGAAGCGCAAAUUAACAACUUUAUAUGCCUUGCUGAAUUGCCCGAAAGUUGAGCCCUUUCUGAAGUAAGGAGAUUAAAAUUGUAACGUAUCUUAUUUAUUUACUCAUUCCCUUAAGAAAACUAAUUGUGUUUCGCAUGUUGGAUCUUCAGUUCAUUUAAGACUCAAUUCCACGAAAAUCAAGUGUAUGCAUCUUUUGCAACAUGGUUUACAUAUGAGGUUCGUAAGUGUGUUAAUAUUUCUACAAAUUUUAAAUAUUUCUACAAAUUUUAAACAUUUACACAUUCCUCAACUAACAUAUAUAUGUAUAAUAUUUUUAGGUAUGCCAGUCACCAAAUGCAGCCGCAUACGAUCAGUUCUUGAGAGAUAUGUCUUUGGGUGCAGUUGAAGUUCAUGCAAUGUCCCAUUACACAGUAAAUGGGUUUAAAUUUCCACCGAAGAACGCUCCAGAACAAGAAAAACAAACAAUUGUGAUGUUUGGGUUAAGGGUGAUGAUGAUGUUGAUUACUUUGGCAUCAUACACGAGAUCUUAGAACUGGAGUAUGCUGGUUUCCCAUUAAAAAAUUGUCCUCUUUCGAUGUAAGUGGUUUGAUCCAAGCACAAAAGGCACAAGAGUACAUAAGGAGCAUAACAUCAUUGAAGUGAAGCACAAUAGGCCGUAUCCUGUUUACGAUCCAUUUGUUCUAGCGCAAAAUGCUAAGCAAGUGUAUUAUGCUCCUUAUCCGUUGCAUAGUGAAAAGUCUGAUUGGUGGGCAGUAAUCAAAACAAAGCCUAUCGGACGGGUGGAAAUUGAGAAUGUGUUGGAGACUUCAUAUCAAAAUAAAAUGCAAAUUGAUCACCAGCUAGUGGACAUUGACUUAGUGGAUAGUUUGAAUCACCCGGAAAAUAUAUUUGAAGUUAAUAUUGCGUAAGAAGAGGCUGAGUGGGUAGGAGAUGAGGAAACUUUCGAAAAGGGUGAAUGGUUUAGUGGAGAAUCUUCAGGAGAGGAGGAUUAGUUUGUGUAGGUUGUAUUUAUUAUGUAUUGAUGUCUUUAUGCUUUGCACUAUAUAUUUACCUUUAUGUUUCUUGUUUAAGAUAGAUAUGUAAUAUACUGUUUAAGAUUGUUGUUUUCACUUUUCCAUAAUUUAUAUAGUAAUAAAAAUAUUCUUGUCUAUCUCGUGUUGUUAAGCGAUUUGAAAUGUGAAUUAGUUACUUAGAAUGUUUUCUUAUAUAUUCAUUUUGUCGGAACUAACUACUUGUUAACUUUACAUAAUUUAGAUGUCAGGUAGAGGUGACAAAGGUAAGGGAAAAGUUGAUCCUACAAAAACAAGAGAGAAAAAACAACCUCCGCCUUAUAGACGACUGACAGGUAUUCAUAUAUCUGAGGGUCGGUUUGCUGACGCGCCAGCACGACCCGCAUAUUCUAGGUCGUCUCAACAUUCGGUUCCUGCUCCUACGCAUGUGGGGCCACUUCAUGGGUCUACACCGACUCAUUCUACUCCUAUCACCGUGCCACCGCCAUCACAAUAUUGUCGGACGACCGCUGGCACAUCCGAACAUAUACCAUUGUCAGUACUCUCUUGUAGCAGUCACCCACGUUCGCACAGUGAUUCUGCUGGAUCUAUUGGGUUGUCGACUCUUCAUCUUGGAGGCACUCCAUCCGGUGCUUCAGAUCCGCCCACGCCAGUGCAUCCACCAGCACUUGCUCCGCUGUCCGGAGACAGAGAUGAUUAUGGGAGGCGUUAUCUUAUUCCAUAUGGAACAGGGUAAGAUUUCUAAAUAUAAUAACAUUAUUCAUUUUUCAUUACUAUAUUAUUAUGCUCCAUGAAUUUACUGUUUGAUCUUGUGUUGUAGAUUUAUGUUGGAUGCUGCGGCUACUGGACCAGUUGGUAAAAGGUUUCAGAAAAUGACAGGGAAAAAAUGUUAAAGAAUUGCAGGUAAUUAUUUAACUUAUCAACUACUUAACACAUUGUUAGAACAAAAGAUUUAAUAUUAUAUUUUUAUUUUUGUUGUAGAAAUAUUACUGGUGGGAUGAUGCGAAUGGAUGUGCUAUAAAGAGGAAUUUUUACAGAAUAGCUAGAUCCAAAUUUAUCGGUCUGUUGGAUUAUGCCAUAACCAACAUGGUACGACCAGGGUUUAUACUCGAAUCCAAUUGGCAACAGUAUAUUCGCUAUUGGAAUAGCGAAGAAUACCAAUUGUUGAGAGACAAAGGAAAGAAAGCCCGGGCAUCAUCCAAGGGUGGCUCUUUACAUACUACAGGUAAAGUUAGUAUGAUUAUUGUGGAGGAAAAAAUGGUAUGUAACUUUUACAGUUUUAAUUAUUUGUUUCUAUUUAAAUUUUUCAUUAUUUGAAGAUCAAUAAUUUUUUCAUAUGCAGAAAAAAGAAAAGGGUAGGAAGAUGUCCUUCGAUGAGCUAUUCGAGGAGACGCAUGUGAAGAAGAAAAAGAACCCGACUGAUGAAGAUGUCUGGGUUGAACCUCGUGCAAAAGUUGCCCAUGUAAGAAUCAAAUUUCGAAUUUAUGAAUCUUUUUCUCAAAGUUGAUAUUAUUCAAGUAUAAGUACUUUAAUAUUUUUUGACUAUUAAUUUUAACUUUACUUUGAAUAUAGAACAAAUAUAUGUAGCUCCUUAGUGAGUUUCGUAGUACUCAGCCUCCUGAAAGUCAAGAUGACCCAAUACCCAAACAUAUAGAGAAGUUAUGGGAACAAACUAUGGGUCCUGCAGUUAGAGGCCAUUACUACGGAUACCGCAAAAAAUAUUUUAGCGAUAAUGUUAGGUCUUCCUUCGGCCCUACAUCCUAUACCUCGUCAGUUGAUAGAGAAACCAUUGAAUCACUAAAAAAUACGAUUUCUAAACUCACUGAGGAGCUUGCUGUAGAGAGAGGGAGGACGUAGAAGGAGGAGAAAACAUCAUCACAAAUCAGGAUGCUGCAGGAGUAGUUCAGCUCUUUUAUUCAAUCUGCAGGGAUUAUUCUUCCAUGUCCUGGUGCUGCAGUUCGAGCUGCAAAAGGUGUAAGACCACUGGAUGAUAUCAGCACGGAUGAGGAAUCAGAUCCUGCGUGUGCGGCUGAGAAUGCAGAAGACGAAGACGAUGAUGAGUGGUAGUUUUUUGACUUUUGUAUGUGUUGUAGUUUGUAUUUGGAGAUGACUUGUAGUUUUUACAUUUUUGUAUGUUUUUAGAGUUGUAUUGUAUGUUAGCUGUGUGGGAAUACACUUGGUUUGUUGUUGUUGUUGUAUUGUAUGUUGUUAUUUCAUUUGUUCAGCUUGUUGCUUUUUAUUUUUUAAAAAAAAAUCCCAGAAAAAUCGACCACAUGUGGUCGGUUUUUGUGGUCAGUUUUCUUGUUUUUUUAGUAGUGUAUGAACCACUUUCACUCAUCUUGAGCAGGCAGAGAAACCAAAAAAGAUUAAAUCAAAAAAGAUUAAAUGGGCUUCACAGUAGGGAUAGAGUGGAUCCCAAAUUUAGAACUAGAAGGUUAUGCAUUUGUUAUAAUAUGUACUAUUUUCAAUAUCUUUCAUAUAUAGAUACGACCUAAUUAAACAAGUAAUAAUUAUAUUGAUGUGGAUAGAAAUAGAAAGCAUGAACUAUAUAAGGAGCACCUGCCUCAAAAGGAUAGCUUCUAUGAAUCCCUAUAUAAGUAGUACCUGCCUCACAAGGAUAGUUCUACUUGAAACUCAAUGUUACAGGCUAUUUUACUACGAAGUCCGCUAAUCAGCUUUUCCUUUCCCUUGAUCGAAAGGACUCCUGUCAUAUUAAUCACGUUAUCCUUGGAUACAGAAAUUGAAAACCCAUCCAAAAAGAAAAUUCUUUCUAUGGCAUCUUUGCUAGAAAAGAAUACCCACAUUGGACCUCCUCAGCCAAAACAUUAGAAGCUCUAGUACUUGCUCCUGCUGUAAUUCCCAUCCAGAAGAUGCUAACCACAUUUUCUACCACUGUAGAGCUAAUUGGGCCGACUAAAUCCGCUAACAUAAGUUGUCCUGACCUUAGUGUUAACUGAACAGGCUAAAUUUUAUUCAAUGGCAAGCAUGGUAUGUUUCUUCAUAACUCCUUUGCUGUAGAAAAGAAAGCAGUUUUUGCUUUCUACCUUUCGAAUAUUUGCCUUAACAGAAACAAUAACCAGUUUGAUAACAAAAAGAACUUUAUUGUCCUUAACAGCAUCUUCCUAUGGGCAGUGGAAUUCUUCUCCUUAACUGACCCCCACCAUAGCACCAAUAACAACCACUCCAGUAACAACCAUUCCACAGCGAAUGACAUGGUGCACUACAUGAACCACACGAACAACAUUUUAUCUGGGUUUGUUAGAAGGACAAUUUAGGAACUAGGAAGAUGGGGAGGUUACUUCAGAGGCAACUCUGGCAGUUGAAUUCUAGGUCAUGCAAACAAGUUCUGCAUCACUACAGCUGACGAAUCUUAGCUGCUUGCCCUUAUUCAUGGAUUGCAGUUUGUUCGCAGAUUGCCACGGACAGUAAUUUCAUAUUUAUGGAGUCGCAUGCAGUAAUAAGCCUACCGGAAAAAAAAAAAUCCAUUAUACUCGCAUAUAUUGGAUGAUUGAAGGUAGUUACCAUCUGAUCAUGGCAUCCUCGAAUACAACAUGUUUGUAGGACAAAAUUUUAUCCCAUCUUCUUUAUGAGAUAGUAAUCCCACAUUUUAAUACAGAUGCAGGGGCGGACCUACAUUCAUUUGUGGGGUGCUCCGGUACCCACUAAACUCGACGCGGAAUAAAAUAAAAAUUACAUAGAAAAUAUACAAAAAUCGAUAUAUAAUAUAUAAAAGUACCCACUAAACAAAAAGUUGGUUGGGUGUAUUGGUGUUUAGGUUGACUUUAAGCUUCUACACUAGAAACGAUGCCCGGGUUCAAACCUCAUUGAGGUGAAUUUUUAUUUUUUUCAGUUUUUAAAUUUUUUAAGCACCCACUAUGUCCGCCACUGGAGGUAGGAUAAAAUAAUGUUGGGAUUAGCUAAUUCUUAAAAAAUAAAAACAUGGGAUAACGUUAAUUUCAAAAUUUUAUCACGGGAUUAUUAUCCUUGUCCCAGUUUCAUAAAGAUGCUUAAAAGUUUUUAUGUGCGAUAAAAGAGCAAUACCUGAAGCCUGUGUAAUUCAUCAGACAUAGUUUUAUGGGCAUUCGACAGUAAUUCACUUUCUUUCUCCAGAUGCCUAAACCACAAAUACAUAAUUUAUAAUCACACAAAAAUUAAAACCUAACAUACAAAACUAAGAAAAGAAAAUAUGAAAAUAAGCGAAGACAUAAAUUUACUUCAAGGUUUCUGCAGUAUAUUUAGGAUCCAUGAAAAAAAAUUGAUUAUAAACCCUUCGCGUCGAUUUCAACAGGAGAACCGCAGCUGCAAACUGAUAUACUCUUGACACAGGCUUUAAGAAAUCAAUAAAUAGAAAUAUAAUUGAGUGUAUUUGGCCGUAUGUUAAUGGAGAUGGACUAGAUAAAUAGAGAAAAGUUGUUGAGGAGAAAGGCAAAAACCGUCGAGAUUAAUUCGCCAUUACCCGAUGGUUUGAGGAACGUUAAAUGAAGAGGUCGCUAGUUUGGUUGGGGGUCUGCUUACAAUAUCAAUAUAAUUAGGAUAAGUUUUAAGUUGUGGGUUAAGGUUUUGAGUUGGAUCAAGAACCAAUUAGGUCGGUCUGUAAUUGGAUGAGAUUUAAGGGACUAAAAUUAGAUAGACCAGUUAGCCGCAAUUUUUAGGCUAAAAAUAACUAAAAUAAGACCUCUUUGGUCAUGAAAAUUAUUUUUUUUAAGAGUUAGAUUUAUGUUUAACCAUGAAUAUAAAUUAAAGUUGUUUUUAAAAUUCUGUGAGAAAAAUAUGAGUAAAAAAUGUGAAAAUAAGUAAAAUUUAUUUUGACUUUAUUUUGGAAAGUUUAUGGCCAAAUGAAGCGUGUUUUUACUUUUUCACUAAAGUGAAAUAAUUUUUUGAAAAAAAAAGGAAAAACCAAACGGCUACUAAAUAUUUGGCCCAAAUGCACGAAAAUUCUGAUUUUCUUCAAUUAUUCUCCCCUUAAUUAAUUUAACGAUAUUUAUUAUCGUCCUAAUUAAUUUUUCAUGAUGCGUCUAUAUACGUAUGCAUAUAAACUUAAACAAAUGUAACUAUAUUUCAUAAUUCAAAAAACUGGAGCAAGUAGACAACCAAUGGCAAUAAUGAAACUAAAUUCAAAUGUAAGGUUAAAAUGGUAAAUUGAGCAUACUAAAUAUCUAAAAGUUUUGUUUUAUGCGUGGAUUUGUGCACAUUGCACAUAGCUAUAGAACUCUAGAAGUUUUUCGGAUAAAGCCUAAGGUUGGUACCAUAUGUUUUGAAGCUGCUGCGAACCAAGGAGCAGCUCUUCUUGCCGGCGGAGAGAAGGGCAUGAGGUAUGCAAUGCCAAAUGCACGUAUAAUGGGUCAUCAACCUCAAAGUGAUUGUGGGGUAAAUUCUUUCAGGUAACUUUUCCUGUCAAUUUUACCCCAAUCUUCUCUUGAUUUUUUACUUUCAUGAACUGAUGCUUCCUUCCUUUCUUAGGCUAUUUCUUUUGCCAUAUUUCUAGUUCCUUUCACACUUUUGAUUUCCAUUAUCUCGUCUAGAUUUCAAGUUUAGGUAUGUUUUCUAGCAUAUUUUUCCAAAUUCUCUUCUCAUCUUGAUUAUAUCUUUUGUCCAGUUAUUCUAUUUUAUACCCUUUCGCCUUUAGCAUUUUUUUUUUUGUUUUUUCAAGUCUUCAAAUAAUUUUUUUUUUUUUUUUUUCAAGUCCUCAAAAUCCUUUAUAUAUAAGGCUCCUUAUUGAGCUAAAAAUGGAGGUCUCGGAGGUGAAAAACUUUUCAGCAAGAAAUCUCAUUUUUUAGUAUAAAAAUUUUUUCGCAAAAAGUUGUCAACUACUGAAGGUUCUUGGAGUCGCAGCAAAGCUUUUCGGUGGUGGUCGAGAGUCCGUCGACAGCUUGAAAUCCCGUUUUACUGCCCUAAAAGAGGUAUACUCUUUUCCCUUUUAAUUUUGUCAUUUUUAUUCUUUAUCGCUUUCUCCGUAGCAAUAGUCGUUAGUCGUAAUCGCGAUGAGGCUGGAAAUUAUUUUUUAUAGAAGGUUUUGAAGGCCAUUAGAUUUUCGUGCAAUGUACUAUUAUGUCAAGUUAAGUGCUUUUACUCUAGUUAUUUGAUUCACCGUUCAACUUGUGUUAGUUUUUAAUUCUAUUGUUUCAUCUCGUCGUCCCCCAUUAAUGUUGUUUCACUGUUCUAUGUCUGAAUUGGUGUUUCAUGUGUUAAUUUUCUCAUUUAUUUUAGUCCACUACCUUGGCUAUAUGCUUUCUGGUUCGGUUUUUGGUCUACUAGUAUUUAUUUGUUGUAUUCAUUUCUUCUUCUCACUUCCCUAUACUUUCAAAAAUUAUCCCAAUGUAUCCUACCCUCUUCUCAUAUCAACUAAAAAAGAAAUUAUAUUAAUUGUACACUUGGUUAAGGAGUGCUAAUUUGCAAUCAUGAGUUGAAAGAAUGAGUUGUUUAAGCUACGAUUAGGAUUCUUGAUCAUGUUUUCUUUAUUUUACUAAGUCGAAUAAACUUAUUUCUUUGAAAUCCUCCUGUAAACUCUCUUGGAAUAAUUACAUGUGUUAUAUGUUCUAUACAUAAUUGAUGUUGAUUUCAUCAUAAGAUAAUUUACAAUCUCCGUUUAUAUGUUAAUAUAGUUUCUUUUGAGUAUACAUACAGAAGGAGAUGGCAAAACUAUGUUUUAUUCCUAAAUGAUGUCAAUUUAUUUUUCUUUUCUCCUUUUGCUUAAUUCUUAACUUGCUACAGUAUUUUGAUGGUGUGCUUUAGUCUUGUCUAGUUGAGGAUGUGUUUUGAUGAUUACUGCUACAACUAUAUCCCUCUAUCUAAAAGCAUUUGUAUUUGUGCAUAAUUUUUGCCCUUUCCCUGUUAUGAUUAAGUUUCCUGGUUAGUCACUUGAUUCGAGCAUGUUUGUGUUCAGGCAUGAUGUUCUUCGAAACAGCUCGCAACUUGCAUUUCCUUGUUUAUGGUAACAUGAGAAUUUCAUAUAUAGUUUUAGUAUUGCAUGGUCUAUUAAAGUGUAUGAGUUCACUUUAAAUUUACUGUUAGAAGGAAAUUAAAAAUUCUGUUGCUUCUAGGGUUAAGUGUGACCUCAUUUGUCUUCUAUGGUUUGAUUGUUUUAUUUCCUCUAUAACAUGAAAAAUAAAAUGAGCAGCUCACCUGCAUCUGAUAAUAAGGAUAAUGAAAGUAGAAUAGCCUCACAGUAGUCUUCCUAGUAAUUUUGCCUAAUCACUAUCAACAGACUUUUUGUUUGAUAUUCAUAGUCAUAUUUUGACUGAAAAAGUGCUCCAGUAAUUUCUUUUUCCUCUUAGUAAAUUUUCUGCACACAUGUUAAUUCUCGUAUCUUUUCUUUGCGUGAACCUAUUUUGGAGUUCAAAUGGACUUUUUCUCCUUGCAUUUCAUAAUGGGCCAACAUGGCCCACUUUCUCGAGUCAAGCCCGAAAGGAAGUCCAAAGCCGGUUACAUAGCGCGUGGAUACGAGAAGACGGAAGAAGGAAAAUGGGUCAAAAUCCCAUCAUUACAGUUGCCAAGAGACUCGAAAGUCUCGAUUUUAUUAGUCUUAUUCUUUUUUUAUAUUUCAUUUAUUUAUUUAUUCAUUUAUUUGGGCCUCGAAGCUAAAGCUGUAAACGAAUACAGGUGAAACAUAUUUUGGACCCAAAAGGUCUAGAAAGAUAGUUUAAAAUAGGUUAUAGGCCAAUGCCCAAAUACUUAGAUUAGGACAAGUGAAGAUGGGUCGAAAGCCCAAUUAGAUUAGGACAUGAUUGAUGGAUUUGGGCUUAAGAGCCAACCAUAAUGCCUCCAUGGACGGGCAGCGUGCUCCAUUCUUAGUAUUGCACAGUCAGUCCCGCAUGAGUAGAGGCGUUGUUGGGUGUGAAUGUCCCUUCGAAGUCUCGCAUGCUUUACGCUUUUCACCAGCUUUCCCUCUAGUAAAAUAUUAACUCGUACCCUCUCUCUGUGUCUAGUCUCAGUAUCAACAGAAGAAAAGGACUGACCGACCACCUAAAUCAAUUAUUUCUCCCCUUUUUCCCUUUUCUAUGUUUAUUUGCUAUAUGCUUCUUCGAACUUAGUUAAAUCUUCUACGAAGUCGUUAAAAAAUGAACUUUGCUUAAAACUCAAAAAAUAUUUUCUUAAUCAAUUUAUUUUUUCAAUAAUCAUUUUUAAAGUUAGUCAAAAGAAUCAUUUUCAAAUAAUCUGGAUAACCGCAAGUUAGCGUAUACUCUUGGUGCCUUAAUAACCUUCCAAGAGUAUUAAUAAGAACCGCUUACCUAGAAUCUCAAAACUUAAAUGAUUUUUCUGUUUUGAAUCAUUUAAGUAAUUUAUAAAGGUUUUCUUAAUUUUUCUAAAUAAACUAAGUGGCUACUCUAAAUAGUUAUUUCUCCACAAAACAGAAAUGUCGACUCUGUUGAGGAUUUAACUAGGUUCUAACCAAAUGUUUAAAUUUAUCUUUUGACUAACUAUUUAAAUUGUUUAAGUGCUUACAUAUUCUAAUUCUAUGAAAUUUAACUGUUGCAUUUCAUGGUAUAAUCCUGCAUGAUUAUUAAAUUAUUUUAGGGUUUCGUGGAUGUCCCGGCCCAUGUUGAUCAACUAUUCCGAAGGUGUAACCUAGGCAAUGAAAAAGAGGGCCCGAUACUUCAACUAGAGGAGUAACCAGUUGGUUCACCAAACUCGACCCAGCAUCACAUAUUCUCUAGGUCCGAAGGAAUCCAGUGCCCAACUACCAACUCCUCCCGAAAUUGAGUAAUCGGAGCCGAGCCAGCAAUGGCCGUUAGUGGACACCCACCACUUUUCACCAGUUAGAGAGGCCCUCUAUAAUACAAAUCAAGUGUUGGGAAUACGAUAGUUUAUCGGCACGUUAGGCGGUCGGAGGCUAUUCGUAUCUCCAAACCCAAGUUGUUCGUUUGGGAACCUGUGUCCAAGCCCACUCUAGACACUCAGAAUAGAGCUAAACCAAAACCCCAUUUUAGGUAUGAACCUAGGAUGACUCAAUACCCAAUGGGGUAUUAGGCCCAUUAGAAGACUUGCCCUGCGUCUAUGACCCUGAGUUAAUUACAGACGAACCAUAUUUAUGUGUUGAAGAAAUAUAUAUUUGUUUAAUCCAAUCCAUUAUCCUUUGGGGGUUGGGGGAAAGCUUGCUUUGAUUACUUUCGUGUAAGGAUGCCUUAAUCAUACAUCAAUUGAAAGAGGAAUUAAAAUGAGCCAGGCAAAAGGUUGAUUGAUUUGGACGAUUGCAUGAUUUCCCAGAGUAAUGAUCUAGAGCACAGUUAUACGGGAAUUGCUUGAUCAUCAACAGAUGUCGCCAAUGACAAGAAGUGGAUAAAGCUGAGAUAUCAAAGACCGAUAGAAGAGCAUCUAGGAACUAAUAUUUCCUAUCCCCUGCGCGGGACGUUGUUUUUUUCUGAAGAUAUUUUCCCUUUCCUUAAAGAUUGUAUACCUUUUAUGCAACUUUUGUAAGCAUUUAUGCCUUUUAUGUAUAUCUAUGUAGAUUUGGGGGAUAAUAGAUUGGUUUUAAGAAGCAUAUAUUUCCUUCAAAAUUCAUUAGGCCAACCCUUGGCUCAAAAGGGUCACUCCAACUAGGAUAUGCACUUAUUAUAAUGUCAUUAUGUGAUAUACUACCUUAUGUGUUUAUGUGCGUUUGUCUGAAUCAAAGACAAAUUUAUAAACUAUGUCCCCGUGGAUCAGUUUGCCUAUGAGGCAGACAACACUAUGUGGUAACUUCUUGUCAAAUAUCUUGCAUUAUUUAUCACAUAUGGGAACUGACACAUCUGCCUUUGAGUUAUUUUACUUUACAGAUAACUGAAAACUACUUCGUGUUAAAACAAACUGAAAGAACAUCCUUACUUCAUCCGGUCAAAAGUUUAUAAAAUCUCAUCCUCUGACCAUCAUUCAAAAAUGACUGGAUGCGACAAAGAAAAUGCGUUGACAAUCAGGGAUAAUGUAAUAGCGGAACAAAGUGAGAUGAUUGUUAAACUCGUGAGAAAAUUAGAAAUGCUUCAGGAGGAGAUGACUCGUACUCAAGAUUUGGCUAAUCAAGACAUCAGUGUUAACGCUCUCGCUCCAAGAAGACACGGGCCUCCGCUCCAGAUCCCUCUCCUCAGUACGCCUAUUCUCGGGGACCAUCCAAAUAACAUAUUGUCCGUCUCCGCUCCUCAACUUGUCCAAAACACCAAUUGAGAAAAUAACUCAGAUGCUUACCAUCCAUAAAAUUCAUCCCUAAUCUCACAAAAUCCGCCUCCAAACCUAUAAAAUUCAUUCCCAAAGCCACAAAACCUGCUCCCAAAUCCACAAAAUCCGCUCCUAAAUCCAUAAAAAUCCAUUUCCCAAUCCAUAAAUUUUAUUUUCAAAUCCACAAAAUCUCUUUCAUAUUCCACCAAACUAUUCUCAAACUCCACAAAGUGCUAUCAAAUUCCAAAAUGUCCUCCCUUCCUACCACCCAAUCUCUUCUCAUCCUCAAAAUUAAGCUACCCUCUCAAAUCCUUCUUAUGUCAUCAUAUCCCCUGACAUCUUGUAAUACCCCGUAUUUCCCUAACAUAAUUUAAGUCCUAAUACAUGAGUAUGAGUAUAUAAGAUUUUUGAAGCACUCAUUAUUUUCAGUUUAGAGCCUUCCAUUGCAUAGAAAAUUCAAUUAACUUUCCAACGAUAUAAAUUUUGCCCAAAUCCGAUAACCAAGUAAGAAGUUAUGGCAAUUUUAAGUUUCAAUCGUUAAACAUCGUCAUUUUGACCCUUAGCGCGUCGCGGAGUCAGUGUAAAUAGCAAUUUUCAAUUUCCAGUAUUGCUCCACAAUAGUGGAGCAUCGCGCCGUAGGCCCAGUUCAUAAUUGUCCAAUUUCAUUGAGGCAAAGCGAUCAUGGCGCACCGUGCCAAUGGUGAAAAUCAGAAUCAAAGGGUCACUGCGAUUUCUUCGCAUCGCGUCGUCAGCCCAGUUCCUAGUUGUCAGUUUUUAGUGACAUGGCGCGAUAGCACUGCGUUGCACCACGUGCCCAUUUUGGAAAAAUUCAAUGAAAAAUUAAUAUUUCGUUCAGGGAUAAAACAGUCUUUUUUCCAUUAUUUUAGUCCGCCCAGGUGUGAUAUUUAAGCCCUAAAAACGUUUUUAAAAUCAUUCUUUAAUUAAUUUCUCCCAAAUCAAAAGGCAUUCUCUUCCAAUCAAGAACCCUAGCUCUCAAAUUCAAGGUCAAUCCUCAAGAAUGCACCAAGAACUUCAAGAAAUCCAUCAAUUAAGGUAUGUUAGAUGUUCAUCCUUGGAUUCCUUUCAUCCAUGGAGUCCAAGUAACCUAUUGAAAUUUCAAAUUUUGAUCUUUUAAAGUUAUUUGAUUUUAAAUUAUGAUUUCAUCCAUGAAUCUCCAUGUACUAUUGAUUUUAUAUCAUGUUACCAUGAAAUUAUUGUUAUUAUUCAAUCCUCCAUGUUUUAAUAUUAUUAUUUAUUAAAUUAAACCAUGAUUUAAUACCAUUAUAUCGAAUUCAUGCUAUUUCUAUAAGUUCCACGACAUUCCUAUGAUUAUUUAAAAUCAUGAACUACAAGUGUUUGAUAAAAUGCCUACAAGAGUGAUUGAUUUAAUAAAAGCCUUCAUGUUUUGUUCCCAAAGCUUUAGUGUCAUUUUACUAUUGUUGUUUUGAGUCCUGGGGGUAUUGAAUACCCGAAAACCAUAGUUGUGUAUUUAGUCUAGUCUCAGUAUAUUACGGAAUAGUCUUUAGAAUAUACUGUGAGCAUUAUCAGAAUAGUCAAAUAUCAGUUAGUUAAACUCAGAACAGUCUAGUAUUUCAGUGUCUUUUAGUUCGGAGUAGGAUUUAGCACCGAGCGAGUGAAGGGAUGGAGGCUUCCCCGUCAAAUAGGUAGAGUCGUUAGUAGCAGUCCCUAUACUCCAAAACUACAUAGCCAGCAUAGGAUAUGAGAAGUCACCCGUUAGAUUAGGCUUGACUAUCUCGCAGGGCUCACCUGUCAGUUCAGGCUUGACACCCUUAGUCCUUUGGACAUUAUAUCAGUUUAGUGAAUCCACACAACUAGUGUUUGUACCCGUGGCAUGUAUUAACACCCUUCCAACUUGGGUUACAUGUUGAACCCCGAUUAGCUUAAAUUGGGGAAUGUUAGUUAGAUGAUACCUCCCACAGUCUCAGAUGCAGUCUUAGUUACAGUCCCAGUUCAGUUAUUCAGUCUUAGUAUUAUUUGACCAAAGCAUACAAAUUUCCAUUGUUUUAGUAUUACAGUUUACAGAUUUUACUCAGUUCAUGUUACAUGCUUGGUCAUGCAUCCUCAGUAUCUAUAGAUUUUCACGAAUCUUCAGUAUUUAUGGAUUUUCAUGCAUACUCAGUAUUUAUAGAUUUCCACAUAUUCCCAGUACCUACAGACUUCAUGCUCUCUAUUUAGUAUACAUGCUUUACAUGCAUAUUCAUUUAAUUAUUAUUUCUGUUCGUGAAAUCAUGUAUUAUCAGCCUACCUCAUUUAGCAUACCAAUACAUUCAAAGUACUGAUCGCAUACCUUUUUUUAUGCUAUGAUGUAUCGUAUCAUAGGUUCUUAUGCUCAGUUCCCGGCUGCAUUAGACUUAUUAGAUUCUCAGCAGUAGCAGUGGUGAGUCCUCAUACUUUGAGGACAGACAUACUUUAUUUCAUGUCUCAGUUUAGUAGUUAGUUAGAGUUAGUUGGGGCCUGUCCCAUCAACUCACAGUCAUUCAGUUUUAGAGGCUUAUCAGAUAUUACAGUCAGUUAUUCAGAAUUCAGAUAUUUCAGUUAGUUAUCCAAUUUAUCAGUAUUUUAUCAGAUUCAGUCAGUUACUUCUAUAGACUCAUAUUUAAGUUUUGAAUUUAGUUAUUAAAACCUUAUGGCAUAUCAAUUGUUCUUCCGCAAUUAUGAUAUUAUUAUUCAGUGUUCAUAGAAGAUACCAGUUCAUAGGUUAGCUUGUGGUCCCUCGGGACUGUAAGCACUGUGUGACACCCAGGGUGUACUCUCGAAGCAUUACAAACUUGGUAUAAGAGCCUAAGGUUUUAAAGUAUCCUAGGAAGUUUGAAAGCCGGGUCAAGUAGAGUCUUGUGCAUGGGUGUGUAGCGCGCCACACUUAUGGACGAGAGGCUAUAAGGCGUUUAGGGAAAAGUUUCCCUGCUUUCAGUAUUCAUGUCUUACGAGUGAGCAUGAGCUCAAGUUAAACUCUUUGUCUAAUCCAUUUCUUCCUUCUAUUUAGAGAACAUGCCUCCUAAGAAGAACGGAAGAAGAACAGGAAACCAGCCAGCCCCUCAGCCCGUCCAAGCAGAUCCUCUCGAUGAGCAUGUCUCUCACGCAAAAUUUAGAGCUGCAUUCACUACUUUAGCAAAAUCCGUGGCCAAUACUGCUGCAACCAAAAUUUGGGAUUUCACCUGGAUGAAUCCUUCUUUUUUCACGGGAUCCAAGUCUGAAGAGGAUCCACAGAAAUUCUUAGAUAUGGUUUAGAAGGUCACAGAUGCUAUGGAGGUGACAUCUAGUCAGAGUGUUAAGUUGGUUGCAUACCAGUUGCAGGAUGUAGCCCAUGCUUGGUUUAAGUAGUGAAAUAUUGAUAGGGGUGUAGAUGCAAGGCCUGUAGAAUGGGAAGAGUUUGCCAUAAUUUUCUUAGAUAGAUUCUUCCCUUUGGAGUUGAGGGAGACCAAGGUGUUAGAGUUUAUUAACUUGAGGCAGGGCAGCAUGAGCGUGAGGGAGUAUUCCCUCAAGUUUACUCAGUUAGCUAGAUAUGCUCCUUAUGUGGUAGCUGAUAAUAGGUCUAAGAUGAGUAAGUUUGUGUCUGGCAUAUCUGAUAGUGUGAUCAAGGAGUGCAAGACCGCAAUGCUGAUUAGUGAGAUGGACUUGUCUAGGCUGAUGGUCCAUGCUCAACAAAUUAAAGAGCAGAAGAUUAAGGAGAGGGAGAGAGGAAAUAAGAGGGUUAGGACGGGUAGUUUUAACUUCAGCCAGCCAAAGUCAGAGGGUGGUAAUCGUCCUCAGUUUUAUCAGAGGUCUUCAGCCCUAUCACCCUCUUCAGCCAGUGCUCCUCUACCCAAAUUCAGAAAUGACAAUAGGGACAGAGCACCAGGUUCUAAGUCCCAAGGCAGUGUUAGCAGUGCUCGUACAAAUCUUCUAUGCCAGAAAUGUGGCAAACACCAUCAGGGUGAGUGUAGAACGGGUAGUGAUUUGUGCUUCGAGUCUAUCAAUCCAGGCUAUCGGAUUCGAAAGUAUCGGGUAGUUGCUAAAAAUAUAAGGAUAUGCGCCAACAUGGCCAGUCCCAUCAAUCGUUAGUUCCAUCCGAUCGCCUAACUCAGCAGGGUGUAAGUUCUAGUGCUACCAAUGGUCAGUGUCCGAAUAGGUUAUAUGCUCUUCAGUCCAGCCAAGAUUAGAAAAAUUCUCCUGACGUAGUUACUGGUACGUUGUAGGUCUUUCACUCACAUGCUUAUGCCAUACUAGACCCUGGAGCUUCUCUUUCUUUUAUAACUCCAUAUAUAACUGUCAAUUUCAGAGUUAGUCCCAAAACUCCAGCAGAUACCUUUUCAGUAUCUACCCCAUUAGGUGUUUCCAUUGUAGCUAGAUAGGUAUACAGAAACUAUUCGGUCAUAAUAUCUCAGAAAGUUACUUCAGGUGAUCUCGUGGAGUUAGAGCUGAUGGAUUUUAACGUCAUUCUCGGCAUGGAUUGACUCCACUCAUGCUAUGCCUCAGUUGAUUGUAGAAAUAGAAUAGUUCAUUUUGAGUUUCGGGGUAGUACCAUAACUCUUAGAGGUCAGUUGAUUCAUACCUUAGAGCGAGAAAGAUAAUAUCGAAGGGGUGUAUUUACCAUUUUUUUCGAGUCAAAGACUCUAACUCAGAAACUUCAACUCUUGAAUCAGUUCCAGUAGUAAAUAAAUUCUCAGAUAUAUUUUCUGAAGAUCUUCCCAGAGUUCCUCCCGAAAAGGAAAUCGACUUUGGAAUAGAUCUUCUUCUAGAUACUUAACCCAUAUCUAUUUUGCCAUACAGAAUGGCUCCAGCAGAACUCAAGGAGUUAAAAGAAUAGUUAAGGGAUCUUCUAGAUAAGGGAUUCAUCAGAUCCAGUAUCUCCCCGUGGGGCACACCUAUUCUGUUUGUGCGUAAGAAAGAUAGUUCUCUCAGAAUGUGCAUAGACUACCGUCAGUUGAACAAAGUCACAGUCAAGAACAGAUAUCCACUUCCUAGAAUCGAUAGCUUGUUUGAUCAACUUCAGGGUGCUAGCUAUUUUUCAAAGAUUGACCUUAGAUCAGGCUAUCAUCAGCUUAGAUUCAGGGAAUGUGACAUUCUGAAAACAGUUUUCUAAACUCGGUAUGGUCACUUUGAAUUUUUGGUUAUGUCCUUCGGUCUUACAAAUACCCCAGUAGCCUUCAUGGACUUGAUGCAUUGAGUGUACAAGCAGUACUUGGACAUGUUCGUUAUAGUCUUUAUUUAUGACAUUCUUGUUUACUCCUGUAGCAAAAAUGAUCAUGCAGACCACCUCAAAAUAGUACUUCAGACUCUUAGAGCUCACCAGUUAUUCGCUAUAUUCAGUAAGUGUGAAUUCUGGCUAAGAUCAGUAGGUUUUCUUGGCCAUAUCAUUUUCGGUGAUGGCAUUAGAGUUGAUUAUCAAAAGACCAAGGCGGUAAGAAACUGGCCUAGACUCAUCUCUCUAUCAGAUAUCAAGAGUUUCUUAGGUUUAGCUGGCUAUUACCGUUGAUUUGUUGAAGGGUUUUCUUCUAUUGUAUCCUCCAUAUCCAGAUUGACUCAGAAGAAAGUUAAGUUUUAGUAGUCAGAUUCCUGUGACAAGAGUUUUCAGGAGUUGAAGACUCGACUCACCUCAGCCUCAGUUCUUACCUUGCUAGAUGGUUCAGAUGGGUUGGUUGUAUGCUAUGAUGCAUCCAGAGUAGGUUUGGGUUGUGUCCUCAUGCAAAGAGGUAAGGUCAUAGCCUAUGUCUCCAGACAACUUAAGCCUCAUGAGAAGAAUUACCCUACUCAUGAUCUGGAUCUAGCAACAGUAGUAUUCGCCUUAAAGAUUUGGAGGCACUACUUGUAUGGGGUGCACAUAGAUGUGUUCACUGACCAUAAGAGCCUGUAGUAUGUAUUCUCUCAGAAAGAUUUGAAUUUGCAUCAGAGAAGGUGGUUAGAGUUGUUAAAAGAUUAUGAGCUGAGUGUUCUAUAUCAUCCAGGCAAGGCCAAUGUAGUAGUUGAUGUUCUCAGUAGAAUGUCUAAGGGUAGUGUUGCUCAUGUUGAGUAUGGUAAGAAGAAGUUAGCUUAGUAAGUUCAUCAACUUGCCCAACUAGGUGUCCACUUACUUGAUUCAGUAGAAGGUAGUGUAUGGGUAUAGAGUAUCUCAGAAUUAUUUUUAGUUUUCGAGGUGAAGGAAAAAUAGGAUAGAGAUCCCAGACUAGUUAAGUUAAAAGAAUUAGUCAGAGACCAGAAAGUAGAGGUUUUCUCCCAAGGAGGAGAUGAUGUUUUGCGUUGUCAGGGUAGAUUGUGUGUGCUUGGUGUAGAUGAUUUGAGGCAACGAAUUCUUGCAGAAGCACAUGGUGCACGUUACUCUAUUCAUCCAGGGGCUACUAAAAUGUACUGUGAUUUGCGGGAGAUCUAUUGGUGGAGUGGGAUAAAGAGAGAUACUGUAGAGUUUGUAGCUAAAGGCUUUGUAGCUAAAGUCUAUGUACCAGCAAGUUAAUAUUGAGCACCAGAAGCCUAAUGGGUCCAUGCAGGAGUUCAGUAUUCCCACUUGGAAAUGAGAGAAAGUUAACAUGGACUUUGUGAUGAGUUUGCCUAGUACUCGUCAUCAGAAUAAUUCUAUUUGGGUUAUCGUAGACAAGAUGACCAAAUCAGCUUAUUUCUUGCCAGUCCAUACCUCUUAUUCAGUCGAGGACUAUACCAAACUCUAUCUUAGAGAGUUAGUCAGGUUACACGGUGUUCUCUUAUCUAUCCUCUCAGAUAGAGGUACCUAGUUUACCUCUCACUUUUGGAAAGCAUUCCAAAGGGGUCUUGGUACCAAGUCCAUCUCAAUACAACUUUUUACCCGCAGAUAGAAGGUCAAGUAGAACGGACCAUUCAGACUCUAGAAGAUAUGCUGAGAGCAUGUGUAGUUAUUUUAAAGGUAGUUGAGAUGACCAUUUGCCUUUGAUUGAAUUUGCAUAUAAUAACAACUAUCAUUUUAGUAUCCGUAUAGCUCUAUUUGAGGCUCUCUAUGGUAGGAGAUGUAGAUCUCCAAUUAGUUGGUUUGAAGUAGGUGAGGCCGUAGUAGUAGGGCCUAACUUGGUGUUUGAUGCAUUAGAGAAGGUUCAAUUGGUAAGAAAAAGGUUUAGGGCUGUCCAGAGCCAACAAAAAUCAUAUGCUGAUGUGAGAAGAAAGGAUCUCGAAUUUGAGGUCAGUAAUUUUGUGUACUUGAAAAACUCUCCCAUGAAGUGAGUGAAGAGAUUCGGCAAGAAAGGAAAACUCAGUCCCCGAUAUGUCGGUCCUUUUAGAAUUCUUAGUCGUUUCAGAAAAGUAGCUUACGAGCUUGAGUUGCCUUCAAAUUUAGCCUCAGUACACCCAGUGUUUUAUGCCUCAUUGUUGAAGAAGUGUACUGGUGAUCCAGCUGUAGUUGUUCCCUUAGAAAGUGUAGAUAUUCAGAACAGUCUUUCCUUUGAGGAAGUUCCAAUCAAAAUUCUUGAUCAUCAAGUUCAUAGACUAAGGAACAAUGAAGUUUCAUUGAUCAAAGUUCUUUGGCGGAAUCAGUCCGUUGAGGGAGCCACUUGGGAAGCUGAAGCAAAUAUGUGGACCAAGUACCCUCAUCUCUUCUUCGCGAAUCCAGAUUCAGUAUAAGGUACUAAUAUUCUUAAGAUUUCUCUCUAUCAUGCUCAAUUCCAGUUGCGCAUCAUGUUCAUGUCAGUUGUGCCUGUACAAAUCAGUUUAGUCAUGCAUUCCAUGCAUCAGAUAUGCAUGUUCAGUGUGUAAUCUCAGUCCAUCAGUUUUUCCUUAGCUUAACUAGUCUUAUUCGAGGACGAAUGAUCCCAAGGGGGAGAUAUUGUAAUACCCCUUAUUUCGCUAACAUAAUUUAAGUCCCAAUACAUGAGUAUUAGUAGAUAAGAUUUUCCAAACACAAGUUUAGAGCCUGCCAUUGCGUAGAAAAUUCAAUUAGCUUUCCAACAACAUAAAAUUCGCCCAAAUCCAGUAACCGGAUAAGAAGUUAUGGCGAUUUUAAGUUUCAGUCGUUAAACAUCGUCAUUUUGACCCUUAGAGUGUCGCGGAGUCAGUGUAACUAGAAAUUGUCAAUUUUCAGUGUUGCUCUACAAUAGUGGGGCGUCACGCCAUGGGCCCAGUUCAUAAUUGUCCAAUUCCAGUGAGGCAGCGCUAUCAUGGUGCACCGCGCCAAUGGUGAAAAUCAGAAUCAAAGGGGUACCGUGAUUUCUUCGCGCCGCGUCGUCAGCCCAGUUGUCAGUUUCCAGUAACACGGUACGAUAGCGCAUCGUGCCAGGUGCCUAUUUCAGAAAAAUUUGAUGAAAAAUUAAUAUUUUAUUCAAGGAUAAAAUAGUCCUGUCCAGUUUCCCCAUUAUUUUAGUCCACCCAGAAAUGAUAUUUAAGCCCUAAAAACGUUUUUAAAAUCAUUCUUUAAUUAAUUUCCCCUAAAUCAAAAGGCAUUCUCUCCCAAUCAAGAACCCUAGCUCUCGAAUUCAAGGUCAAUCUUCAAGAAUUCACUAAGAACUUUAAGAAAUCCAUCAAUUAAGACAUGUUAGAUGUUCAUCCAUGGAUUCCUUUCAUCCAUGGAGUCCAAGUAACCUAUUGAAAUUUCAAGUUUUGAUCUUUUAAAGUUAUUUGAUUUUAAAUUAUGAUUUCAUCCAUGUAUCUCCAUGUACUACUGAUUUUAUAUCAUGUUACCAUGAAAUUAUUGUUAUUAUUCAAUUCUCCAUGUUUUAAUAUUAUUAUUUAUUGAAUUAAACCAUGAUUUAAUACCAUUAUAUCGAAUUCAUGCUAUUCCUAUAAGUUCCAUGACAUUUCUAAGAUUGUUUAAAACCAUGAACUACAAGUGUUUGAUAAAAUGCCUACAAAAGUGAUUGAUUUAAUAAAAGCCUUCAUGUUUUGUCCUCCAAGCUUUAGUGUCAUUUUACUAUUGUUGUUUUGAGUCUUGGGGGUAUUGAAUACCCAAAAACCAUAGCUGUUUAUUUAGUCUAGUCUCAGUAUAUUACGGAAUAGUCUUUAGAAUAUACUGUGAGCAUUAUCAGAAUAGUCAAAUACCAGUCAAUUAAACUCAGAACAGUCUAGUAUUUCAGUAUCUUUCAGUUGGGAGUAGGAUUUAGCACCGAGCGAGUGAAGGGAUGGCGGUUUCCCCGUCAGAUAGGCUGAGUCAUUAGUAGCAGUCCCUAUACUCCAGAACUACGUAGUCAGCAUAGGAUAUGAGAAGUCACCCGUCAGAUUAGGCUUGACUAUCUCCCAGGGCUCACUCAUCGGUUCAGGCUUGACACCCUUAGUCCUUUGGACAUUAUAUUAGUUUAGUGGAUCCACACAACCAAUGUUAGUACCCGUGGCACGAUAUUAACACCCUUCCAACUGGGAUUACAUGUUGGACCCCGAUUAGCUCAAAUUGGGGAAUGUUGAUUAGAUGAUGCCUCUCACAGUCUCAGAUGCAGUCUUAGUUACAGUCCUAGUUCAGUUAUUCAGUCUUACUGUUGUUUGACCAAAGCAUACAAAUUUCCGUUGUUUUAGUAUUACAGUUUAUAGAUUUUACUCGGUUCAUGUUAUAUGCUUGGUCAUGCAUCCUCAGUAUCUACAGAUUUUCACGUAUCUUCAGUAUUUAUGGAUUUUCAUGCAUACUCAGUAGUUAUAGAUUUCCACAUAUUCCCAGUACCUACAGACUUCAUGCUCUCUAUUGAGUACUCUAUGCUUUACAUGCAUAUUCAGUUAACUAUUAGUUCUGUUCAUAAAACCAUGCAUUAUCAGCCUACCUCAUUUAGCAUACCAGUACAUUCAAAGUACUGAUCGCAUACCUUUUUUUUACGCUAUGUUGUAUCAUAUCAUAGGUUCUGACGAUCAGUUCCCGGCUCGUGAUUGGACUUAUCAGAUCCUCAGUAGUAGCAGUGGUGAGUCCUCAUACUUUGAGGACAGGCAUACUUUAUUUCAUGUCUCAGUUUAGUAGUUAGUUGAUGUUAGUUGGGGCCUGUCCCAUCAACUCACAGUCAUUCAGUUUUUUAGGCUUAUCAGACAUUACAGUUAGUUAUUCAGUAUUCAGACAUUUCAGUUAGUUAUCCAGUUUAUCAGUAUUUUAUUAGAUUCAGUCAGUUAUUUUUAUAGACUCAUAUUUCAGUUUUGAAUUCAGUUAUUAAAACCUUAUGGCAUAUCAGUUUCUCUUCUACAAUUAUGAUAUUAUUAUUCCGUGCUCACAGCAGGUACCAGCUCAUGGGUUAGCUUAUGGUCCCUCGGGACUGUAAGCACCGUGUGAGGCCCAGGGUGUACUCUCUGGGCAUUACACAUCUACAAUCCCUUUCCCAAUCUUAAGGUAGAUCACUACGAGGAGAAGGAAAAGGAGUAGAGGACUGAGCAUAAAAAGAAGUUGCUAGCCAUGCAUGAAGAGAUUAUGAGGAUCAAAGAAUCUCAUGGGGUUAGCGAUAAUGAUGAUUUGGGGUACGAUGAGUUGUGUGUGCAUCCUAGAGUAGAUCUGCCAGAAGGGUACAAGGUCCCUAAAUUUGAAAUGUUCAACGGUAUCGAAAAUCUAAUGGCCCAUCUAAGAAUGUAUUGUGAUCAAAUGGUUGGGGGAGGAAAAAAUGAGGCAUUAUUGACACGCUUAUUCAGUCGAAGCUUAAGCGGUGAAGCCUUAGAUUGGUUCAUGUCUCAAGAACUGAAAAGAUGGUAUAGCUGAAGGUCGUUGGCUAAAAUUUUUCUCGAUAGAUUUGGUUUUAACAAUGAGAUAGUCCCUGACCGAUACUCACUAGACCGGAUCAAGCAGAGGAAUGGUGAGUGUUUUCGAUACUAUGUCUUUCGUUGGAGAAAAGAAGCUGCUGAAGUACUACCUCCCAUGUCUGAGAAAGAAAUGGUAUCGAUUUUCUCUCGCACUCAAGAGGGAGAAUUUAUACCGAGAUUGUAUCCGCAAUUCGAGCAAUUUUUAUAGAUUUGAUAAAAAUUGGAGACUUGUUAAAGGAAGGCAUCUGAAUAGGAAAAAUUAUCAAAACCCCAACAUCAUCUGAAUGUUCUGCGAUCUCAAAGAAUAAAAUAGAGGAUGUGACUGUAGUCUCUACUUAUUCUGUUGAUAAAUUGAAGAAGAAAUUCAAGCCCAGGAAUAUUCUUUCCUCACCACCAUCACCAAGUUUUUAGCCUAUAUUCUACGCCCAAUCCCAGUACCAAGCUCCACUUCCAAAUAUCCAACCCUAAUACCAAACUCCACUUUCAAAUAUUUUACCAGUGUACCAAGUUCCGCAACCAAAUUAUCAGUCUCAUGUUCAAGCUACCCUUUCAAACAACCAAAAACAUCCAAGCUCCUCUAAACUAUCAUCAAGUACCUCCUCCCACUAAUCAAAACCAGUAUAACCCCCCAGUCUAAACCUCUAAAAGAAACCUCCUAGAAAAUUCACUCUAUUGGUUGAAAGUUGUACCCAGCUCUUCAGAAGAUUGAUAAAAGCUGGUUAUUUAUAGCCUAUUCCAUCAAAACCCACUAAUCUCAAUUGACUAUUCUUUCAAGCCGAUCAAGUCAGUACUUAUCAUUCAGGAGCGGCCGGGCAUAAUACUGAAGAUUGCAUCAAAUUGAAAUAUAAGAUCCAAGACUUGAUUGCUCAGAAGAUCAUCACUCUUCAGGCGCCGACACUAAAUAUCACCAUUAAUCCACUACUUAAUCAUGGAGGAGCCAUGGUUAGCAUGAUCUAAAUAGAAGAUGAAUGGGUAUCUAACAAGACUAUUACUAAGAUAGAUUAGAAAAUUCCAAAAAGAUAAAAGGAGUGGAGAAGAUAGAGAAAGUCGUGGAUGCCUGAAGUGUCUUGGGUAAGAACUUAAAAUGAAUUAUUGAGCCUAUUAUGGUCCCAGAAAAAGCAUCUAAGUAUGGGAUAGGAUACCAGCAAAGAAAGAAAGAUGAGAUUGAAGAUAAGUCAAAGAUGAAUCUGUCCAAACCAUUGACACUCCUGUACCAGUUAUUUCUUGUGCGCGAGAUGCCAAAAUAUGACGGUCUUGGGGAUGGAAUAGAAAAUCUGUUCGAUGGAUGCAAUGCCAUACCAGAGGAUUUUCUGAAUUCUGAUGGGGUAAGAAAGGUUACACCAGGAGAGGCUUUACAAAACUAGACCUCCACACCACUCAUAAAUCGUCGCCCGUCGUGGUAGAUAAAAAGGUAAUUACUAGUAGUUUUAAAAAUCGGUGAUGAUACGGAGGAGACCCCAAUCUACCAUUUUAUGUCUCAAAUUUUCUUUUCAUGUUUUACUGCUUUCAAAAAGGCAUGGGCCAGCAUUUGCGCGAGCAUGAGCCAUAGUUCGUAUUUAUUUCCCAAAUUUCAAUGAAAAGACCUCCCUUUAUUUAAGAAGUUAUUUUUGAAUAUGAUUAUAUUACUGUCUUUUAUUAUCUUGAUAUCAUCUAACUUGGUAGAAGCAAUUUAAAGUCUGCCAAUGUCAUGUCAUGGCAAGGGUUAGAUGAACAAAGCGAGGGAAAUGAUGAUGAAUAGAAAGAAGGCGAUAAAGAGCAGUUAGUGAAAGAUAUAGAGGAAUUUAAAAACUGAGAGAAGCCCAACUUGGAUGAAACUGGAAUAAUCAACCUGGGCGAUCAUGAUGAAAUCAAAGAGACAAGUGUUAGUGUUCACUUAGCAGAAGCACGCACAAUUCUGAUGCGAUAAAGAGAUACUACAUUUGAAAGAUGUUCUAGUUUUUGUUUACUUCGUUUAUUUGUAUUCGUAUUCAUAAUAAGAUUUGUUUUCUAAUUUGUAAUUGCCUAGAACCCUUUUUUUUUAUGUACGAACUACGUUUGACCUGAAUUCUCAAGAAAGGGAUACGUAGGUGGCCUAUAUUGGCUUUGGUCAACCCUUUAGGAGAAUUUACUCUUUUCUUUUGGGUAUGAACUAUGUGAUGACCUGAAUUUCCAAGAAUGGGAUACGUAGGCGGCCUAUGUCGGCUUCGGUCGAGCCUUUAGGUUUUUCUAUAUACCCCUAGUAUAAUCUUGAACUAUGUUUGACCUGAUUCCUGCUUCAACGGGAUAUGUAGGCGCCCCAAUGGCUCGAUCAUACUACCCUAAAAAUGGAAACUGGGCAGAAUUUUUGAGAGGGAAUCUCAAAAAUUUACAAGAGGAAGAUCAUCAUCCAACAAAGAGAACAAAGACCAACAAAGACUUCGGAUCCUCUCGAGUUGAGAUCAUCUUAAACAACUUUAAACUGGGGUGGAAAUUUUUAGAAAGGUCUCAAAAUUUCCACUAAACACUGGAAUAUAUUUCAAAUUCCCCAGCACUAGAGGUCAAAGUCAAGCUUUAGAAGAUAACAGCAGCGACAAAGUCUGGGUAGACUAAAUCUCCGGCUAUGGUAGAACGGUUGAUAGAAACCCUCAGCAACGAUGAUGAAUCCCUGGAAUUCCUCUAUUAAACAUUGGAUGCAGUCACAACCAAGAGAAAAAUAUUCGUUGAGCUAUUACAUGACAUGAGUGGAAGGGAUUUUCUAAAUCUUUUAUAGAAGUUUUGAAACUAGUUUUCAAAAUUAAGACAACUUUCAAAAAUCUAUACAGUCUUUUUUACUUAGUGAAUUCCUAGGCAUCUAUUGGAACCGUGAGUCAGGGUGGAGGUCCCAACAUCAUGGAGUAUUCGAAAGAUGGCGAAGAGCAAACUACGGAUCGAAGGAGGUUAACAUGGAGUAGUUUCGCUCAAGACUAAUCAUUUUUCUAUAGAUGCAGGGAUCAAUACACAAAAAUGGAUAAAAAAUUUCAAAAAAUCCCCAAGUGAAUUCAAAGGAGUCGGCACAAUAAAUACGACAAUAAAAAGAAUCGCUCAAUAGGAGAAAGAGCAGAAAGUCAGCCUCAAAAUUUGCCUUAAAGCGAAGCAAAUGGUAUUUGAGUAACCGUAAAACAAGGACUUUGCCCCAUUUACUUGCAUCCAAUGGAUUUUAUAUUUAAUUAUUUCUUCAAAAAAAGAAGAUUAAUAGCGAAAUAAGUCAUUCAAAUCAUGAUGAUCAGUAUUUGUCAUUUAACUAUCAUAAAGCUUGACUGUGGUCGUCAAUGAGAGCGAUAUUGUGUCUACUAACUAUCUACCUUGAGUACAGGUACAUAUAGAAAGCAAACCAUAGACAAACAAACUUAGAUGAACCUGUUUUCAAAUCACCGGAAGAACCAUUUCAUAUCAUUUCAUUACCGAGAGGGCCAUUUUAUGCCAUUAUCGAGAGGGUCAUUUUAUAUCAUCUCAUUGCCGAGAGGGCCAUUUUAUACCAUUGCUGAGAGGGUCAUUUCAUAUUAUCUCAUUACCAAGAGGGCUAUUUCAUAUCAUUUCUAAGAGGGCCAUUUCAUGCCAUUGCCGAGAAGGCCAUUUCAUAUCAUCGUCGAGAGGGUCAUUUUAUGUCAUUUCUAAGAGGGCCAUUUAAUAUAUGAUGACAUACGAGACACAAAUGCUGGCAUUGAGAAUAUCAGCAACAUUUAAUAUCUGUUGAGACGCAAGACACAAAUGCUGGCAUCGAAAAUAUCAUCAACAUUUAAUAUCUAUUGGCACGGGAGACACAAAUGCUAGCUUCUAGGAUAUCAUCAACAUUUAAUAUCUAUUGACACACGAGAUACAAACACUAGUAUUGAGGAUAUCAUCGACACUUAAUAGCUGGCGAUAGGAUAUCUUAUUAUUUUAUGAAUCAACAUCUGAAUGCAUCAAGAGCACGCGAUUUGAAAGGACGUCUUUAAGUCGCUAUUUGAAAACGGAUGAUAUAUGAGAUUUCCUAGAAAUUGACAAUUUGAGGGUCAUCUAUAAGUCGUAUUAUUUGAAAUAGGAUAGUGUGCAGAAUUACCUAUGAGUUGAUAGCCCAUAGGUCAUCCGUAAGUCGCAACAACAUCCUAACGGAUAGUGUGCAAGGUUACCCAAAAAUCAAUAGUCCGAAGGAUAUCCAUAAGUUGAAACUAAAUUCUUACCGGAUAAUAUGUGAGAUUAUCAAAGUGAUGAAUCUAAAGAUUCUCUAUAAUCUGCGUCAUAUCCAAGAUCAAUUAUGUGCAGGAUUACCCAAAAACUAUCAAUUUGAGAGAUAUCUAUAAGUCAUAUUGUGUCCACGGUCAGAUAAUAUGUAGGAAUACCUGAGAACGAGCGAUUGGAGGGAUAUCUAUAAGCCAUCUCUUAUCGAAGGUUGGAUAAUGUGCAGGAUUACCAAAAGGCUAGCAAUUCAAAGGAUAUCUCUAAGCCACCUCGUAUUCAAUAUCAAAUAAUGUGCAAGAUCAUCCAAAGAUUGACAAUUGAAGGGAAAUCUAUAAGUCAAUCAUUGGCAAUAACCAGAGAGGUUAUCAUUCCACUUAUAACAAGAAAUAUAGGUAACCAAAGGGUUGCUGCAUCAGCACAAAAUUACACGAAUGCAGGGACCAUUCUGCAUAAAGUGUCGUCGGUGUCCAAAAGGGCUGCCCCACUUUGAAGACGUAUUCACUCGAUGAGCAAACUACUUAUGCAACAACCAGGAAAAUAGGUACAUGAAAGGAUGACUUCGCUUUUUAGGCAACAACUCACAUGGAGAUAUUGUAAAAAACUAUACACCUUUUUCGUGAACUGUGCUUAUUACUAAUAAUUUUUGUUUGAGAUAUUAUCGAGAGCUUUCGAGAGGAUGAAAAACCUCAAAAUUAAAACCACAGGUAUGGACGUCUCUAGAUAGGAUGCAACACAACGUGAAACUCUUUCUUAGCAGCAAAAUGGGACAUAGUAUAGAGAGAGACGCCAAACUCUUUGGAAGUGAGCUAAAGGAUCAUUGCCACCACUAACUAAACCACAUCCCUGUUAGAAGGCAUGUGGGUAUUUAGAGAUAUUCUGGUUUCAGUUUCACCUUCGGGACAUUUCUAAACUCAUACCGAUGGUAAUCUUCUCUUUAUUUUAAAUUCGGGUGAUAACAUACUUAGAGUUUUGGAAAUUAUGUCCAACUAAGUUCUUACCUAUGGCUGUGAAGAGCUCCAAAUUCAUGGUUAAGAGGUUAUAAACCUCUUUUCUUCAACUCGAUCAACUUGUCACUCAUCUCAAGCCAAAGAUCAUCUAAAAUAAAAGACUAUCUUUUUUACCGAUUGUGUUAAACUACAAGCAGUCUGAUUUCCUGAGUCUCAGGGAUAUGUAGGGUGGGUCUAUGUAGAAAACUCAACUGCAUUCCAACUUCCCCCUAAAUUCCUUUAUUCUCCAGCUUUUUGGUUUCAUUAAAAACUCUAAAAUCGAGAUAGCUUAUGAAUUUUUUUAAAAAUCGUGCUUUAAAUCAAGCUUUAUGAACUACAAGUGGCCUGAAUUCUCAUGUAACCUGAGAUAUGUAGGAAAUCUGAUACCAAGGUUCGGCCAUAACUUCAACACUCGUGCGAAAACCAACCUCUUUCAGAAAUAAAUUUGUGGUCAGACAAAAAUUAGGAACGUCAAACUCAUUUUGCCCAGGGUUACUUGUAUCCACCCUAUCCAAAGGGAGGGGACAAUUGUUGACACCUAAUUUUUUCCCUCCAUGACUAACUUAAUCUUGAGUUUCUUUGAUUUUUAAUAAAAAUAAAUAUUUAUUUUAUCCGAAUAAAUGUGAUCUAAAAUAUUUAUUUUUGAUUAAUUUUGUCAUUUAAGUGACGAUUAUAUGUUUCGUAUUUACAUAUGUGAGAUUGUAUAAAUUUGGUUACUUGAAUGAACAUUUUUAUCAAAAUUUAAAUAUUAUUGAGAUUAAUCUUGAAAAUCAAUUCAAAUGGGUAAAAUCUUGAUUCAAUUAUAAUUUGUUCUCAAAAAUAAUUUAUUUGGAGAAAUAUAAGUUGAUUUUGUUAAACUAGGAAAUUCUAGAUUGAACCGGUUGUUAAUUUGUUUUAAGCUUUGAUUCAAUUUAGUCGAUUUAUUAAAAUUGACCAUAAUUGCAAUGUAAUUGGUCAAUUGCUAUCUAAUUUGGUUAAUAUUUAAAUAAAGUUGACUAAAAAUCUAGCCAAUUUGACCAUUCUAUAAAGAACCAAUUUCUAUCCUUUUUCAUUUUUAAUUUUGGGCCACAAAGACUGGCCCAACAACAAUAACAACAAUUAAAUCAGUCAUUUACAACUCAGCAGCCCAACAAUUCACCCAUUUAAUAAAUAUCCAACAUCGACCGCCCUAGCCCAAUCCACACCAAUACUGGCCCGAACCCAUCCUUUUUUUCCUUCAAACAGUGAAUCACAACAGCAACAUCAAGAACGUUCAACGAACAACGACCAAGGCAAACAACAAUUUUAACCGACACAUCCCCAAUCGACCCAAUACCCUUCGACGGCAACCUGAAUCUGAUGAACUCAAUAGUUCAACAAUUCGACCCUGCUCCAGCCGUGAACAACCAGCGGCUAACCCGACACCCUUGACCCGACUUCAAACCAUUUCGAUGAAAAUUUUAGAGCUCACUAUGUGGCGGUUUUUAAUUGUUUGGCCAUUUUUUCUCUCAAAUUUGGUAUGAAUUCGUGUUGAUUUCUACAGCCCAUCCCCAUUCCCUUUUCAAAUUUUGAAUUUUCCCUUUUAAGAAUUCCAAAAUUAUCCUUGAAAAUAAAGAUCUCACAUCGACUAAAAAGGGUUUUUCAUCCUCAAAAUUUCUUAUAUAUAAGGCUCCUUAUUGGGCUAAAAAUGGAGGUCUAGAAGGUGAAAAACUUUCAAGCAAGAAGUCUCAUUUUUUAGUAUAAAAUUUUUUCGCGAAAAAUCAUCAACUACUUAAGGUUCUCGGAGUCGCAGCAAAGCUUUCCAGUGGUGGUCGAGAGCCCGCGACACUUGAAGUCUCAUUUUGCUGCUCUGAAAGAGGUAUACUCUUUUCUCUUUUAAUUUUGUCAUUUUUAUUCUUUAUCGCUUUCUCCUUAGAAAUAGUCGUUAGUCGUAAUCGCGAUGAGGCUGGGAAUUGUUUGUUGUAGAAGGCCUUGAAGGCCAUUAGAUUUUCGUGCAAUGUAGUAUUCUAUCGAGUUAAGUGCUUUUACUUUAUUCAUUUGAUUCACCGUUCAGUUUGUGUUAGCUUUUUAAUCUAUUGUUUCAUCUCGUCGUUGGUCAUUAAUGUUGUUUCAUUGUUAUAUGUCUGAAUUGGCAUUUCAUGUGUUAAUUUUCUCAUUUAUUUUAGUCCACUAUCUUGGCUAUAUGCUUUCUGGUUCGGUUUUUUGUCUACUAGUAUUUGUUUAUUGUAUUCAUUUCUUAUUCUCACUCACCUAUACUUCCAAAAAUCAACUGUUGCAUUUCAUGGCAUAAUCAUGCAUGAUUAUUAAACUAUUUUACGAUUUCGUGGAUGUCCCGGUCCCUGCUGAUCAACUCCAAAUCAAGUGUUGGGAAUACGACAAUUUAUCGACAAUACCGACUCCUACUCAAAAAAAUAAUAUUAUAUUCAUGGAUAAACGGGACUUAUUUACAACCUGCAAUAUUAAUUCUACCAAUAGCUUCCUUCAUUUACAAUGAUCAAAUUUGCACUUCCAAAAACAGGUAUCACAAAUAUAAAUCAUAAAAAAUACAUUUUAAGAAUUAAUAUUACAAAAUCUUCCAAUAGUAUCCACUUUUCAGUGUAUACCAAUAGAUAAUUAAUAAAACCUAACAAAUAAGGUAAAGGGGAAGAAAAACACAAUUAAAAAUAUAAAAAUUGCAUACAAAAUAAGUGAUAUUCUUUCUUAUAAUCUCUCCUCAUAUGUUUUUCAAUUCCAUAGUUGACUCACUUCUUUUUCAAUUUUAAUUUCUCUUCUUUUCUUUUUUUCCUUUUGUUUUCCAUUUUGAAAAGCCAACACACCCACGUUGGGUGUUGUAUCAUGACACCACAUUGUGGUGAUUUCCAGUUUCUCUUCAAAAUCAUUCGAAUGAAUUAAAGAAGAUUGAAAAUUGAUAUCUCUGUUAGGAACAAAUUUGUAAUUAUUUCGGUCUCUAAUUGCUAAACUUAUCAUAUAAUUUCAUAUUAUUCGUGAAAAUAAUAUAGAAACUUAUGUGUAAAAAGGUUAAAUAACUACCUCUUAUAAAUAUGGUAUGAAAAUAGUGUAAAAAUUGGUGUCUUGUAAAGGUUAUUUAACUGCUUCUUAGAAACAUGAAAAUGAUAUAGAAGUGGUGUCAUAAAAAGGUUAUUUAAUUACCUUCUAUUCUAAGAAAAUGAUAUAGAAGUGGUGCCAUAAAAAGGUUAUUUAAUUACCUUCUAGAAAGAUGGUAUAAAUAUGAUGUAUAAAUUGGUGCUCCUAUAAACAUCGUAUGAAAUGGAUAUAGAAAUUGAUGUCUUGUAAAGAAUAUUUAACUACAUUCUAAAAGUAUGAUAUAAAUAUGGUAUAGAAGCUGGUGUUCCGUAAAAGGCAUUCCAGAAGAACUUAUAUAUCAUAUUCAUAAACAUUUGAAUCUGAAAACGAAUACUUGAUUUUCUACUAUUUCUUUGAGUAAAACAUUUAGCCCAACAGGAUUGAUUUAGUAACAGUACGAAGAGAUAGUUGCAUGUGAGACCUCUUCUAUAUACGAUACCACAAGUUCACGGCUUGGGUGAAUCAAUAUUGCUGCAUGUUCAAACAUUUAUUAACCUAAAUUCUUUGAUUGUUGUAGGAUUAUGAUCACAUUAUUUUAUAUAAAUUUGAGUGAAGAAAAUGGUGAGGACCGUGAUUGUACUUAUGAAAAGAGAAGCAACAGAUUUAGUGAAGAUAAAGGGGUUUCGAGACCUUAAACGAACUUCUAAAAUUUUAAUGGUAUUGGGUCAAAGGCGCAAUCGGAAUCGAAAUUGGGUUGGAUUGGAUUAAUUGAUUAGGUAAUUUUUACUGAUUUUUUGGGUGAUUUUGAAAGGGGUAGCUACAAAAUUUUCUAAUUUUUUUAUGAGUUUUCGUUUUUUCACUUCAUUUUUAGUAGCCAUGGGAAGUUAAAGGUGGGAUUGAAAGAAAGAGAGGAGACAAAAAAAGGAGAGGAGUAGCAGGAUUUUUGGAUUUGAUUUUUUACAGAGAAAAAAAGGGAACUGAAUAGUUGAUAGAUUUUGUAAAUAAAACUAUAUUUUGUAAAUAAAAAAUAAUACUGCUAUAUUUUGUGAUAUUGAUUCUUAAAUUGUAUAUUUAUGUGAUUUUUUCAAUAUAAAUUGGGUUGUGCUUCAUCUAUAUGGCCCUGGUCUAAAAAGCCCAAAAAUGCAAGGGACAAGUGCACAAAUAACCGAUUUGAACUAUCAUUUAAAUCAUAGCCAUUGUACAUAAAAAAAAAUAUGUAAAUUUAGCCGCUUCAAAACCAAAUAAGGCAUAUGUGAUCUAAGUUGCGAAAAUUCGAGUCUGAAUGGACAACAAAGUUCUAAUAUUUUUACUUAAAAUUUGGCUUGUCACGAGCAAACUCUUGAUAUUUUUUUCCCAAAGUUUGGUUUGUAAAGGCCCAACUACCAAUAUUUAUGUUUGAAGUUUGGUUGGUCAAGAUGGUUGGUAUUGUAGUGACUAACACAAUAAUGAUGGUGGUAAUUGUGGAAGUGAAUUGAUUUAAUGUUAGUAGUUGAUGGUUUGAUGGUGGAUGUCACUGAAAAAUGUGUGGUAAUUGACGAUGAGUGUUGGUGGAGGUAGUAGAUAUUGGGAAUUGUCCUUAAUGACGAUAAUAACCGAUAGUAACAGUGGAGGUGGUGAUAGAAAGUGUGCUACCAUAAAUAAUUAUAAUAAUUGAUAUGUAAACAUGAUAGCACUAAGGGGUCGUUUGGUCGGAAAAGAGUUACAUCGAGAUUAGUAAUCCUACCAUGUAUGGGAUAACUAUUCCAUCAUUAUGAUAUAAAUUGUGGGAUAAAUAAUCCCGAGACUAACUAAUACCUCCAGCCAAACACGGGAUAAAACAAUCCUCCAUUUUGUCCUUAGAUUAUUAUAUCU
This 287489-nucleotide long non-coding RNA is filed under the name Capsicum annuum. RNAcentral describes it as "long non-coding RNA (CANN_LNC013508)". Lineage: Eukaryota; Viridiplantae; Streptophyta; Magnoliopsida; Solanales; Solanaceae. The record is from RNAcentral.